AGGGGCAAAUAGGAGAGAGAGGCAAACAAGGAGAUUUUUUCCAUUUUCUGUGUCACCCGUGAUAGUGAGAUGAUGGAGAAUAUCCUAACACAUGUAACACCCAAGAUUGUCUCAAAUAGUGACCAUUCUAGCUAAACAGCUCUAACGAUGUUCAUUAUAAGGGUGUGGGUGGUGGUUUAAGCCACCAUGUUUGAGUAAACUUGGGAUGACACUACGAAGAUAACUUGAGCCCAUCACCACAACUCCAUCAUUUAAAGCACCAAGUCACCAAGGUGAACAUAGUAACUUUGAGAGUGUUGCGUUGAUUUACGCAUCAUAUAGGGUGAGAGAACUCAUGAAUUGAAUGCCUCCCCCUAAAUACAUGCCUACACCUAGAUAAAACAUGAAGUAAGUGUAUGUAGGUGUACAAGAUUUCACACAAUGUUAUCAAGAUCCAAGAUACCAAGUUCACGCCUAAGUUGACAAAACCUUGCUUCGUCCAAUGGCUUGGUGAAGAUGUCUGCUAGUUGCAUAUUUGUACCCACGUGAGCAAUAUCAAUGUCACCCUUUUGCACAUGAUCUCUCAAUAAGUGAUACCUAAUAUCAAUGUGUUUUGUGCGAGGGUGAUCAGUGGGGUUCUCAGCAAUCUUGAUGGCACUUUCAAUAUCACAUAAAAGAGGCACAUGUCUAUAGGUGAUAGCAUAAUCCUUUAAAGUUUGUCUCAUCCAUAGCAAUUGAGUUGCACGGCUUGCAGUUGCAAUGUAUUCAGCUUCGGCAGUGGAGAUGGAAACACAGGUCUGCUUCUUCGAGGACCAACUUACCAAGGAGCUUCCAAGAAACUAACAUGCACCAGAAGUGGAUUUCCGUCCCACUUUGUCACCAGCCCAAUCCGCAUCUGUGUACCCAAUGAGGUCAAACUUUGCAUCCUUGGGGCACCAUAAACCCAACUUUGGGGUGUGAACAAGGUACCUAAGGAUAUGCUUAACCGCCGUAUGAUGGCUUUCCCUAGGGGAAGCUUGAAAUCUUGCACAUAUGCCUACACGUAGCAUGAUGUCUCGUCUAGAUGCACAUAGAUAAAGCAAUGAACCAAUCAUAAAGCGGUAAUAGAUGGGUCAAAAGGAAUACCGUCGGUGUCUUCAGUGAGAACAAGUUUUGUGGACAUGGGUGUCUUACAUGGUUUAGCAUUUGUCAUGUCAAACUUCUCUAGAAUGUCCUUGAGGUAUUUUGUUUGAGAUAAGAAAAUUCCUUAUUGACAUUGUUAUAUUUGAAAUCCAACAAAGAACUUCAAGUCUGUAUUGAGUGACAUUUCAAAGGUCUUGGUCAUGGAGGCCGCAAACUUCUUGCACAAAUGAAUGUUAGGAGAACGAAAAAUUGUAUCAUCUACAUAGAUUUGGCAUAAGAUCAAAUCACUGUUAUCCCUCUUAGUAAAAAGAGUAGGAUCGAUCACCCCUCUCACAAUGCCAUCAUCGAGUAGAAACUUCUUAAGAUGAUCAUACCAAGCACGCGGUGCUUGAUUGAGGCCAUACAAAGCUUUGUGAAGUUUAUACACACAGUCGUCGUGAUCGGGGUCAACAAACCAAGGUGGUUGUGAUACAUAUACUUCUUCUUGUAGAUGACCAUUAAGGAAAGCACUCUUCACAUCCAUUUGAUGCAACGUAAAACCAUUGAAAGCAGCAUAAGCCAAUACAAUGCGAAUAGAAUAAAUACGAGCAACAGGAGCAAAGGUCUCACCAAAGUCCAAACCUUCAACUUGGGAGUACCCUUGUUCCACUAACCUUGCCUUGUUGCGGAUGACUAUGCCAUUCUCAUCUUGCUGGUUCUUAAAAAUCCAUUUUGUUCCAAUGACAUUGUGUUUCUCAGUUGGUCUUUGGACUAAUGACCAUACUUUGUUGCGUUUAAAACUGUUCAACUCUUCUUGCAUAGCAACAAGCCAAUCAUUGUCCCACAAUGCAUCUUGUACCUUGAGUGGCACAACAAUAGAGACAAACGAAAAGUGAGCACAAAAUUUUGUUAAUUGUUUACGAGUGACUCUACCUUCCGAUAUGCCGGUAAGAAUUUUAUCAACAUCGACACGACCAGCCACUCGUGGCAUGAUGGAGGUCAGGGUUUCACGAGGUUCAACUUCAUUUACAUGAUCUACAUCCUCAACAUAUGGAUCAUUAAUGUGUGGUGAAAGAUAUUCUUCUUCACAUUGCAAUUGUGAGGUUCAUCAUCAAUGAUAGCAUUUUCUUGGUCUAGUCUUAACGAUGAUAUUGGUCUUGAAUGUGAUCAUGGUGAGGAAUGUGUUCUCCUUCUUGAUCCUGAACGACUGUUCUCCUUCUUGAUCCUGAACAACUGGCAUGGUUUGAGCACUAGGAUCUUGUGGAGGUAUGGGCGUUGAGUCGACUUGAGGAUGAGGGAAAUUUACAUCUUCUUCAUCAUCAUCAUGAGGUUCUUAUUCCAUUGGAAGAAGGGCACCAACACCCAUGGUCAAAAUACCUAGAGAGGGAUCUUCUUCACCUGCAUCACUUAGAUCAACUUGCUCCCCAUGGGAGACAUUAAACUCAUCAAACAUCACAUCACAAGUUUCUACAACACAUCCAUUGGAUUUGUGGUAGACUUUAUAGGCGUGAGAGUUUGAUCCAUAAACAACAAAUAUCCCCUCAAUUGUCUUGGAUUGAAAUUUUCCUAACCGUUCCCGUUUGUUGAGGAUGAAACACUUGCACCCGAAUACACGAAAGUACUUGACAUUUGGCUUGUUCCGGUUAGGAGCUCAUAUGGAGUCUUCUCCGAUAUUGGGCAGAGGAAGAGCUAUUUUGAUGCAUGGCAUGCUAUGUUGACAGCCUGAGCCCAAAAACUAUGUGGUGACUUGUAUUCAUCCAACAUGGACCUUGCCAUUUCCGCAGUGUACGGUUCUUCCUCUCGGCUACACCGUUUUUAGAGGAGUGUAGGGUAUGGAAUUUGAUGCUCAAUACCCUCAUCACUAAGAAAUUCUUCCAAGGUGUAGUUCUUGAACUCGGAGUCAUUAUCACUUCUUAUUGCCAAGAUUUCUUUGUCAAACUUGCGUUGGGGUUGCUUGGAAAAAUCAAUGAAGGUGAUCUUCGUCUUGUCCUUGGACUUGAGGAAAAACACCCAUGUAUAUCUUGAAUAAUCAUCAACAAUGAAAAGUCCAUACUUUUUCCCACCAACACUAUCCCACAACAGUGGACCAAAAUGAUACACAUGAAGGAGAUCCAAAGGCCUUGAGUAGAUACAAUAUUCUUGGGUGGGUGUUUUGAUUGAUGUUGCUUCCCAGCUAUGCAUGCAUUACACACACGAUCUUUAUCAAAGAGGCAUUGGUUAGUCCAAGGAUGUGAUUACCCUUUAAGAUAUUUUGAAAAAUUCUCAUUGCGGCAUGGGCUAGCCGGCGAUGCCAUAGCCAUCCCUUAUCGGCCUUGGCCAUUAGACAAGUUGCAUGGAAUGUCCUCUCUUUCGAGAAAUAAACUGUGUGAAGAUUGCCAUCCAACUCUCCAACAAAAGAAACUUCGAGAGUAUCUCUCUUCAAGACUUUCACAUCCAUUAGUCCAAACAGUGUAUCAUAACCAACAGAAACCAAUUGGUGAACAGAGAGAAAAUGUUGUUUAAGGGAUUGGACAACAAUGACAUUUGCAAGAGACAUGUCAUUUGUGAUCGCCAUCUUGCCCGACCUGAGUACCUGUCCUUUUGAUCCUCCACCAAACACAAUGCUCAUAAAUGGUUGAAUAGCUUCCAUGAAAUAGAAAAGCAAUUUUCUAUCUCCGGUCAUAUGGUUGGUGCAUCCACUAUCGAUCACCCAUUUGACUCUACCAGAGAAAGCAACCUACAGACAAUUUAUGACUUGGUUAGAGGCGCCCAUUUUACUAUGGGACCUCUCAAGUUAGUCAAUAGGGUCUUAGGGACCCAAAUAGCAUAGAACCGGAAUGCAUUAUGAGGAACAACAAAUUUAGCAUAAAUCUCUCCAUCCUUUGUUUUACGAAGUAUAUAGGAUAGAGGCAUGAACUCUUUUGGCUUGUUGAGAGUGGGCAUGCCCCUAGUGGCCUUCCCACUCACAACCUUACCUUUCUCCUUGUGCCCUUCUCGUACAAAUGUUUCUUUGAGAGGGGUGGUGCACUUGAUAGGAGACAUAUUUUUCUUGUUUGUGCUUGGGUUAAACCCGAGCCCUUCCUUGGCAAACACCUCAUUGUGUUGGCUCAAAAUCUCAUUAAGAUUCUUUUGUCCUUGUGCACAUGUCAUGAGUCCUUUCUCUAGUUGUGCCUUUAGAAAACGAUUUUUCUCAAGAAUAGAUGCUAGCUCACUACUAGAGUUAGUAGUACAAGUAUCAACAUUGAUAAUAGGUGAGGAGUAAACCUUGGCUAGAGUUUGAAAAUAAGUAAGUUUGAGCAUCUCAAAGCUCUUUGUAAGAAGAGUGAGCUCAUCAUCCUUAGCCUUGAGGGACAUGGAUAAAAGCUCACAAUCCUUAGAGAGAGAAGCAUGAGAUUUCACAAGCUUACUUUUAUCAUUUAUUAACUCCUUGCACGAGUUCUUAGCCUUUUCCAAGGAGGCAAGAUUGUUAGCAUGAUUGUAAAUGUUUGCACUAAUUUUUAAGCAUAGUUCAUCAUUUUGCGCUUCCUCAUAUUGGACUUUCUGCUCAAGGAUUUUGUUCUUUUCCUUUUCCUCGGUGAUGAGCGUUUCGAGUUCCUUAAUGGUAUUGGUGUGUUUACUCACCAUCUCCAUAAGCAUACGAAACAUAGUGAGCUUCUUUCCUUUAAGGAAGCACAUGAACUUAUUUGUUUUAGCAAGCAUAUGACCAUCUAUAUUGUCAUCAUCAUAGUUAUCCUCUGCAUCAAGAUACUCAUCAAAGGACUAGACAAUAAAAGGGGGGAAUUUUAGCGUGGAGUUACCUUAACCUUGUUAGGAGAGUUUUGGUCCUCUCCAUCUUCUAUGACGGCCUUUGCCAUCAAGCACUUGUGAGCGUUGCCCUUGUAGUCUUUCGUAUAGUUGUAGGCGACAACAUCACCACUCUUAUUGAUUAACCUCAAGGUGUUUUGUGAAUCUUGAGCCACUCCGGCAACCCCACCAACAUCUUGUGGAUCAGAUUCUUCAUGAGCAACCAUUGCUUUCCCAUCUCUUCUCUUGAGCUUGGAGUUCAUAGGGUUUGGCAACUUCUUGUUUGCAAAGGUCUUCGAAACCUUGGUUUAUCUUCUCUCUUCUCAUAAGGGCAAUCUUUGGAGAAGUGGUUGGUCUCCUCACAGUUGUAGCAUUUUCUCACCUUCUUCUUCUGGAAUCUUCCUUUGAAUUUUCCUGCACUAAACUUCUUUACAAAGAGGGCAAUGACUUCAUGUGAUGGGGUCUCAUCGGAGUCAAUCUCAUCACCAUCUUCAUCAUCAUCAUCAUCUUCUUCUUCUUUACUUUGCUCUUCCUCACAAACAUGCUUGGCCUUCAAAGCAAGAUUUAUCUUUGAUGUUGAGGUACCAUGCAUGGCAAGAUGUUUAGUAGCAUUUGCGUUUGACUCUUUGAAUAGCUGGAAAGUGGAUAUGAUGCCGUCCGAGUCAUUUUCUUGAACCCAUGAUGUUAUAUUAUAUCCCACACCAUUUGGUGAUGAUUUGGAGCAAGGGCAUGAAGUAGCUUGUCCACAAGAAAUCUCUUGCUCAAGUAAAAUCCAUCUUGUGUUUUGUCACAGUCACAUGACUCAGUGUCGGCGGUGAGAGUCAUGAGCCGCUAUAGAAGCUGCAUGGGGGCUUCACCUUUUUCCAUACAAAAGUUUUGCAAUUGCCCCUUGGCAAUUUCAUACUGAGCAAGCGAGAGGGUGGAGGUACCGGUCUUGGUCCUUACAAUGGUGCCCCAUAAUUCCUUGGCACUUGUGAUGUGUAUGUUAGGUCUCUGUUGCUUAUCAUUCAUUCCUUUUCUUAUGCACAUGAUUGCGGUAUCGUUGAGAUGUUUCUCAUAAGUUUCUCAUGGAGUGAUAUUCUUUGGGUCGACAGGGUGGUAGCCAUGCUCCAGGAUGUCGAACAUUUCAUCAUUGGCAUACCUAAUAUGAUCCUGCAUACCAACUCUCCACAAGGAAAAAUAGGAACUGUCAUCAAGCAAAGGAGGUUUUCCUCCAGGAUUAUACUUAGGCUUCUCAACUUGAGGUCUAGCAUAAAGCCAUGGAAAACUAGUUUGGUCAUUGCUAGGAGGUUGUUGGUCAGGUGAAGAAAUAGGCACAUUUGGCCUCGAGGCCCCACCACUUGAAGGUGAUGCCAUCAUCAUGGACAAUGUGUCCAAUCUCAUUCGGACCAAGGACUCAAGAGAAGCAUCAUGCUUGUCCUUUUGCUUAGCAAGAGCCUGUUCCAGAUCCUCAGAAGUCAAGGACUUGACUUCCAUGGAAGUCGCACCCUUAUCCUUUGUAUCCGCGACAAGGGGAGUCCCAUCGGGGUUCAUCUCGCUCUAGGGAGGUUAAGCCACAAGAAUAAAGCACGAGGCUUUGAUACCAAUCAAAAGGGGUCGAGAUGGACCUAGAGGGGGGUGAAUAGGUACAAUUACAAAUUUUAACUGUUACUUAGCAAUUUUAGGCAAUAUUGCAGAAUAUGAAAGUGAGCCUAACAAUUGCAAGGGUGAAGGUUAGUCUUUGUGUACCAAGCACGACAACAAGUAGGGUAUGAUAAAGCACAAGUAAGUAAUCAAAGACUAGUAACAAGUAGAAAGUUAGGGUUAGGGAUAACCGCAGCUCCGAGAGACAAGGAUGUAUGCCGAUGUUCGCUUCCUUGGAGGAAAGCUACGUCACCGUUUAGAAAGGUGGGUGUUACCACGAAGGCACACCAAUGCCGCGAAGGCUCACCCUAUUCUCUCCUUGAGACAACACCACGAAGGCGUUUCUCAACCACUAGUGGUAAGCCUUUGAGGUGGCCUCCAAACCCUCACAAAUUUUCCGGGGGAAAUCACAAUGGUUUGAUUCCUCUCCGAAGAACUCCUACUUCCUAGGAGUCUCGAACCUUCAAUAGUAACAAGAUCACGGGGACUGCUCAAAACUUUCUCAAAUCACUAAUAGCUUGGGUUGAGAGGAGGAGAGGAAGACAAUCUAUCUUUUGAUUGGAAAAACACUCAAGGGAACUCACAUAUGCUCUUGGGAUCUAGGAUUUUGGCGUAUGUAAAUGGGAGGGAGAGAGAAAAGUGUUCUUGGAAUCUUUUCGCUGUGUUGGACAGCUCCCACUCGAGGUGGGAGAAGACUAUAUAUAGGGGUGGUAGAAAAGUGGUCGUUGGAGCCACUUAUGGUGUGUAGUUGCCGGACAUCCGGCAGUUCAUGAUCGUCCGGACAACCAUGACGGGACGGACGUCUGAACAUGGUCGGUCGUCCGAAGAUGCAGAAAGUAUCAGGUUACCACAGUACUCGGUGGAGAGGUGAUCAACAUACGAAUGUCCGGAAGACGUCGGCCGUACGGGGCACGGUCGUCCGGAACUGGUCAAAGUCCAACAUUUUGAAUGUGUUGUGUGGCAACGGAAUUCCAACCGUACCCGGACGUCCGGUCCUCGGACGACUGGAGGAGCCGGAAGUCCGAGGUUUGAAUCUAUUGGCUGGCUCCGGAUUUCUGGAGGACGUUGGCCAUCCGGCAUCCGGAUGUCUCAGAACCACCGGACAAUCGAACAAGAGCAGACCAACAACAGAAGAUAGAGAGAGAGGAAUCUGCUAGAGUUUUGAGAAAGUUUCUUGUGAGACCCAAUGACCCCCUCUUAAUAGUGUGGGGUCCCUAUACUAAAGAAAGACAAAUAGAAUGAUAGACCACUUCGUCUUGUUUCUUCGUUCUUGAGCAUUCUGGACAAAUUAGUCACGAUCCAUACAAAAACUCUCAUGGGAACAAAACCUAAGAUACACUCGAUUAAGAUAAUUAGUUUCCUUUAUGUAUGUUGUCAACAACAUCAAAUAUGAUUAAGGGCAUGAUUGCACUUCCAGCUUGGCGACACACUCCUUCUCGAGGCGCGCCAUCGCGGCAUGUUCGGCAGCCAACUUCGCGUCCGCCUCGCUGGCUGGGCCUCAUGAGGCUAGUGGCGGAAGACCAAUGGCCUCACUGCCAGAAAAUAUAAAAAAAGAGCACGAGCUCAAAUGCGAAAAACCCUUACCCAGACACGAGGGAGAGCGGACGCCCACUGCACCUCCGCACCCUCCGCCACAGCGACCGGAUGCCCGACGGCAACACGACCAACCAUGCCUUCUUGGCGUCUGGGUUGAUCGACGACCCCUCGAUCAGUCGUUCCUUCCACCACCGCUCCUCCGUCGUCUAUCGACGGGCUGACUAUCCAACUGUCGGGCAAUGCCUAGCUCGAAGCUCCUAGCUCCCUCCUCGCCUAUGGCACUAGGGAAGCUCCACUUCGACAAGCGGCGCAUCCACUAUACAUACAUCCUCAUCGUCGUCGUUUGUCCAAUCCUUCAAGGUCAUAUCCGAGUUUGAAAACGGUACCACCAAGAUUUGGAAACUUCCCGAGGUCAUCGAAUUAAUACAGCUGACAUUUAUAUAUCGGUCUCACUCACACCAAGAAUUCAAAAGUUGCCACAUUUAGUGCUACUCAAUACCAUCGAGAUUCGUUUCGGUGUCACCGAGUUGGGCAAUAAUGUUGUACCGGUUGGAAUUUCGGAGAAGCCUAUUGAUACGUCUUUUUCGUAUCUAUAAUUUUUGAUUGUUCCAUGAGAAUAUUUUACAACUUUCACAUAUGUCUGGCAACAUUUUAUAUGAUUUAUUGGACUAACAUAUUGAUCUAGUGCGAAGUGCCAGUUCCUGUUUGUGGCAUGUUUUUUGAUUCACAGAAUAUCCAUAUCAAUCGAAUUCCAAACGCGAUAAAAUUUUAUGGAGAAAUAUUUUGGAAUAUAUGUGAUUUUCGGGAGGUAAAAUCAACGCAACCGGAGUCCCACGACCUCCACUAGGUACCAGGGCGUGGCCCAUACCCCCUGGUGCGGGGUGGUACCUAGAGGCCACCACAUAAGUUUGUUAGGGCUCUUCUUUGGGCGUAAGAAAGCUAAUUUAUGGAUAAAAAUUUCCUCAAAAUUUCAGCCCGAUCGGAGUUACGGAUCUCUCGGAAUUUAAGUGCAUAUGAUCCAAGUACGGAAAGUGUGUUAGUGUAUGUCUCUCCCUCGUUGCACAUGAUAAGUAUCUCUCAUGUUAUAUUCUAUUGCCUAUGGACAAUCUUGAUUUUUGCGUUACACAAAAAUCUUUUUACUAAACAGCCCGAAAGUUUAUUUUACUUGCUCUUUAUUUUAUUGCAAAGUACUUCUAGUUUUAUUCUUGUUUUAGGUAAAGAAAACGUUAAGUGUGCAUAGAGUUGUAUGUGUGGUCGAUAGAACUUGAGGGUAUAUUUGUUCUACCUUUAGCUCCUCGUUGGGUUCGACACUCUUUCUUAUCGAAAAAGGCUACAAACGAUCCGCUACACUUGUGGGUUAUCGAGACCUUUUUCUGGCGCCAUUGCCGGGGAGCAAUAGCGUGGGGUGAAUAUUCUCGUGUGUUCCUGUUUGCUUUAUCACUAAGUAAUUUUUAUUUUCUGUUAUUAGUUGUUUUAUAUAUUUAGUUACGGAUAUGGAGCAUGAGACACCAAAAAAAUUAGUUGUACUUUCUACUCAUGGAGAUGGGAAACCUCCUAGAACCCUCGAUGCUUGUUACGUGGAAAAUAUUAAACAGUACUUUGAUAAUCCUCAAAAAACCCAAUUCAACUUGAUAACAGGAGUAAUGUUGGAUCAACGUGAAUACUUUAGGGAUUAUCACUUGAUUCAAAAGGGGAAAUUGUUAUGGGAUCAAAUUCAUAUGUUGCAUUGGAUUCUUGGAAUUUAUGCUAGAGAUACGAUUAUACUUUUUGUUCUAGGAUGAAGGUUUGACACCUUCCCUUUUCAUGUGAAUUUAAUGAUAAUGCAACUUAGCUUCUUAUGAUAAUGGUAUAUAUGAUUACUAUGAUAUGGAACGAAUAGAAGAAUUUGUUUCUUAUGAAAUUGAAUCUUUGUUUGAUAAGUGUGAAAAUUAUGAUGAUGUUGUUUACGAACGUGAAAUUUUUGCUAUACUAAAAUAUGGCUAUGAGAAUUAUGAAUACAAGUAAGAUAUUGAUGCAUUUCUCGAGAAAGUAUCUACUAUCCAAGAAGAGACUAAUAUUUUUGCAGUAACUAUGGAAGAAGAAAUUGAUGAAACUGUGAGCUCAUUGGAUGAAAAAUAUGAGGAUGAGAGUGAAGAACAGAAGGAGGAAGAGCGGGUUAGCUACCUGUGCCCACCUUCUAACGAGAGGACCUCUUUAACUCAUUCAUUGUUUAAUCUCCCUUCAUGCUUACGGAAGGAUGAAUACUAUGUUAACUACUAUGAUCCCGUUGAUUCUUUUGAAAUAUCCCUUUUUGAUGAAAUUGAUUCUUGCUAUGCUUGUGGUAAAUAUGCCAAUAUGAAUUAUGCUUAUGAAUAUGAACUUACAAUAGUUCCUUAUGUUAAGAAUGAAGUUGUCUCUAUUGCACCCACACAUGAUAGUCCUAUUAUCCUUUUGAAUUCUCCCAACUACACUAUAUCGGAGAAGUUUGCACUUAUUAAGUAUUAUAUUGAUGGGUUGCACUAUACCACUUCACAUGAUGAUUUUGAUGGAUAUAUUAUGCAUGUGCUUGCUGCUCCUACUUGCAAUUAUUAUGAGAGAGGAACUACAUCUGCACCUCUUUAUGUUUCCAACACGGUAAAAUUGCAAGAACAUGCUUAUGCUAUGUAUUGGCCUUUACUUGAUGUGCAUGAAUUAUUUUUUAUGAUAUGUCGAUGCAUAGGAAGAGAGUUAGACUUCGUCAUUGCAUGAUAUAUGUUGAUUUGUGCUCAUUACUAAAUAACAAAUCAUUGUUAAUUAAAAUUGGCUUUGAUAUACCUUGGCAUCCAGGUGGAUCCAUUACUUGAGCAAUUUAUGCCUAGCUUAAUGGCUUUAAAGAAAGUGUUGCGAGGGACACAACCCGGAAGUUUUAGAGAGUCAUUUAUUUCUAUUGAGUGCUUUUAGAAGGUUUAAAAAAGUGGGGAACUUAUAAAGUUUUCGAAAAGAAGAGUGGAAGUGAAAAGGACGAGCACCAUUGAAGUGGGGAUACCCUUGAACUUUGUUUAUGCCUAUGGAAACAUUGUGAAUCUUGAUCACAUUAACUUUUCAACAAAAAUAAUUAUCCCCUUGUGCAAAUCCAUUGUAUUAUAAAAAUAAUGUGCCAAGAUUUUCCUUUAGGAUGAUUAGAUUCCUUGUUGGUAUGUGUGGUGCAAAAACACAAAGUUUGGCUGUAGUGCGUGAAUUUACAUUUUUUUAUUGGAACGUCGAACGUUUCUAAAAUUGUUACAUAGGAAAUCUAUGCAAAUGUUUCCUUUUUUCCUGAGUUUUCCUAAUUUUUUAUGUUAGAGAAGUAUGGUCAAUAUACAGAUUACUUCAGACUGUUGUGUUUUUGAAAGAUUCAGUUUUUGAUGCAUUGUUUAGCUCGUUUUGAUGAAACUAUUGAUUUUAUCGGUGGUAUAAGCCAUGGAGAAGUUAUAUCACAAUAGCUAUAAUGAAAAACCAAAAUAUGAAUGGGUUUGUAAUAGUACUUAAGGUUGUAAUUUGUAUUAUUAUACAAAUGGAUCUCACAAGUUUUCUGUUAUGUUUUGUGUGGAUGAAGUGUUUGAAGUUCGAGGAGGUCUCAAUAUGAGGAUAUGGAGGAGUGUAGGAUCGAAACUAAGUCUGGAGGGUGGUGAUUAGACUACUUGAUAAGAUGAAAACAUAUAUUUUCCCAAUUUUAGUUGGGGGCCAGUUUUAGCAAUUAUGACUAGUCAAGUUCACCCUACACAGGCACAUCUAAGAGUACAGGAGUGGAAAAUAAGACAUGCAAAUGUAAUUUAGUGGGUAAGGUAGGGAGAUCAAACGCAAAGGUUGCACGACGAUUUUAGCAUGGUUCCGAUAGGUGGAGCUAUCGUACGUCCAUGUUAGUGGAGACUUCAACCCACGGAGGGUAAAGACUGCGAGAGUCCACGGAGGACUCCACCCACAAGGGGUCCACGAAGAAGCGGCCUUGUCUAUUCCACCACGGCUUCCAUCCACAUAGGACUAGCCUCACUCACUAUAGAUCUUCAUGAAGUAGGCGAUCUCCUUGCCCUUACAAACAUCUUGGUUCAACUCCACAACAUGAAGUAGGAGGCUCCCAAGCGGCAUCUAACCAAUAUAGGAGGAACCGCCCUCCAGAAGGUAAUAGAUGUGCUAGAACGAUGAACUUCUUGCUCUUGUGCUUAUAUAAAGAUAGUCUCCUCAACACUCAAUCACUCUCUCUCAUAUUCUGCUGGGGUAGGAGAGAUUGAUGUUGUGGAAAGCAACUCGGGGAGGCUAGAAAUCAAGGUUUAAAUGGUUGGAAGGAAUCUCUUGAUCUCAACACAUGAGUAGGUGGCUCUCUCUCAGAAAAUGGAUCUGGCAAGUGUAAGUGCGUUCUGAGUGCUUCCUCUACGAAUGAGAGGUAGGUGGAGGGGUAUAUAUAGGCAUGUCCCAAACUCCAACCAUUACAACAUUAUUUCCCAACUCGAUGACAACGAAAGGAAUCUCUGUGGUACCGAGUUGCACUAAAUGUGGCAACUUUUGAAUUCUCGGUGAUACACAUAUAGGAAUCUCAGUGGUACCGAUACGAUGACCUAGACCAGUUUCCAAAUCUUAGUGGGACUGAUUUCACACUUGGAAAUUCCAAUUCUUGAAAUCUUCUCAACAGAAAGUUGGUCACUGAAUCUCGGUGGUACCGAUGUGAAAGUUGGUGGUACCGAGAUGGUAGGGUUUGGUAUAAGAUAUGUCAAGUGUAAAAUCGGUAGGGACGAAUGGAAAUAAUUGGUGGCACCUAUUUGGCUGGUUUGGUAGUUGAUAGAGGUAUUUUGUGGGAGAAUGGCCGAGUAUUUUUGGAGGCUACCUCUAAGCACUUGAGCGAACAAUUCAUCAUAAUACCUCGCCCCCUUUUAAUAGUAUACGAUUUCAUAUGGACUCAAACGAUUUCUCACUAAUAGAAAAUGUAGAGUCUUGUUGCUUGAAGCUUGAGCCAAUCCUAUUCCUUUCCUUGCAUCAAGGGGUUUCUUCUCACAAUCCUAUAGCCAAGGCAUCUUUGAAAUUUCCGAAAUAUACUUGAUUAAGAUCAUUAGUCCAAUGAUGCAUAUGUUGUGGUUAAUUACAAAAAACACCUUAUGGAGCAAUUGUGCUUUUAAUCUCCCCCUUUUUGGUAAUUUAUGACAACAUAUUGAUCAAAAGUUCGACAAAAGAUAUAAUCAAUGAUUAGCAUCGAUGCCUUGAGAAGUAUGUGAAAAGCAAGAGCUCCCCCUAUAUUUGUGAAUUAUUUUAAAUUUGCAUUUGAAUGAAAUGCACAAUCGAUUAAGAUCAUGGGUUACGCUUCCAUGUCACAUACAACUUGGUGGUGCACAUAAAUGAUAUGAAUGAAUCGUAAUGCACAUAACACCAAACAAGCAAGUGAAUGAUCAUCAUGUAGAUAGCUCAAAGGUAAUAACGUGGUAGCAUCAAACAAUCGAAGCGUAUGAUCAAACACUCCUCCUAAACAGAUGAAGUCCUCCAAAAGACCAAAAGUUUUGGAAAACGAAAUGAGAAGAAAUAAAAUGUAAAUGUGUCCCUCUCGAAGCCCUAUUUGAUCUAUAAACUUCUCUCCUUUGGCAACAUGUUACCAAAAAGUUCAAAGGUCUAGAACUAAGCGUCUCUCUGGGCACGAUCUCCUCCGGUAGCUGAUGAUGGAGUGGACAAGAGAGCGUUGAUGAAGGCUUCUACAGAAGUCCUUGGAGGUGGAGGUGUAGACACUAGAGGUGUAGGAGCAGGAGAUGAAGCUUGAGGUGAUGAAGAUGGUCUUGCUUCCAGAACUGGCAUACCUGCUGACCUAGUCUGGGUCCUGAAUUGAUUAGUAAUAGGAAGAGGUGACUCUUCAUCGUCACUACUAGAGCAUGGAAUAUUCACAUAAUCAACUUCAUGUUGGAGCAGCUAAACAGUGGAAGUCAACUCCGUUACCUUAACAUCCAGGUCAUGGAAGUUUGUCUCCACGAUCGACUCGAAGUUCUUCUGGUUCAUCAAGAUAUCAAAAACUUUCUUCUCCAUCCCUUGGAUGGUGCUGACCAAGAAUGACAUCUACUCAUCUCUGGUUCGGAGUCGUGGGGUUGGAGCUGGAGCAUAACUAGCAGCCUCUGAUGUUGCUCCUUCUACUGCCUCUCGAGCAGUAGCUGAGCUGGGAUGGCUUUCGUCCAUCACAACUUCAUUGUCUUCAAAAUCAAGCUGACAUGGCAGGUGGGGACGAUCAAGUAGAUAUGCAUGCUUGCCAAUCUUGACAUUGAUGAUCAUCUGAAUAUAUGGAGCAUAUCCACACGAUCCAUUCUAACCUACAUCAUUCCUCUUGACAGUAUCAACUAUCAAGUCCAUCACUUGAAACUUGGUGUGAGUAUCUAGAUGAUGCAUCAUGUUGAUGGAAUAACAUGUAAUCAUCUUAUCAUCACCUAAUUUGGGCAUGUGGGUGUAUCUCACAAUGGUGUUCAUAGUAGGUAUUCCUGCUUGCUAGAAAUAGACACAACCAAACUUGUGCAACAACACAAACUCAUGGGGCACCGGCUUGUACAUGUUGGCCAUUGUCAGAUUUCGGGUUCCGCAAAACCCUAAGGAUUCGAACACACCGGUGUGUACGAUGGUUCCUCCCUACUUAGCUUUGCCUAGUUGGCUACUCGAUGGAAACGAUGACGGACUCACUCGAUGGUGAGGGAAACACAGAACACAACAGUUUACCCAGGUUCGGGCCGCCGCGAAGCGUAAAACCCUACUCCUUCUUUUGGUGGAUUGCCUCUCGCAGAGGUUGGUGGAUGAACUAGUACGGUUCUCUCGAGCCUCCGAAGGCUAAGUGGCUUGGUGUGUUGCUCUAGGGUCAGAAUGAACCGAUCCCCCUACCAAGUGUUCUACCCUUUCUAUUUAUAGAGGAGGCACGGGUCCUCUUCCCUCAUAGCUUCGGCGGGAAGGGAUCUGUCGGGACCCCGAUCCUAAGCCUUAGGAAUCCAGCCUGUAACACAUCACAUCUCUUUGCGGUCUCACGCACGGUUAACCCCACGGCUGCAGUCUUACCUUAGCCGGGACCGUUUGCGCCUUUUGACUCGCGUAUGCAAUUGUGUUGCUAGCAAUCCAAUGACAAAGAACCCGGAUCGACAUGUCUAGUCAUAAACCAAAGUGGCAGUUCCGCACAGGGACAUGCAUACAUGACCCAGCAAAGCAGGUGUCGGUCACCAGCGAAUGUAGACGAGUCGUAGCAAGCUACAAGGACUCCAUUACAUCAUGUGACAUUUCCCCAAAGGGGACAGACACAACAGCUAAGAAGGACACAUGCCGGUCAACCAAUGUGUCCGGAGCAGUAGCGAGCUACCAUGGGUCGUUGGAUCACAAAGGGGCAUUUCCCUGUAAAGAAUGCUACUAAAUUCUACAGCUAGGUAAUCGAACCCCAUACAUAUCAAGUACGACACACGUACGCAUGNNNNNNNNNNNNNNNNNNNNNNNNNNNNNNNNNNNNNNNNNNNNNNNNNNNNNNNNNNNNNNNNNNNNNNNNNNNNNNNNNNNNNNNNNNNNNNNNNNNNNNNNNNNNNNNNNNNNNNNNNNNNNNNNNNNNNNNNNNNNNNNNNNNNNNNNNNNNNNNNNNNNNNNNNNNNNNNNNNNNNNNNNNNNNNNNNNNNNNNNNNNNNNNNNNNNNNNNNNNNNNNNNNNNNNNNNNNNNNNNNNNNNNNNNNNNNNNNNNNNNNNNNNNNNNNNNNNNNNNNNNNNNNNNNNNNNNNNNNNNNNNNNNNNNNNNNNNNNNNNNNNNNNNNNNNNNNNNNNNNNNNNNNNNNNNNNNNNNNNNNNNNNNNNNNNNNNNNNNNNNNNNNNNNNNNNNNNNNNNNNNNNNNNNNNNNNNNNNNNNNNNNNNNNNNNNNNNNNNNNNNNNNNNNNNNNNNNNNNNNNNNNNNNNNNNNNNNNNNNNNNNNNNNNNNNNNNNNNNNNNNNNNNNNNNNNNNNNNNNNNNNNNNNNNNNNNNNNNNNNNNNNNNNNNNNNNNNNNNNNNNNNNNNNNNNNNNNNNNNNNNUUCAUUAUUCUACAUGUUUUGUCCAGUAGCAUUUUUCAAACAUGUUUGAAAAUGACAUAUUCAGAUUCCUUCGAUUUUUCUUAUACUUUUUCAUGUAUAAAUUAUUUUCAUUGGAGUUACAGAUUAAUUUCUAUGAUUUUUAGAAGUUUUGGCAUUUUUCUGGAAUUCUUUUAAUUCAGAAAUCCACUUAUUGCGUCAUAACUACAUCAGCAAUGCGUGAGCAGGUCAAUUGACCUGGUCAGGUCAAACCUCACAGGUGGGGGCCACUGGUCAGCGUCUCAGGAGCUAAUCCCGCGCUGACCAGUCCCUAAGUGGAUUUGACCUACUGCUAGGGCCCACUGUCAGUGGCUUCUUAGUGCUAAUCCACCGGGAUUAGGCCGGCCACGUCGUCCCCCGCCAGAGACUGACCGGCGGCGACCAGAUCCGCGAUGGAUCUUCGCCGGAGACGCACCAAAACGCACUGUGUUGCUCGGAAUCGAGUGCCGAGAGCACCGGGAUGAUCCCCAGGCUCGGCCUCAUCCUCUACGGGCAUCAGGAGGGGCUAUGGGUGGCCGGAGCAUGCCGACGACGAGCCGAGGCGGCUGCCGGAGCUCGGGUUCAUGGGUCUCGGGGCUAGAGUGUCGGAGAGAGAGGGGAAACAGAGGGAAAAUGCUCGCAAGCUCACGGUGGAGGCGAAGCUGGGCUCAGACUGCUCGGGGAGGGGCUGUAGCCGGCGAUCCACCGUCGAUUUGCCGGCGGCCGAAGGUUGAAGACGACGGCACUGGAGGCGUUGCAGGGCUCGGCGAGGAUGGUUUCGUCGACGUGCGUGUCUGGCUCGACGUUGCGAAGAGGAUGGAACACUCGGGGGGCUUCCCUGUGGCCAGAGAGCUCGGGCAGCUCGAGUUCGAGCUUCUGUCAAUGGCGGCAGGAGGAGGGAGGAGAGAACCGAGAGGAGAGGGGGAAUGGCGCUCGGGAACUAAUAGGGACGCGCUCGGGGUAGUCAUCCCCGUUGUCGCGCUGUCCUGGGGGGCACGGGAGGUCGGCACGGCGAAGCAGGAGGUGGAGGAGGCCGCCGUGGUCGAUCUCUCCUCUGCCAGAAGGUAGAGGAAGAAGACGACCCUGCCCCUGGUGGGCUGGGCCUCACAGGUAAGCGACAAGUAGGUUUUCUUCUUCUUUUUUCUGUUUUGUUUUUCUGAUUUGCUAACUAUUUUAAUUUGCUUUUUUAUUUCAGCUCCAAAAUAGUUUACCAAAAAUAUUUCGAACACACCAAAAUAUUUGUUGGAAUAUAUCCAACCAUUCGAGAAGUUUACAACAUUUUUGAAAACUUAAAGUUUUUGAAUUCAAAUUUAAACUUGAAUCCAGUAGCCUUUUGCAUUUAAAUAAAAUGCCAAAUGUGUUAUGAAAAUAGUUUUCUUCACUGCUUAUUUGCUUCCAUGAAUUAUCAGAAAAGUUGAACUUUUCUUGAGGCCAUUUUGGGUUCAUUGAUUUGAACAAGUUUAGAAUUUCUUUGAAUUUGAGAAGUGGCUAGGGUUUUUGAGUUUUGCUUCACCACUUGCUUUGACCUUGUUGCGAUUUUCUUGGAUGCAAUGCAAAGAAGAUAUGAGCACAAUGUUAACUUGAUUAGGGUUUCAGAGAUGUGACAAUUCACCCCCACUCAAAAGAAUCUCGUCCCGAGAUUUAGAGGUCGUCAGGAAUAACGCAGGAUACUCAAGUCGGAGACGAUCCUAUCUUUUCCAAGUGGCCUCCUUCUCAGAAUGAUUUGACCAUUGAACUUUAAGAAACUUGAGGUUUCGACGUCGAGUGGUACGCUCAGCUUGAUCAAGAAUACGCAUGGGGUAUUCUCGGUAUGAAAGGUUAUCUUGGAGAUCAAGCGUUUCGUGGUCCACUUCACGGAUAGGAUCCGAAAAGCAACGCCUGAGUUGCGAGACGUGGAAGACAUCAUGAACCUUGGAAAGAUGCGAAGGAAGUUCCAACUGGUAGGCAACUUCUCCUUGUUUGGCAAGAAUGCGAAAAGGACCAAUGUAACGAGGAGCCAACUUGCCUUUGAUACCGAAUCGAUGGGUACCCUUCAAAGGUGUAACCCGAAGGUAAGCCUUCUCGUCAACUUCAAAGGUCACAACCUUAUGAUGACGAUCAUAUUGGCUCUUUUGACGAGACUGGGCUGUUUUCAACUUUUCACGAAUAAUGCGAACCUUCUCUUCUGCAUCCUGGAUCAUAUCCGGGCCAAAGAGUUACCUCUCUUUGGUUUCUGACCAAUUAAGAGGUGUUCGACAUCUUCGUCCAUAGAGAACUUCAAAAGGGGCUUUGCCCAGGCUUGUUUGAUAACUAUUGUUAUAAGAAAAUUCGGCGAAUGGAAUUCACUUCUCCUAAUUCAUACUGAACGAUAUAACACAAGCUCGGAGCAUAUCUUCUACGAUUUGAUUCACUCUGUCUACUUGACCACUUGAUUGCGGAUGGAAAGUAGUGCUAAAAGAUAAGCGUGUCCCCAUAGCAUUUUGAAAACUUUCCGAGAAGCGAGAAGUAAAGAUACUCCCACGAUCUGAGUUAAUCUCCACGGGAACACCAUGAAGAGACACUAUUCAAGAGACAUAUAACUCUGCUAACUGGCUAGCUGUUAUACUCNNNNNNNNNNNNNNNNNNNNNNNNNNNNNNNNNNNNNNNNNNNNNNNNNNNNNNNNNNNNNNNNNNNNNNNNNNNNNNNNNNNNNNNNNNNNNNNNNNNNGGCCCCAAACGAUGUGCGCAGGGUUCCCAAGCCCACCAUCCGGGCGCCACUUGGUACACCGUGCCACUGCCUACCGCAUCAGAGCCCACCUCCGAGGUCAACACUAUGCACGGCCUCCAGCAUGACUAUAAACACCAGAAACUACUUGCAACUCCUGGACCGAGUACUAAGCGAUUAAUAAGUCGAGCGGGGUCAUAUUUCAGGGCCCAACAUGUGGUAGUAUCUCGUCUUGGAUUACAUACACGGAACUCGGUUCCUAAGGACGGUUCCAAUGAAACAACCCGCCAUGUACUCCUACAUAGCCUUUCACCAGUACCUUUACCAAAUCAUGUUCAACUCACAAACCUUUACUUACUGAACACAUUCUCACAAUUCUGUUCAUCUCCCAGAUGACAGACCAUACACAACUCUAAGCAUAGCAUGCAUAGUAGGAUAAGACACAUCAUGGCUCAAGCAACUACCAGGUAUGCUAGGUUGCAAGGUUCAGCUAUUUACUGUGACAAGGACAAGUCAUGCAAAGGAAGUGGGUUCAACUAACGUGGCAAAAGCAUUUGAAGCAUUUGAUCCUAAUGCAAUAAGUAAGUGCAGGAGCGAGAACAUGGGAUUUAUCGGGAUGAUCAAAAUGGUUCCUUGCCUUGUUGCUCAGAGGAGGGACAAUAUCCGUCAGUCGGAUAUUCAGUGGAAUCCGGAGGAGCGGAGCCUACCGAAAGAGAUGAUAACAAUCAAUGACUACCAUAUGCAACAAGAUGAUGCAUGAGCAUGGCAUGAGGAUUCAAGGUGGUUUGCUAAUAUAGCUAACAUUUGUUAGGUUUGAAGUUGAUUUGAAUCAGAUUCAAAUAUCACUUCAAACUAGGUAUUCUCGAAUACCAUUUUAAUUGAUUCGACCUGAUGCUCAGGUCAACUUGCUUUUAACAUCAUUGAAAUAACAUGUUAAGUUGCUGGUUUGUGAUUGAACAAUGUUUGAUCAUAUCAUUUGAAGUGGAAUUCAAAUGAUUUUCAANNNNNNNNNNNNNNNNNNNNNNNNNNNNNNNNNNNNNNNNNNNNNNNNNNNNNNNNNNNNNNNNNNNNNNNNNNNNNNNNNNNNNNNNNNNNNNNNNNNNGGAGCUGCUGGUGCCCUCGGAAGGACGAGCUGCUCAUCGGAGGGCUACCGGCGACGAGCGGCAGCGGCGGUCCUCGUCAGGCUCCGGUGAAACUAGAGCUAGAGGAGGGGAUCGACGGGGAAAACUUAGGGGAAAUGACCGCAUGCUCACGGGGAGUGCAGAGCAGAGCUUAGACGGCUCGGGGAAGGCCUGGGGGCGACGAAUCGACGGGAGAGGUCCGGCGGCCGGAGGUGGAAGACGACGGCGUUGCGGGCGUUGCAGGGCUCGAGGAAGCUUCGGCUUCUGCAGAGAUGACCAGGGCGACGAGGCGGAUCUAAAGGCGUGCUCUGGGANNNNNNNNNNNNNNNNNNNNNNNNNNNNNNNNNNNNNNNNNNNNNNNNNNNNNNNNNNNNNNNNNNNNNNNNNNNNNNNNNNNNNNNNNNNNNNNNNNNNNNNNNNNNNNNNNNNNNNNNNNNNNNNNNNNNNNNNNNNNNNNNNNNNNNNNNNNNNNNNNNNNNNNNNNNNNNNNNNNNNNNNNNNNNNNNNNNNNNNNNNNNNNNNNNNNNNNNNNNNNNNNNNNNNNNNNNNNNNNNNNNNNNNNNNNNNNNNNNNNNNNNNNNNNNNNNNNNNNNNNNNNNNNNNCUCUGGGGAGCUUAUCCCCAUCGUCGCCAGCGCGAGGCGGCGGCCAGGCAGGCAUGCAGGUGCGUGGCCGCGCCGGAGGAGGCGGCGGCCACCUCCUGCUGCCUACUGGCGCGAGGGAGGGGACGAGCGGGGAGAUGGGCCGGGCCAGGCUUAGGCGACAGGCAAGGUUUCCCAUUUUUUUUUCUGUUUUGUUUUUUUUCUGUUUUGCUAACUAGUGUUUUGCUAAUUAUUUCAGCUCCAAAACAAAAAGUAAAAACUAUUUUAGACCUCAUGAAAUAUUUGUUAUAAUAUCCCCACUCAUUUCCAAGGUUUUCAACAUUAUUGGAAAUUUAUAGAUUCUGAUUUCAAAUUUUAAAGUUUGAAACUAGUGGCUUUUGCAUUCAUUUAAAAUGCUUAAAGUGNNNNNNNNNNNNNNNNNNNNNNNNNNNNNNNNNNNNNNNNNNNNNNNNNNNNNNNNNNNNNNNNNNNNNNNNNNNNNNNNNNNNNNNNNNNNNNNNNNNNUAGGGCGAAUUCUUUCGCCUUUUGAUUUUGCAUUUCCAUUUUUCCUCACACAAGAAAUGCCGGGAAAAUACUCUCUUGCACGCAAGAGAGAGAGAGCGGAGGAAAAUGACCCUUCAAAGUGCGGGCAUUUCUGAAAUAUUUGGAGCAAAGAAAUUCAAAGUUUUAUCGUGAGAAUAUUUGCAAAAAUAAAACAAAGCAUUUAGGGAAAUUCUGAAAAAAACAUUUUUUUAAAGUUUUUAUUUUUGCUUUGGAAAAAUGUUAUCGAGUAGAGGAUAUUUUUAUGAUUUUUUUGGUAUAUAAUACCCCAUAUUAAAUAUCUUAUUUGUUUCCUUUUUAUUCACUUUUAUUUUUCUGUUUCUGAAAAAGAUUUAAACUAGGAAAGUUUUUUUUAAAAGGAAACCGUCUGGGCGCUUAAUAACAGUGGGCCGAAUCCCCGUGAGCCCGGGAUCCCGAAUCCCUUAAGCACCGCCUGGCCGACCCAAGCGCCACCGCGCCCCUCUCCCUGCCAGGUAGGCCCCGCGCCCGACCUUCCCCUUCCCCUCGGUUAGAUAUCUAACCGCUAGUCUUCGUUAGAUAUCUCAUGAGAUGGCCUUCAGCCACUUUAUUGUAAUCCUUUAUUGUAAUAAAGUACUCUUUAUGAGAUUUCGAUUAAUAAAGCUGUGUGAUUGAACUCUUGAACAUAUACAUUAUGUACUGAGUGUGUACCAGCAUGAUCAUGGAAUGGUACGAAUACACCAGAGGCUUGACUCGUCUUGAUUCGGGUCGCUACACCUCUAGUGGUUUUAUGUGAACGUCGACUACAUAACACUUCACGAUUAUUUGGGCCAAGAGGAAGGCAUUGGGAAGUAGUAAGUAGAUGAUGGGUUCCUAGAGUGACAGAAGCUUAAACCCUAGUUUAUGUGUUGCUUCCUAUAGGGCUGAUUUGGAUCCACUAGUUUAAUGCUAUGGUUAGACUUUGUCUUAAUUCUUCUUUCAUAGUUGCGGAUGCUUGCGAGAGGGGUUAAUCAUAAGUGGGAUGCUUGUCCAAGUAAGGGUAGUACCCAAGCGCCGGUCCACCCACAUAUCAAACUAGCAAAGUAACGAACACGAAUCAUAUGAACAUGAUGAAAACUAGCAUGACAGAAAUUCCCGUGUGUCCUCGAGAGCGUUUUUCCUCCUAUAAGACUUUGUCCAGGCUUGUCCCUUGCUAUAAAAGGGAUUGGGCCACUUUUCUGCACCGUUUCUACUUUUGUUACUUGUUGCUUGCUACGAAUCAUCUCACCACACAAUCACUUGUUACCGAGUAUUUUAGUGCCUGCAGAUUUUACCUUGCUGAAAACCACUUGUCAGAUCCUUCUGCUCCUCGUUGGGUUCGACACUCUUACUUAUCGAAAGGACUACGAUUGAUCGCCUAUACUUGUGGGUCAUCAAGACUCUUUUCUGGCGCCGUUGCCGGGGAGUGAAGCGCCUUUGGUAAGUGGAACUUGGUAAGGAAACAUUUAUAUAGUGUGCUGAAAUUUAUUGUCACUUGUCACUAUGGAUACUAAUCCUUUGAGGGGCUUGUUCGGGGUAUCUUCACCUCGAACGGAAGCACAACGAGUUGCUCCUCAACCUGCUGCACCUACUGAAAAUAUUUGCUUUGAAUUUCCUUCGGGUAUGCUUGAGAAACUGUUGGCUAAUCCUUUUACACGAGAUGGAACAUCACAUCCAGACUUGCAUCUAAUCUAUGUAGAUGAAGUUUGUGGUUUAUUUAAGCUUNNNNNNNNNNNNNNNNNNNNNNNNNNNNNNNNNNNNNNNNNNNNNNNNNNNNNNNNNNNNNNNNNNNNNNNNNNNNNNNNNNNNNNNNNNNNNNNNNNNNUGUCACAUCCCUAACCCUUAAGCAAGAUAGCAUUGUGCUCAUGUCUUCUUUGCAUUUGCAUCUAAGAAGUUUCAACAAAAACAACAAAGUGGCAAAGGAAAUACCCAAAACCCUAGCCACCAUUUCAAUUAAAGGAAAUCUCAAACUAGUUCAAAAUCAAUGAACCCAAAAUGGCCUCAAGAAAUGUUCAAACUUUCUGAUAAAUCAUGAAAGUAAAUGAGCAUUGGAGAAAACUAUUUUCUUGACACUUUAAGCAUUUUAAAUNNNNNNNNNNNNNNNNNNNNNNNNNNNNNNNNNNNNNNNNNNNNNNNNNNNNNNNNNNNNNNNNNNNNNNNNNNNNNNNNNNNNNNNNNNNNNNNNNNNNNNNNNNNNNNNNNNNNNNNNNNNNNNNNNNNNNNNNNNNNNNNNNNNNNNNNNNNNNNNNNNNNNNNNNNNNNNNNNNNNNNNNNNNNNNNNNNNNNNNNNNNNNNNNNNNNNNNNNNNNNNNNNNNNNNNNNNNNNNNNNNNNNNNNNNNNNNNNNNNNNNNNNNNNNNNNNNNNNNNNNNNNNNNNNNNNNNNNNNNNNNNNNNNNNNNNNNNNNNNNNNNNNNNNNNNNNNNNNNNNNNNNNNNNNNNNNNNNNNNNNNNNNNNNNNNNNNNNNNNNNNNNNNNNNNNNNNNNNNNNNNNNNNNNGGGGAUAAGCUCCCCAGAGCCUCCCCUAUCCAUUCCCCGCCUCGGUUCUCUUCCUCCUCCCGGAUCUCCUCCUCCUCCUUGCUGCCGCCAUUAGAGCCGAGCUCGAGCUCGAGCUGCCCGUGCCCCUGGCCAUAGGAUUCCCUCCCAGAGCACGCCUUUAGNNNNNNNNNNNNNNNNNNNNNNNNNNNNNNNNNNNNNNNNNNNNNNNNNNNNNNNNNNNNNNNNNNNNNNNNNNNNNNNNNNNNNNNNNNNNNNNNNNNNNNNNNNNNNNNNNNNNNNNNNNNNNNNNNNNNNNNNNNNNNNNNNNNNNNNNNNNNNNNNNNNNNNNNNNNNNNNNNNNNNNNNNNNNNNNNNNNNNNNNNNNNNNNNNNNNNNNNNNNNNNNNNNNNNNNNNNNNNNNNNNNNNNNNNNNNNNNNNNNNNNNNNNNNNNNNNNNNNNNNNNNNNNNNNNNNNNNNNNNNNNNNNNNNNNNNNNNNNNNNNNNNNNNNNNNNNNNNNNNNNNNNNNNNNNNNNNNNNNNNNNNNNNNNNNNNNNNNNNNNNNNNNNNNNNNNNNNNNNNNNNNNNNNNNNNNCGAGGGCACCAGCAGCUCCAGGACGACGCGUAGAUGCCGUAGCAGCUAAGAACCGAGCGUAGAUCCCCCUGAUUCAAAGACCCCGAUGACGCCCGAGCCUUGGCCGCCGCCAAGCUCGUCGCCGGCGUCAUCUCCGGCCAGAUCAGCCCCGGCUAGGCGCAAAAAUGAAGCUGCGGGAGACGUGCCGUUCCUCUGGUGCUCUCCGCGCAGCAUUUGGCCCCCUGUGCUCCGUUUCCGAGCCCCUCCGCCGUGCUGGUGGUCGCCGGAGGCUCCCCGCCGGCGAGGACGACCUCGCCGCCGGUGGAUGUCGACGUGGCAAGCUAACCCAGCCGAUUAGUGACCUAAUCACUCGCUGACAAGUGGGCCCAAGGCCAAGUCAAACCUCAGUUAGGACUGGUCAGCGCGGGAUUAGUCCCAGAGAGGCUGACCAGUGGGGCCCCCCUGUCAGGUUUGACCUGAACAGGUCGGCUGACCUGCUGACGUCAGCCUGAGGCAAUAAAUAGAAUUUCCAGUUUAAAACUAAUUCAGGAAAUUGCUAAAAUUUGUAAAAAUCAUAGAAAUUAAUCUGUAACUCNNNNNNNNNNNNNNNNNNNNNNNNNNNNNNNNNNNNNNNNNNNNNNNNNNNNNNNNNNNNNNNNNNNNNNNNNNNNNNNNNNNNNNNNNNNNNNNNNNNNNNNNNNNNNNNNNNNNNNNNNNNNNNNNNNNNNNNNNNNNNNNNNNNNNNNNNNNNNNNNNNNNNNNNNNNNNNNNNNNNNNNNNNNNNNNNNNNNNNNNNNNNNNNNNNNNNAAAAGUUACAGAACCCUAAAUUGUGAAAUAAGGAAUAAUUCAAUUCUUUUAAUCACUUUAUAAAUGGAAUUUGCAAAAAUAUUCAAAUUUCAUUAUAUAUGCAAUGAUCACACACUGCCCUAAUUACAAAUCAGUAUCAUAACAUGACAUUUCAUGCAUGUUAACAUCAAGUUGAACCGAGCAUCAGGUCGAAUCAAUUAAACCGGUAUCCGAGAAUACCCGUUUGAAUUGCUAUUCGAAUGUGAUUCAAAUCAACUCUAAACCUAUUACAUGUUGAAAAUAAUAACUUAUCACCUUNNNNNNNNNNNNNNNNNNNNNNNNNNNNNNNNNNNNNNNNNNNNNNNNNNNNNNNNNNNNNNNNNNNNNNNNNNNNNNNNNNNNNNNNNNNNNNNNNNNNNNNNNNNNNNNNNNNNNNNNNNNNNNNNNNNNNNNNNNNNNNNNNNNNNNNNNNNNNNNNNNNNNNNNNNNNNNNNNNNNNNNNNNNNNNNNNNNNNNNNNNNNNNNNNNNNNNNNNNNNNNNNNNNNNNNNNNNNNNNNNNNNNNNNNNNNNNNNNNNNNNNNNNNNNNNNNNNNNNNNNNNNNNNNNNNNNNNNNNNNNNNNNNNNNNNNNNNNNNNNNNNNNNNNNNNNNNNNNNNNNNNNNNNNNNNNNNNNNNNNNNNNNNNNNNNNNNNNNNNNNNNNNNNNNNNNNNNNNNNNNNNNNNNNNNNNNNNNNNNNNNNNNNNNNNNNNNNNNNNNNNNNNNNNNNNNNNNNNNNNNNNNNNNNNNNNNNNNNNNNNNNNACCGGUGAAAGGCUGUGUAGGAGUACAUGGCGGGUUGUUUCAUUGGAACCGUCCUUAGGAACUGAGUUCCGUGUAUGUAAUCCAAGACUAGAUACUACCACAUGCUGGGCCCUGAAAUAUGACCCCGCUCGGCCUAUUAAUCGCGUAGUACUCGGUCAAGGAGUUGCAAGUAGUUUCUGGUGUUUAUAGUAAUGCUGGAGGCCGUGCAUGGUGCUGACCUGAGAGGUGGGCCGUGAUGCGGUAGGCAGUGGNNNNNNNNNNNNNNNNNNNNNNNNNNNNNNNNNNNNNNNNNNNNNNNNNNNNNNNNNNNNNNNNNNNNNNNNNNNNNNNNNNNNNNNNNNNNNNNNNNNNUGUUGGAAAUAUGCCACAGAGGCAAUAAUAAAGUGGUUAUUAUUAUAUUUCCCAGUUCACGAUAAUUGUCUAUUAUUCAUGUUAUAAUUGUAUUAACCGGAAACCGUAAUACAUGUGUGAAUAUAUAGAUCACAAUGUGUCCCUAGUAAGACUCUAGUUGGCUAGCUCGUUGAUCAAUAGAUGAUCAUGGUUUCCUGAUCAUGGACAUUCGAUGUCAUUGAUAGCAGGAUCACAUCAUUGGGGAAUGAUGUGAUGGAAAAGACCCAAUCCUAAGUGUUGGGGAUAUUAUCUGUUGGGUAACCCGCCCUAGUUGGGCUGGGUCACCCAAGUUGGCGACUCAUCUCCAAGUGGUUCCGGCCUUGGCCCAGCGAGGCCGGGAGUCGUAUGACGGUUCAGGACCUUCGGGAGAAGUCCAUUGUAGGGAAGAUCUCCAAGUCUUGGAAAGAUGGCGACUUAGAGAUCGAAAGAAUCACGAUUUAUGUGAAUGAAAGGACUCUUGUAAACCCUAAGGACUUGCCCUGUAUAUAAAGGCGAGUCCCAGGGAAGGAGAGGACGGGUUAGAAAUCAUCGAGUGCUAGGUCAGGCGAGUUACGCCCCCUUGUAACCGAAACACCAUCAAUACAAACACCAAGCAUGACGUAGGCCUUUACCUCCUCACGAGGGGCCGAACCUAGGUAAAUCUCUGUCUCGCUCCCGCAUAACCCCUUUGAGUCGCCACCAAGGUGCGAUGGCUCCAACACUAAGUACUUUCACGAGGACAUCUGCCGUGACAAAACCACGACAGUUGGCGCCCACCGUGGGGACUACGCACGGUGGAGUUGAGUUCUCAAAGGGAGCCCUACCAGGGUCCAGAGCUACGCAGCGGGGCUCAUGACUCGGAGCCGCCGCAGGAAGUACUACAUCAAUAACUUGCUAUGGGGGCCCGAGGCCGAUUCGAUCGAAUCCGGCUAUAGAAUCCCCUUCGGCAAGAACAACGUCUUCGUCGGCGUGGUUGGAUCGCCUAUGCCUGAGCCGGACAUCUCCUCCGACAUCGUCGAGCCGGCCAGGUACGUCCGCCCUGUCGCAACGCCAAACCUAACCCGUCCGGUCUUUGUUGGGUUCAUGCAGGGAUCUGAGGAACCAGAACAAUCGGCGAACCAGGAGACCACGCCGGCGAACACUGAUGACGAAUCAUCCAUGGGCGAUUCAGAUUCAAUUCAGUCUCUACAUGGGGGCUGUUUUGGGGGCUUGUCAUUAGCCAUGGACCCCGAGGUUCUUGAACGGACCCGCCGUCAGAUCACCAUUUACAUGGCAGGGCGACUCAGCCCUCGCCAAACCCGGCAGGCGGAUAUGGGGCUGGCAAAAUGUCUAGAAGCCCGGCCGUGAUCUUGGUGGAGUUAGCGGCGGAGAUAACAAGGCUCAUGGCGACCCCCAUAACGUCAGAAAACCAGGACGCGAUAAACACGGAGCUAACAAAACUAAGAGAUUGGGUGGCAAAGGCUCAACGGGACGCUGAGGUGGAAGCCGCCAGGAUCGAGACCCGGCAGGCUCAAAUUACCGCUGAGGUAGCUCGCUUGAAUACCGAAAACUGGCGGCUCGAAAGGGAUCAGUGCGCAUCUGACGCCGUCCAUCAGUGGAGGCAUCAGGGUUGUUUACCCCCUGAUCUCAACCCGACCUGCCUGUUUGACACUCCACAAACUCCCGGGGUAGGAGACGCCCCGAGGGGAGGGCCGGGCCAGCCACCAAACCCGCCGUUUCAGCCAGCUGUGGAUCGCGUUCCCUGAUUCCAUACACCUCAAGGUCACUUUUCCAACCUGGUGCACAACGUCCUUGCCGCAACUCGCCAAUUGGAAUCCCUUCCAAUUCAUGGCAACACUCCAGCUGAGAUAGAAGCAGGGAACGCCAUUGAGAUGUUGAAGACGGCGGUGGUUCAAAACGCCCAGUUCUCACACAGCCUAGAUCGGCUGCACUCCACUCCCCAGACAAGCCGCGCCAGGAGUCGACCAGAGGACCAGCCCGCCAUAACUAGCGGACCGUGACCUUUUCCCCAGGUUAACUCACCUGAUCACCGAGACCCGCCAGGUCGGGAUCACCCGGACACCCAAGUCGCCCCAGCGCCUCUUGUUGGAAGCGGCAGACAAGUGGGGGUGCCAUGCUUGGCCCCCGCCCUUCGCAACGAGCGAAUGCCCAAGGAUUUUAAAGGACCAAGAAAGGUGCCUAACUACACUCCGGACCUUGAGCCGGCGUCAUGGUUGAGAGUUAUGAAAUCGCCAUGGACAUGCUCGAUGUAAGCGAAGUAGUCUCCGCCAGAUACUUCACAAUGAUGCUCGAAGGGACGGCGCGUACUUGGUUAAAAAACUUGCCCCCCCAACUCCAUCCAGUCUUGGGCCGAACUAAAAGAGCGUUUCGUCAAAAAUUUCCGAGGGACCUGCAAGCGCCCAAUCACGAUAGUCGAUUUACAGCACUGUGUUCAACGCCCGGAUGAGUCGGCCCACCGCUGGACGCGGAGGGUCACGGAAAUCAUUCAUUCGUCAGAUGGUAUCACGGCGGCUCAGGCUGUGCUAAUCCUGGAGCAGAACUGCCACUAUGAGCCCUUGGUGCAGAAGUUGGGACGACUCAAGCGAAAGGUGCAAGAUAUGGGGGAGCUAAUGGACACCCUCACUAGGUACGCUGAGGUGGACGACACCAAAGAUCCAGGAGAAGAUGGUGGUAAGGCCAACUCGCCAAGGAAAGGCGAGUCAUCCAAAAAUUAUACCCGGUUCCAGGGACGCGCCCGCUAUAAUCAUGGAGCGAAUGGCAAAAGAAGGCAGCAGGAAGAGUCUUCGGACUUAGUCGCCAACACCAACGUCAACAAUGGAAACCAGCGCCAGAAGAAGAAUAGGGGUUACAACGGCAAAAAGCCACGCAAAUAUAAUGAGUUACUGAAGGGCCCCUGCCCGCACCACGCCAUGGCAGACGGACCGGCGACCCAUUCCUGGGAGGACUGUUACGUGAUGCGGGAGUUCCGGGCGGAGGCGAUCAAAAAAUGGCAAGGCGGCGACCCGGACCAACGGCAGGAACAGUUUGGCGCACCUAAUCAACGCCAGAGCCAAUUCGGCGGCUUCCCCGAACCCGGGGCUCAGGGCGGCUCGCAGCCAAACAGUGGCCAGUAUCCGGUGCAUCACCAACAACGGUAUAACCCGCCGGGAGUCUUUCAACAACCACCCCCAUAGGGGGCUCCGCACGGGCAGGAUGACAAUGGCGGUUUCCGCAACAACCCCAAUCAGUUAAGUAAUGGGCAGUACCACGUUUUCACCACCAAGCGUACAGUGUAUCUGAGCCGGCGCUCCCUAGAUAUCUCCACUGGUCCGAGCAGACUAUAUCAUGGAGUAGGGAGGAUCACCCGCCAAGUGUUGACAAUCCCAGCGACUUAGCGUUGGUCGUGGCUCCUCAAGUUGGAGGAUAUACCUUAUCGAAGGUACUGAUGGAUGGUGGUAGCAGCAUCAACAUAUUAUACUUCGACACCUUUCGAAGGAUGAACCUGUUGGAGAAAGAUUUGAUGCCCUCAACCACGGUAUUCCAUGGGAUUGUCCCAGGUAAAUCGGCGUACCCCAUAGGCCGAGUUAGGCUCACAGUUGCGUUUGGAACAACCCAAAUAGAGGAGUCAGUCGCUUAUAUUUGAGGUGGUUAAGUUAAAAAGCCCCUAUCAUGCGCUGUUUGGGUGACCGGCUUACGCCCGGUUCAUGGCUCGCCCCUGCUAUGUCUACCUUAAACUCAAGAUGCCUGGUCCUAAAGGACCCAUCAUAGUUGAUGGUGAUAGAAGGAUUGCAAGAGAGUGUGAAGAAGGGGAUGCGGCUUACGCAGAAGUCGCCUGCGCCGCGGAAGAGCUUAAAUAUCACCAGGCCAAUGUUGAUCCGGCUGACAUGUCACCUUUAAAGAAGCCAACGACAGACGUUGAGCCGCCCCUCAAUUUCAAACCCACAGACGACAGUAAGACAGUGGAUUUCGUCCCUGGCGACUCAACCAAGCAGUUCACUAUCGGGGCGGGUCUAGACCCCAAAUAGGAAAGCGCGCUCAUCGAAUUCAUCCGUGAGAAUCGGGACAUCUUCGCAUGGAAACCUUCUGACAUGCCUGGUGUGCCGAGAGAAUUCGCUGAGCACCAUCUUAAUGUUGACCCAAAAGAAAAACCAAUUCAGCAAUAUCUUCGAAGGUUCAAUGAGGAACGACGCAUGGCAAUCGGGGAAGAAGUUGCCCGUCUCUUGGCCGCCGGAUUCAUCGUAGAGGUCUUCCACCCCAAAUGGUUGGCUAACCCGGUUCUGGUGCUCAAGAAGAACGGUACCUUCCGCAUGUGCAUUGAUUACACAGAUCUUAAUAGAGCUUGUCCAAAGGAUCCUUUCGCCCUUCCCUGUAUCAAUCAAAUUAUUGAUUCAGUGGCGGGAUGCGAGCGUUUGUGUUUCUUGGACGCUCAUUCCGGGUAUCACCAAAUCAAGAUGGCUGUGGAAGAUCAGGAGAAAACAACUUCUAUAAUCCCCUUCGGGGAUUUUUGCUAUGUGUCCAUGCCAUUUGGGCUCAAGAGUGCAGGGGCGACUUACCAGCGCUGCAUCCAAAAUUGCCUCCGUGGCCAAAUCAGACGCAACGUUCAUGCUUACGUUGACGACAUUGUGGUUAAGACUCACAGGAAGGAAACAUUACUGCAAGACCUAAGGGAAACUUUUGAUAAUCUGCGGGUAUACCAGAUGAAGCUUAAUCCCACCAAGUGUGUCUUCCGCGUUCCUGCAGGAAAAUUGUUGGGUUUCCUGGUAUCUGAGCGCGGCAUUGAAGCUAACCCAGACAAAAUCGAGGCUGUUACUUCCCUUGGGAAACCAGCGAGUAUCAAUCAAGUUCAACAUAUGGCGGGUCGUAUUGCGGACUUAAGUCGCUUCAUAAGCCGUCUGGGAGAAAAGGCUAUUCCCCUUUAUCAGUUUCUUAAGAAAUUUGACCAUUUUGUUUGGACAGACGAAGCCAAUGAAGCUUUCGAAGCCUUAAAACGGCACCUGGUCAACCCGCCGGUUUUGGCCGCCCCGACUGAGAAAGAGCCUAUGCUUCUGUAUAUUGCGGGAAACUCCAAAGCGAUGAGUGUGGCAGUGGUCGUCGAAAGGAAGGAAGAAGGGAAGGAAUAUCCAGUGCAACGCCCGGUGUAUUUCAUUAGCGAGGUGCUAACUCUCUCCAAGCAGCGAUACCCACACUGGCAGAAGUUAGUUUAUGGGGUCUUUAUGUCAAGUCGAAAGCUCAAACAUUAUUUCCAAGAGCAUCCCAUCAUGGUGGUUAGCUCCGCUCCCCUCGGGGACAUCAUCCAGAAUCGGGAAGCGACAGGGCAAAUCGCCAAGUGGGCAAUCGAACUCGGGCCGCACCACGUGCGAUACACCCCUCACAUGGCUAUCAAGUCUCAGGCCUUGGUUGAUUUCGUCAAUGAUUGGACCGAGUUACAGAUCCCAGAGGACAGGCCUGACCUUACAUACUGGACUAUUUAUUUUGACGGGUCUAGACAGUUGGAAGGCUCGGGGGCUGGUGUGGUGCUCAUAUCGGCUCAAGGAGACAAAUUCUGCUAUGUCCUCCGACUCAUGUUUCCAUGUACCAACAAUGCUGCGGAAUACGAAGCUUUACUUCAUGGCUUGCGAGUCGCCAAGGAGAUGAACCUUACGCGGGUCAGAUGUUUUGGCGAUUCUGAUUUGGUGGCUCAGCAAGUUUCAGGUACUUGGGAUUCUCGGGACCCCCUGAUGGCGGCUUACAGGAGGGCUAUGUCUGAUGUGGCGGGUCACUUCCAUGGUUAUCAGGUCGAUCAUAUCGACCGGUGCCUUAACGAAGCAGCUGAUGCCCUUUCACGUCUCGGUUCGCAGCGUAAGCCGGUUCCCCCCAAUGUCUUUGUGGAUACUCUGCAUAAUCCCUCCGUAAGGUUACCCUCGGAGGAGGAAUUGGCAAUACCAGACCCUGAGUCUCAGUUCGUGGCGGCUCUCCAUGUUACGUCGGAUUGGGUUCUUCCGUAUCUGGCAUAUCUCGCCCGAGGUGAGUUACCUUCGGAUGAAGUAUUGGCUCGCCAAAUCGUUCGGCGAAGCAAAUCCAUGGUGAUCAUCAAUGGCAAAUUAUAUAAACGAAGCACUUCUGGGGUUUUUCAAAGAUGUGUUUCCUCUGAAGAAGGAUGCGUAAUUCUAAACGACGUUCAUUCCGGAGAUUGUGGGCAUCACGCCGGGUCACGUUCCUUGGUUUCAAAGGCGUUCCGUCAUGGUUUCUUUUGGUUGACGGCCCAUGCAGAUGCAGAGGAGAUAGUUCAUCGAUGUGACGGAUACCAGCGUUAUGGACAACAGGCCCAUGUGCCGGCUCAAGAAAUAAGGAUGAUACCUAUCACUUGGCCUUUCGCGGUCUGGGGGUUAGACAUGGUUGGCCCCUUUAAGAUAUCGUCCAAAAAAAACUCAUCUGCUGGUGGCGGUUGAUAAGUUUACCAAGUGGGUCGAGGCAGAAGCUGUUGGAGCCUGCGACGCGGAAACAGCGGUCAAAUUUUUGAAAAAGUUGAUCUUCCGGUUUGGAUAUCCACACAACAUUAUUACUGACAAUGGCACUAAUCUGUCUCCAGGAGCGAUGCAUGAGUUUUGCCAUCGUGAGCACAUCCGGCUUGAUGUUUCUGCAAUAGCUCAUCCACAAUCUAAUGGGCAGACCGAGCGGACGAAUCAGGAAGUGUUGCGAGGAAUGAAACCCCGACUCAUGAUUCCCCUAGAAUGCACCCCAGGGUGUUGGGUUGAGGAGUUGUCUUCAGUACUAUGGAGCAUCCGGACCACCCCGAACCGUUCUAUGGGUUUUACUCCUUUCUUUCUGGUAUAUGGAGCAGAAGCCGUUCUUCCCACUGACAUUAGGCAUGACUCGCCCAGAGUUGCCGCUUAUGUGGAACAGGACAACGAGUUGGCACGUCAAGAUUCUUUGGACGCUUUGGAGGAAGCACGUGAUUUGGCUGCAGCCCGUUCGGCGGUUUAUCAGCAGGACUUGCGGCGUUAUCAUAGCCGCCAGGUCAAGAGCCAAGCCUUUCAGGAGGGCGACUUAGUACUUCGAUUGAUACAAGAUCGUACUGGCAUGCAUAAGUUAUCACCACCGUGGGAAGGACCGUUCGUCGUCAGCAAAAGCCUUCGCAACGGGUCCUAUUAUCUGCUGGAUCUACGGCCUGAUCGGCCAACCACGGAGGCUGAGUCAACUCGCCCCUGGAACAUAGGCCACUUGUGGCCUUAUUAAACUUGAGCUAACUAGCUCUGCCUUUUUGCAAGUUUUUUCAUUUUCUUAUGAAGCAAUAAAGUUGAUGCCUCCAGGCUUGGGGGAUUUCCUGCUAAUUCAUCUUAUUGAAAGUAUGGAUCUUUAUUUUACUCUUCAAAAAGUCGCCCAAGCAUGGACGCAAUCUAUACCAAAGAGCUUAAGUCGCCAUGAUGCGCUUAUUACAAAACUGGGUAUCGAUAAGCCAAAGAGGAUCGAAGUCGCUACGAGCGCGCGAUUCAAACUUAGGCGCCUUAUAUGAUUCUGUGGAUUAGGCCGGCUUACUUGAGGGCAGUUUGUUCUGAAGUCGUUUUGUGGUAAUAGCGUAUACGCUUCUACAAUCCUAUGACGGUCUUUCCCUUAAUCAUAGGUCACUUGGGGGCUUCCUCUCACUGAGAUCAGCCUUACUACCCAUUUGGCCUGUGAAAAAUUACCACAUUACAAAUGGUUAUACUGGACUGUGUGUUGGCCGAAUCGCCAUAUGGACCCAUGAACUCUUGGCGAGUUACUCCGCUUAUGGACCCUGAACUCGCCUUGGUUAAAACAUGUCUAGUACCGGCUAGCGCCUCACAUGGAAAAUAGAGAAACCAUUGGUUCACUGAACCCGCUUCACUGAAGCUUGACUCACGCCUGAUCAGCCGGUCUAAAUACUUGAGCUUUUUAUACAAAAGUCUCCCUCGGGUAGCACUUGAGUUUAUUUAACUCGUCCUAUCUUGUCGCGACCUGAUGAGCCGACGAAAUUGCUAUUUUUUACCUUCCUGGCACUGCCACAAGGUCUUUCAGACUCUUUUGUGACUCGCCUCAAAUAUCUUGCGUCGGUUAUUAUUUAUUAUCAUCGAUUACUCAUUGAGAUGAUUUGAUAUAUGUUUUUAAGCCUAACAGGUUGAUGAUCAAAAUCAUUCUAGCCAUGGCGGGUCAAGCAUCAUAAAAACGCCUUGAGGGCGGGUCAAGCAUUCUAAGGCGCCUUAAGGGCGACAUAAGGGUUUUCAAGACAUCACAGAAGCAGUUUUGAUCUCUAAAAAGACUUAUUACAUGGCUCUUAUGGCCAAAUCCAUAAAGUAUUAUUCUACUGAUGUCCUCGGGUCAGCCUCCUGCGAGCUCUGGCCGACUUCAAUUUGCAGGUCGCCCAGUACCCAGUUACACUUGGAUAACGCGGCAAACUCAUCUUCAUCGUUCAGCACUGAUGAGAGAUCCACCUCCAAGUCAAAAGGAUUCUUGGGUCGACGCGGAGUUAAGCUGGUUGUCACAAAGGUUGGCGGGUUGACUUUCUUGUUCUUGUUGUCAUAGGCGUCUUGAUAUUUUGCUAAAUCCAAGCUUGCUGCAAGCUGAGUCGCUACCAAACGGGAUUCUUUGACAACACGCUGGUAAUCUUCUUCAGCGAAUUCUGACUCGUCAUCCUUGAGCUGGGGAAAGCCUGCCGCUACCUCUUCCGGGUUUAUUUCUGGAGCAUACGCCAGACACCGACUCAGAGUAGUCAGUGCUCCUUUUUGGGCGGCAGACCGAUUUAACUCACCAAUUUGAGGAGGAAGAGUAGAUAAGCAGCCAAGCAUCUUCUUUAUGGAUGUUAUGGGUUCCUUGGCACCCAUCACUGCUUUCACGGUCAGCACACUUCCGGUCUAUAGCUGCUCCGUUAACGUGUAAAUCGGCGUCAGCAUCAGGACACAAUCAUUCUGAAGAUUGGCGGCUCUUGGACCUGCAUAAGGAGUAACGAUGGUCAGCAAUUUCUACAAACAAAGUUAUUUAUUUACAAAAUACAAGGUCAGGGUUUGGUUUUUUUACCAAAGACGGCUUGUGCCAUGUUGGAGAUAUGUCUCUUUAAGCCGGCCAGCUCUUGUUGCACAGUAUCCAACUUAGCUUCAGCUUUUUCUGCUCGCUUUAUCAAGGCAUCUUGAUCAGCUUGAGCCUUUUUUAAGUCGGCUUUUAGCUUCUCCAUGUGAGAUAAGAUUAGUUGACACUUCUCUUCUGAUUUUGCCCGGGCAUCCUGCUGAUCGGUUAAAUUUUUCUUCAAAUCGCCAAAUGUUGAUUCAGCUUGGGUAAGUGAUUCCUGUCAAAAUAUAUGGUCAAGGGGCAAGCCUCAGAAUUAUUGCAAGCAACAUCCCUGACACUUGGGGGCUAAUGUAUAAUUUUUUAGAUAAAUUAUACAAUAUCAAGACCCGACUCAUCUUUUUACAGAUGACCCGACCCUUGGGGGUUACAGGUCAAAAGUUUUCUUCAAUUAUCAAGACCCGGCUCAACUUUUUACAGAUGACUCGACCCUUGGGGGUUACAGGUCGAAAGUUUCUUCAAUUAUCAAGACCCGACUCAUCUUUUUACAGAUGACCCGGCCCUUGGGGGUUACAGAUCGAAAGUUUUCUUCAAUUAUCAAGACCUGACUCGUCUUUUUACAGAUUACCCGGCCCUUGGGGGUUACAGGUCGAAAGUUUUCUUCAAUUAUCAAGACCCGGCUUAUCUUUUUACAAGAUGACCCGGCUCUUGGGGGUUACAGGCCGACAGACUCAUUUUACUAUUAAUACCCGACUCAUCUUGGAGUCAUACUGGAGAGCUUAGCCUUGGAAAGUUCAUACUCCAUAGCAAGUUGAGCUGAUGAUGAUACAUGUUUCGACAAAACUGUUGUGACCGGCUUAGAAAAGCGAGUGCCGGUGAUGACCACACCGUCUGGGUCUUCUGCUGUUUUCAAUGGACUUGGCGGAUUAGGCGUGUCCAUAGUUUCCUUGGGCGAGCUUGGGAGAUCGAUUUGAUCCUCAGGUUUAUCUUGGGCCGGGUUAUCCUGGAUCGGCGCCGAUUUUUCAACAAGCUCCAAAGCUGUAAUGGGAGUUGACCCGCCAGUUUUCCUUUUCUUUGCUUGUGCCCUAAAUGCAAAAGGGGGUGCGUUUAAAUGAACAGACAUUACCACCAUCAGAACAAAGGUAAGUGUUAUAAAAGACUUACCCUGGGACACGGAUCAUCGGUGGAAGUGCUGACAUCACUGAGUCGCCGGAUGAAGGAGGAGAACUCUACAAAAAUAAUACUUCAAAGAUGUGAGCGAGUUAUAACCGCGAUCCAAAAGAAAAUGAAGAGGUGCUAUUAAAAGAUACCUCAUUUUGCCUUUUCUUGGUUUUUGUUGGUAACCCGGACACCAAGUCUCCAGUAUGACUCCGAGUUUUCCGAUUUGAAGCAUUUGGGUGUGAGAAGGGAACUUUCCCACAAAUUGGCCUGGCUGGCUUAAGUGGAGGAGAAGAUGAGUCGGAGGAAACAGAAAUUACCUCUACAGAGUCUUCCUGGCUUUCAUUGUCCUCAUUCUACACAAGAGAUACAAAGGCGUAAACACAAAACUAUCAACAAUGAAUGGUGAGUUAAAGAGGAUGGAUUUUUACCUCUGAAAGUACGUCGCCGACUUGGGAUUCAUCGGCGUCAGACGGCUCAGUGACGGCGGCUUUGCCCUUGCCCUUGGACUUCUUCUUUGGAGGCGGCUUGGCUUGCUUCAAGGCCAUCUUUUUUGGCCUCCUGGACCAGAAUUUGUCACGUUUCUGAAAUGACAUUUUUUAUUAUAAGAGGUCAUAUCUCAAGUAAGACGGAACGAAUAAAGCAAAAGCGGGUUAAGUUAUUUUACCUUUGGUGCCGGAUUGAUCUUGCAGGACGGCUUAAGACCUAUUUGGCCGCACUUGGCCGUGGGUUCGCCGGUCAAUUUCUUGAUGAUGGUUACAAUAUCAUUUUCUGUCAGUGUUGUGUGGAAGUAGCAUUGGGGGUGAUCCAGGGUGCCGUCAAAAUCACACAUUAAUCCGUACCGACGACUUAAGGGGAGGAUACACCAUUCGACCCAGCAGCGGAUUAAGUCUACCCCGGUAAGGCCAUUGUUUGUCAGAGAUCUUAACUUGGACAGUACUGGGAUAAAAUCUGACUCCUCUUCUUCGGUGAGCUUGUCUGGGAGUUUGAAAUUUGUUGGAAGGCGAUCCUCCCAAUAGCCAAGAAGCUUGUUCUCACCCUCAGGCGAAGUCUCCUGGCAGUAAAACCAAGACUCGCCCCAGCCUUUGGGAUAGCUUGGCAUGGCGAGUGACAGGAAUGAACUACCCCUACGGCGUUGAACAUUGACACCUCCAAGCUCCAAGCUAGGGCAAUUGGAAAAUUCUGUCUGGCAAUUCAAAUGGAAGAAGUACCAGAAUAAAGGAACUGAGGGUUCCAUCCGCAAGUAGGCCUCACAGAACACCUGGAACUGGCAUAAAUUGCUUAUCGAGUUGGGCCCUAAGUCCUGGAGGCAGACAUUCAUAAAGGUCAUGGCAUCUCGGAGGAAUUUUUAUCCGUACGGCUUAAAACCCCGUUCAAGGUGUUCAACAAAAACAACUAUCUCCCCUUCCUUCGGGUUGGGGAUCUCCUCUCCUAACCCGGAACGCCAACCGAUAACCUCUUGAGGGUCCAGAUUCCCCGUUUUCACACAGUUGUUAAGGAGAGUAUCAUCAACCUUGGUCGGGAGCCAAUCACUUUUGAAAACGAUGCCCAUGCUACAAAGGGACAAAAUUACGCGUAAAUUAACACGCCAAGCAUCUACUAAAUGGUGAAACAGAUUCAUUUGACUCGCCAAACAGUUUGCCUGAUAGCUGAGGUUGUUUUUUGACUCGCCGAUAAAGGUCCGGGUUAGGAUACCAGGGCGAGAUGGUUCACAGCUUCAGUAGUGUCCACCAAAAUGGUGAAGUAUGAAUCCAUAAACAGGUUUCACGCGACAGGCAGUAAUAUAUGGAUCUAUAGAACAUGUAGAAAUGAAUGCAAAAAGGUCUUGGUAAAACGGCCUAUGACCAAGAUGAAAAUAGUAGAGUUGAUCUGGUGAAAUCCUUUCUAAGUCUGCAAAUCAAGGCUAAGCAACUAAGGGUAUGGAAAAUGUUGUUGUACUCGCUAUCAUCACCACUAACUAGCCGGGAAUUACAAAGCUAUUCGAGAUGUUCUAAAGAAACAGUGGACAUGAACUCGAGAAGCGUAGAUCUGCCUUCAAUGGCGGGAGGCUGACCUGGUAAAUGCAGCUGGAGGCGUCUGAAGAAAGAUUCGCGGCGAGCAUCGCACGUUCAGCAGCUCCCAGACGGCGGUGAAGAUCUCGGACAGUGACGAAGAUCUCGGACGGCGACGAAGUGCUCGGACGACAGCGAAGCUUCGGGCGGCGACGAAGUUCUCGGGCGGCGGCGGAGCUGUUGGGCGGCGAUGAAGUGCUCGGGCGGCAACGAAGCUCUCGGGUGGCGACGAGGCUCUCGGUGAGACGGCGAGGAAGAAGAGGGCGACAAGAUGGGUAGGUGGAAAUAUGCCCUGUCCCCUCCUCCCGCCUAUUUAUCAGGUCAGGCGCUGGGAUCGAGGCGCCACGAGCGGGAACUGCCAAAAAAGAUAAAGAUUCGCCAUGAUGGCGCCCCAAAAUUUUCGGGAUAGCGAUACCGAAGGAUCCGUUGGACAUUACAUCAUCAUCUCUUCCGAGAUUAAAGGGAUAAGAAGGCGCGAAUAAGAAGUGGUUCAGCGACUUGAGUUUUUCCGCAACAGAUGGCAGUUUAAGUGUAUGGUGCAUGAAAGGAGUGAGAUGAAUCGCCCCUAACUGGGUGAGGAUAUUGGCGUGAAAAAAUUCAAGUCAAUCUGGGGCCUAAUGUUGGGGAUAUUAUCUUUUGGGUAACCCGCCCUAGUUGGGCCGGGUCACCCAAGUUGGUGACUCAUCUCCAAGUGGUUCCGGCCUUGGCCCAGCGAGGCUGGGAGUCGUAUGACGGUUCAGGACCUUCGGGAGAAGUCCAUUGUAGGGAAGAUCUCCAAGUCUUGGAAAGAUGGCGACUUAGAGAUCGAAAGAAUCACGAUUUAUGUGAAGGAAAGGACUCUUGUAAACCCUUAGGACUUGACCUGUAUAUAAAGGCGAGUCCCAGGGAAGGAGAGGAUGGGUUAGAAAUCAUCGAGUGCUAGGUCAGGCGAGUUACGCCCCCUUGUUACCGAAACACCAUCAAUACAAACACCAAGGAGGACGUAGGCCUUUACCUCCUCAUGAGGGGCCGAACCUGGGUAAAUCUCUGUCUCGCUCCCGCAUAACCCCUUUGAGUCGCCACCAAGGUGCGAUGGUUCCAACACGAAGUCCUUUCACGAGGACAUCUGCCGUGACAAAACCACGACACUAAGUAUAGCACUAGAUCGUGUUGUUCGUCUGCUAAAGGUUUUUCUAAUGUCAAGUAUCGUUUCCUCAAAUCAUGAGAUUGUGCAACUCCCGGAUACCGUAGGAGUGCUUUGGGUGUAUCAAACGUCACAACAUAACUGGGUGAUUAUAAAGGUGCACUACAGGUUGUACGAAUCGAGACUGGGAUUUGUCACUCCAUGUGACAGAGAGGUAUCUGUGGGCCCACUCGGUAAUACAUCAGCAUAUUGAGCUCAGUGUGACUAAGGAGUUAGCCGCAGGAUGAUGUGUUACAGAAUGAGUAAAGUAACUUGCCAGUAACAAGAUUGAAAAAGGUACAGGGAUACCGACGAUCGAAUCUCGGGCAAGUAUCAUACCCGUAGACAAAGGGAAUUGCAUACAUGAUUGAUUGAAUCCCCGACAUCAUGGUUCAUCCGAUGAGAUCAUCGUGGAACAUGUAGGAACCAACAUGGAUAUCCACACCCCCUGUUGGUUGUUGACCAGAGAGGUGUCUCGGUCAUGUCUGCAUGCUUGUCGAACCCGUAGGGUCUACACAUUUAAGGUUCGAUGAUGCUAGGGUUAUAGGGAAAUAGUGUACAUGGUGACCGAAGGUUGUUCGGAGUCCCGGAUGAGAUCCUGGAUGUCACGAGGUGUUCCGGAAUGGUCCAGAGGUAAUAUUCAUAUGUAGGAAUUGAGGAUUUGGUCACCGGAAGUGUUUUAGGCGACACCGGUAAUGUACCGGGACCACCGGAUGGGUUCCGGGGGUCCACCGGCAUGGGCCACCAGCCCCAACCUGCUACAUGGGCUAAAAGUGGAAGGGAACCGGCCCCUAAGUGGGUGUUGGGGAACAUCGCAAGGGAAACAAAAAAUUUCCUACGCACAAGAAGACCUAUCAUGGUGAUGUCCAGCUACGAGAGGAGAUCUGGAUCUACGUAGCCUUGUAGAUCGCACAGCAGGAAGCGUUAAGAAACGUGGUUGAUGUAGUGGAACGACCUCACGUCCCUCGAUCCGCCCCGCGAACCGUCCCACGAACAGUCCCGUGAUCCGUCCCACGACCCAUUCCGAUCUAGUGCCGAACAGACGACACCUCCGCGUUCAGCACACGUACAGCACGACGAUGAUCUCGGCCUUCUUGAUCCAGCAAGCAAGACGGAGAAGUAGAUGAGUUCUCCGACAGCGUGACGACGCUCCGGUGGUGGUGAAGGAUCUACUCCUGUAGGGCUCUGCAGAAAUACGAUCUGGAGGUAAAACUAUGGUUUCUAGAUCUGAGUUGCACCUCGCAAAAGUUGUCUCAAGUCAGCCCAAAAUCACCACUAUAUAUAGGAGGGAGGGGAGGAUCCUUGCCUUGAGGGCCAAGCCCUCAAGGGUGCGCUGGCUAGGGAGGAGAACGAGUCCUACUCCAAUCCUACUCCAACUAGGAUUGGAAAGUGGAGUCCUUCCCUUCCUUCCCACCUUUCUUAUUCUGCUUUUCUUUGGUUUUUUAUCCUUGGCGCAUAGGCCCUCUUGGGCUGUCCCACCAGCCCACUAAUGGCUGGUGCGCCACCCCUAGGGCCUUUGGGCUUCCCCUGGGAGGGUUGCCCCCCUCCUGCUGAACAUUCAGAACCCAUUCGUCACUCCCGGUACAAUCCCGGUAAUGCCCGAAAACUUCCCAGUAACCAAAUGAAGUCAUCCUAUAUAUCAAUAUUCGUCUCUCCGGACCAUUCCGGAAACCCUCGUGACGUCCGUGAUGUCAUCCCGGAUUCCGAACAACAUUCGGUAACCACACAUAUAACUCAACUAUACUAAAACAUCGCCGAACCUUAAGUGUGCAAACUCUACGGGUUCGAGAACUAUGUAGACAUGCCCCGAGUUACUCGGUCAAUAUCCAAUAGCGGGACCUGGAUGCCCAUAUUGGAUCCUACAUAAUCUUUGAAGAUCUUAUCGGUUGAACCUCAGUGUCAAGGAUUCAUAUAAUCCCGUAUGUCAUUCCCUUUGUCCUUCGGUAUGUUACUUGUCCUAGAUUCGAUCGUCGGUAUCCGCAUACCUAUUUCAAUCUUGUUACCGGCAAGUCUCUUUACUCAUUCUGUAAUACAAGAUCCCAUGACUUACACUUAGUCACAUUGCUUGCAAGGCUUGUGUGUGAUGUUGUAUUACCGAGUGGGCCCCGAGAUACCUCUCCGUCACACGGAGAGACAAAUCCCAGUCUUGAUCCAUACUAACUCAACUGACACCUUUGGAGAUACCUUUAGAGCACCUUUAUAGUCACCCAGUUACGUUGUCACGUUUGAUGCAUACAAGGUAUUCCUCCGGUGCCAGUGAGUUAUAUGAUCUCAUGGUCAUAGGAACAAAUACUCGACACGCAAAAAACUAUAGCAAUAAAAUGACACGAUGAAUAUGCUACGUUCAUAGUUUGGGUCCAGUCCAUCACAUGAUUCUCCUAAUGAUGUGAUCCAGUUAUCAAGUAACAACACUUUGCACAUAGUCAGAAAACCUUGACUAUCCUUGAUCAACUGGCUAGGCAACUAGAGGUUUGCUAGGGACAUUGUUUUGUCUAUGUAUCGACACAUGUAUCUAUGUUUUCAUUCAAUAAAAUUAUAGCAUGGAUAAUAAACAAUUAUCUUUAAACAGGAAAUAUAAUAAUAACUAUUUAUCAUUGCCUCUUGGGCAUAUUUCCAACAGUCUCCCACUUGCACUAGAGUCAAUAAUCUAGUCCUCACAUCGCCAUGCGAUUUACAUUGUAAUAAAUCAAACACCCGUACAGUUCUAGUGUUGAUCAUGUUUUGCCCGUGGAAGAAAUAUUCACGUCCUCUCGUUCGACGUAGUCGUGGAUGAGGUUGAAGCGUCGUUUGAUGUGUGUGGUCUUCUUGUGAAACCUUGGUUUGUUUGCUAAGGCAAUGACACCACUGUUGUCACAUAAAAGAUUUAAUGGAUCUAGUGCGCUCGGCACAACACCAAGAUCUGUCAUGAACUGCUUACGAGGCAGCCAUGUACUCCGCUUCACAUGUAGAAUCAGCUACGACGCUCUGCUUGGAACUGCACUAGCUUACCGCACCCUCAUUAAGAAUAAAUACUUAUCCGGUUUGUGACUCAGGGUCAUCCGGAUCGGUGUCAAAACUUGCAUCGACGUAACCUUUUACGACGAGCUCUUUGUAACCUCCAUAAAUGAGAAACAUUUCCUUAGUCCUCUUCAGGUACUUUAGAAUAUUCUUGAACGCCGUCGAGUGAUCCACUCCUAGAUUACUCUGAAACCUGCCUGCCAUACUUAUAGAACCUACGGCUCAAGAGUAGGGGCCAUAACUCAUUUGUUUUCUAUCUUUCGCAGUUGCUGGGCACUGAGUCUUACUCAAUUUUAUACCUUGUAAUACUCGCAAGAACCCUUUCUUGUACUGGUCCAUUUUGAACUUCUUCAAAACUUUAUCAAGGUAUGUGCUUUGUGAAUGUCCUAUCAGGCGUCUCGAUCCAUCCCUAUAGAUCUUAAUGCCUAGAAUGUAAGCAACUUCUCCAAGGUCCUUCAUAGAGAAACUUUUAUUCAAGUAAUCCUUUAUGCUCUCCAAAAGCUCCAUGUUGUUUCCAAUCAGCAAUAUGUCAUCCACAUUGUCGGGACCCCUAUCCUAAGUCAAUGGAAUCCAGCCUAUAACACAUCGCAUCUCUUUGCGGUCUCACACAUGGUUAUCCCCACGGCUGCAGCCUUACCUUACCCGGGACCGUUUGCACCUUUUGACUCGCGUAUGCAAUUGUGUCUCCAGCAAUCCAGUGACAGAGAACCCGGAUCGACAUGUCUAGUCAUAAACCAAAGCGGCAGUUCCGCACAGGGACAGGCAUACAUGACCCAGCAAAGCAGGUGUCGGUCACCAGUGAAUGUAGACGAGUCGUAGCAAGCUACAAGGACUCCAUUACAUCGCGUGACAUUUUCCCAAAGGGGACAUACACAACAGCUAAGAAGGACACAUGCCGGUCAACCAAUGUGUCCGGAGCAGUAGCGAACUACCAUGGCUCGUUGGAUCACAAAGGGGCAUUUCCCUGGAAGGAAUGCUACUAAAGCACACGGCUAGAUAAUCGAACCCCAUACAUAUCAAGUACGACACGUACGCAUGGCAUACUGAUAUGUAUAGAUACAUCGAUGGCAUCACAACAUAACCCUAAACAUACAAGCUUUGUUUAAAAGGCUCGGAAGAGCCUCACACAUAAUAUUACAAAGUAGGGGUCUCACGACCCAUCAUAACAGUCAUUCAAGUUACAAGCUAGUGGAAGUAGAUAAACUGUGUGAGUACAGACAGUUGAAACUAGAAGGCACAUGGCCUGACUAUACUACAGACCCAUCGUAGGGCCAGAUCGUAGGUGGGAUACCAGCUACUCGUCGUCGUCGAUGUCUAGGUAGAACCCUCAUUAGGGUCAUUAACAACCUCUACAACAAAUUAUUAAGAAAACGUGAGUACAGGGGUACUCAGCAAGACUUUAGGAUAACUAUCUACUCAUGCAAGGUAUCAGUAAUGAAUUGUGGGGUUUCAUGCGGAAAGCAAACAUUUGACUCGUGGCUAGACAACUUGCAUUUUUAAAUAAUUUUGAAAACUUGAUUUCUCGCACACGAGUCCACUAGCACCACAACAAUACUCCAUCGUGGAAUCAUUCCGUCUCCAUACGGAAAUGCCGUCCACGACACUCACGCUUAUCUUGACAAUUUUAUGAGUAGCCAUUAAAAUUUUAUGAAAUGGCGGCCGAAGGUUGAAGACAACGGUGUCGAGGGCGUUGCAGGGCUCGGGGGACCUUCUUCUUGGGCAGGGACGAUCAGCUUGUCGAGGCGGAGCGAACGGAGCACUCGGGGGGAAGAACCUGUGGCUAGAGGGCUCAGGCAGCUCGAGCUCGAGCUCCUGUCAAUGGCGGCAGUGGGGAACGAAGCAACCGAGAGGAGAGGGGAGGAAUGGGUCACGGGGAUGGAUAGGGUCGUGCUCGGGGAUGUUAUCCUCGCCUUGCCAGCGCACCGAGAUGUCUAGGCAAGCAGAGAGCUGCGUGGAGGCGGCGGGCAUCGCGGCGGCCACCUCCUGCUCCCACUGGCGAGGAGGAAGACGACACGGGGGGAAGCUGGGCCUGGGCCAAGUGAGCGACAGGUAAGCGUUUUGCUAUUUUUUUCUUGUUUUGUUUUCUGUUUUGCUAACUAUUUUGAUUUGCUAUUUAUUUCAGCUCCAAAAUAGCUUAUAAGAAUAUUUUGAACACACCAGAAUAAUAGUUGGAAUAUUUCCAACCAUUCCUGAAGUUUGCAACAUUUUUGAAACUUGAAAAUAUUUGAAUUCAAAUUUAAACUUGAAUCGAGUAGCUUUUUGAAUUUAAAUAAAAUGACAAAUCUGUUUUAGAAAUAGUUUUCUUCCCCGAUUAUUUGUUUCCAUGAAUUAUCAGAAAAGUUGAACUUUUCUUGAGGCCAUUUUGGGUUCAUUGAUUUGAACAAGUUUAGAAUUUCUUUGAAUUUGAGAAGUGCCUAGGGUUUUUGAGUUUUGCUUCACCACUUACUUUGAUCUUGAUGCAAUUUCUUGGAUGCAAUGCAAUGAAGGUAUGAGCACAAUGCUAAACCUUGGUUAGGGUUCGAGGGAUGUGACAACUCACCCUCACUCAAAAGAAUCUCGUCCCGAGAUUUAGAAGUCGUCGGGAAUAACGUGGGAUACUCAAGUCGGAGACGAUCCUCUCUUUCCCGUGUUGCCUCCUUUUCAGAAUGAUUUGACCAUUGAACUUUAAGAAACUUGAGGUUUCGACGUCGAGUGGUACGCUCAGCUUGAUCAAGAAUACGAACAAGGUAUUCUCGGUAUGAAAAGGUUAUCUUGGAGAUCAAGCGUUUCGUGGUCCACUUCACGGAUAGGAUCCGAAAAGCAACGCCUGAGUUGCGAGACGUGGAAAACAUCAUGAACCUUGGAAAGAUGCGAAGGAAGUUCCAACUGGUAGGCAACUUCUCCUCGUUUGGCAAGAAUGCGAAAAGGACCAAUGUAACGAGGAGCCAACUUGCUCUUGAUACCGAAUCGAUGGGUACCCUUCAAAGGUGUAACCCGAAGGUAAACCUUAUCGUCAACUUCAAAGGUCACAACCUUAUGAUGACGAUCAUAUUGGCUGUUUUGACGAGACUGGAUUGUUUUCAACUUUUCACGAAUAAUGCAAACCUGCUCUUCUGCAUCCUGGAUCAUAUCUGGGCCAAAGAGUUUCCUCUCUCCGGUUUCUCACCAAUUAAGAGGUGUUCGACAUCUUUGUCCAUAGAGAACUUCAAAAGGGGCUUUGGCCAAGCUUGAUUGAUAACUAUUGUUAUAAGCAAAUUCGGCGAAUGGAAGGCACUUCUCCCAAUUCAUACCGAAUGAUAUAACACAAGCUCGGAGCAUAUCUUCUAGGAUUUGAUUCACCCUUUCUACUUGACCACUGGAUUGAGGAUGGAAAGCAGUGUUAAAAGAUAAGUGAGUCCCCAUAGCAUUCUGAAAGCUUUCCCAGAAGCGAGAAGUAAAGAUACUCCCACGGUCUGAGUUAAUCUCCAAGGGAACACCAUGAAGAGACACUAUUCGAGAGAUAUAUAACUCUGCUAGCUGGCUAGCUGUUAUACUCUCACGAACUGGAAGAAAAUGAGCUACUUUGGAGAGACGGUCAAUGACCACAAAGAUAGCAUUAUUUCCUUUCUUGGUCUUGGGAAAUCGAGUAAUGAAAUCCAUACUGACUUUAUCCCAUUUCCAUUCAGGAAUAGCUAAAGGUUGAAAGGUGCCAGUAGGCCUUUGAUGUUCUACCUUAACUCGACGACAAACGUCGCAGUUAGAAACGAACUCAGCAAUUUCUCUCUUCAUCCUAGUCCACCAAAACCGCUGGCGUAGGUCCUCAUACAUCUUAGUACUACCAGGAUGAAUGGUGAGAGGAGAAUCAUGAUCCUCCUUAAGGAUCAAUUGCCGCAGACGUUUGCUCUUAGGAACCGCUAAACGGUUCUGAAAGAACACAACACCUUUCUCAUUGAUGGAGAAAUCCCUAGCAUUUCCGCUAGCAAUAUUCGACUUGAUCCGGGAUAUACCCUUAUCAUAAGCCUGCACGGCUAUGAUUUGAUCUCUAAGAGUAGGCUUCGCCACCAGGGUAGAAAGAAAUCCUUGAGGAACAAUAUGAAGAUUUAACUUCCGAAAUUCCUUAUAGAGAUGUGGUUGACCUCGUUGUAGCAUCAAAUUGUUACAAUAAGACUUACGACUUAGUGCAUCGGCCAUAACAUUGGCCUUCCCCGGGGGUAAGUUAUACCUAAGUCGUAAUCCGUGAUCAACUCAACCCACCGUCUUUGCCUGAGAUUCAAAUCCGGCUGGGUGAAGAUAUAUUUCAUACUUUGGUGAUCAGUGAAUAUUUCGCAACGAUUACCAAGAAGGUAAUGUCGCCAGGUUUUAAGUGCAUGGACUACAGCUGCAAGCUCAAGAUCAUGUGUGGGAUAAUUAUCCUCAUGUGGACGCAACUGUCGAGAUGCGUAUGCAAUCACAUGACGAUCUUGCAUGAGAAUGCAACCUAAUCCUUGUCGCGAGGCAUCGCAAUAAAUAACAAAGUCCUUAGAAAAAUCUGGUGGUAGCAACACAGGUGCGGAAGUCAGGCGUCUUUUGAGUUCCUGAAAACUAUGCUCACACUGUGGUGUCCACUCGAACUUUUUAUAUUUCUUGAGAAGUUCAGUUAGAGGCUUUGUAACCUUGGAGAAAUUCUUGACAAAGCGGCGACAAUAGCUCGCUAGACCAAGAAAACUCCUAACUUGCUUAACCGAUUCAGGUUGAGUCCAAUCAAGGACAGCUUGAACUCUCUCGGGAUUGAUAGCAAUACCCUUUCUAGAGAUUACGUGACCUAGAUAGGUCACUUCUGGUAACCAAAAUUCACAUUUUGAAAACUUGGCAUAAAGGUGAUGCUCUCGAAGUUUCAUCAAUACCAGCUUUAGAGGCUCGGCAUGUUCUUGUUCGUUCUUCGAGUAGAUGAGAAUAUCAUCGAGGUAUACCACGACGAAUUUAUCCAAAUACUCCAUGAAGAUUGAAUUCAUCAAGCGAGAGAAGGUGGCUGGGGCAUUGGUUAAACCGAAGGGCAUGACGGUGUACUCGUAUUGGCCAUAACGAGUAACAAAAGCCGUUUUUGUAAUGUCCCCGUUUUUUAUCUUGAUUUGAUGGUAUCCCAACCUCAAAUCCAUUUCGGAGAAGAUUGAGGAUCCAGCGAGCUGAUCAUAGAGGUCGUUGAUCCUGGGGAGCGGAUACUUGUUCUUUAUGUUGACCAGAUUAACUGGUCGGUAAUCUACAACCAUCCGAUCCGUUCCGUCUUUCUUCUUGACGAAGAGGACGGGACAAGCCCAAGGAGAAGAGCUAGUACGAAUGAAACCUUUAUUCAAGGCCUCAUCUAGUUGAUUCUUAAGUUCGGCUAGCUCCAGGGGUGCCAUCUUAUAUGGUCUUCUGGCUAUUGGAACAGUCUUGGAACAAGAUCUAUUACGAACUCUACAUCUCUGCCAGGUGGAAUUCCUGGCAUUUCCUCUGGAAAAACAUCCAGAAAGUCACGGACUACCGCAAUGUCUUCAAGUUCCGGAAGAGGGUUGGCAUUGAGGGAAUAGAGUUGGCAUUUGGCAACUCGAGUAGAGACAUUGACUAUAUCACCCGAGGGAUGGGUAAGCUGAACAUUUCUGGUAUGAGUAUAAAUCUUGGCAUAGUGAGCUGACAUCCAGUCCAUACCCAAGAUGAUAUUAAUAUCCGAGGAUUUCAGGGCUAUCAAUGAUGCUUGAAAAACUAGCCUGUCUACUAGAAUUUCAUUGUCAUAAGAUAUCCUAGAGGUUUGCCACUUACUACCAAGGGUUUGGACAACCAAUGGGAUUAGCAUAUCACAGAAAGACAUGUUAUGCAACUGUGCAUAACUUUAUGAAAUGAAGGAAUGAGAACACCCAGUGUCAAAAAGAACAAACGCUGGGUGAUGAUUAACAAGAAGCGUACCAAGUAUGACGUCGGGAUCCUCUGCAACUUCUUCUGCUGAGACAUAGUUCACACGGCCACGUGCAGGAGUUGGCUUCACAUAGUAAGCUUUGCCCGACUUGCCUUGCCCAACGGACUUUCCGGGUUGCUUGGCACCCACAUUCUGAGGACACUCACGGGAAUAGUGCCCUGGUUCUCCACACUUGUAACAGAUCACUUGAUUGGCACGCGGUGCAGCAUUGCUAGCUGGACCACCAUAGGUUUUUGCUGGGGGGGUUGGUCUGAUUCGACUGAGGCGCCACAUAGGAUGGCCUCGGAGUGUAUCUUGGGGGCAGAGAACUGUUUGGAACCCACAGCCUGCGUUUUGGAAACGCGGAACCAGAUGACGAGCCAAAGUCACGGGAGUGCUUCUUUGUGGCUUCAUAGUCGGUAUGACCAGUCUCGGCACUGAUCGCCUUGUUGACCAGGGCUUGGAAGCUUGUACACUCAGGGAGGCGCAAAUCACGACCAAGCUCAGGGCUCAGACCCUUACGGAAUCUUACUUGCUUCUUGGCAUCAGUAGACACCUCCUCUGUUGCAUAGCGGGCGAGGUUACCGAACUCGCGGCUAUAGGCAUCCACGGUCAACUUUCCUUGGGUGAAUGCACAGAACUCCUCUCUCUUUCUGUCCAUCAGGCCCUCUGGAAUAUGGUGCAGACGGAAUGCUGCACUAAAGUCUGCCAUGUGGCUGCUGGUUCAGCAGGACGCAUAGCUUCAAAGUUCUCCCACCACAGAUUGGCGGGUCCUUCGAGAAAAUACGCCGCAAAGGUCGCCUUGUCGUCCUCAGAAACGUUCGUAGAGCGAAUCUUUCGUGAAAUACUGCACAGCCAAUCAUCAGCGUCGAGGGGAUCGACGGAGUGAUGGAACUUUGGAGAAUUCAGCUUCACAAAGUCAUUGAGGGACACUACAGCAUUCCUAGGUUGACGAUCCGUAUUUUUCUCAAUACGCUAUAACAGUCAGUUUGUCUCCCUUUUGUUUCUCUCUGCCUCAAGCAUAACUUCCCCGAGAUAGGGCGGGUGAGGCAGCUCUUCCUGUGACGCUUGACUACCCUUUCCUUGCUCAUGAGCAGGGGCACGGUUCAACCUAGUGAACACCAUCCUGACAAACAAACUCACAGCUUAGACAAAUAUCAACAUCAAUGCUAGUUAUGGAUUAAGAAUGCACUGAACACAUGGAAUGCGGAAUUGAAUAUCCGAACAGCAUGGUAACAAGAAACUGCUAUAUAUACACCAUGGUUCAUACACACCAUUACAAAGUUCAGUACAACCUUAACCGAAGAGCAAACUACUGAAAUUAUGAAACUACUCAUGAGAGGCUUACAAGCUUCCUAUACAUUAUUUGUCUAUGCCUCCGGAAUUCAUUUCACAUCACAAGCAUACUUCACAAGUCACACAGGACUGUGAACGUACAGCUACUACCAUACUAUCCUUCCACUCACGGUUCAGGCAUCCGCAUAGAACAUCUCAUAAAGAUUGCCUCCAUGUCCUGGAAGCUCAACCUGCGGAUCAGGAAAUACUCAGGCCUAAGAUCCCUGGGAUCCAUAAGGACACGGAUGUGGCCUUGGUCCCCUGACUGGUGGUAGUAGGGGUCCUCGAAGAGGGGUGACUCCUCCUAUAGCGGGCCAGUCAACAUGAGUCGGAAGAUGGGUUCUAACAGGGUUCAGCAUCUCCAUAUCUCCAUACCUUGUCUGGACUACCGGUGCUAGCUGCAUCAAAGCCGUCCACAUACGGACAGGUGUAGCAUAAAGCUCCAUGCGGAGGGCACGAGCAUCCCUGUCUCUAUUCUCUAGCAUCUCAGCAGUGGACUGCAGUAGCGGAUCCUCCAUAGAGGAAUCAAAGUAGACCCCGCUGAGGUAUCCUUGUUCACCUGGCUGAGAAGCAGGAGCAUAGCAGAACUCUGAAUUCUGCGGGAGUGCAUGUCUAGCCCUCAUGAUGGUCAACAUUGAAUAGGCAGCAUCUUGUACUGCCAUGUCAACAGUGACUCCCAAUCCAUAAGACCAAUGGAUUGGCUCCUCAGCUCCAGUGUAAUCUGGGAAUACCCUAACAGUGCAGAUAUACUAGCUCUGGUUGAAGUCUCGGUACUGUUCCUCCACUGUGUACUCUGGGUACCAGCGGUAACCGCACACCGACAUCACCCUCAGUAGCAUGGCCGUAUGACCCGCACAUCAAUGCACCUAGUCAGAUGAACCACCUGACGAGAAGGACGGCUAGGCAUCUGUAAAUAGAGAGUAAUGCAAAAGCAUUAGAGCUCUGAAUGCAAAAUUGGGCAGCAUAACGGCUAUAAAUGCUCAAAAACAAUUUUGAGACAACCCAUAAAAUAGAAUAGAUUAACCACUCAACUACCAAGUUCAAUUCUCUGAUCAUCAAACUUACUUCCUUUUCCUAGGAAUAAAAGAAACCCGAAAUAAGUCUCGACCCGUAGUCCUAUAAUCUACCGAUCCGAAACACGAGCCUAGAAGAAGAUGAGUAACCUAGUCCUUAAUUCCCGCAGAAAAGACGAGGAUGACCAGAAUAGAAUAACUUGAGAAGAGAACAAGAGUCUUACAUUCCCUUCCACAAACAAUUCCCUUAUAUAUAACUAAAGCAAUUCCAGACUCAAUUUCGACCAGUUUGGCUUAGUAAUCCUACAGUCAGUCAGGCUCUGAUACCAACGCUGUCGGGACCCCAAUCCUCAGUCAAAGGAAUCCAUCCUGUAACACAUCGCAUCUCUUUGCGGUCUCACGCACGGUUAUCCCCACGGCUGCAGCCUUACCUUAGCCGGGACCGUUUGCGCCUUUUGACUUGCGUAUGCAAUUGUGUCGCUAGCAAUCUAGUGACAGAGAACCUGGAUCGACAUGUCUAGUCAUAAACCAAAGCGACAGUUCCUCACAGGGACAAGGAUACAUGACCCAGCAAAGCAGGUGUCGGUCACCAGCGAAUGUAGACAAGUCAUAGCAAGCUACAGGGACUCAAUUACAUCGCGUGACAUUUUCCCAAAGGGGACACACACAACAGCUAAGAAGGACACAUGCCGGUCAACCAAUGUGUACGGAGCAGUAGUGAACUACCAUGGCUCGUUGGAUCACAAAGGGGAAUUUCCCUGUAAGGAAUGCUACUAAAGCCUACGGCUAGGUAAUCGAACCCCAUACAUAUCAAGUACGACACACGUACGCAUGGCAUACUGAUAUGUAUAGAUACAUCGAUGGCAUCACAACAUAACCAUAAACAUACAAGCUUUAUUUAAAAGGCUCAGAAGAGCCUCACACAUAAUAUUACAUAGUAGGGGUCUCACGACCCAUCAUAACAGUCAUUCAAGUUACAAGCCAGCGGAAGUCGAUAAACUGUCUAAGUACAGACAGAUGAAACUAGAAGGCACAUGGCCUGACUUACUACAGACCCAUCCUAGGGCCAGAUAGUAGCUGGGAUACCAGCUACUCGUCGUCGUCGAUGUCUAGGUAGAGCCCUCCAUUAGGGUCAUUAACAACCUCUGCAAAAAAUUAUUAAGCAAACGUGAGUACAGGGGUACUUAGCAAGACUUUAGGAUAACUAUCUACUCAUUCAAGGUAUCAAUAAGGAAUUGUGGGGUUUCAUGCGGAAAGCCAGCAUUUGACUCGUGGCUAGACAACUUGCAUUUUUAAAUAAUUUUGACAACUUCAUUUCUCGCACACGAGUCCACUAACACCACAACAAUACUCCAUCAUGGAAUCAUUCCGUCUCCAUACGGAAAUGCCGUCCACGACACUCACGCUUAUAUUGACAAUUUUAUGAGUAGCCAUUAAAGUUAUCUAUGAACAACAUAUGUCUCCAAGUAGUCCAUAUCCGCGGACGCGACUAUUCGAAUAGAUCAUAACCCUGCAGGGGUGUACUUCGUCACACACGCUCUCGCCACUUAUCGCCAUGUGCACGUCAUGCACCUCGGCAACCUUCAAGCGGAAGCCCAGCGAGGGAGUCGGCCACGACCGUUAACCACGCUAAUACUUAGUCCAGGUCUAUCGCCUAUCUGAGGGUAACCUGCACGGAAGUCCGGCCAUGGUUUCCGCCAUGGCCCCAAACGAUGUGCGCAGGGUUCCCAAGCCCACCAUCCAGGUGCCACUUGGUACACCGUGCCACUGCCUACCGCAUCACAGCCCACCUCUCAGGUCAGCGCUAUGAACGGCCUCUAGCAUGACUAUAAACACCAGAAACUACUUGCAACUCCUGGACCGAGUACUAAGUGAUUAAUAAGUCGAGAGGGUCAAUUAAGUAUCCCAACGUGUGGUAGUAUCUAGUCUUGGAUUACAUAGACGGAACUCAGUUCCUAAGGACGAUUCCAAUGAAACAACCCGCCAUGUACUCCUACAUAGCCUUUCACCGGUACCUUUACCAAAUCAGGUUCAACACACAACCUUUACUUACUGAACACAUUCUCACAAUUCUUUUCAUCUCCCAGAUGACAGACCAUACACAACUCUAAGCACAGCAUGCAUAGCAGGAUAAGGCACAUCAUGGCUCAAGCAUCUACCAGGUAUGCUAGGUUGCAAGGUUCAGCUAUUUACUGUGACAAAGACAGGUUAUGCAAAGGAAGUGGGUUCAACUAAUGUGGCAAAAGCAUUUGAAGCAUUUGAUCCUAAUGCAAUAAGUAAGUGCAGGAGCGAGAACAUGGGAUUUAUCGGGAUGAUCAAAAUGGUUGCUUGCCUUGUUGCUUAGUAGAGGGACAAUAUCCGUUAAUCGGAUAUUCGGUGGAAUCCGGAGGAGCGGAGCCUACAGAUAGAAAUGACAUCAAUUAAUAACAAUCAUAUGCAGCAAAAUGAUGCAUGGGCAUGGCAUGAAUAUGCAUGGUGGUAUGCUAAUUUAGCUACCAUUAUUAGGUUGAAGUGGAUUUGAAUAAGAUUCAAAUAUCACUUCAAGCGAGGUAUUCUCGAAUACCAUUUUAAUUGAUUCAACCUGAUGUUCAGAUCAACUUGUUUUUAACAUGCAUGGGAAUGAUACGUUAAGUUGCUGGUUGUGAUUGAUCAUUGUUUCAUCAUAGCAUUUGAAGUGGAAUUUAAAUGAUUUUCAAAUUCCAACUCCAAAGCAUUUAUUAAAUUUACCCUAUUCAUCAUUUUACAUGUUUUGUCCAGUAACAUUUUCAAACGUGUUUGAAAAUGAUAUAUUCAGAUUCCUUGGAUUUUUCUGAUACUUUUUCAUAUAUAAAUUAUUUCCAUUGGAGUUACAGAUUAAUUUCUAUGAUUUUUAGAAGUUUUGGGCAUUUUCUGGAAUUCUUUUAAAUUAGAAUAGCUACUUAUUGCCUCAGGCCCACGUCAGCAUGGCGUCAGCCGUUGGCUGACCUGGUCAGGUCAAACCCGACAGGGGGGACCCACUGGUCAGCCUCACAGGGCUAAUCCCGCGCUGACCAGCCCCUGAUUGCGUUUGACUUGCGCAUGCGCCCACUGUCAGCGACUACUUAGAGUUUAAACCGGCAGAGUAGUAAAGCGAGGUCAGAUCCUGCCAGAACUGACCGGCGGCGACCAGAUCCGUGUCAGAGAGUCACCGGAGUUAGCUCUGGUGCUCGGGAACGAGGGCUGAGAGCAGUGGGAGGAUCCCCAGCCUCGGCCUCAUCUUGUACUAGCCUCAGGGAGGACUGGGGAGGACCGGAGGUCAUCGGCGACGAGCGGAGGCGACGGCCGGAACUCGGGCUCGUCGGUUUAGCGGCUAGGGUGCACCAAACUGAGGGGAAGAAGAGGGGAAACGAGCGCAAUCUCACGGGGAGUGCAGUGGAGGGCUUAGACGGCUCGGGGAGGUGCUGUGGUCAACGAAUCCAACGAAGAUCGCCGGCGGCCGAAGGUUGAAGACGACGGUGCCGAGGGCGUUGCAGGGCUCGGGGGACCUUCUUCUUGGGCAGGGACGACCAGCUUGUUGAGGCGGAGCGAACGGAGCACUCGGGGGGAAGAACCUGUGGCUAGAGGGCUCGGGCAGGUCAAGCUCCUAUCAAUGGCGGGAGUGGGGAACGAAGCAACCGAGAGGAGAGGGGAGGAAUGUGUCACGAGGAUUGAUAGGGUCGUGCUCGGGGAGGUUAUCCUCGCCUUGCCAGCGCACCGAGAUGUCCAGGCAAGCAGAGAGCUGCGUGGAGGUGUCGGGCGUCGCGGCGGCCACCUUCUGCUCCCACCGGCGAGGAGGAAGACGACACGGGGGGAAGUUGGGCCUGGGCCAGGUGAGCGACAGGUAAGCGUUUUGCUAUUUUUUUUCUUGUUUUGUUUUCUGUUUUGCUAACUAUUUUGAUUUGCUAUUUAUUUCAGCUCCAAAAUAGCUUAUAAGAAUAUUUUGAACACACCAGAAUAAUAGUUGGAAUAUUUCCAACCAUUCUUGAAGUUUGCAACAUUUUUGAAACUUCAAAAUAUUUGAAUUCAAAUUUAAACUUGAAUCCAGUAGCUUUUUGAAUUUAAAUAAAAUGCCAAAUCUGUUUUAGAAAUAGUUUUCUUCCCUGAUUAUUUGUUUCCAUGAAUUAUCAGAAAAGUUGAACUUUUCUUGAGGCCAUUUUGGGUUCAUUGAUUUGAAAAAUUUUAGAAUUUCUUUGAAUUUGAGAAGUGGCUAGGGUUUUUGAGUUUUGCUUCACCACUUACUUUGAUCUUGAUUCAAUUUCUUGGAUGCAAUGCAAUGAAGAUAUGAGCACAAUGCUAAACCUUGGUUAGGGUUCGAGGGAUGUGACACACAUAUAAUAUUAUGAAGGCCACAGAGCUCCCACUCACUUUGUUGUAAAUACAAGAUUCUCCAACCACUUGUAUAAACCCAAAUGCUUUGAUCACCUCAUCAAAGCGCUUAUUCCAACUCCGAGAUGCUUGCACCAGUCCAUAAAUGGAUCGCUGGAGCCUGCAUACUUUGUUAGCAUUCUUUGGAUCGACAAAACCUUCAGGUUGAAUCAUAUGCAACUCUUCAUUAAGAAAACCGUUAUGGAACGCCGUUUUGACAUCCAUCUGCCAGAUUUCAUAAUCGUAAAAGGCAGUUAUUGCUAACAUGAUUCGGACGGACUUAAGCACCGCUACCGGUGAGAAAGUCUCAUCGUAGUCAACUCCUUGAACUUGUGAAAAACCCUUUGCCACAAGUCGAGCUUUAUAAAUGGUCACAUUACUGUCUGCGUCCGUCUUCUAAAUAGCCUUGCGGCCUUCAGGUAGUACUUCCAAAGUCCACACUUUGUUCUCGUACGUGGAUCCUAACUCGGACUCUAUGGCCUCUAGGCAUUUGUUGGAAUCCGGGCCCACCGUUGCCUCUUCAUAAUUCGCACGUUCAUUGUUGUCCAACAACAUAUUCGUUAAGACAGGAUUACCGUACCACUCAGGAGCAGUACGUGAUCUUGUCGACCUGCGAGGUCCGAUGGCAACUUGAUCCGAAGUUUCAUGAUCAUCAUCAUCAACUUGUUCCUCAACCGAGGCCGCAGCAACAGGGGUUUCCCCUUGCCCUGCGCCACCUUCUAGAGGAAUUAGAGGUUCGACAACCUCAUCAAGUUCAAUCUUCCGCCCACUCAAUUCUUUCGAGAGAAACUCUUUCUCAAGAAAAGUUCUGUUUUUACCAACAAACAUUUUGCCCUCGGAUUUGAGAUAGAAGGUAUACCCAACUGUCUCUUUUGGGUAACCUAUGAAGACGCACUUUUCCGCUUUGGGUUCCCACUUUUCAGGCUGAAGCUUUUUGACCUAAGCAUCACAUCCCCAAACUUUAAGAAACGACAAAUUUGGUCGUUUGCCAUACCACAGUUCGUAUGGUGUCGUCUCAACGGAUUUUGAUGGUGCCCUAUUGAAAGUGAAUGCAGCUAUCUCUAAUGCAUAACCCCAAAAUGAUAAUGGAAAAUCGGUAAGAGACAUCAUAGAUUGCACCAUCUCUAAUAAAGUACGAUUACGAUGUUUGGACACACCAUUACGCUGUGGUGUUCCAGGCGGUGUCAAUUGUGAAACAAUUCCACAUUGUCUUAAGUGAGCACCAAACUCGAAACUCAGAUAUUCUCCCCCACGAUCAGACCAUAGAAACUUGAUCUUUUUGUUACGAUGAUUUUCAACUUCACUCUGAAAUUGCUUGAACUUUUCAAACGUUUCAGACUUGUGCUUCAUCAAGUAGACAUAGCCAUAUCUACUCAAUUCGUCAGUGAAGGUGAGAAAAUAAUGAUAUCCAUCGUGCGCCUCCACACUCAUCGGACCGCACACAUCGGUAUGUAUGAUUUCCAACAAAUCACUUGCACGCUCCAUUGUUCCGGAGAACAGAGUCUUAGUCAUCUUGCCCAUGAGGAAUGGUUCACACGUGUCAAGUGAAUCAAAGUCAAGUGACUCCAAAAGUCCAUCGGUAUGGAGUUUCUUCAUCCGCUUUACACGAAUAUGACCUAAGCGACAGUUCCAUAAAAACAUGGUGCUAUCAUUGUUAACUCUAACUCUUUUAGUCUCAAUGUUAUGUAUAUGUGUAUCAUCUCUAUCAAGAUUCAAUGUGAACAAUCCUCUCACAUUGGGUGCAUGACCAUAAAAGAUAUUACUCAUAGAAAUAGAACAACCAUUAUUCUCUGACUUAAACAAGUAACCGUCUCGCAAUAAACAAGAUCCAGAUAUAAUGUUCAUGCUUAACGCAGGCACUAAAUAACAAUUAUUUAAGUUCAUAACUAAUCCUGAUGGUAACUGAAGUGAAACUCUGCCGACGGUGAUUGCAUCAACCUUGGAACCAUUUAAAACGCACAUCGUCAGUUCAUGUUUCACCAGCCUUCGCUUAUUCCGCAGUUCCUGUUUCGAGUUGCAAAUAUGAGCAACAGAACCAGUAUCGAAUACCCAGGCACUACUACGAGAGAUGGUUAAGUACACAUCAAUAACAUGUAUAUCGAAUAUACCUGAUUUUUCCUUGGCCGCCAUCUUAUCAACCAGAUCCUUGGGGCAGUUGCGCUUCCAGCGACCCAUACCCUUGCAAUAAUAACACUCUGUUUCAGGCUUAGGUCCAGCUCUGGUUUUCUUCGUCGGAUUGGCAAUAGGCUUUCCACUCUUCUUGGAGUUACCCUUCUUUCCUUUGUCGUCUCUCUUGAAACUAGUGGUCUUACUCACUAUCAAUAGUUGAUGCUCUUUACGGGGUUAUGACUCUGCGACUUUUAGCAUCGCGAAUAACUCACCGGGUGACUUGUUCAUCCCUUGCAUGUUAUAGUUCAACACAAAGCUCUUGUAGCUUGGUGGCAGUGAUUGAAGAAUUCUGUCAGUGAUAGCCUCUUGCGGGAGUUCAAUCCCGAGCUCAGCUAGACGGUUUGAGUACCCAACCAUUUUGAGCAAAUGUUCAUUGACAGACGAAUUCUCCUCCAUCUUGCAAGCAUAGAAUUUAUCGGAGGUCUCAUACCUCUCGAUCUGGGCAUUAUUACGAAAGAUAAACUUCAACUCCUGGAACAUCUCAAAUGCUCCAUGACGCUCAAAGCGACGUUGAAGUCCCGGGUCUAAGCCAUACAAGACUGCACAUUGAACUACUGAGUAGUCCUCCUUACGGGUUAACCAACCGUUCUUAACAUCUUGGUCAGCCGUAGCGGGUGGUUCAUCUCCUAGCGCAGUAUUAAGGACAUAAUCCUUCUUCCCGUCUUGUAGGAGCAACUUAAGAUUACAAGCCGAGUCUACAAAGUUGCUUCCAUCAUCUUUCAACUUAGGUUUCUCUAGGAACGUAUUAAAAUUUAGGGUGACUAUCGCAUGAGCCAUUGAUCUACAACACAAAUAUUUUCAAAGUGGACUUAGACUAUGUUCAAGAUAAUUAGAGUUUAACUAAUCAAAUUACUUGCUAAACUCCCACUCAAAAAGUACAUCUCUCUAGUCAUUUGAGUGGUACAUGAUCCAAAUUCACUAACUCAAGUCCGAUCAUCACAUGAGUUGAGAGCAGUUUCAGUGAUAAGCAUCUCUAUGCUAAUCAUAUCUACUAUACGAUUCAUGCUCGACCUUUCGGUCUCAUGUGUUCCGAGGCCAUGUCUGCACAUGCUAGGCUCGUCAAGCUUAACCCGAGUGUUCCGCGUGUGCAACUGUUUUGCACCCAUUGUAUGUGAACGUUGAGUCUAUCACACCCGAUCAUCAUGUGGUGUCUCGAAACGACGAACUGUAGCAACGGUGCACAGUCGGGGAGAACACAAUUUCGUCUUGAAAUUUUAGUGAGAGAUCACCAUAUAAUUGUACCGUCGUUCUAAGCAAAAUAAGGUACAUAAAAGGACUAACAUCACAUGCAAUUCAUAAGUGACAUGAUAUGGCCAUCAUCAUGUGGUUCUUGAUCUCCAUCACCAAAGCACCGGCAUGAUCUUCUUGUCACCGGCACCACACCAUGAUCUCCAUCAUCAUGAUCUCCAUCAACGUGUCGCCAUCAGGGUUGUCAUGCUAAUUAUGCUAUUACAACUAAAGCUACGUCCUAGAAAUACAGUAAACACAUCUACAAAGACAAACGUUAGUUUAAAGAUAACCCUAUGGCUCCUGCCAGUUGCCUUACCAUCGACGUGCAAGUCGAUAUUAACUAUUACAACAUGAUCAUCUCAUACAUCCAAUAUAUCUCAUCACGUCAUUGGCCAUAUCAUAUCACAAGCAUACCGUGCAAAAACAAGUUAGACGUCCUCUAAUUUGUUGUUGCAUGUUUUACGUGGCUGCUAUGGGUAUCUAGUAGAUCGCAUCUUAUUUACGCAAAAACCACAACGGAGAUGUGCGAAUUGCUAUUUAACUUCUCCAAGGACCGCCCUGGUCAAAACCAAUUCAACUAAAGUUGAACAAACCGACACCCGCCAGUCAUCUUUAUGCAAAAAAGAUUGCAUGUCAAGCGAUGAAACCAGUCUUUCGUAAGCGUAUGAAUAAUGUCGGUCUGGGCCGCUUCAAUCCAACAAUACCGCCGAAUCGAGAAAAGACUAAGGAGGGCAGCAAAUCGAACAUCACCAUCCACAAAACCCAUUGUGUUCUACUCGAGAUAACAUCUACGCAUGAACCUAGCUCAUGAUGUUGUUGGGGGACGUCGCAUGGGAAACAAAAAAUUUCCUACGCACACGAAGACCUAUCAUGGUGAUGUCCAUCUAUGAGAGGAGAUUUGGAUCUAUGUACGCUUGUAGAUCGCAUAGCAGGAAGCGUUAAGAAAUGUGGUUGAUGUAGUGGAACAUCCUCACGUCCCUCGAUCCACCCCGCGAACCGUCCCACGAACCGUCCCACGAUCCGUCCCACGAACCGUUCCGAUCUAGUGCCGAACGGACGACACUUCCGCAUUCAGCACACGUAUAGCUCGACAAUGAUCUCGGCCUUCCUGAUCCAGCAAGCAAGACGGAGAAGUAGAUGAGUUCUCAGGCAGCGUGACGGCGCUCCGGUGGUGGUGAAGGAUCUACUCCUGCAGGGCUCCGCCCGAGCUCCGCAGAAAUACGAUCUAGAGGUAAAACUAUGGUGUCUAGAUCUGAGUUGCACGUGGCAAAAGUUGUCUCAAAUCAUCCCUAAAUCACCACUAUAUAUAGGAGGGAGGGGGAGGAGGCUUGCCUUGAGGGCAAAGCCCUCAAGGGUGCACCGGCUAGGGAGGAGGAGGAGUCCUACUCCAGUCCUACUCCAACUAGGAUUGGAAAGUGGAGUCCUUCCCUUCCUUCCCACCUUUCUUUUUUUAUUUUCUUUGGUUUUUAUCCUUGGCGCAUAGGCCCUCUUGGGUUGUCCCACCAGCCCACUAAUGGCUGGUGCGCCACCACUAGGGCCUUUGGGCUUCCCCCGGGAGGGUUGCCCUCCUCCCGGUGAACAUCCAGAACCCAUUCGUCACUCCCGGUACAAUCCCGGUAAUGCCCGAAAACCUUCCGGUAACCAAAUGAAGUCAUCCUAUAUAUCAAUCUUCGUCUAUGGACCAUUCCAGAAAUGCUCGUGACGUCUGUGAUCUCAUCUGGGACUCUGAACAACAUUCGGUAACCAUAGAUAUAACUCAACUAUAAUAAAACAUCACCGAACCUUAAGUGUGCACACCCUGCUGGUUCGAGAACUAUGUAGACAUGCCCCAAGGUACUCCUCGGUCAAUAUCCAAUAGCGAGACCUGGAAGCCCAUAUUGGAUCCUACAUAUUCUCCGAAGAUCUUAUCGGUUGAACCUCAGUGUCAAUGAUUCAUAUAAUUUCGUAUGUCAUUGCCUUUUGUCCUCCGGUAUGUUACUUGCCCGAGAUUCGAUCGUCGCUAUUCGCAUACCUAUUUCAAUCUCGUUACCGACAAUUCUCUUUACUCGUUCCCUAAUACAAGUUCCCAUGACUUACACUUAGUCACAUUGCUUGCAAGGCUUGUGUGUGAUGUUGUAUUACCGAGUGGGCCCCGAGAUACCUCUCCGUCAAACGGAGUGACAAAUCCCAAUCUUGAUCCGUACUAACUCAAAGGACACCUUCGGAGAUACCUGUAGAGCACCUUUAUAGUCACCCAGUAACAUUGUGACAUUUGAUGCACACAAGGUAUUCCUCCGGUGCCAAUGAGUUAUAUUAUCUCAUGGUCAUAGGAACAAAUACUUGACACGCAGAAAACUAUAGCAAUAAAACGACACAAUCAAUAUGCUACUUUCAUAGUUUGGGUCUAGUCCAUCACAUGAUUCUCCUAAUGAUGUGAUCCAGUUAUCAAGUAACAACACUUUGCACGUAGUUAGAAAACCAUGACUAUCCUUGAUCAACUAGCUAGACAACUAGAGGCUUGCUAGGGACAUUCUUUUGUCUAUGUAUCCACACAUGUAUCUAUGUUUUCAUUCAAUACAAUUAUAGCAUGGAUAAUAAAUGAUUAUCUUUAAACUAGAAAUAUAAUAAUAACUAUUUAUCAUUGCCUCUAGGGCAUAUUUCUAACAGUGGGCUGGUGCGCCUCCACAAUCAGCCUAAGCCGCAUCAAGGGGUGGAGGAGGCAACACCCUAGGCGUGGGGAGGCCACCUUGGGCCUCAAGGCCCACCCUAGGGUGCCUCCACCACGGUGGCUGCCACCCAAAGCCAUCUAGGGCUGCCGUACCCUUAGGGUGGGAAACCCUAAAGGGUGGGCAUCCUCCUCCCUCUCCUCCUAUAUAUAGUGAGGGUUUUGGGCUGAUUUGAGACAACAAUUUCUCUCUCUCUCUCAGCGCAGCCCUACUCCUCCUCAGUAGUGCUUGGCGAAGCCCUGUCGGAGUGCCACGUAGCUCCACCAUCACCACGCCGUCGUGUUGCCGGAGCUCUCCCUCAAUCUCUCCCUCCUUGCUAGAUCAAGGCGUUGGAGACGUCAUCGGGCUACACGUCUGUUGAACGCGGAGGCACCGUUGUUUGGUGCAUCGAUCAUAAUCCACCGUGAUCUCAAUCGCCGCGAGUACGACUCCAUCAAAAGUGGCUUCUGCUUAGCGAUCUUUAAAGGUAUGAAGAUGCUCUACCCCUUUUCUCGUUGUUGGUUUCUCCAUAGAUAGAUCCUUGCAUGACGUAGGAUUUUUUUUGAAAUUACUACGUUCCCCAACAGUGGCAUCCGAGCGAAGGUUCUUUGCGUAGAUUCUAUGCACGAGUAGAACACAAAAUUUGUGGGUGUUGAUUUUGUGAGUUGAUUGCCGUUACUAGUCUUAUCUUUAUUCGACGACAUUGUGGGAUGAAGCGGCCCGAACCAACUUUACACGUACUCUUACGUGAGACUGGUUCCACCGACCGACAUGCACUUGUUGCAUAAGGUGGCUAGCGGGUGUCUGUCUCUCCCACUUUACUCGGAUCAGAUUCAUUGAAGAGGGUCCUUAUGAAGGGUAAAUAGCAUUGGCACAUCAACGUUGUGGGUGUCACGUAGGUAAGAAGCGUUCUUGCUAGAAACCCUAAUCAGCCACGUAAAACUUGCAACCACAAUUGGAGGACGUCUAACUUGUUUUUGCAGGGUAUGCUAUGUGAUGUGAUAUGGCCAAAAGGAUGUGAUGUCACAUAUGUGAUGUAUGAGAUUGAUCAUGUUCUUGUAAUAGGAUUCACGAUUUGCAUGUCGAUGAGUAUGACAACCGGCAGGAGCCAUAGGAGUUGUCUUAAUUUAUUGUAUCAGAUGCGGAUUGGGCUCAUAACUUAAAGCUCAUCCUCACAGCUUGCAAGAAGGCAUAUGUCCUUAAUGCACCGCUAGGUUAUCCUCCCGUUCCUGCGGCAACCCAGGACAUUAGGAACGCCUGACAGUCGCGGAGUGAUGACUACUCUCUGGUUCAGUGCGACAUGCUUUAUAGUUUAGAAUCGGGGCUCCAAAGGCAUUUUGAGCAACACGGAGCAUAUGAGAUGUUCGAGGAGUUGAAACUUGUCUUUCAAGCUCAUGCCUGGGUCAAGAGAUAUGAAGUCUCCGACAAGUUCUUUAGAUGUAAGAUGGAGGAGAAUAGUUUUGUCAGUGAGCACAUACUCAGAAUGUAUGGGUUGCACAACUGCUUGACUCACUUGGGAGUUGAACUUCCGGAUGAUGCGGUCAUUGAUAGAAUCCUCCAGUCGCUUCCACCUAGCUAUAAAGGCUUUUUGAUGAAAUACAACAUGCAAGGGAUGGAAAAGACUAUUCCUGAGUUGUAUUCAAUGCUGAAAUCUGCGGAGGUAGAAAUCAAGAAAGAACAUCAAGUGUAGAUGGUGAAUAAGACCAGUAGUUUCAAGAAAGGCAAAGGUAAAAAGAACUGCAAGAAAGACGGCAAAGCAGUUGCCGCGCCCAGUAAACCAGUUGUCGGGAAGAAACCAAAGAAAUGACCUAAGCCUGAGACUGAGUGCUAUUACUGCAAGGGAACCGGACACUGGAAGCGGAAUUGCCCUAAGUACUUAGCGGACAAGAAGGCCCGCAACGUCAAAGGUAUAUGUGAUACACUUGUUAUUAAUGUGUACCUUACCAGCGCUCGUAGUAGCUCCUGGGUACUUGAUAACGCUGUUGUUGCUCACAUUUGCAACUCUAAGAAGGAACUGUGGAACAAGCGUAGGCUAUGAUGAUGCGCAUCGGGAAUGGUUCCAAGAUCGAUGUGAUCGCCAUCGGCACGCUACCUCUACAUCUACCCUCGAGAUUAGUUUUGAACCUUAAUAAUUGUUAUUUAGUACUAGCUUUGAGCAUGAACAUUGUAUCGGGAUCUCGCUUGAUGCAAGAUGGCUACUUAUUGAAAUAUGAGAAUAAUGGUUGUUCUAUUUAUAUGAGUGGUAUGUUUUAUUUUCAUGCCACGCUCGUCAAUGGUUUAUUCCUGAUGAAUGUCGAUCGUGAUGUUACACAUAUUCAUAGUGUGAGUACCAAAAGAUGUAAGGUUGAUAAUGAUAGUCCCACAUACUUGUGGCACUACCGCCUUGGUCAUAUCGGUGUCAAGCGCAUGAAUAAACUCCAUACACAUGGACUUUUGGAGUCUCUUGAUUUUGAAUCAUUUGACACAUACGAACCAUGCCUCAUGGGCAACAUGACCAAGACUCCGUUCUCCGGAACAAUGGGCCGAGCAACCAACUUAUUGGAAAUAAUACAUACCGAUGUAUGCGGUCCAAUGAGCGUGGAGACUCGCGGAGGCUAUCUUUAUGUUCUCACCCUCACUGAUGAUUUAAGUAGAUAUGGGUAUGUCUACCUAAUGAAGCACAAGUCUGAAACCUUUGAAAGGUUCAAGGAAUUUCAGAGUGAGGUGGAGAAUCAACGUGACAAGAAAAUAAAGUUUCUACGAUGUGAUUGUGAAGGAGAAUGUUUGAGUCAUGAGUUUGGCACACACCUAAGGAAAUGUGGAAUUGUUUCACAACUCACGCCGCCUAGCACAACACAGCAUAACAUUGUGUCUGAACGGCGUAAUCGCACUCUAUUGGAUAUGGUGCGAUCUAUGAUGUCUCUUACUGAUUUACCGCUAUCAUUUUGGGGAUAUGCAUUGGAAACUGAUGCAUUCAAUUUAGAUAGGGAACCGUCUAAAUCCGUUGAGACGACAACGUAUGAAUUUUGGUUUGGCAAGAAACCUAAGCCAUCGUUUCCGAAAGUUUAGGACUGCGAUACUUAUGUGAAGAAACUUCAACUAGAGAAUCUCGAACCCAAAGCAGAAAAAUGCGUCUUCAUAGGAUACCCUGAGGAAACUAUUGGAUACACCUUCUAUCAUAGAUCCGAAGGCAAAAUCUUUGUUGCCAAGAACGAAUCCUUUCUAGAGAAAGACUUCCUCUCGAAAGAAGUAAGUGGGAGGAAAAUAGAACUUGAUGAGGUAAAUGUACCCCCUCUCGAACCGAAGAGUAGCGCAGCACAAGAAAAUGUUUCUGAGGUGCCAGCACCGGCUAGAGAAGAAGUUAAUGAUGAUGAUCAUGAAACUUCAGAUCAAGUUGCUUUUGAACCUUGAAGGUCCACAAUGACACGUUUUGCACUAGAGUGGUACGGCAACCCCGUCAUGGAAAUCAUGUUGUUAGACAACAAUGAACCUUCGAACUAUGAAGAAGCGACGGCGGGCCUGGAUUCCAACAAAUGGCAUGAGGCCAUGAAAUCCGAGAUAGGAUCCAUGUAUGAGAACAAAGUAUGGACUUUGGUGGACUUGCCCGAUGAUCGGCGAGCGAUAGAAAAUAAAUGGAUCUUUAAGAAGAAGACUAACGCGGAUGGUAAUGUGACAAUCUAUAAGGCUCGACUAGUCGCUAAGGUUUAUCGACAAGUUCAAGGGAUUGACUACGACGAGACUUUCUCACCCGUAGUGAUGUCGAAGUCGGUCUGAAUCAUGUUAGCAAUUGCUGCAUUUUAUGAUUAUAAAAUAUGGCAAAUGGACGUCAAAACAGCAUUCCUGAACGGCUUUCUUAAGGUAGAAUUUUAUAUGAUACAGUCGGAAGGUUUUGUCGNNNNNNNNNNNNNNNNNNNNNNNNNNNNNNNNNNNNNNNNNNNNNNNNNNNNNNNNNNNNNNNNNNNNNNNNNNNNNNNNNNNNNNNNNNNNNNNNNNNNNNNNNNNNNNNNNNNNNNNNNNNNNNNNNNNNNNNNNNNNNNNNNNNNNNNNNNNNNNNNNNNNNNNNNNNNNNNNNNNNNNNNNNNNNNNNNNNNNNNNNNNNNNNNNNNNNNNNNNNNNNNNNNNNNNNNNNNNNNNNNNNNNNNNNNNNNNNNNNNNNNNNNNNNNNNNNNNNNNNNNNNNNNNNNNNNNNNNNNNNNNNNNNNNNNNNNNNNNNNNNNNNNNNNNNNNNNNNNNNNNNNNNNNNNNNNNNNNNNNNNNNNNNNNNNNNNNNNNNNNNNNNNNNNNNNNNNNNNNNNNNNNNNNNNNNNNNNNNNNNNNNNNNNNNNNNNNNNNNNNNNNNNNNNNNNNNNNNNNUGAGUAUCGUCCCCUAUGCUUCAUCCAUAUGCUCUAUUAUGUAUGCCAUGUUGUGUACCAGACCUGAUGUGAACCUUGCCAUAAGUUUGGUAGGGAGGUACCAAAGUGAUCCAGAAGUGGAUCACUGGACAGCNNNNNNNNNNNNNNNNNNNNNNNNNNNNNNNNNNNNNNNNNNNNNNNNNNNNNNNNNNNNNNNNNNNNNNNNNNNNNNNNNNNNNNNNNNNNNNNNNNNNACAACCAUCCGAUCCGUUCCGUCUUUCUUCUUGACGAAGAGGACGGGACAAGCCCAAGGAGAAGAGCUAGGACGAAUGAAACCCUUGCUCAAGGCCUCAUCUAGUUGCUUCUUAAGUUCGGCUAGCUCUAGGGGUGCCAUCUUAUAAGGUCUUCUGGCUAUUGGGACAGUUCCCGGAACAAGGUCUAUCACAAACUCUACAUCUUUGUCAGGUGGAAUUCCUGGCAGUUCCUCUGGAAAAACAUCCGGAAAGUCACGGACUACCGGAAUGUCUUCAAGUUCCGGAAGAGGGUUGGCAUUUAAGGAAUAGAGCUGGCAUUUGGCAACUCGAGUAGAGACAUUUACUAUCUCACCCGAGGGAUGGGGAAGCUGGACAUUUCUAGAGUGAGUAUCAAUCUUGGCAUAGUGAGCUGACAUCCAGUCCAUGCCCAGGAUGAUAUUAAUAUCUGAAGAUUUCAAUGCUAUCAAUGAGGCUAGAAAAACUAGCAUGUCUACUAGAAUUUCAUUGUCAUAGAUUAUCCUAGAGGUUUUCCAUUUACUACCAGGGGUUUGGACAACCAAUGGGAUUGGCAUAUCACAAAAUGACAUGUUAUGCAACUGUGCAUAACUUUCUGAAAUGAAGGAAUGAGAUGACCGAGUGUCAGAGAGAACGGACGAUGGGUGAUGAUUAACAAGAAGCGUACCCAGCAUGACGUCGGGAUCCUCUGCGGCUUCUUCUGCUGACACAUAGUUCACACGGCCACGUGCAGGAGUUGGCUUUACAUAAUAAGCUUUGCCCGACUUGGCUUGCCCGACGGACUUUCCGGGUUGCUUGGCACCUACAUUCUGAGGACACUCACGGGAAUAAUGCCCUGGUUCCCCACACUUGUAGCAUAUCACCUGGUUGGCACGUGGUGCAGCAUUGCUAGCUGGACCACCAUAAGCUUUUGCUGGAGGGUUGGCCUGAUUCGUCUGAGGCGCCACGUAGGAUGGCCUCGGAGUGUAUCUUGGCGGCAGAGAACUGUUUGGAACCCACAGCCUGCGUUUUGGAAACGCGGAACCAGACGAUGAGCCAAAGUCACGGGAGUGCUUCCUUGUGGCUUCGAAGUCAGUAUGACCAGUCUCCGCACUGAUCGCUUUGUUGACCAGGGCUUGAAAACUUGCACACUCAUGGAGGCGCAGGUCUCGACGGAGCUCAGGGCUCAGACCCUUACGGAAUCUUGCUUGCUUCUUGGCGUCAGUAGACACCUCCUCUGUUGCAUAGCGGGCGAGGUUACCGAACUCGCGGCUAUAGGCAUCCACAGACAACUUGCCCUGAGUGAAGGCACAGAACUCCUCUCUCUUUCUGUCCAUCAGGCCCUCUGGAAUAUGGUGCAGACGAAAAGCUGCACUGAAGUCUGCCCACGUGGCCACUGGUUCAGCGGGACGCAUAGCUUCAAAAUUCUCCCACCACAGAUUGGCGGGUCCCUCCAGGAAAUACGCCGCAAAGGUCACCUUGUCAGCCUCAGACACAUUCGCCGAGCGAAUCUUGCGUGAGAUGCUGCACAGCCAGUCAUCAGCGUCGAGGGGAUCGACGGAAUGAUGAAACUUUGGAGGAUUCAGCUUCACAAAGUCAUUGAGGGACACUGCAGCAUUCCUAGGCCGUCGAGCCGUAUUCUGCUCAAUACGCUCUAGCAGUCGGUUGGUCUCCCUUUUGUUUCUUUCUGCCUCAAGCAUCACUUCUACCAGAGAAGGUGGGUGAGGCAGAUCUUCCUGCGACGCUUGACUACCCUCACCUUGCUCAUGAGCAGGGGCACGGUUCAACCUGGUGAACACCAUCCUGACAAACAAACUCAUAGCUUAGACCAAUAUCAUAUCAAUACUAGCUAUGGAUUAAGAAUGUACUGAACACACGGAAUGCGGAAAUGAAUAUCCGAACAACAUGGUAACAAGCAACUGCUAUAUAUACACCAUGGUUCAUACACACCCUUACAUAGUUCAGUACAAACUUACCCGAAGAGCAAACUACUGAAAUUGUGAAACUACUCAUCAGAGGCGUACAAGCUUCCCAUACAUUAUUUCUCUAGGCCUCCGGAAUUCAUUUCACAUUACUACCAUACUUCACAAGUCACGCAGGACUGUGAACGUACGGCUACUAACAUACUAUCUUUCCGCUCACAGCUCACGCAUCCGCAUAGAACAUCUCAUAGAGAUUACCUCCAUGACCUGGAAGCUCAACCUGCGGAUCAGGAAACACUCUAGCCUGAGAUCCCUGGGGUCCAUAAGGACAAGGAUGUGGCCUUGGUCCCCUGACUGGUGGUAAGAGGGGUCCCCGAAGAGGUGUGACUCCUCCUAUAGCUGGCCAGUCAACGUGGGCCGGAAGAUGGGUUCUAACAGGGUUCAGCAUCUCCAUCUCUCCAUACCCUGUCUGGACUACCGGUGCCAGCUGCGUCAAAACUGUCCACAGACGGGCACGGGUAGCAUAAAGCUCCAUGCGGAGAGCACGAGCAUCCCUGUCUCUGUUCUCUAGCAUCUCAACAGUGGACUGCAGAAGUGGAUCCUCCAUAGAAGAAUCAAAAUAGACUCCACUGAGGUAUCCCUCUUCACCAGACUGAGAGGCCGGAACAUAGCAGAACUCUGAAUUCUGCAGCAGUGCAUGUCUCGCUCUCAUAAUAGUCAGCAUUGAAUAGGCAGCACCCUGUACUGCCAUGUCAACGGUGACCCCCAACCCAUAGGUCCAAUGGAUUGGCUUCUCCGCUCCAGGGUAGUCUGGGAAUACCCUAACAGUGCAGAUGUACUGGCUCUGGUUGAAGUCCCGGUACUGUUCCUCCACUGUGUACUCGGGGUACCAGUGGUAACCGCACACCGACAUCACCCUGACCAGCAUGGCCGUAUGACCCGGUACAUCAAUGCACCUGGUCAGACGUACCACCUGACGAGAAGGACGGCCAGGCAUCUAUAAAUAGAGAGUAAUGCAAAAGCAUUAGAGCUCUGAAUGCAAAAUUGGGCAGCAUAACGGCUGUAAAUGCUCAAAACAAAUUUUGAGACAACCCAAAAUGGAAUAGCAUAACCACUCAACUAUCAAGUUCAACUCUCUGAUCAUCAAACUUACUUCCUGCUUCCUGGGAAUAAAAGAAACCCAAUAUCUCUCGACCCGUAGUCCUAUAAGCUACCGAUCGGAAACACGAGCCUAGGAGAAGAUGAGUAACCUAGUCCUUAAUUCCCGCAGAAGAGACGAGGAUGACCAGAAUAGAAUAACUUGGGAAGAGAACAAGAGUCUUACGUUUCCUUCCACAAACAAUUCCCUUAUAUAUAACUAAAGCAAUUCUAGACUCAACUUCGACCAGUUUGGCUUAGUAAUCCUACAGUCAGUCAGGCUCUGAUACCAACGCUGUCGGGACCCCGAUCCUAAGCCAUAGGAAUCCAGCCUGUAACACAUCGCAUCUCUUUGUGGUCUCACGCACGGUUAACUCCACGGCUGCCGCCUUACCUUAGCCGGGACCGUUUGCGUCUUUCGACUCACGUAUGCGAUAGGUGUCGCUAGCAAUCCAAUGUCAAAGAACCCGGAUCGACAUGUCUAGUCAUAAACCAAAGUGGCAGUUCCGUACAAGGACAGGCAUACAUGACCCAACAAAGCAGGUGUCGGUCAUCAGCGAACGUAGACGAGUCAUAGCAAGCUACAAGGACUCCAUUACGUCGCGUGACAUUUCCCCAAAGAGGAUAGACACAGCAGCUAAGAAGGACACAUGCCGGUCAACCAAUGUGUCCGGAGCAGUAGCGGACUACCAAGGCUCGUUGGAUCACAAAGGGGCAUUUCCUUGUAAGAAGUGCUACUAAAGUUCACGACUAGGUAUUCGAACCCCAUACAUAUCAAGUAUGACACACGUACGCAUGGCAUACCGAUAUGUAUAGAUACAUCGAUGGCAUCACAACAUAACCAUAAACAUACAACCUUUAUUCAGGAGGCUCGGAAGAGCCACACACAUAAUAUUACACAUUAAGGUCUCUCGACCCAUAAUAGCAGUCAUACAACUACAAGCCAGCGGAAGAGUUAUAAACUGUCUGGGUACAGACAGUGCAACUAAAGGGCACAUGGCCUGGCUAUACUACAGAGCCGACGUAGGGCCAGAUCGUAGCUGGGACACCAGCUACUCGUCGUCGUCGAUGUCUACGAAGAACCCUCCAUUAGGGUCAUGAGCAACCUCUGCAACAUUUAUUAAGCAAACAUGAGUACGAAGGUACUCAGCAAGACUUUAGGAGAACUAACUACUCAUGCAAGGUAUCAAAGAGUAUUGUGGGGUUUCAUGCGGAAAACCAGCAUUUGACUCGUGGCUAGACAACUUGCAUUUUGAAAUUAGUUUUGACAACUUGAUUUCUCGCACACGAGUCCACUAACACCACAACAAUACACUAUCGUGGAAUCAUCCCGUCUCCAUGCGGAAAUGUCGUCCACGACACUCACGCUUAUCUUGACAAAUUUUAUGAGUAGCCAUUGAAGUUAUCUAUGAACAACAUAUGUCUCCAAGUAGUCCAUAUCCGCGGACGCGGCUAUUCGAAUAGAUCAUAACCCUGCAGGGGUGUACUUCGUCACACACGCUCUCGCCACUUAUCGCCAUAUGCACGUCAUGCACCUCGGCAACCUUCAAGCGGAAGCCCAGCGAGGGAGUCGGCCACGACCGUUAACCACACUAGUACCUAGUCCAGGUUUAUCGCCUAUCUGAGAGUAACCCGUACGGAAGUCCGGCCGGGGUUUCGGCCACGGCCUCAAACGAUGUGCGCAGGGUUCCCAAGCCCACCAUCCGGGUGCCACUUGGUACACCGUGCCACUGCCUACCGCAUCACGGCCCACCUCUCAGGUCAGCACCAUGCACGGCCUCCAGCAUUACUAUAAACACCAGAAACUACUUGCAACUCCUUGACCGAGUACUACGCGAUUAAUAGGCCGAGCGGGGUCAUAUUUCAGGGCCCAGCAUGUGGUAGUAUCUAGUCUUGGAUUACAUACACGGAACUCAGUUCCUAAGGACGGUUCCAAUGAAACAACCCGCCAUGUACUCCUACACAGCCUUUCACCGGUACCUUUACCAAAUCAAGUUCAACACACAACCUUUGCUCACCGAACACAUUCCACAUUUCUGNNNNNNNNNNNNNNNNNNNNNNNNNNNNNNNNNNNNNNNNNNNNNNNNNNNNNNNNNNNNNNNNNNNNNNNNNNNNNNNNNNNNNNNNNNNNNNNNNNNNNNNNNNNNNNNNNNNNNNNNNNNNNNNNNNNNNNNNNNNNNNNNNNNNNNNNNNNNNNNNNNNNNNNNNNNNNNNNNNNNNNNNNNNNNNNNNNNNNNNNNNNNNNNNNNNNNNNNNNNNNNNNNNNNNNNNNNNNNNNNNNNNNNNNNNNNNNNNNNNNNNNNNNNNNNNNNNNNNNNNNNNNNNNNNNNNNNNNNNNNNNNNNNNNNNNNNNNNNNNNNNNNNNNNNNNNNNNNNNNNNNNNNNNNNNNNNNNNNNNNNNNNNNNNNNNNNNNNNNNNNNNNNNNNNNNNNNNNNNNNNNNNNNNNNNNNNNNNNNNNNNNNNNNNNNNNNNNNNNNNNNNNNNNNNNNNNNNNNNNNNNNNNNNNNNNNNNNNNNNNNNNNNNNNNNNNNNNNNNNNNNNNNNNNNNNNNNNNNNNNNNNNNNNNNNNNNNNNNNNNNNNNNNNNNNNNNNNNNNNNNNNNNNNNNNNNNNNNNNNNNNNNNNNNNNNNNNNNNNNNNNNNNNNNNNNNNNNNNNNNNNNNNNNNNNNNNNNNNNNNNNNNNNNNNNNNNNNNNNNNNNNNNNNNNNNNNNNNNNNNNNNNNNNNNNNNNNNNNNNNNNNNNNNNNNNNNNNNNNNNNNNNNNNNNNNNNNNNNNNNNNNNNNNNNNNNNNNNNNNNNNNNNNNNNNNNNNNNNNNNNNNNNNNNNNNNNNNNNNNNNNNNNNNNNNNNNNNNNNNNNNNNNNNNNNNNNNNNNNNNNNNNNNNNNNNNNNNNNNNNNNNNNNNNNNNNNNNNNNNNNNNNNNNNNNNNNNNNNNNNNNNNNNNNNNNNNNNNNNNNNNNNNNNNNNNNNNNNNNNNNNNNNNNNNNNNNNNNNNNNNNNNNNNNNNNNNNNNNNNNNNNNNNNNNNNNNNNNNNNNNNNNNNNNNNNNNNNNNNNNNNNNNNNNNNNNNNNNNNNNNNNNNNNNNNNNNNNNNNNNNNNNNNNNNNNNNNNNNNNNNNNNNNNNNNNNNNNNNNNNNNNNNNNNNNNNNNNNNNNNNNNNNNNNNNNNNNNNNNNNNNNNNNNNNNNNNNNNNNNNNNNNNNNNNNNNNNNNNNNNNNNNNNNNNNNNNNNNNNNNNNNNNNNNNNNNNNNNNNNNNNNNNNNNNNNNNNNNNNNNNNNNNNNNNNNNNNNNNNNNNNNNNNNNNNNNNNNNNNNNNNNNNNNNNNNNNNNNNNNNNNNNNNNNNNNNNNNNNNNNNNNNNNNNNNNNNNNNNNNNNNNNNNNNNNNNNNNNNNNNNNNNNNNNNNNNNNNNNNNNNNNNNNNNNNNNNNNNNNNNNNNNNNNNNNNNNNNNNNNNNNNNNNNNNNNNNNNNNNNNNNNNNNNNNNNNNNNNNNNNNNNNNNNNNNNNNNNNNNNNNNNNNNNNNNNNNNNNNNNNNNNNNNNNNNNNNNNNNNNNNNNNNNNNNNNNNNNNNNNNNNNNNNNNNNNNNNNNNNNNNNNNNNNNNNNNNNNNNNNNNNNNNNNNNNNNNNNNNNNNNNNNNNNNNNNNNNNNNNNNNNNNNNNNNNNNNNNNNNNNNNNNNNNNNNNNNNNNNNNNNNNNNNNNNNNNNNNNNNNNNNNNNNNNNNNNNNNNNNNNNNNNNNNNNNNNNNNNNNNNNNNNNNNNNNNNNNNNNNNNNNNNNNNNNNNNNNNNNNNNNNNNNNNNNNNNNNNNNNNNNNNNNNNNNNNNNNUUUUUUUCUGUUUUGCUAACUAGUGUUUUGCUAAUUAUUUCGGCUCCAAAACAAAAAGUAAAAACUAUUUUAGACCUCCUGAAAUAUUUGUUAUAAUAUCCCCACUCAUUUCCAAGGUUUUCAACAUUUUUGGAAAUUUAUAGAUUCUGAUUUCAAAUUUUAAAGUUUGAAACCAGUGGCUUUUGCAUUUAUUUAAAAUGCUUAAAGUGUCAAGAAAAUAGUUUUCUCCAAUGCUCAUUUACUUUCAUGAUUUAUCAGAAAGUUUGAACAUUUCUUGAGGCCAUUUUGGGUUCAUUGAUUUUGAACUAGUUUGAGAUUUCCUUUAAUUGAAAUGGUGGCUAGGGUUUUGGGUAUUUCCUUUGCCACUUUGUUGUUUUUGUUGAAACUUCUUAGAUGCAAAUGCAAAGAAGACAUGAGCACAAUGCUAUCUUGCUUAAGGGUUAGGGAUGUGACAUAGAGGUAUUUCACUAACACUAGCACCCACGUCACAUAAGCCAUGAUAACAAUGAUGUCCUAUCUUAACCGAAACUACAGGCGUGCCAACAGGAGGCCUAUGUUUGUCUCUAGCAUGUGGUUUAGCAAUUCUAGCAGCAUCUUCACAGAAGUGAAAAUCAUGGCCAUCAACAUUGUCGGACAGGAGAUCUUUGAUAAUAGCAAUGCUAGGCCCAACUAUAAUUUGCUCAGGGGGUGUAGGUGUUCUAAUCUAGCCCCUAUGUAUCACAGUUGAAACUUUAGAAUGAUCCUUUAUCCUAACAGGGAAAGGUGGUUUCUCAAUGGAAGGAGUGGGAGCAAUAGGAUCAUUAUAGGCAAUGACUUUCUCUUCAACUGGAUUGGGUUUAACUACAUUGACUUCUAAGGGAGGAUGAUAUUUAAACCAGUUCUCUUUAGGGAGAUCAAUAUGAGCAGCAAAUGAUUCACACAAUGAAGCUACUAUCUCAGAGUCAAGUCCAUAUUUAGCGCUAAAAUCACAAAAAGUAUAUGUUUCAACAAAGUAUUUAACACAAUCAAUAUUGAAAUUCAUACCUAACUCCUUACCUUUAUCAAACUCCCAAUCUUCAGAGUUGUGUUUAAUUCUUUCCAAUAAUUUCCAUCUGAAGUCAAUAUCUCUCUUCAUAAAAGAACCGGUACAAGAAGUGUCAAGCAUGGUGCGAUCAUCAGGAGAAAGCCGAGCAUAGAAGUUCUGAAUGAUAAUUUCUCUCGAGAGCUCAUAGUUGGGGAAUGAAUAUAACAUUGAUUUAAGCCUCCCCCAAUCUUGGGCGAUGCUUUCUCUGUCACGAGGCCAAAAAUUACAAAUAUAAUUCCGAUCAUGAUGUACUAGAUGCAUAGGAUAAAACUUUUGAUGAAAUUCCAAUUUCAACCGGUUGUAGUUCCAUGAUCCAUUAUCAUCACAUAGACUAUACCAGGUCAAUGCUUUAUCCCUCAAAGAUAAGGGAAAUACCUUCUUCUUGACCUCAUCCUCGGGAAAACCUACAAGCCUAAAUAAACCACAAACUUCAUCUACAUAGAUUAGAUGCAAGUCGGGAUGUGAUGUUCCAUCUCCUAUAAAAUGAUUAGCCAGCAGUUUCUCAAGCAUACCUGAACGAAAUUCAUAGCAAAUAUUUUCAGUAGGUGCAACAGGUUCUGACAAUUGGUUUUCAGCAAGGUAUUCUCUGCAAGCACUGAAAUUAUCGGUAACAGAAAGUUGUGUGGUAAGAUGAUUCGUAGCAAGUAGCAAGAAACAAUAGUAACAACGGUGCAACAAAGUGUCCCAAUCCCUUUUUUAGCAAGGGACAAGCCUGGACAAACUCUUAUAGGANGAGUAAUGCAAAAGCAUUAGAGCUCUGAAUGCAAAAUUGGGCAGCAUAACGGCUGUAAAUGCUCAAAACAAAUUUUGAGACAACCCAAAAUGGAAUAGCAUAACCACUCAACUAUCAAGUUCAACUCUCUGAUCAUCAAACUUACUUCCUGCUUCCUGGGAAUAAAAGAAACCCAAUAUCUCUCGACCCGUAGUCCUAUAAGCUACCGAUCGGAAACACGAGCCUAGGAGAAGAUGAGUAACCUAGUCCUUAAUUCCCGCAGAAGAGACGAGGAUGACCAGAAUAGAAUAACUUGGGAAGAGAACAAGAGUCUUACGUUUCCUUCCACAAACAAUUCCCUUAUAUAUAACUAAAGCAAUUCUAGACUCAACUUCGACCAGUUUGGCUUAGUAAUCCUACAGUCAGUCAGGCUCUGAUACCAACGCUGUCGGGACCCCGAUCCUAAGCCAUAGGAAUCCAGCCUGUAACACAUCGCAUCUCUUUGUGGUCUCACGCACGGUUAACUCCACGGCUGCCGCCUUACCUUAGCCGGGACCGUUUGCGUCUUUCGACUCACGUAUGCGAUAGGUGUCGCUAGCAAUCCAAUGUCAAAGAACCCGGAUCGACAUGUCUAGUCAUAAACCAAAGUGGCAGUUCCGUACAAGGACAGGCAUACAUGACCCAACAAAGCAGGUGUCGGUCAUCAGCGAACGUAGACGAGUCAUAGCAAGCUACAAGGACUCCAUUACGUCGCGUGACAUUUCCCCAAAGAGGAUAGACACAGCAGCUAAGAAGGACACAUGCCGGUCAACCAAUGUGUCCGGAGCAGUAGCGGACUACCAAGGCUCGUUGGAUCACAAAGGGGCAUUUCCUUGUAAGAAGUGCUACUAAAGUUCACGACUAGGUAUUCGAACCCCAUACAUAUCAAGUAUGACACACGUACGCAUGGCAUACCGAUAUGUAUAGAUACAUCGAUGGCAUCACAACAUAACCAUAAACAUACAACCUUUAUUCAGGAGGCUCGGAAGAGCCACACACAUAAUAUUACACAUUAAGGUCUCUCGACCCAUAAUAGCAGUCAUACAACUACAAGCCAGCGGAAGAGUUAUAAACUGUCUGGGUACAGACAGUGCAACUAAAGGGCACAUGGCCUGGCUAUACUACAGAGCCGACGUAGGGCCAGAUCGUAGCUGGGACACCAGCUACUCGUCGUCGUCGAUGUCUACGAAGAACCCUCCAUUAGGGUCAUGAGCAACCUCUGCAACAUUUAUUAAGCAAACAUGAGUACGAAGGUACUCAGCAAGACUUUAGGAGAACUAACUACUCAUGCAAGGUAUCAAAGAGUAUUGUGGGGUUUCAUGCGGAAAACCAGCAUUUGACUCGUGGCUAGACAACUUGCAUUUUGAAAUUAGUUUUGACAACUUGAUUUCUCGCACACGAGUCCACUAACACCACAACAAUACACUAUCGUGGAAUCAUCCCGUCUCCAUGCGGAAAUGUCGUCCACGACACUCACGCUUAUCUUGACAAAUUUUAUGAGUAGCCAUUGAAGUUAUCUAUGAACAACAUAUGUCUCCAAGUAGUCCAUAUCCGCGGACGCGGCUAUUCGAAUAGAUCAUAACCCUGCAGGGGUGUACUUCGUCACACACGCUCUCGCCACUUAUCGCCAUAUGCACGUCAUGCACCUCGGCAACCUUCAAGCGGAAGCCCAGCGAGGGAGUCGGCCACGACCGUUAACCACACUAGUACCUAGUCCAGGUUUAUCGCCUAUCUGAGAGUAACCCGUACGGAAGUCCGGCCGGGGUUUCGGCCACGGCCUCAAACGAUGUGCGCAGGGUUCCCAAGCCCACCAUCCGGGUGCCACUUGGUACACCGUGCCACUGCCUACCGCAUCACGGCCCACCUCUCAGGUCAGCACCAUGCACGGCCUCCAGCAUUACUAUAAACACCAGAAACUACUUGCAACUCCUUGACCGAGUACUACGCGAUUAAUAGGCCGAGCGGGGUCAUAUUUCAGGGCCCAGCAUGUGGUAGUAUCUAGUCUUGGAUUACAUACACGGAACUCAGUUCCUAAGGACGGUUCCAAUGAAACAACCCGCCAUGUACUCCUACACAGCCUUUCACCGGUACCUUUACCAAAUCAAGUUCAACACACAACCUUUGCUCACCGAACACAUUCCACAUUUCUGUUCAUCUCCCAGAUGACAGACCAUACACAACUCUAAGCAUAGCAUGCAUAGCAGGAUAAGGCACAUCAUAGCUCAAGCAACUACGAGGUAUGCUAGGUUGCAAGGUUCGGCUAUUUACUGUGACAAGGUUAAGUCAUGCAAAGGAAGUGGGUCCAACUACGUGGCAAAAGCAGUUGAAGCAUUUGAUCCUAAUGCAAUGAAUAGGUGCAGGAGCAAGAACAUGGCAGUUAUCGGGAUGAUCAAAAGGGUUGCUUGCCUUGUUGCUCAGAGGAGGAACGAUAUCCGUCAGACGGAUAUUCGGUGGAAUCCGGGGGUACGGAGCCUACCGAAAUGAAUGGCAACAUUCAAUAACAAUCAUAUGCACUCAAAAUGAUGCAUGAGCAUGGCAUGAGAAUGUAAGGUGAUAAGUUAUUAUUUUCAACAUGUAAUAGGUUUAGAGUUGAUUUGAAUCACAUUCGAAUAGCAAUUCAAACGGGUAUUCUCGGAUACCGGUUUAAUUGAUUCGACCUGAAGCUCGGUUCAACUUGAUGUUAACAUGCAUGAAAUGUCAUGUUAUGAUACUGAUUUGUAAUUAGGGCAGUGUGUGAUCAUUGCAUAUAUAAUGAAAUUUGAAUAUUUUUGCAAAUUCCAUUUAUAAAGUGAUUAAAAGAAUUGAAUUAUUCCUUAUUUCACAAUUUAGGGUUCUGUAACUUUUCCAAACAUGGUUGAAAAUAGCAUAAUCAGAAUCCUUGAAUUUUUCUGAUACUUUUUCAUAUAUAAAUUAUUUUCAUUGGAGUUACAGAUUAAUUUCUAUGAUUUUUACAAAUUUUAGCAAUUUCCUGAAUUAGUUUUAAACUGGAAAUUCUAUUUAUUGCCUCAGGCUGACGUCAGCAGGUCAGCCGACCUGUUCAGGUCAAACCUGACAGGGGGGCCCCACUAGUCAGCCUCUCUGGGACUAAUCCCGCGCUGACCAGUCCUAACUGAGGUUUGACUUGGCCUUGGGCCCACUUGUCAGCGAGUGAUUAGGUCACUAAUCGGCUGGGUUAGCUUGCCACGUCGACAUCCACCGGCGGCGAGGUCGUCCUCGCCGGCGGGGAGCCUCCGGCGACCACCAGCACGGCGGAGGGGCUCGGAAACGGAGCACAGGGGGCCAAAUGCUGCGCGGAGAGCACCAGAGGAACGGCACGUCUCCCGCAGCUUCAUUUCUGCGCCUAGCGGGGGCUGAUCUGGCCGGAGAUGACGCCGGCGACGAGCUUGGCGGCGGCCAAGGCUCGGGCGUCAUCGGGGUCUUUGAAUCAGGGGGAUCUACGCUCGGUUCUUAGCUGCUACGGCAUCUACGCGUCGUCCUGGAGCUGCUGGUGCCCUCGGAAGGACGAGCUGCUCAUCGGAGGGCUACCGGCGACGAGCGGCAGCGGCGGUCCUCGUCAGGCUCCGGUGAAACUAGAGCUAGAGGAGGGGAUCGACGGGGAAAACUUAGGGGAAAUGACCGCAUGCUCACGGGGAGUGCAGAGCAGAGCUUAGACGGCUCGGGGAAGGCCUGGGGGCGACGAAUCGACGGGAGAGGUCCGGCGGCCGGAGGUGGAAGACGACGGCGUUGCGGGCGUUGCAGGGCUCGAGGAAGCUUCGGCUUCUGCAGAGAUGACCAGGGCGACGAGGCGGAUCUAAAGGCGUGCUCUGGGAGGGAAUCCUAUGGCCAGGGGCACGGGCAGCUCGAGCUCGAGCUCGGCUCUAAUGGCGGCAGCAAGGAGGAGGAGGAGAUCCGGGAGGAGGAAGAGAACCGAGGCGGGGAAUGGAUAGGGGAGGCUCUGGGGAGCUUAUCCCCAUCGUCGCCAGCGCGAGGCGGCGGCCAGGCAGGCAUGCAGGUGCGUGGCCGCGCCGGAGGAGGCGGCGGCCACCUCCUGCUGCCUACUGGCGCGAGGGAGGGGACGAGCGGGGAGAUGGGCCGGGCCAGGCUUAGGCGACAGGCAAGGUUUCCCAUUUUUUUUUCUGUUUUGUUUUUUUUCUGUUUUGCUAACUAGUGUUUUGCUAAUUAUUUCGGCUCCAAAACAAAAAGUAAAAACUAUUUUAGACCUCCUGAAAUAUUUGUUAUAAUAUCCCCACUCAUUUCCAAGGUUUUCAACAUUUUUGGAAAUUUAUAGAUUCUGAUUUCAAAUUUUAAAGUUUGAAACCAGUGGCUUUUGCAUUUAUUUAAAAUGCUUAAAGUGUCAAGAAAAUAGUUUUCUCCAAUGCUCAUUUACUUUCAUGAUUUAUCAGAAAGUUUGAACAUUUCUUGAGGCCAUUUUGGGUUCAUUGAUUUUGAACUAGUUUGAGAUUUCCUUUAAUUGAAAUGGUGGCUAGGGUUUUGGGUAUUUCCUUUGCCACUUUGUUGUUUUUGUUGAAACUUCUUAGAUGCAAAUGCAAAGAAGACAUGAGCACAAUGCUAUCUUGCUUAAGGGUUAGGGAUGUGACAUAGAGGUAUUUCACUAACACUAGCACCCACGUCACAUAAGCCAUGAUAACAAUGAUGUCCUAUCUUAACCGAAACUACAGGCGUGCCAACAGGAGGCCUAUGUUUGUCUCUAGCAUGUGGUUUAGCAAUUCUAGCAGCAUCUUCACAGAAGUGAAAAUCAUGGCCAUCAACAUUGUCGGACAGGAGAUCUUUGAUAAUAGCAAUGCUAGGCCCAACUAUAAUUUGCUCAGGGGGUGUAGGUGUUCUAAUCUAGCCCCUAUGUAUCACAGUUGAAACUUUAGAAUGAUCCUUUAUCCUAACAGGGAAAGGUGGUUUCUCAAUGGAAGGAGUGGGAGCAAUAGGAUCAUUAUAGGCAAUGACUUUCUCUUCAACUGGAUUGGGUUUAACUACAUUGACUUCUAAGGGAGGAUGAUAUUUAAACCAGUUCUCUUUAGGGAGAUCAAUAUGAGCAGCAAAUGAUUCACACAAUGAAGCUACUAUCUCAGAGUCAAGUCCAUAUUUAGCGCUAAAAUCACAAAAAGUAUAUGUUUCAACAAAGUAUUUAACACAAUCAAUAUUGAAAUUCAUACCUAACUCCUUACCUUUAUCAAACUCCCAAUCUUCAGAGUUGUGUUUAAUUCUUUCCAAUAAUUUCCAUCUGAAGUCAAUAUCUCUCUUCAUAAAAGAACCGGUACAAGAAGUGUCAAGCAUGGUGCGAUCAUCAGGAGAAAGCCGAGCAUAGAAGUUCUGAAUGAUAAUUUCUCUCGAGAGCUCAUAGUUGGGGAAUGAAUAUAACAUUGAUUUAAGCCUCCCCCAAUCUUGGGCGAUGCUUUCUCUGUCACGAGGCCAAAAAUUACAAAUAUAAUUCCGAUCAUGAUGUACUAGAUGCAUAGGAUAAAACUUUUGAUGAAAUUCCAAUUUCAACCGGUUGUAGUUCCAUGAUCCAUUAUCAUCACAUAGACUAUACCAGGUCAAUGCUUUAUCCCUCAAAGAUAAGGGAAAUACCUUCUUCUUGACCUCAUCCUCGGGAAAACCUACAAGCCUAAAUAAACCACAAACUUCAUCUACAUAGAUUAGAUGCAAGUCGGGAUGUGAUGUUCCAUCUCCUAUAAAAUGAUUAGCCAGCAGUUUCUCAAGCAUACCUGAACGAAAUUCAUAGCAAAUAUUUUCAGUAGGUGCAACAGGUUCUGACAAUUGGUUUUCAGCAAGGUAUUCUCUGCAAGCACUGAAAUUAUCGGUAACAGAAAGUUGUGUGGUAAGAUGAUUCGUAGCAAGUAGCAAGAAACAAUAGUAACAACGGUGCAACAAAGUGUCCCAAUCCCUUUUUUAGCAAGGGACAAGCCUGGACAAACUCUUAUAGGAGGUAAAGUGCUCACGAUGACACAUGGGAAAUUCUGUCAAGCUAGUUUUUAUCAUGUUCAUAAUAAUACUCAUGACCCGAGAGGUAUUGAAUAGCAUCAAGGGUCUGAAAAUAUAAUCUUCCAUCGAGUAAUCCAACUAGCAUCAACUACAAAGAGUAAUUAACACUACUAAAGGUACCAAUCCAAGUCGCGAGACGGAGAUUGGUUACAAGAGAUGAACUAGGGUUUGGAGAUGAGAUGGUUCUGAUGAUGAUGUUGAUGGUGACGAGUCCCCUCCGAUGAGAGGAGUGUUGGUGAUGACGAUGGCGACGAUUUCCCCCUCCGGGAGGGAAGUUUCCCCGACAUGACGACCCUGCCGGAGCUCUAGAUUGGUUCUGCUCAAGUUUCGCCUCGUGGCGGCGACGAUUCCUCCCGAAAGCCUCCUCUUGAUUUUUUCUGGAACAAAACCCUCCUUAUAGCAAAAGAGGGGGUCUAGGGGGCCAACGGGGAGCCCACAAGCCCCCUAGGCGCGGCCAGGGGGGUAGGCCAUGCCUAGCAGGCUUGUGGCCUCCUGCUGGCUCCCCUGUGGUACUUCUUCUGCCCAAUAUUUUUUAUAAAUUCCAAAGUAAAUCCUCAUUGAUUUUCAUGGCUUUUGGAGUUGCACAGAAUAGGUAUCUCAAACUUGCUCCUUUUUCAGGCCAGAAUUUUAGUUGCAGGCAUUCUCUCUCUUCAUGUAAACCUUGCAAAAUAGGAGAGAAAAGGCAUAAGUAUUGUACCGUGAAGUGUAAUAACAGCCCAUAAAGUGAUAAAUAUCAACAUAAAAGCAUGAUGGAAAAUGGACGUAUCAGUCACGAGGGUCGCCGCCCAGCAAGAUCGCUACGGCCCUGCUUAGGUCCUUUGUGAGGAGGUCCCAGGGCCGGAGCCGAAGCCCAUCGUCACCAACCCGGUACUCCCACGGGGGCCUGGAAUGGGCCUGGAGAGGCGCCAGGAGCUGUGCCAGGUAUUCCUUCACUAUCAUUCCCCCGGUCAUCUACUUGGCACUGACGUCGCAGGAAAAGCGCACCAGCACGGGCGCAGCCCGAGGGUCGGAGAGCUUUUCCGAGCUCCACGCGGAAGUCUUCUCUGGGAACUCAUUCGGCUCCUCCAGCCGAGGGUUGGCGUCCUUGAGGCUCAUGGGGAUCAGCGGUGCCUGAAGUUCUCCACCUUCUUUCCGGCCUUCCAGAGCACAUUGCCGCUCUGGGCCACCAUGAAGGAGACAUACGCCGACAAAUGAGCACCGUCGUGUAGGCGCAGGCUGAAGAAAUGACGGAGGAGGGCAACCGAAGGCUGCACCCCAACGAAAGCCUCGCAGUAGAAAGAAAAUACGGACAGAAGCAAGAGGGAGUUGGGCUGGAUAUGAAGGGAUUGGAUCCCAUAGUUGUCCAAGACGGCGGUGAAAAACUAGGAGAAAGGCGGCACCAGCCCGGCAUAAAUAAUGUGAAGGAAGAAGGGGUAUACCGCCUCCGACGCAGACCGCUCCUCUACGGCGCCAGGCCAGAUCAGGGUUCGCCCGUGCUUGCUAGACUCGGCCGUGGUCCAUGGAAGCACGGGGACGAGAACCGCGUCCUUGGAAAGGGUGCACUCCAAGAGCGGGGAAGCCGGGGCCGGACCUUGUACCUCUGGCUUCUGCUUGCCAGCGGGCGCCAUCGCUGAACUGGCAGGGAACGAUGCGGCGCUCGUUCUGGGGGAUGCCGGUUGGAGUUGGAGACCAAGGAGGAAGAGCGAGUGGGGAAGAAGGAAAGCGAUAAGACACCGACGAAACCAGAAGUGUACCUAAUAAUUUGGGCAGCGACAGAAGAGAAGGAGAACCCAACACCAGCCGCGUCACGCGUGCCGGCCUGGCCCACAUGCACUUGGGGGAUCGCGGCACCAUAGGCUACCCCCCGAGGCUCCGCCCAGAAGACAAUCCGAGCACGUCGCGGACCCGGGGGCUACUGUCAGCGUUCUGGGAAUGGGGGUACCCAGACCUGCCUGCCUGUGGCCCAGGGCAGGCUCACCUCAUCGAAACAAACCGACGGGCCCGGCACCGUUCAAGGCAAGGCCCUCGUGAAGGGACAAGCCUCACGAGGAGGAGGAGCGUCGAGACCCGCAGGGUGCCUCCUCAGGAUCCCUCCGGAGUGGCAGAUAUUCCAUGGCAAGGCCGGGCCUCGGGAGUUAAGGGUGAUGCCAUGGAAGGACAGUCAAGCAGUAGAUGGCAGGACGGAAUAGUUUCCCCUUUAAUGCAAAGGGGGUGGGAGCGUACCAGGGUUCCAAAGGCACCUUCCAAAGGUUUCGCUUCUGGUGCAACGAAGCCGCCGCCGCCCGCCAGUAGGGCAAACGUCAUCCUCGUGCCCGUCCCUGCAGCGUGGGCAGUUACUUUGCACGCGAAGACCACCUUUGGGCAGGGGAGCAUGUUCUCUUGUUCCCCUUCAAUAUUGGCCGUUGUGGGAUCCUGUCACAUCUCUGAAACCCUAAUCAAGUUAACAUUGUGCUCAUAUCUUCUUUGCAUUGCAUCCAAGAAAAUUGCAACAAGGUCAAAGCAAGUGGUGGAGCAAAACUCAAAAACCCUAGCCACUUCUCAAAUUCAAAGAAAUUGUAAACUUGUUCAAAUCAAUGAACCCAAAAUGGCCUCAAGAAAAGUUCAAGUUUUCUGAUAAUUCAUGGAAGCAAAUAAGCAGCGAAGAAAACUAUUUUCAUAACACAUUUGGCAUUUUAUUUAAAUGCAAAAGGCUAGUGGAUUCAAGUUUAAAUUUGAAUUCAAAAACUUUAAGUUUUCAAAAAUGUUGAAAAGUUCUGGAAUGGUUGGAUAUAUUCCAACAAAUAUUCUGGUGUGUUCAAAAUAUUUUUGGUAAACUAUUUUGGAGCUGAAAUAAAAAAGCAAAUUAAAAUAGUUAGCAAAUCAGAAAAACAAAACAGAAAAAAGAAGAAGAAAACCUACUUGUCGCUUACCUGUGAGGCCCAGCCCACCAGGGGCAGGGUCGUCUUCUUCCUCUACCUUCUGGCAGAGGAGAGAUCGACCACGGCGGCCUCCUCCACCUCCUGCUUCGCCGUGCCGACCUCCCGUGCCCCCCAGGACAGCGCGACAACGGGGAUGACUACCCCGAGCGCGUCCCUAUUAGUUCCCGAGCGCCAUUCCCCCUCUCCUCUCGGUUCUCUCCUCCCUCCUCCUGCCGCCAUUGACAGAAGCUCGAACUCGAGCUGCCCGAGCUCUCUGGCCACAGGGAAGCCCCCCGAGUGUUCCAUCCUCUUCGCAACGUCGAGCCAGACACGCACGUCGACGAAACCAUCCUCGCCGAGCCCUGCAACGCCUCCAGUGCCGUCGUCUUCAACCUUCGGCCGCCGGCAAAUCGACGGUGGAUCGCCGGCUACAGCCCCUCCCCGAGCAGUCUGAGCCCAGCUUCGCCUCCACCGUGAGCUUGCGAGCAUUUUCCCUCUGUUUCCCCUCUCUCUCCGACACUCUAGCCCCGAGACCCAUGAACCCGAGCUCCGGCAGCCGCCUCGGCUCGUCGUCGGCAUGCUCCGGCCACCCAUAGCCCCUCCUGAUGCCCGUAGNGCAACAAGGUCAAAGCAAGUGGUGGAGCAAAACUCAAAAACCCUAGCCACUUCUCAAAUUCAAAGAAAUUGUAAACUUGUUCAAAUCAAUGAACCCAAAAUGGCCUCAAGAAAAGUUCAAGUUUUCUGAUAAUUCAUGGAAGCAAAUAAGCAGCGAAGAAAACUAUUUUCAUAACACAUUUGGCAUUUUAUUUAAAUGCAAAAGGCUAGUGGAUUCAAGUUUAAAUUUGAAUUCAAAAACUUUAAGUUUUCAAAAAUGUUGAAAAGUUCUGGAAUGGUUGGAUAUAUUCCAACAAAUAUUCUGGUGUGUUCAAAAUAUUUUUGGUAAACUAUUUUGGAGCUGAAAUAAAAAAGUAAAUUAAAAUAGUUAGCAAAUCAGAAAAACAAAACAGAAAAAAGAAGAAGAAAACCUACNACCUAUCGCUUACCUGCGAGGCCCAGCCCACCAGGGGCAGGGUCGUCUUCUUCCUCUGCCUUCUGGCAGAGGAGAGAUCGACCACGGCGGCUCCUCCACCUCUAGCUUCGAUGUGGCGACCUCCGGUGCCCCCCAGGACAGCGCGACAACGGGGAUGACUACCCCGAGCGCGUCCCUAUCCAUUCCCGAGCGCCAUUCCCCCUCUCCUCUCGGUUCUCUCCUCCCUCCUCCUACCGCCAUUGACAGAAGCUCGAGCUCGAGCUGCCCGAGCUCUCUGGCCACAGGGAAGCCCCCCCAGUGUUCCAUCCUCUUCGCAACGUCGAGCCCGACACGCACGUCGAUGAAACCAUCCUCCCCGAGCCCUGCAACGCCUCCAGUGCCGUCGUCUUCAACCUUCGUCCGCCGGUAAAUCGAUGGUGGAUUGUCGGCUACAGCCCCUCCCCGAGUAGUCUGAGCCCAGCUUCGGCUCCACCGUGAGCUUGCGAGCAUUUCCCAUAUGUUUUCCCUCUCUCUCCGGCACUCUAGCCCCGAGACCCAUGAACCCGAGCUCCGGCAACCGCCUCGGCUCGUCGCCGGUAUGCUCCGGCGAGCCAUAGCCCCUCAUGAUGCCCGUAGAGGAUGAGGCCGAGCCUGGGGAUCAUCCCAGUGCUCUCGGCACUUGAUUCCGAGCACCACGGUGCAUUUUGGUGCGUCUCCGGCGAAGAUCCAUCGCGGAUCUGGUCGCCGCCACUCAGUCUCCGGCGGGGGACGAUGUGGCUGGCCUAAUCCCGGUGGAUUAGCACUAAGCAGCCACUCAUAGUGGGCCCUAGGAGUGGGUCAAACCCACUUAGGGCCUGGUCAGCGCGGGAUUAGCUCCUGAGACGCUGACCAGUGACCCCCACGUGUCAGGUUUGACCUGACCAGGUCAGUUGACCUGCUGACGCAUUCCUGAUGUAGUUAUGACGCAAUAAGUGGAUUUCUGAUUAAAAGAAUUCCGGAAAAAUGCCAAAACUUCUAAAAAUCAUAGAAAUUAAUCUAUAACUCCAAUGAAAAUAAUUUAUAUAUGAAAAAGUAUCAGAAAAAUCGAAGGAAUCUGAAUAUGUCCUUUUCAAACAUGUUUGAGAAUGUUACUGGACCAAACAUGUAGAAUAAUGAAUAAGUUAAAUUUUAUAAAUGCUAUGGAGAUGGAAUUUGAAAAUCAUUUGAAUUCUACUUCAAAUGAUAUGAUCAAACAUUGUUCAAUCACAAACCAGCAACUUAACAUGUCAUUUCCAUGAUGUUAAAAACAAGUUGACCUGUUCAUCAGGUCGAAUCAAUUAAAAUGGUAUUCGAGAAUACCUCGUUUGAAGUGAUAUUUGAAUCUGAUUCAAAUCAACUUCAAACCUAACAAAUGUUAGCUAUAUUAGCAAACCACCUUGCAUCCUCAUGCCAUGAUCAUGCAUCAUCUUGUUGCAUAUGAUUGUCAUUGAUUGUUGUCAUCCCUUUCGGUAGGCUCCGCUACUCCGGAUUCCACUGAAUAUCCGACUGACGGAUAUUGUCCCUCCUCUGAGCAACAAGGCAAGCAACCAUUUUGAUCAUCCCCAUAAAUCCCAUGUUCUCGCUCCUGCACUUACUUAUUGCAUUAAGAUCAAAUGCUUCAAAUGCUUUUGCCACGUUAGUAGAACCCACUUCCUUUGCAUGACCUGUCCUGGUCAUAGUAAAUAGCUGAACCUUGCCACCUAGCAUACCUGGUAGUUGCUUGAGCCAUGAUGUGCCUUAUCCUGCUAUGCAUGCUACGCUUAGAGUUGUGUAUGGUCUGUCAUCUGGGAGAUGAACAUAAUUGUGAGAAUGUGUUCAUUAAGUAAAGGUUGUGAGUUGAACAUGAUUUGGUAAAGGUACCGGUGAAAGGCUAUGUAGGAGUACAUGGCGGGUUGUUUCAUUGGAACCGUCCUUAGGAACUGAGUUCCGUGUAUGUAAUCCAAGACGAGAUACUACCACAUGCUGGGCCAUGAAAUAUGACCCCUCUCGACUUAUUAAUCGCUUAGUACUCGGUCCAGGAGUUGCAAGUAGUUUCUCGUGUUUAUAAUCAUGCUGGAGGCCGUGCAUAGUGCUGACCUGAGAGGUGGGCUGUGAUGCGGUAGGCAGUGGCACGGUGUACCAAGUGGUACCCGGAUGGUGGCUUGGGAACCCUGCGCACAUCGUUUGGGGCCGUGGCGGAAACCUCGGCCGGACUUCCGUGCGGGUAACCCUCAGAUAGGCGAUAAACCUGGACUAAGUAUUAGCUUAGUUAACGGUCGUGGCCGACUCCCUCGCUGGGCUUCCGGUUGAAGGUUGCCGAGGUGCAUGACGCGCACAUGGCGAUAAGUGGCGAGAGCGUGUGUGAAGGAGUACACCCCUGCAGGGUUAUGAUCUAUUCGAAUAGCCGCGUCCGCGGAUAUGGACUACUUGGAGACAUAUGUUGUUCAUAGAUAACUUCAAUGGCUACUCUUAAAAAUGUCAAGAUAAGCGUGAGUGUCGUAGACGGCAUUUCCGUAUGGAGAUGGAAUGAUUCCUCAUGGAGUAUUGUUGUGGUGUUAGUGGACUCGUGUGCGAGAAAUCAAGUUGUCAAAAUUAUUUAAAAAUGCAAGUUGUCUAUCCACGAGUCAAAUGUUGGCUUCCCGCAUGAAACCCCACAAUUCCUUAUUGAUACAUUGCAUGGGUAGAUAGUUAUCCUAAAGUCUUGCUGAGUACUUCUGUACACAUGUUUGCUUAAUAAUUUGUUGUAGAGGUUGCUAAUGACCCUAAUGUAGAGUUCUUUCUAGACAUCGACGACGACGAGUAGGUGGUGUCCCAGCUACGAUCUAGCCCUAGGUUGGGUCUGUAGUAUAGUCAGGCCAUGUGCCUUCUAGUUUCACCUGUCUGUACUCAGACAGUUUAAUCACUUCCGCUGCCUUGUAACUGAAUGACUACUAUGAUGGGUCGUAAGACCCCUACUGUGUAAUAUUAUGUGUGUGGCUCUUCCGAGCCAUUUAAAUAAAGUUUGUAUGUUUAUGCUUCUGUUGUGAUGCCAUCGAUGUAUCUAUACAUAUCGGUAUGUCAUGCGUACGUGUGUCGUACUUGAUAUGUAUGGGGUUCGAUUACCUAGUCGUAGACUUUAGUAGCAUUCUUUACAGGGAAAUGCCCCUUUGUGAUCCAACGAGCCAUGGUAGCUCGCUACUGCUCCGGACACAUUGGUUGACCGGCAUGUGUCCUUCUUAGCUGCUGUGUGUGUCCCCUUUGGGGAAAUGUCACAUGAUGUAAUGGUGUCCUUGUAGCUUGCUACGACUCGUCUACAUUCGCUGGUGACUGACACCUGCUUUGCUGGGUCAUGUAUGCCUGUCCCUGUGCGGAACUGCCACUUUGGUUUAUGACUAGACAUGUCGAUCCGGGUUCUUUGUCAUUGGAUUGCUAGCGACACAAUUGCAUACGCGAGUCAAAAGGCGCAAACGGUCCCGACUAAGGUAAGACUGCAGCCGUGGGGUUAACCGUGCGUGAGACCGCAAAGAGAUGUGAUGUGUUACAGGCUGGAUUCAUAUGGCUUAGGAUCGGGGUCCCGACAGCGUUGGUACCAGAGCCUGACUGACUAUAGGACUACUAAGCCAAACUGUUCGAAGUUGAGUCUAGAAUUGCUUUAGUUAUAUAUAAGGGAAUUGUUUGUGGAUGGGAACGUAAGACUCUUGUUCUCUUCUCAAGUUAUUCUAUUCCGGUUAUCCUCGUCUUUUCUACGGGAAUUAAGGACUAGGUUACUCAUCUUCUUCUAGGCUCGUGUUUCUGAUCGGUAGAUUAUAAGACUACGGGUCGAGAGUUAUAUUGGGUUUAUUUUAUCCCUAGGAAAGAGGAAGUAAGUUUGAUUAUCAGAGAAUUGAACUUGAUAGUUGAGUGGUUACUCUAUUCUAUUUUUGGGUUGUCUCAAAAUUGUUUUUGAGCAUUUACAGUCGUUAUGCUGCCCAAUUUUGCAUUCAGAGCACUAAUGCUUUUGCAUUACUCUCUAUUUUCAGAUGCCUGGCCGUCCUUCUCAUAAGGUGGUAGGUCUGACCAGGUGCAUUGAUGUGCCGGGUCAUACGGCCAUGCUGGUCAGGGUGAUGUCGGUGUGCGGUUACCGCUGGUACCCAGAGUACACAGUGGAGGAACUGUACCGAGAAUUCAACCAGAGCCAGUAUAUCUGCACUAUUAGGGUAUUUCCAGACUACCCUGGAGCUGAGGAGCCAAUCCAUUGGUCCUAUGGGUUGGGAGUCACUGUUGACAUGGCAGUACAAGAUGCUACCUAUUCAAUGUUGACCAUUAUGAGGGCGCGACAUGCACUGCUGCAGAACUCGGAGUUCUGCUAUGUUCCUGCCUCUCAGCCAGGUGAAGAGGGACACCUCAGCGGGGUCUGUUUUGAUUCCUCUAUGGAGGAUCCGCUACUGCAGUCCACUGCUGAGAUGCUAGAGAACAGAGACAUGGAUGCUCGUGCCCUCCGCAUGGAGCUUUAUGCCACACGUGCUCGUCUAUGGAUGGCUUUGACGCAGCAGGCACCGGUAGUCCAGACAGGGUACGGAGAUAUGGAGAUGCUGAACCCUGUUAGGACCCAUCUUCCGGCCCAUGUUGACUGGCCCGCUAUAGGAGGAGUCACCCCUCUUCGGGGACCCCUACUACCACCAGUCAGGGGACCAAGGCCACAUCCGUGUCCUUAUGGAUCCCAGGGAUCUCAGGCUAGAGUAUUUCCUGAUCCGCAGGUUGAGCUUCCAGGCCAUGGAGGCAAUCUCUAUGAGAUGUUCUAUGCGGAUGCCUGAGCUGUGAGUGGAAGGAUAGUAUGGUAGUAGCUGUACGUUCACAGUCCUGUGUAAAUUGUGAAGUAUGCUUGUGAUGUGAAAUGAAUUCGGGAGGCCUAGAUAAAUAAUGUAUAGAAAGCUUGUAAGCCUCUGAUGAGUAGUUUCAUAAUUUCAGUAGUUUGCUCCUCGGUUAAGGUUGUACUGAACUAUGUAAGGGUGUGUAUGAACCAUGGUGUAUAUAUAGAAGUUGCUUGUUACCAUGUUGUUCGGAUAUUCAUUUCCGCAUUCCAUGUGUUCAGUGCAUUCUGAAUCCAUAGCUAGUAUUGAUAAUGAUUUUGAUCUAAGCUGUGAGUUUGUUUGUUAGGAUGGUGUUCACCAGGUUGAACCGUGCCCCUACUCAUGAGCAAGGCGAGGGUAGUCAGGCGUCGCAGGAAGACCUGCCUCACCCGCCCUCUCUGGCGGAAGUGAUGCUUGAGGCAGAGAGAAACAAAAGGGAGACCAACCGACUGUUAGAGCGUAUUGAGCAGAAUACGGCUCGUCAGCCUAGGAAUGCUGCAGUGUCCCUCAAUGACUUCGUGAAGCUGAAUCCUCCAAAGUUCCAUCACUCCGUCGAUCCCCUCGACGCUGAUGACUGGCCGUGCAGUAUCUCACAUAAGAUUCGCUCUGCGAAUGUUUCUGAGGCCGACAAGGUGACCUUUGCGGCGUACUUUCUGGAAGGACCCGCUAAUCUGUGGUGGGAGAACUUUGAAGCUAUGUGUCCUGCUGAACCAGCAGCCACAUGGGCAGACUUUAGUGCAGCCUUCCGUCUGCACCAUAUUCCAGUGGGCCUGAUGGACAGAAAGGGAGAGGAGUUUUGUGCAUUCACCCAGGGAAAGUUGACCGUGGAUGCCUAUAGCCGCGAGUUCGGUAACCUCGCCCGCUAUUCAACAUAGGAGGUGUCUAGUGACGCCAAGAAGCAAGCAAGAUUCCGUAAGGGUCUGAGCCCUGAGCUUCGUCGUGAUCUGCGCCUCCACGAGUGUGCAAGCUUCCAAGCCCUGGUCAACAAGGCGAUCAGUGCCGAGACUGGUCAUACCGACUUUGAAGCCACAAGGAAGCACUCCCGUGACUUUGGCUCGUCAUCUAGCUCCGCGUUUCCAAAACGCAGGCUGUGGGUUCCAAACAGUUCUCUGCCGCCAAGAUACACUCUGAGGCCAUCCUACGUGGCGCCUCAGACGAAUCAGACCAACCCUCCAGCAAAAACCUAUGGUGGUCCAACUAGCAAUGCUGCACCACGUGCCAACCAAGUGAUAUGCUACAAGUGUGGAGGACCAGGGCACUAUUCCCGUGAGUGUCCUCAGAAUGUGGGUGCCAAGCAACCCGGAAAGUCCGUCGGGCAAGGCAAGUCGGGCAAAGCUUACUAUGUGAAGCCAACUCCUGCACGUGGCCGUGUGAACUAUGUCUCAGCAGAAGAAGCUGCAGAGGAUCCCGACGUCAUACUGGGUACGCUUCUUGUUAAUCAUCACCCAACGUCUGUUAUUUUUGACACUGGGUCUUCUCAUUCCUUCAUUUCAGAAAGUUAUGCACAGUUGCAUAACAUGUCUUUUUGUGAUAUGCCAAUUCCAUUGGUUGUCCAAACUCCUGGUAGUAAGUGGCAAACCUCUAGGAUAACCUAUGACAAUGAAAUUCUAGUAGACACGCUAGUUUUACUAGCCUCAUUGAUAGCCCUGAAAUCUUCAGAUAUUAAUAUCAUCUUCGGUAUGGACUCGAUGUCAGUUCACUAUGGCAAGAUUGAUACUCAUACUAGAAAUGCUCAGCUUACCCAUCGGGUUAGAUAGUCAAUGUCUCUCCUCGAGUUGCCAAGUGCCAACUCUAUUCCCUCAAUGCCAACCCUCUUCCGGAACUUGAAGACAUCCCGGUACUCCGUGAUUUUCUAGAUGUUUUUCCAGAGGAACUGCCAGGAAUUCCACCUGACAGAGAUGUAGAGUUCGUGAUAGAUCUUGUUCCGGGAACUGUUCCAAUAGCCAGAAGACCAUAUAAGAUGGCACCCCUGGAUCUAGCCGAACUUAAGAAGAAAUUAGAUGAGGCCUUGAAUAAAGGUUUCAUUCGCCCUAGCUCUUCUCCUUGGGCUUGCCCCGUCCUAUUCGUCAAGAACAAAGACGGAACGGAUCGGAUGGUUGUAGAUUACCGACGAGUUAAUCUGGUCACCAUAAAGAACAAGUAUCCGCUCCCCAGGAUCAACGACCUGUAUGAUCAGCUCGAUGGAUCCUCGAUCUUCUCCAAAAUGGAUUUGAGGUUGGGAUACCAUCAAAUCAAGAUCAAGAACGGGGACAUUCCAAAAACGGCUUUUGUUACUCGCUAUGGCCAAUACGAGUACACCGUCAUGUCCUUCGGUUUAACCAAUGCCCUAGCCACCUUCUCUCGUCUGAUGAAUUCAAUCUUCAUGGAGUAUUUGGAUAAAUUCGUCGUGGUAUACCUCGAUGAUAUUCUCAUCUACUCGAAGAACGAACGGGAACAUGCCGAGCAUCUAAGGCUGGUAUUGAUGAAACUUCGAGAGCAUCGCCUUUAUGCCAAGUUUUCGAAAUGUGAAUUUUGGUUACCAGAAGUGACCUAUCUAGAUCACGUAAUCUCUAGUAAGGGUAUUGCUGUCAAUCCCGAGAGAGUUCAAGCCGUCCUUGAUUGGACUCAACCUGAAUCGGUUAAGCAAGUUAGGAGUUUUUUGGUCUAGCGAGCUAUUGUUGCCGCUUUGUCGAGAAUUUCUCCAAGGUUGCAAAGCCUCUAACUAAACUCCUCAAGAAGGAUAAAAAGUUCGAGUGGACACCAUAGUGUGAGCAUAGUUUUCAGGAACUGAAAAGACGCCUGACUUCCGCACGUGUGUUGCUACCACCAGAUUUUUCUAAGGACUUUGUUAUCUAUUGCGACGCCUCGCGACAAGGAUUAGGUUGCAUUCUCAUGCAAGAUCGUCAUGUAAUUGCAUACGCAUCUCGACAGUUGCAUCCACAUGAGGAUAAUUAUCCCACACAUGAUCUUGAGCUUGCAGCUGUAGUCCAUGCACUAAAAACCUGGCGACAUUACCUUCUGGGUAAUCGUUGCGAAAUAUUCACUGAUCACCAAAGUCUAAAAUAUAUCUUCACCCAGCCGGAUUUGCAUCUCAGGCAAAGACGGUGGGUUGAGUUGAUCUCGGAUUACGACUUAGGGAUUACUUACACCCCGGGGAAGGCCAAUGUUAUGGCUGAUGCACUAAGUCGUAAAUCUUAUUGUAACAACUUGAUGCUACAACAAGGUCCACCACAUCUCUAUGAGGAAUUUCAGAAGUUAAAUCUUCAUAUUGUUCCUCAAGGAUUCCUUUCUACCCUGGUGGCAAAGCCUACCCUUAAGGAUCAAAUUAUAGCUGGCCAGAAGCGUGACAAGGGUAUAUCACGGAUCAAGGAGAAUAUUAUUAGCGGAAACGCUAAUGAAUUCUCCAUGAAUGAUCAAGGUGUUAUGUUCUUCCAGAAUCGUCUAGUGGGUCCUAAGAACCCACAUCUAAGGCAGUUAAUCCUUAAGGAGGCGCAUGAUUCUCCUCUCACCAUUCAUCCCGGUAGUACUAAGAUGUAUCAGGACCUACGCCAGAGGUUCUGGUGGACUAGGAUGAAGAGAGAAAUUGCUGAGUUCGUUGCCAACUGCGACGUUUGUCGUCGAGUUAAGGCAGAACAUCAAAGGCCUGCUGGCACCCUUCAACCUUUAGCUAUUCCUGAAUGGAAAUGGGAUAAAGUUAGUAUGGAUUUCAUCACAGGAUUUCCCAAGACCAAGAAAGGAAAUAAUGCUAUCUUUGUGGUCAUUGACCGUCUCUCCAAAGUAGCUCAUUUUCUUCCAGUUCGUGAGAGUAUAACAGCUAGCCAGUUAGCAGAGUUAUAUGUCUCUUGAAUAGUGUCUCUUCAUGGUGUUCCCGUGGAGAUUAACUCAGAUCGUGGGAGUAUCUUUACUUCUCGCUUCUCGGAAAGUUUUCAAAAUGCUAUGGGGACACGCUUAUCUUUUAGCACUACUUUCCAUCCGCAAUCAAGUGGUCAAGUAGACAGAGUGAAUCAAAUCGUAGAAGAUAUGCUCCGAGCUUGUGUUAUAUCGUUCAGUAUGAAUUAGGAGAAGUGAAUUCCAUUCGCCGAAUUUUCUUAUAACAAUAGUUAUCAAACAAGCCUGGGCAAAGCCCCUUUUGAAGUUCUCUAUGGACGAAGAUGUCGAACACCUCUUAAUUGGUCAGAAACCAAAGAGAGGUAACUCUUUGGCCCGGAUAUGAUCCAGGAUGCAGAAGAGAAGGUUCGCAUUAUUCGUGAAAAGUUGAAAACAGCCCAGUCUCGUCAAAAGAGCCAAUAUGAUCGUCAUCAUAAGGUUGUGACCUUUGAAGUUGACGAGAAGGCUUACCUUCGGGUUACACCUUUGAAGGGUACCCAUCGAUUCGGUAUCAAAGGCAAGUUGGCUCCUCGUUACAUUGGUCCUUUUCGCAUUCUUGCCAAACAAGGAGAAGUUGCCUACCAGUUGGAACUUCCUUCGCAUCUUUCCAAGGUUCAUGAUGUCUUCCACGUCUCGCAACUCAGGCGUUGCUUUUCGGAUCCUAUCCGUGAAGUGGACCACGAAACGCUUGAUCUCCAAGAUAACCUUUCAUACCGAGAAUACCCCAUGCGUAUUCUUGAUCAAGCUGAGCGUACCACUCGACGUCGAAACCUCAAGUUUCUUAAAGUUCAAUGGUCAAAUCAUUCUGAGAAGGAGGCCACUUGGAAAAGAUAGGAUCGUCUCCGACUUGAGUAUCCUGCGUUAUUCCUGACGACCUCUAAAUCUCGGGACGAGAUUCUUUUGAGUGGGGGUGAAUUGUCACAUCUCUGAAACCCUAAUCAAGUUAACAUUGUGCUCAUAUCUUCUUUGCAUUGCAUCCAAGAAAAUCGCAACAAGGUCAAAGCAAGUGGUGAAGCAAAACUCAAAAACCCUAGCCACUUCUCAAAUUCAAAGAAAUUCUAAACUUGUUCAAAUCAAUGAACCCAAAAUGGCCUCAAGAAAAGUUCAACUUUUCUGAUAAUUCAUGGAAGCAAAUAAGCAGUGAAGAAAACUAUUUUCAUAACACAUUUGGCAUUUUAUUUAAAUGCAAAAGGCUACUGGAUUCAAGUUUAAAUUUGAAUUCAAAAACUUUAAGUUUUCAAAAAUGUUGUAAACUUCUCGAAUGGUUGGAUAUAUUCCAACAAAUAUUUUGGUGUGUUCGAAAUAUUUUUGGUAAACUAUUUUGGAGCUGAAAUAAAAAAGCAAAUUAAAAUAGUUAGCAAAUCAGAAAAACAAAACAGAAAAAAGAAGAAGAAAACCUACUUGUCGCUUACCUGUGAGGCCCAGCCCACCAGGGGCAGGGUCGUCUUCUUCCUCUACCUUCUGGCAGAGGAGAGAUCGACCACGGCGGCCUCCUCCACCUCCUGCUUCGCCGUGCCGACCUCCCGUGCCCCCCAGGACAGCGCGACAACGGGGAUGACUACCCCGAGCGCGUCCCUAUUAGUUCCCGAGCGCCAUUCCCCCUCUCCUCUCGGUUCUCUCCUCCCUCCUCCUGCCGCCAUUGACAGAAGCUCGAACUCGAGCUGCCCGAGCUCUCUGGCCACAGGGAAGCCCCCCGAGUGUUCCAUCCUCUUCGCAACGUCGAGCCAGACACGCACGUCGACGAAACCAUCCUCGCCGAGCCCUGCAACGCCUCCAGUGCCGUCGUCUUCAACCUUCGGCCGCCGGCAAAUCGACGGUGGAUCGCCGGCUACAGCCCCUCCCCGAGCAGUCUGAGCCCAGCUUCGCCUCCACCGUGAGCUUGCGAGCAUUUUCCCUCUGUUUCCCCUCUCUCUCCGACACUCUAGCCCCGAGACCCAUGAACCCGAGCUCCGGCAGCCGCCUCGGCUCGUCGUCGGCAUGCUCCGGCCACCCAUAGCCCCUCCUGAUGCCCGUAGAGGAUGAGGCCGAGCCUGGGGAUCAUCCCGGUGCUCUCGGCACUCGAUUCCGAGCAACACAGUGCGUUUUGGUGCGUCUCCGGCGAAGAUCCAUCGCGGAUCUGGUCGCCGCCGGUCAGUCUCUGGCGGGGGACGACGUGGCCGGCCUAAUCCCGGUGGAUUAGCACUAAGAAGCCACUGACAGUGGGCCCUAGCAGUAGGUCAAAUCCACUUAGGGACUGGUCAGCGCGGGAUUAGCUCCUGAGACGCUGACCAGUGGCCCCCACCUGUGAGGUUUGACCUGACCAGGUCAAUUGACCUGCUCACGCAUUGCUGAUGUAGUUAUGACGCAAUAAGUGGAUUUCUGAAUUAAAAGAAUUCCAGAAAAAUGCCAAAACUUCUAAAAAUCAUAGAAAUUAAUCUGUAACUCCAAUGAAAAUAAUUUAUACAUGAAAAAGUAUAAGAAAAAUCGAAGGAAUCUGAAUAUGUCAUUUUCAAACAUGUUUGAAAAAUGCUACUGGACAAAACAUGUAGAAUAAUGAAUAAGUUAAAUUUUAUAAAUGCUAUGGAGAUGGAAUUUGAAAAUCAUUUGAAUUCGACUUCAAAUGAUAUGAUCAAACAUUGUUCAAUCACAAACCAGCAACUUAACAUGUGAUUUCGAUGAUGUUAAAAUCAAGUUGACCUGCACAUCAGGUCGAAUCAAUUAAAAUGGUAUUCGAGAAUACCUGGUUUGAAGUGAUAUUUGAAUCUGAUUCAAAUCAACUUCAAACCUAACAAAUGUUAGCUAUAUUAGCAAACCACCUUGAAUCCUCAUGCCAUGCUCAUGCAUCAUCUUGUUGCAUAUGGUAGUCAUUGAUUGUUAUCAUCUCUUUCGGUAGGCUCCGCUCCUCCGGAUUCCACUGAAUAUCCGACUGACGGAUAUUGUCCCUCCUCUGAGCAACAAGGCAAGGAACCAUUUUGAUCAUCCCGAUAAAUCCCAUGUUCUCGCUCCUGCACUUACUUAUUGCAUUAGGAUCAAAUGCUUCAAAUGCUUUUGCCACGUUAGUUGAACCCACUUCCUUUGCAUGACUUGUCCUUGUCACAGUAAAUAGCUGAACCUUGCAACCUAGCAUACCUGGUAGUUGCUUGAGCCAUGAUGUGUCUUAUCCUACUAUGCAUGCUAUGCUUAGAGUUGUGUAUGGUCUGUCAUCUGGGAGAUGAACAGAAUUGUGAGAAUGUGUUCAGUAAGUAAAGGUUUGUGAGUUGAACAUGAUUUGGUAAAGGUACUGGUGAAAGGCUAUGUAGGAGUACAUGGCGGGUUGUUUCAUUGGAACCGUCCUUAGGAACCGAGUUCCGUGUAUGUAAUCCAAGACGAGAUACUACCACAUGUUGGGCCCUGAAAUAUGACCCCGCUCGACUUAUUAAUCGCUUAGUACUCGGUCCAGGAGUUGCAAGUAGUUUCUGGUGUUUAUAGUCAUGCUGGAGGCCGUGCAUAGUGUUGACCUCGGAGGUGGGCUCUGAUGCGGUAGGCAGUGGCACGGUGUACCAAGUGGCGCCCGGAUGGUGGGCUUGGGAACCCUGCGCACAUCGUUUGGGGCCGUGGCGGAAACCUCGGCCGGACUUCCGUGCGGGUUACCCUCAGAUAGGCGAUAAACCUGGACUAAGUAUUAGCAUGGUUAACGGUCGUGGCCGACUCCCUCGCUGGGCUUCCGCUUGAAGGUUGCCGAGGUGCAUGACGUGCACAUUGCGAUAAGUGGCGAGAGCGUGUUUGAAGGAGUACACCCUUGCAGGGUUAUGAUCUAUUCGAAUAGCCGCGUCCGCGGAUAUGGACUACUUGGAGACAUAUGUUGUUCAUAGAUAACUUCAAUGGCUACUCAUAAAAUUGUCAAGAUAAGCGUGAGUGUCGUAGACGGCAUUUCCGUAUGGAGACGGAAUGAUUCCACGAUGGAGUAUUGUUGUGGUGUUAGUGGACUCGUGUGCGAGAAAUCAAGUUGUCAAAAAUUAUUUAAAAAUGCAAGUUGUCUAGCCACGAGUCAAAUGCUGGCUUCCUGCAUGAAACCCCACAAUUCUUUAUUGAUACAUUGCAUGGGUAGAUAGUUAUCCUAAAGUCUUGCUGAGUACUUCUGUACUCAUGUUUGCUUAAUAAUUUGUUGCAGAGGUUGCUAAUGACCCUAAUGGAGGGUUCUUUCUAGACAUCGACGACGACGAGUAGCUGGUGUCCCAGCUACGAUCUGGCCCUAGGGUGGGUCUGUAGUAUACUCAGGCCAUGUGCCUUCUAGUUUCACCUGUCUGUACUCAGACAGUUUAAUCACUUCCGCUGCCUUGAAACUGAAUGACUGCUAUGAUGGGUCGUGAGACCCCUACUGUGUAAUAUUAUGUGUGUAGCUCUUCCGAGCCUUUUAAAUAAAGUUUGUAUGUUUAUGGUUAUGUUGUGAUGCCAUCGAUGUAUCUAUACAUAUCGGUAUGCCAUGCGUACGUGUGUCGUACUUGAUAUGUAUGGGGUUCGAUUACCUAGCUGUAGAAUUUAGUAGCAUUCUUUACAGGGAAAUGCCCCUUUGUGAUCCAACGACCCAUGGUAGCUCGCUACUGCUCCGGACACAUUGGUUGACCGGCAUGUGUCCUUCUUAGCUGUUGUGUCUGUCCCCUUUGGGGAAAUGUCACAUGAUGUAAUGGAGUCCUUGUAGCUUGCUACGACUCGUCUACAUUCGCUGGUGACCGACACCUGCUUUGCUGGGUCAUGUAUGCAUGUCCCUGUGCGGAACUGCCACUUUGGUUUAUGACUAGACAUGUCGAUCCGGGUUCUUUGUCAUUGGAUUGCUAGCAACACAAUUGCAUACGCGAGUCAAAAGGCGCAAACGGUCCCGGCUAAGGUAAGACUGCAGCCGUGGGGUUAACCGUGCGUGAGACCGCAAAGAGAUGUGAUGUGUUACAGGCUGGAUUCCUAAGGCUUAGGAUCGGGGUCCCGACAGAUCCCUUCCCGCCGAAGCUAUGAGGGAAGAGGACCCGUGCCUCCUCUAUAAAUAGAAAGGGUAGAACACUUGGUAGGGGGAUCGGUUCAUUCUGACCCUAGAGCAACACACCAAGCCACUUAGCCUUCGGAGGCUCGAGAGAACCGUACUAGUUCAUCCACCAACCUCUGCGAGAGGCAAUCCACCAAAAGAAGGAGUAGGGUUUUACGCUUCGCGGCGGCCCGAACCUGGGUAAACUGUUGUGUUCUGUGUUUCCCUCACCAUCGAGUGAGUCCGUCAUCGUUUCCAUCGAGUAGCCAACUAGGCAAAGCUAAGUAGGGAGGAACCAUCGUACACACCGGUGUGUUCGAAUCCUUAGGGUUUUGCGGAACCCGAAAUCUGACAAUGGCCAACAUGUACAAGCCGGUGCCCCAUGAGUUUGUGUUGUUGCACAAGUUUGGUUGUGUCUAUUUCUAGCAAGCAGGAAUACCUACUAUGAACACCAUUGUGAGAUACACCCACAUGCCCAAAUUAGGUGAUGAUAAGAUGAUUACAUGUUAUUCCAUCAACAUGAUGCAUCAUCUAGAUACUCACACCAAGUUUCAAGUGAUGGACUUGAUAGUUGAUACUGUCAAGAGGAAUGAUGUAGGUUAGAAUGGAUCGUGUGGAUAUGCUCCAUAUAUUCAGAUGAUCAUCAAUGUCAAGAUUGGCAAGCAUGCAUAUCUACUUGAUCGUCCCCACCUGCCAUGUCAGCUUGAUUUUGAAGACAAUGAAGUUGUGAUGGACGAAAGCCAUCCCAGCUCAGCUACUGCUCGAGAGGCAGUAGAAGGAGCAACAUCAGAGGCUGCUAGUUAUGCUCCAGCUCCAACCCCACGACUCCGAACCAGAGAUGAGUAGAUGUCAUUCUUGGUCAGCACCAUCCAAGGGAUGGAGAAGAAAGUUUUUGAUAUCUUGAUGAACCAGAAGAACUUCGAGUCGAUCGUGGAGACAAACUUCCAUGACCUGGAUGUUAAGGUAACGGAGUUGACUUCCACUGUUUAGCUGCUCCAACAUGAAGUUGAUUAUGUGAAUAUUCCAUGCUCUAGUAGUGACGAUGAAGAGUCACCUCUUCCUAUUACUAAUCAAUUCAGGACCCAGACUAGGUCAGCAGGUAUGCCAGUUCUGGAAGCAAGACCAUCUUCAUCACCUCAAGCUUCAUCUCCUGCUCCUACACCUCUAGUGUCUACACCUCCACCUCCAAGGACUUCUGUAGAAGCCUUCAUCAACGCUCUCUUGUCCACUCCAUCAUCAGCUACCGGAGGAGAUCGUGCCCAGAGAGACGCUUAGUUCUAGACCUUUGAACUUUUUGGUAACAUGUUGCCAAAGGAGAGAAGUUUAUAGAUCAAAUAGGGCUUCGAGAGGGACACAUUUACAUUUUAUUUCUUCUCAUUUCGUUUUCCAAAACUUUUGGUCUUUUGGAGGACUUCAUCUGUUUAGGAGGAGUGUUUNNNNNNNNNNNNNNNNNNNNNNNNNNNNNNNNNNNNNNNNNNNNNNNNNNNNNNNNNNNNNNNNNNNNNNNNNNNNNNNNNNNNNNNNNNNNNNNNNNNNCUAUAGGGCGAAUUCAACAAAAUCAGCCGCCUUGAGAAUGCAAAGGAAAUUUAUGAUACUUUGAUUGAUAUGCACAAAGCUAUUGUUUCAAUCAGAGAAUAUAAGUUGGAUGUGCUUCAAAGUCAGCUUGACAAGUUGAAGAUGAAGGAUGGUGAAGGAGUCACUGAAAUGUAUUCUAGGGUAGCUCUCAUCACAAAUGAGAUUAUCGGCUUAGGAAGUGAAGAUGACCGACAAAUUAAAAAUCUAGAAGAUACUUAGAGCCUUGGAUGGAAGAUACAACACCGUCUGCACAUUAAACCAAAUGAUGUCAAACUACAAGGAUCUCAAGCCAACUGGAGUCGUUGGAAGGAUUGUUCCUCAUGAAAUGUCUCUCAAGGACAAAGAUGAAUUGCACAACAAGUCAAGCGGUGAUUAGAAAUCUUCAAGUGAUACUCCCGCUAAUGCAAGUGACAACCUUGUUACCAAUUAAGAGAUCAACCUCACGGUAAGAAAAAAUCAACAAAUUAUACAAGAGUAGAGGCAAAGAGAGAUUCUCAAGUUAUGAUGAGUAACAUUCGUCUAGUCAUGACCAAACUCCUACAACUAUGGAAAGCCCGGACACUAUUGCAAUGAGUGCUCGGCUCCCCACAAAUGAAUAGAAGAGUCACCUCGAAGACGAAGCUCAAGAGAUGAGUCACCUCGCAGAGAGAGAAGGAGUAUAGAAGAUCAUUAUGAGCGAAGACACUCUCCAAGAGGCAAGGAAUCGAAGAAGAAGGACAAGUACACCAAGAGGAGUUCAAGAAGAAGACAUCAAGCUCAUGUUGGUGAAUGGGUUUCCAGCUUCGAGUCUAACGACCAAUCCGAGACAAUCUAUCACUCCAACUUCGACUACAGUGAAGAGGAAGGUGUUGCCGGUCUUGCACUCGUUUCCUCCAACUCCUACGACUAAUUUGAUUCCCGAAAUGAAGGGAUUAUCACACCCCGAGUACUUUGACUUUGAUAGUGAUGAGGAUGACUGGUUAGGGGAAGAUGACUUGCUCUUUGAUAAGAGUAGUGAUAUCAUUGAAAAAUGAACUUGAAAAUAAUCAUGCUAGUCAAGAGAAAUCGAAUGAUGACGAUAAGAAAGAGAUGGAUCGACUAACUAAAGAAUUAAACACACUUAAGUUAGGUCAUGAAACUACUCUAGAAGAGAAGCUAUGCUUCGAGAAGCUAAAUUUAGGGGAAGAGCAUGAGUUUCUAAAAGCAAUCAAUGAUGAUGUUAGAAAGAAGAGUUCUUCUUUUCUAGCCAAAUGAUUACUCUUGUCUACUUUUGUUCUACAAGUUAAACUCAAGAACACUAGUAACAAAGGCAAGAAAGUUUCUUCAUCUAGUAACAACAAUGAUAAAGCUAGAUCAAAAGAUGUUGUUGCUAGUAGUUCUCUUGAUUACACUAAUGAUUCUCUUAGCCAAGUUACACUUGAGCUAGAAAAUGAUUUAUUGAAAGGGAUUAUAGAGCGAGGUGUCUUCAAGAGUCUUGCCAGAAGUAAGCAAUUCCAGGAAAUUUUGCGCAAACAAGGAGGACAUCAGAAGAAGCAAGGUGUUGGUUACUUCAAUGUGAACGGAGAUGUUUGGGAAGAAGGUCCAUAUCCCAUUCCCAAGUUUGCUCCUCAAGUGGAGAAGUAUGAUUCUACUCCACUCAGGAGCACAAGCUCUCAAGAUGGCCUUCUACUACAAGACCACAAGGGCAAGGUAAAGCUUCAAGAGGAGAUUGACUCGUCUAAGGAAGAACCCCAAGCCAAGGUCGAGUGGGUUCCCAAGGACACUACUAGCACUACCUCAUCUUGUGAUACCACAACUCCAAGGAUCCCCAUCAAGGUGAUGUGGGUCCCCAAGAGGAAGAAAUAUUAAGUUCUUGAGGGGUGACACCGCCAAUAUAAUUCACUAUUGUUCAUUUUGGCAAUAACUUUAUGCAAUCAACUCCAACCAUAAGCAUUAGUUCAAGGAGUCACACAUUCCCUCAAUGCGGAAAAAGGUACAAGGUAAUUAAUGCAUCAUUGGACAUCAACUCCCAUGUAUUUCAAUCUAUGUCCAUAGAUAUCCUUGCAUUUGUAACUUUUGCUUUGGGACUAACCCAUGUAGGUGAUAAGAGUAAGAGACUAUAAGGAUUGCUCACAACUCAAGAUGAUCUUCAUCAACAAUGAGCACCACCACUACUACACCUACUUGAAGUUUUCUACGACAAAACCCAUGGUUAGUUUAUCCCUCUUAGGGGGGAUGUCACAUCUAGGGGGAGCUUUACUCUAAGACUUGACUAUAAGCGUCUCCUAAACAAUUUGAACAUAUUAAUGCUUUAUGUAAAUGUGGUAAUCCCACUUGUUGCUAAUCGAUGAGUAUGACCUAUGAUCAAGUAUUCUUACUUGGCUCCUAAGUCAAUAUACUCAUAUAUAGUUGACUUCAUCAUCGCCAAAGUGCUUGAUAGAUGCUAGAAUGUGUGUGCAUGUUCACCAUGUUUUAUUUGACAUCUUAUUGUGUCAGCAUCUUGGCAUGCAUAUUUUUCUCAUUCAAGGAUAUCCAUUUGUUGUUAUUUGGCUUUCUAUUUCUUUUGGAUAAUUGGAUAUACAAGAAUGCCUAAGUACCUUCCUCUAGAUAUUUAUGAUUUCUCGUCUCAAAUUCUAUUCAUGCUUGAUCACAAAAUUUGAUCGAGCAAUUUAGGGAAACUCUAUGUGAGGAGCACUCGGAGAUCCUUCUCGGCAAGGGCUGAAUUCCAAAACCUCCCAAAGUGCAUCUAGGUGUGUCCAACCUCAAAAUCUUGGUCCCACCAAAGCCAAGGGUUGAUGAGGUUUUCUCAUCUCAGUACCACCAUACUGUUCUUUUUGGCUUCACCAAUUUUCUCUGUCAGCUAUUAGUUAAGGAACUCGAUGGCACUGAAAAAAUUCAAUAUCGGUGUCACCGACAGCCAGGAGAUAUAUAUAUAUAUCUCCUGGCUGUCGGUGACACCGAUAUUGAAUUUUUUCAGUGCCAUCGAGUUCCUUAACUAAUAGCUGACAGAGAAAAUUGGUGAAGCCAAAAAGAACAGUAUGGUGGUACUGAGAUGAGAAAACCUCAUCAACCCUUGGCUUUGGUGGGACCAAGAUUUUGAGGUUGGACACACCUAGAUGCACUUUGGGAGGUUUUGGAAUUCAGCCCUUGCCGAGAAGGAUCUCCGAGNUAUCGUGCCCUAGUCCCCUGGACUUCUUCUUGAUCCUCCAGUGCGCCCUCGCCACCAUAGUCCUCACCGACAACAGAAUCUUUGCUUCCGUUGCCACCAUAGCGGAUCCUCACCGAGUUAGGGUACGGAUUCGAUUCUUUUUGUGCUCCCUAAAAUCUGAAUCUUGCGCAAAUAAGCACUCACACAUUCUAUCCAAUUGCACUAAUUCUAACCUGAAGAGAAUUCCCAUAGAUUAACGAGUAAAGAAAAUAUUAGGGUUAAGAGUCCGCAAAAUUGAAUCUUGGUGUCACCGAUUCAUAAAAGUUGGUCAUAGCGAUUUUGGUCUUAGGGUUGCUCGGAAGGUUCUCGGUGCAACCGAGUUCUCCUUUUAAGUGAAACCAAAAAGGGUGCCAAGUUUCUGUUAAUGAGUACAUCUGUCUCGGUGGCUUUGAAAUUUCUGACUCGGUGGAACUAAAAUCCCGUUUUGCUGAAUGUUAAAAGUAUUUUUUCAGAGUUCAACUUUCAAAAAACUUCUGCAAUUUUGUUAUGCUCAUCCAUUCUAGCUAUCUUUUCACACGGUCUACUUGUAUGUUGGUCUGCUUGUCCGCUAGUCUGCUUGUCUGCUAGGUCUUGCCAGAAUGUCAGGUUCACAGGAUAGUUAGAACAACUUAAGUGAGUCCAGUGUUGAAAUGCACUCGGGCACUAGUCCUGAGAGGACAUCUUGUAACCCCGGUACUCCUAGCUCCCAUGGCUUGCCCAAGGCAGCUAUCAGGUCCAAAAGGAAGAUCAAUUCUAAUGAAGAUGUUGAUUUCAUCCAUGUGGAAUCUGCUCCUGAGAAGCAGAAGGAGAAUACCAUAGUCAGGAAGACUAUGAGGAAGGAAUAUGCGAGACCUGCUCACAACAGAGGUCCAGAAGCUAGGCUUGCAAAGAAGCCAGGUUAGAAGAGAACCAGAAAAAGGAUUGCCCAUGAUGUUGGGAGGCCAACCUCAAUGUAUGAAGAUCCAGCAGAAGCUGCUGAUUAUGAGGAGGAAUAAAUUCCAGCUCAGGUUCCUCCUCCUAAGAGGAAAAAUCUGAUGGCUAAUGUUAUGCCUAAGAUGACUGCCCCAAGCCUUUUGCACCUAAUGAUAAAAGGUAUGUGGUUCCCAAGAGGACUACAAAUGAUAUUCCUGUAGCUGAAAAUAACAAAGGCUCGGCAUCCAGAGAAUUUGCUGCAGAGGAAGAUGAGGAUGCCAGUGUGCUUAUGAAGCUGGGAGGUCAUCUUCCAACCCAUCAUGCUUCUCACCCUGCUGAUGAGGACAUGAAGAAGAGAAAAGAUCAAGGUCUGAGGAAAUGGAGAUCUGUUGAUCCAUAUGUUGUGAGAAGGAGAACUGUUGUUGAUCCCCGCUUUCACACAAAGGAGGAACAAGAUUUCAAUGAGAUUGUGUUGCUUGAUAAGAAUCCAGUAGCCAGUGACAUGAGAUAUGUAGAUUGAGAGUACAUCAAGGCCAAUGAUGAUUAUUUUCCCCAUGUGAGAUAAAAUUUCAGGAUGGUUGAUAUUGAAGAUUUUGUUGGCAAAGAAAUGACUACUUGGAACGAUGUGAUGAUCAUGCAAUUCUAUUCCACCACUCACUUCUAUUGUGAUGAAAGAAUUCAAUGGGCGGUUGAGGGUGACCGGUAUGAGUCUACAGUUGAUGAAUGGGCCACUCUUAUUGGUGCUCCAAAGGCACAAGAAGGAGACUUCGAUGUGUACUCACAAUGCAAGAUGAAUCACAACACCAUGGCUGUCGGUGUUAUAGGAAUGGGGCUACCCAAACCUGCCUACGUGUGGCCCAGGGCAGGCUCACCUCAUCAAAACAAAACAACGGGCCCGACACUUUUCAAGGAAAGGCCCUCGUGAGGGGCCAAGCCUCAUGAGGAGGAGGAGCGUCAAGACCCGCAGGGGGCCUCCUCCGGACCCCUCUGGAGUGGCGGAUAUUUCGAGGCAAGGCCGGGCCUCAGAAGUCAAGGGUGACACCAGGGGAGGACAGGCGAGCAGCAGAUGGCAGGACGGAACAUUUCCCCUUUAGUGCAAAGGGGGCGGGAGCGUACCGGGGUUCCAAAGGCAUCUUCCAAAGGUUUUCCUUCUGGUGCAACAAAGCCGCCGCCGCACGCGAGUAGGGCAAACGUCAUCCACCGGCCCAUCCCUGCAGCACGGGCAGUUCCUUUGUAAGCGAAGCCCAGCUUUGGGUAGGGGAGCAUGUUCCCUUGUUCCCCUUCAAAAUUCGCCGCUAUGGGAUCCCUUCCCGCUCAAGCUAUGAGGGAAGGGGACCCGGGCCUCCGCUAUAAAUAGAAAGGGUAGAACACUUUGUAGGGGGGUCGGUUCAUUCUCACCCUAGAGCAACGCACCAAGCCACUUAGCCUCCGGAGGCUCGAGAGCACUGUACUAGUUCAUCCACCAACCUUCGCGAGAGGCAAUCCACCAAAACCAGGAGUAGGGAUUUACACUUCACGGCGGCCCGAACAUGGAUAAACUGUUGUGUUCUGUGUUUCCCUCACCAUCGAGUGAGUCGUUCGUCGUUUCCACCGAAUAGCGAGCAAGGCAAAGCUAAGUAGGGAGAGAUCCUCGUACACGCCCGUGUGUUCGAAUCCUUAGGGUUUUGCGGAGCCCGAAAUCCGACAUUUGGUGUGCUAGGUAGGGGCGUGUCGAGGUUUCCUCCAAGCUCCGUCUUCACCAAGCUCCACCGCUCAGAUGGCUGACGCUCGUCGGGCUCGCAUAGAGGGCCACACCACUCGCGUUGCCCAGACAGCGCCCGUCGGUGCCGCCGGCGCGCGCUGGUCGCCGUCACCCGUGGUGAACGCUGCCACCGGUCCCGAAGUUCAAGAGAAACAAGGUUCCUCCCAUCCGGCGACCGAGAAGGCCGAUAGCCGCACCGCCACUCCGUCACUCGUUCGGCCUUCAGGGUUGGUAUCGCUCGCCCGACCAAAGAUCCCCCAUGGUCGGCGCGCGCUUUCCAUGGCCACCGAGCUGCUCCGCUACCGGCCCGCUCCUGACUGCCACGACGACUGGCUCCAGCACAUCGAGGAGCUCAUCGCCGCUAUUGGUGACUCCGUGGCGCUCUCUGCUCGCUCCGACCCCAACCGUCCCUGGCAAACGAUGAGGAGCACGAUACGCCACCCCCACCUCCGCAGCACGGCGCAGACCCCGAGCCCAGACAGGAAGCGCGCCCCCGCGACCAGCCUCGUGAACCCAGGACGGGACCUGGAGAUGAAGCAAGCUGCCAGGUGGUUCCCCAGCCUCGUGUCGAUGUGCGUGCGCCCCAGCGCUGCAAAUUCUGUGUCGUGAGCGCGCCCCGCUCGAAGCAGACCCCGUGGAGCAACAAGACCCAUCGGCUCCCGCGCACAGUACCCGUUGGACCGGUGGGGUGCCUAGCCAUCGCCUCAAGCUUUACCCCGCUGCGUGGCCCUGCAAGUUCAAGCCCGACCUGCCUCCACGCUACGAUGGCACCCAAGACCAGGUUGAGUUUCUGCAACUUUACAUGAUGAGCAUCAGGGUGGCGGGAGGAGGCGACAAGGUCAUGGCGUGUUGGUUCCCCAUCGCGCUCAAUGUCGGCACUCUCUCCUGGCUCCUUAACCUCCCUAAGGCGUCCAUCACCUCCUAGUACGACGUGCGCGAGCGUUUCAUCGCCAACUUCCAGGGCACCCGCGACCGCACUCCUACUAUGAACGACCUGUGGCGCGUCAAGCAACAGGAGGGAGAGACUCUGCACAAGUUCAUACAGCGCGUCAUGGUCAUGCGCCCCAAGAUCCCCAAGCCGUUGGACGAAGUCGUCAUCUCGGCUUUCUCCGACGGAGUGACCGACCUCAAGAUGAAGGAGGAGCUCGCCAUGAACGAUGAAAUGAGCAUUGCACUGGAGAUGUUCAACUUAGCAAGAAAAUGCGCCAAGGCUGAAGAAGGGCGCAUGUCACUCCUCGAGCCCCAGGCAGGGGAUCCAGAAGAGAUGAAGGCCAAGGCCAAGGAGGUGAAACGCAAAGCUCCGGAGGUGGUCGGCACCGAGCUCGAGGUGAAGCAUGUCCGAGGGGGAAAGCGCCCGUCCGGAGGAGGACCAACGUGCAUCUUCCAUGGCACCAGCGGCCAUGAUACCUGCAAGUGUCAAGAACUCCGCCUGGUUCGUGCCAAGCACUUUAGCAGGCACCCCGGACGGUUCAACAGAGACCCCGCACGCGGAGGAGGCUGCGGUGGGGGCCGCUGGGAUGACAGUGAGCCACGUCAGGGGUGGCGUGAAUAGCCUCAGGAGGACCCCUGGCGUGGCCAGCCUUAGGAGGACCGCUGGCGCAAUAACCCUCACGAGGGGCAACGACGCGGUCAGCCUGGUGAGGCUCGCCCUCGUGAGGCCGGGAUGCCCCCGUUGCCUCCACCACCCAGGAGGAGGGAUAAGGACAUGCAGGACGAUGGGGCUGGGGGCUUCCAGGAGGUCAGGGCGGUGGCCUCCAUCCUGGGCGGUGCCCAAACCCCAGCCUCCAACCGAGCCUUCAAGCAGUUUUCCAGGGAGGUGAAUGCCUCCCUCGUGAGGCCUGAAGCAAUGCGCCCCUCAACUGGUCCCAUACCACCAUCGCCUUCCACCCAUGCGACCAGCUCAGGUGCUCGUUCAUGGCCGGCAAACUCCCGAUGAUAUGCACCCCGACCAUCAGCAACGUCCUCAUAACCAAGACCUUCGAGAAACUCCAGUUGCCGUAUGAACAGCUCAUGCUGACCAAGCCCUUCUCAGGAGUCACGGAGGGGUGCAUCAUGCCCAUCGGGAGAGUGCAUCUGCCCGUCACCUUUGGUGAGCGCAAGAACUACCACACUGAGAUCAUCGUCUUCAACAUCGCACACAUUCACCUUCCAUACAACGCAAUCCUCGGAUACUUGGCACUCGCCAAGUUCAUGGCAGUGAUCCACCAUGGUUACAAUGUCCUCAAGAUGCUAGGGAGCGGAGGCAUCAUCACCAUCCCCUGCGACGAGAAUGAUGUCGUCUGUGCACUGGAGCGCGCCUACCGCACGACGGCGGUAGAGCACUCGGACGACAAAGAAGACGAGUUGCCUUGCGAGGACCCACGCAAGAAGAAGAAGGAACUCCUCUGCACGGAGGGCCUCAGAGCUUUGGGCUCCGUGCCUGGGGACGGGGCCAUGCCCCCAUCGCAUAGGAAGGCGCGCACGGCGCUCCCCUUCGGUCAGGACUCGGGGCUCCCACCGGGGAGGUCCCAGGCCUGACCAGUAAGGUGGGGUGAUGUUUGAGCACAUCCCGAGGGCACACUCCAGAGCGUGUGCAGCCUGCUCCCGUGAGUCCGUCAUCAGAGCAAUCCGAGAACUUCGAGAGCCCAAGCCGUGCGACGUGGUGACUGCCCUGCACCACCAAUCGCAGUCGCCGUCGUUGGCACGGUUGACCGGCCGCGCAUCUGCAUCAACGCACACCGAACCAACAUAGUCGCGGCUUACAGCCCCUUUUGGCCUACACUGGCUGACUAUUGGUGGGUGUAUACGAACACCAACACUUGCAUGCCCUUCAGGCAGAGGAAUGGGGCUGCCACCUACCAGAGGCUCCAGCGGGCCAUGCUCGUGCCCCGCCUGCUCGGGCGCCGCAACGACGAGGAGGAGAUACUCGGACCAUGCGAAGGCCCUGAGCCUCGAGAGGCGGCGAACCCGUGAGGUUCGCGACCGUGGAGACGGGAAAUCAAGCGAUGACGGCGCCUUCGAUACUUCAGCAGCACGGCAGCCAAGUGACUUUUUGUUGGCCGAUGCAAGGUAACUUUUUGGCUCACCCAGUCCGAGGGCACCCCUGGAGCCAUGCGGCCUCCCCGAGAUCAGGACACUCCCCCAGCUACUACUUUUAUUUAUGCAUCUUUUGGUUGUCUCAGUAUCACCCAUUUUGAACCCUAAAGUUCCACCUCGCUUAUAUUGUCGGGCGGUCGGGCCCCCGCUUGGGGGCUCCAGUCGAAGUUUGUCCAUGCAUGCCUCCCGAGGCAGCAGAUACACAGCCGCACUCCCAAGGAAGAAGAAGUCAGUUGGGUUUGCCAAUGACCCAAACAAAAUCAACUCAGUCCACCAAUGACUCGGGGGUAGGUACAAUCGCGAGGCCAUAGCGUCCUCGCGACCUCCCAUAUACACCCCCACGGUGACACUCUAAUGUAAUAACGAGCCAAGGAUGUAUACGCCCAGGGCCCCCCGAGAACGCGGAGGGGUCCAUCCCAUGCAUAGUGGAAUUCCUAUGCUCCGCAUUGGGGAGAAGCUCAGUCCACCAAUGACUAGGGGGUAGGGACACUCGCGAGGCCAAAGCGUCCUCGCGAUCUCCCAUAUACACCCCCACCGUGACACUCUCACGUAAUAACAAGCCGAGGCUAUAUACGCCCAGGGGCCCCCGAGGACCCGGAGGGGUCCAUCCCACGCCUAGUGGCAGCCCUAUGAUCUGCGCUGGGGAGAAGAUGGCGGCAAUCAACACAGUCCGCCAAUGAAUGCACGCCAAUGACUAUGCCAGUAGCUGGCACCAACACAGCCCGCCAAUGGUUGAGCCCUCAGCUGGCAAGGAAACCAACACAGCCCGCCUGUGACUACACCCACGGUGUGUGCGGGGGACCCACAACAGGAGGUACGGAGCCACUCGUACGUGAAGGUGGACCCCUCAGCAUCGCGACUCAAGGGCCUAACUGUGCCCAUAACCCCUUCCCCCUUUGGGUCGUCCUUGGUUUCCAGUCGGUUCAAUCGUGGGGAGGUACGCGCAGUGCGGGCCCUGCCGAAUGAGAGCCUAGUGCGCUCGACAAACCACUUCGGAUCCCUUAGGAAGAAUGCUAGAGUCACUCGUACGUCAAGGGGGACUCCUGACCAUUGCGACUCAGGAGCCUGAAAUGCGCCUGUAGCACCUUCCCCUUUUGGGCCGUCCUUGGUUUCCGAUCGGUUCAACUGGUGGGAGGUAUGCGCGGGGCAGGCCCUGCCGAUGUAGAGUGUUGAUGGAGUUCGAGAGUCUCAAAUUAUCGACUUCUUAGGAGGAGUAUCAGAGUCGCUAGCAUGUCAAAGGGGAUCCCUGAGCAUCGCGACUCAGGGGCCUAACUAUGCUCGUAGCCCCUUCCCCCUUUGGGUCGUCCUUGAUUUCCGAACGGUUCAAUCGCGGGGAGGUACAUGCGGGGUGGGCCCUGCCGACGCGGAGUGCUGAAGGUGUUCCUAGUUUCAAAAUAUUUGCCACGUCCUCCUCAUGAGGGCAGCUCACGUGUUAAGGGGGACUCCUGAGCAUCGCGACUCAGUAGCCUAACUGCGCUCGUAGCCCCUUCCCCUUUUUGGCCGUACUUGGUUUCCGGUCGGUUCAAUCACGGGAAGGUACGCGCGGGGUGGGCCCUGCCGACGUAGAGUAACACAACAAACAUGACGGGAACAAGGCAAAGAAAACAUUCACACAUUCAGUUAUUACAAAUCAGGACCAAGUUCAUAAAAAUGCAAAUAAGUCUAACGGCUACAUGAGGCACGAUGUGCAUUGCAGGAAGAAAACAUGGAUAAGAAAUCAGGAGGAGCCACCACCGGACGGCCCCUCCACAGGGGCUGUUCGUCGACAUCAGAAGCAUCGUCUUCCCCAUCGUCGGCUCCAGCGGCACCUGGAGACGAAGGAGCUGCGACAUGGGCGAACCUCCGCACCAACGCCUCCACGGGGCCCUUCACCGCCUCCGCGGUGCGGCCGUGGGCCUCGGCAGGGACCGGCAGGAUCAUGGAGAUGAGAUCGAAUCUCGGCUCACGAAGAUGAAGGUGGUUGAAGAUGCGAGUCGCCGCUGCGAAAAAGAGGUCGCGCCACUCGUUGUCCAAGAUCUUGUCCACCUGCACGCCGGCACCCUGUAGCACCACGACAAGCCUCUUCGCAAGCACGGCAAAGCCGUCAUCCGGGGUGGCCAGAGGCUCGUCGAACCUGUCCCGAUAGAGGGAGCAUAGCACAGUGCGAAGCUCGAACUCAACUUCAGGGAAGCAGGCCAAUUCCGCGGCCUUCUUCCCCUCAGCCGUGGCGAGGGCUUUCUCCUGGGCAUCAAGGAGGGCCUUCCUCGAGGCGAAAUCCUUCUCCUGCUCUUUCAAGAGCGCCUGGUUCGUGCCCAGGCGACUCACCUCCUGGGAUAGCUCUCCCUCCCGGGCGGCAAGCUUGGCCUCGUGGGCCUUAAGUUCCUCCCCCUACAGGCGACGCUGCUCGGCCAGCUUGGCUUGUUCUCCUUGGAGGACGUUAGGCAGGCUUCCACCUCUUCACAGCAUUCGGCAACCGCCUUGGCUUCCUUUAACGCCGUCUCAUGCGUGGCACGGGCGCCCUCGGCCUCCCUCUCGGCUUCCCCAUCUCGACUCGACAUUACUCAGGGCGGUGAAGAUCGUAUUCAAGACACCUUGGGUGAACACCGAGGUCUCCUGGACCUCCUCAUGAAGAGAUUUCAGCGCAGGCGUGGGUGGUGCCGCCAGAGAGGAAGCUCCAUGAAGAACAGGGGGCCCCGAAGACUACUCAACAGUCGCGAGCGAUGCCUCAGGAGCCUGAGGGCCUUCACGGGCGUGCCCCUGGGGCAACGAUGUCUCCACGGUCGCUUCAGGAUGCUUCGGGGGCUAGGGGGCUCGACGACCGAGGCCGGGGAGGCUGCUCCACGAGCCUCCACUUCCCCACCUGCACGCGAGGACGCACCGACGAGGGCAGGCGGGGCAUCGGGAGUCGCCUUCGGCUUGACGACCGUCUUCUUCCUUUUCGCCGCUGGCAAGACAACAUCCCUAGACGUCAAGUAAAAAGGGGGUCAACCAAGCGCGGGCAAUAGACGCGCAAGGCGUUCCCAAGCAAGUAACUUACUCUUCCACAUCACGCCAUCUCUUCCUCCUCUCCGCCCUGGUGACAGCAGAGGUGACAGGGACCCCCACGAAGGGGGUGAGCUCGACACCUUGGACCUCCCGCCGGCAGAAGCGGGAUGCGUUGGGGACGGCUCAGCCCAGAGCUUGUGGGAGGCGAGCACGCACGCACAACGCGUGGCGCGACGAGUCGACGCAGGACCCCUUGAGGCCUUGGCCAGCCACGAGGACGUCCUAGUGGGGGUAACGCCGGUGGCAUCAUCAUCUUCAAGGUCGCGCAGAAGGAGAGAUUGUGACGGGAGAGGCACGCUUGCGAGACGGUCGUCGACCGUCUUCUUCGUGUCCCCUUUACCACAAGUUUCGCCGGAUGACACCACCACGGGACUGGAGCCCUCAGCCGGGAGGAGCCCCAACUCAUUGAAGACAGGCAUCGCAGCGACCAGGUUGGCGCGGUCAUCGCGGCGGUAUAAUGGACCAAGGGCCUCGGGAAGGUCACUGAUGACCCACAAGUGUAGGGGAUCUAUCUUAGUCCAUUCGAUAAGUAAGAGUGUCGAACCCAACGAGGAGCAGAAGGAUCUGACAAGUGGUUUUCAGCAAGGUAUUCUCUGCAAGCACUGAAAUUAUCAGUAACAGAAAGUUGCGUGGUAAGAUGAUUCGUAGCAAGUAGUAAGAAACAAUAGUAACAACGGUGCAGGAAAGUAGCCCAAUCCCUUUUGUAGCAAGGGAUAUGACUGGAAAAAGUCUUAUAGGAGGUAAAGCACUCCUGAGGACACAUGGGAAAUUCUGUCAAGCUAGUUUUCAUCAUGUUCAUAUGAUUCGCGUUCGCUACUUUGAGAGUUUGAUAUGUGGGUGGACCGGUGCUUGGGUGCGGCCCUUACUAUCAGUCAUCAGAUAUCUAGGGACUCCAAAUCUAGGGAAAUUAACUUCUUUAAGCAUCCUGAUAGAAGUGUUGUGAUCAGCACUACUACUUGGGAUAGCUUCUACCCACUUAGUAACGUAAUCAACGGCAACUAGGAUAUGAGUAUACCCGUUAGAUUAUGGAAAAGGUCCCAUAUAAUCAAAACCCCAAACAUCAAAUGGUUCAAUGAAAACUGAAUAAUUCAUAGGCAUUUCCUGACGUUUACUGUAUUACCUAUUCUUUGACAUUCUUCACAACACAAGACAAACUUACGGGCAUCAUUGAAGAGAGUGGGCCAAUAGAAACCUGAUUGCACUACCUUGUGUGCAGUUCUAUCUCCCGCAUGGUGUCCUCCGUAGGCCUCGGAGUGACACUUCUGUAGGAUCUGUCCCUGUUCAUGUUCAGGUACACAAUGUCUAAUAACACCAUCUACUCCUUCUUUAUAAAGGUGAGGAUCAUCCCACAAGUAAUGUCUCAAAUCAAAGAAGAAUUUCUUCUUCUGCUGGUAUGUGAAACUAGGUGGUAUAUAUUUGGCAAUGAUAUAGUUUGCAUAAUCAGCAUACCAUGGUGUACUACAUGAAGUAUUGAUGACAUUCAAUUGCUCAUCAGGAAAGCUAUCAUCAAUAGGUUGUGGGUCAUCAAGAACACUCCAACCUAGACAACUUAUCUGCUACGGGGUUAUCAGCACCCUUCCCGUCAACAACAUGCAAAUCAAAUUCUUGUAGAAAGAGAACCCAUCUGAUAAGUCUAGGUUUAGCGUCUUUCUUUUCCAUGAGGUACUUAAUAGCAGCCUGAUCAGUGUGAAUAGUGACUUUUGAAUCAACUAUAUAAGAUCUGAACUUUUCACAUGCAAACGCGACUGCUAAAAACUCCUUUUCAGUAGUAGCAUAGUUUCUUUGGGCAAUAUCUAGAGUUUUACUAGCAUAGUGAAGAACAUUCAACUUCUUAUCAACUCUUUGUCAUAGGACAGCACCAACAGCAUAAUCACUAGCAUCACACAUGAUUUCAAAAGGUAAGUUCCAAUCAGGUGGUUGAACAAUAGGCGCAGUUAUCAAGGCCUUUUUAAGUAUUUUGAAGGCUCCCUCACAAUCCUCGUCAAAAACAAAAGGAAUAUCCUUAUGCAAGGGAUUGGUAAGAGGCCUAGAAAUCUUAGAGAAGUCUUUAUUGAACCUUCUAUAGAAACCAGCAUGACCAAGGAAACUUCUUAUACCUUUGAUAUCUGUAGGGCAUGGCAUUUACUCGAUUGCAUCAACCUUAGACUUAUCGACUUCAAUACCUCUUUCAGAAAUUUGAUGUACUAAGACGAUGCCUUCAUUAACCAUAAAUUGGCACUUCUCCCAAUUCAAGAUAAGGUUGGUGUAUUUACAUCUCUACAAGACUCCAUCAAGGUUGCUGAGGCAAUCAUCAAAAGAAGACUCGUAAAGGGAGAACUCAUCCAUGAAAACCUCAACAAUAUUUUCACAAAAGUCACAGAAUACAACCAUCAUACAUCUUUGAAAGGUAGCACGGGCAUUACAUAAGCCGAAAGGCAUAUGUCUGUAAGCAAAGGUACCGAAAGGGAAGGUGAAAGUGGUUUUCUCCUAAUCAGAUUGUGCAACUGGUAUUUGGGAAAAACCAGAAUAACCAUCUAGAAAGCAGAAGAGUGUAUGUUUAGACAGUCUUUCUAGCAUUUGGUCGAUAAAAGGCAAAGGGUAAUGAUCUUUCCUAGUGGCCUUAUUCAAUUUCCUAAAAUCAAUCACCAUCCUAUAGCCAGUAAUAAUCCUCUGUGGGAUCAAUUCAUCCUUGUCAUUAGGGACAACUGUAAUACCUCCCUUCUUAGGGACGCAAUGCACCGGACUCACCCAAUCACUAUGAGCAAGAGGAUAGAUAAUACAUGCUUCUAGGAGCUUUAGUAUUAAUUUUCUUACUACCUCUUUCAUCUUAGGAUUUAAUCUCCGUUGAUGAUCGACAACUGGUUUGGAAUCAGGAUCGGUUUUAAUCUUGUGCUGGCAUAGAGUGGGACUAAUGCCCUUAAGAUCAUCAAGAGUAUAUCCAAUAGCAGCACGGUGCUUCCUCAGAGUUUUUAGUAACUUCUUUUCUUCAUGCUCAGAGAGGCUAGCACUAAUAAUAGCAUGAUAUAUCUCUUUUUCAUCUAUAUAAGCAUACUUAAGAGUAUCAGGCAACUAUUUAAGCUCAAACACAGGAUCACCCUUUGGUGGUGGUGGUUCUCCAAGCAGUUCAACAGGCAAAUUAUUCUUAAGGAUAGGAUAAUGUUCAAAUAUAACUCUAUCUAUCUCAUCCCUUUCAUCCAUAUGCAUAUCAUUUUCAUUCUCAAGCAAGUAUUUCUCUAAGGGGUCAGUAGGAGGAACGGAAAUAGAAGCUAGGGAAAUAAUUUCAUACUUACUAGGCAACUCUUUUUCAUGAGGUUGUCUACCAAACUUGGAGAAAUUGAACUCAUGUGACAACCUUCAAAGCCAACAGUGACGGUUUGCUUCUCACAUUCAAUAUGAGCAUUGACAGUAUUGAGAAAAGGUCUGCCAAAUAUGAUGGGACAAAAGCUAUCUUGUGUGGUAUCAAGAAUGAGAAAAUCAGCAGGAUACUUCGUUUUACCACACAAGACUUCAACAUCUCUAGCAAUUCCCAAAGGGUAGAUAGUAUCUGUAUUGGCAAGCUUGAUAGUGACAUCAAUAGGUUCCAUCUCAACAGGUGCAAUCUCGUCUUUAAUUUCAUCAUAUAAGGAUUGAGGUAUUGCACUAACUCUAGCACCCACGUCACAUAAGCCAUGAUAACAAUGAUCUCAUAUCUUAACAGAAACAACAGGCGUGCCAACAACAGACCUAUGUUUGUCUCUAGCAUGUGGUUUAGCAAUUCUAGCAGCAUCUUCACAGAAGUGGAUAUCAUGGCCAUCAAUAUUGUCGGACAGGAGAUCUUUGAUAAUAGCAAUGCUAGGUUCAACUAUAAUUUUCUCACGGGGUGUAGGUGUUCUAAUGUAGCCCCCACGUAUCACAGUUGAAACUUUAGAAUGAUCCUUUAUCCUAACAGGGAAAGGUGGUUUUUCAAUGUAAGCACUGGGAGCAAUAGAAUCAUUAUAGGAAAUGACUUUCUCUACAACUUGAUUGGGUUUAACUACAUUGAAUUGUAAGGAAGGAUGAUAUUUAAACCACCUCUCUUUAGGGAGAUCAAUAUGAGCAGCAAAUGAUUCACACAAUGAAGCUACUAUCUCAGAGUCAAGUCCAUAUUUAGCGCUAAAAUCACAAAAAUUAUCUAUUUCAACAAAGGAUUAACACAAUCAAACUUGAAAUUCAUACCUGACUCCUUACUUUCAUCAAACUCCUAAUCUUCAGAGUUGCGUUUAAUUCAUUCCAAUAAAUUCCAUCUGAAGUCAAUAUCUCUCUUCAUAAAAGAACCGGUACAAGAAGUAUCAAGCGUGGUCCAAUCAUCAUGAGAAAGCUGAGCAUAGAAGUUAUGAAUGAUAAUUUCUCUCGAGAGCUCAUGGUUGGGGCAUGAAUAUAACAUUGAUUUAAUCCUCCCCCAAGCUUGAGCGAUGCUUUCUUUGUCACAAGGCCAAAAAUUAUAAAUAUAAUUCUGAUCACGAUAUAGGAUAAAACUUUUGAUGAAAUUCCAAUUUUAACCGGUUGUAGUUCUAUGAUCCAGUAUCAUCACAUAGCCUAUACCAUGCCAAUGCUUUAUCCCUCAAAGAUAAGGGAAAGACCUUCUUCUUGACCUCAUCCUCGGGCAAACCUGCAAGCUUAAAUAAACCACAAACUUCAUCUACAUAGAUUAGAUGCAAGUCGGGAUGUGAUGUUCCAUCUCCUAUAAAAGGAUUAGCCAGCAGUUUCUCAAGCAUACCCGAAGAAAAUUCAUAGCAAAUAUUUUCAGUAGGUGCAGCAGGUUGAGAAGCAACUCAUUGUUCUUCUGUUCGAGGCGAAGAUACCCCGAACAAGCUCCUCAAAGGAUUAGUUUCCAUAGUGAAAAGUGACAAUAAAUUUCAGCACACUAUAAAAUUGUUUCCUUACCAAAGGCGUUUCACUCCCCGACAACGGCGCCAGAAAAGAGUCUUGAUGACCCACAAGUGAGGGGGAUCUAGCGUAGUCCUUUCUAUAAGUAAGAGUGUCGAACCCAACGAGGAGCAGAAGGAUCUGACAAGUGGUUUUCAGCAAGGUAUUUUGUGCAAGCACUGAAAUUAUCGGUAACAAAAAGUUGCGUGGUAAGAUGAUUCGUAGCAAGUAGCAAGAAACAAUAGUAACAACGGUGCAGGAAAGUAGCCCAAUCCCUUUUGUAGCAAGGGAUAAGACUGGAAAAAGUCUUAUAGGAGGUAAAGCACUCCUGAGGACACAUGGGAAAUUCUGUCAAGCUAGUUUUCAUCAUGUUCAUAUUAUUCGCGUUCGCUCCUUUGAUAGUUUGAUAUGUGGGUGGACCGUUGCUUGGGUGCUGCCCUUACUUGGACAAACCUCCCACUUAUGAUUAACCCCUCUCGCAAGCAUCCUCAACUACGAAAUAAGAAUUAAGACAAAGUCUAACCAUAACAUUAAACUAGUGGAUCCAAAUCAGCCCCUUACGAAGCAACACAUAAAUUAGGGUUUAAGCUUCUGUCACUCAAGAAACCCAUCAUCUACUUACUACUUCACAAUGCCUUCCUCUAGUCCCAAAUAAUGGUGAAGUGUUAUGUAGUCGACGUUCACAUAACACCACUAGAGGAAAAACAACAUACAACGCAUCAAAAUAUUGAACAAAUACCAAAUUCACAUGACUACUUAUAGCAAGACUUAUCCCAUGUCCUCAGGAACAAAAGUGACUACUCACAAAGCAUAAUAAUACUCAUGACCAGAGAGGUAUUGAAUAGAAUCAAGGGUCUGAACAUAUACUCUUCCACCGAUUAAUCCAACUAGCAUCAACUACAAAGAGUAAUUAACACUACUAGCAAUCUUACAGGUACCAAUCGGAGUCCCGAGACGGAGAUUGGUUACAAGAGAUGAACUAGGGUUUGCAGACGAGAUGGUGCUGAUGAAAAUGUUGAUGGUGAUGAGUCCCCUCCGAUAGGAGGAUUGUUGGUGAUGACGAUGGCGAUGAUUUCCCCCUCCGCGACGGAAGUUUCCCCGGUAGGACGACCCUACCGAAGCUCUAGAUUGAUUCUGCUCAAGUUCUGCCUCGUGGAGGCGGCGAUUCCUCCCGUAAGCCUCCUCUUGAUUUUUUCUGGAACGAAACCCUCCUUAUAGAAAAAGAGGGGGGCCAGAGGGCCAACAGGGAGCCCACAAGCCCCCUAGGCGCGGCCAGGGGGGUAGGCCACGCCUAGCAGGCUUGUGGCCUCUUGCUAGCUCCCCUCUGGUACUUCUUUGGCCUAGUAUUUUUUAUAAAUUCAAAAAUAAAUCCUCGUUGAUUUUCACGGCUUUUGGAGUUGCGCAUAAUAGGUAUCUCAAACUUGCUCCUUUUUCAGGCCAGAAUUCCAGCUGCGAGCAUUCUCCCUCUUCAUGUAAACCUUGCAAAAUAAGAGUGAAAAGGCAUAAGUAUUGUACCGUGAAGUGUAAUAACAGCCCAUAAAGCGAUAAAUAUCAACAUAAAAGCAUGAUGCAAAAUGGAAGUAUCAACUCCCCCGAGCUUAGACCUCGCUUGUCCUCAAGCGAAAGCCGAGAUCAAUAAAUAUGCCCACAUGUUUAGAGAGAGAGGUGUCGACAAAACAAGAUAUGGACAUGCACGCAUCAUGAUCAUAGUUAGAACAACAAAAUCAUCAUAUAAUCUCUCAUGCUAAAUUGAUAUCACAAAGUAAAGUAUGGAUCAAGUACCUUACUGAGAAUUAACAACCAAUAGCCUUUAAUCGUUGAAGCAAUUGCAAUUUAUCAUAACAUCGGAAAGAGUCAAGUAAGAGCUUGUAAAGCAAAUCCACAUACUCAAUCAUCCUUUCAUCUUCUAUAAUUGCUACAACUCACGUGGUACUCAUGAGAUCAAAGUUUCAGUCGGACACAGAGAAAGAUAGGGGCUUAUAGUUUCGCCUCCCAACUAUUUACCUCAAGGGUAAUGUCAACAAUAAUAAUUCAUGAAUACUUACUUCCAAGUUGACAUAAGAAUAUAGAUCUUUCCCUAGCAUAUGACGUUAGUCAAGAAAAAAACGAAAUAAGGAAUUGGUGUAGAUCACCAUGACUCGUUCAAGGGCAAAAAGUAAAGGUACAAGAUAGUCCCUUCUCAGAGGGAAGAAGAGGUUGCCAUGCGAUUUUGAGGUUUGGAUGUGCGACCUCUUAGUGUGAAGGAACGUAGCUUUAUAUAGCCUCCUGUGCUAAAGAAAUUUAUUAUGCAGUCCGUCGCUUUUAUGUCUUCCUCAUCACAGGUUCGUACAAAGCUUAUUUUCCACACACUAAUUGAUCAUACAUAAUUAGGGAUCAAUUUUUAUUGCUUGCACCGAUGACAACUUAUUUGAAGGAUCUUAUUCAAUCCAUAGGUAGGUAUGGUGGACUCUCAUGGCAAAACUGGGUUGAAGGUUUAUGGAUGCACAAGUAGUAUCUCUACUUGGUGCGGGAGUUUUGGCUGAUAUGGGGUGGAAGAAAUCGUCACAUGCUAAGGGAUCUCUAGUCAUAUAAUCAUUGUUCGGAACCAAGAAAGCAUAAUUCAUUAUGUUGUCUUCCUUGUCCAACAUCUACUUCUAAGCAUGCAAUAGUUUAGUGAGUGUUCACAAUCAUAGAUGGUGGCAAAGAUGAUAUAUUUAUAUGUGAACCUCUCCUUAUUUAUCACUUCCUAUUAAUUGCAACAAUGACCAAGGUCUACGUUUUUCCACCCUCAACAAGUUUCAAUCAACAUUCUUUUUAUAUGUGAAGUCAUCACUUCCCAUAAUAUCAUUACAUGAUCUCUCAUGCUUUUGUUCUUUUAUCAUUCUUCUGAACAUGGCAUGAGGCAAGGUCCUUAACUAACACUCUCUUUAUUAUAUGACUCACGAAAUCGAAUACAUCGGGGGUGACACAAAGAAAAACUCAAGCCUAAAACACUAAGAACUUUAUUCUACUAGCGAAAGAUAAAACCAAAAAGGAUCGAAAUAAGAAAAGGUAAAGGCAAAAGCUGUGAUGGUGAUACGAUACCGGGGCAACUCCCCCAAGCUUGGCACAAGCCAAGGGGAUUGCCCAUACCCUUUCUUAGUUGUCUUCCUUCGAAGGUGAUGGUGGUGGAGUUGUUGCGGAGGUCUUGAACCUGUUUAAUUUCCUUUUGAGCAUAAAAUUUUGCUCCUUCAGAUCAUUAAUUUCCUCUUUAAGACUCAACACCCUUUGGCAUAAUUCCUUCUUACUCUCCUGCAAAAGACGAGAAGGGAUAAACAAAAUCUUAGGCUUCUUCCUUGAGUCGGGGAGGCUCGACUUCUUGAACUCCACAUGUGUGUCUCCAGGUAGGGAUAGAGAAGCUUCCUCUUCAUCGGAACUUGUUCCUUCCUUCCCCUUGGGAUCAUAAUAUUCUUCCUCAUCAGUGGUCCAACCAUAACGAUCCAAGUCCCCAUAGACCUUGGGGUUAGCAAGGUAAUCGGCCACAUACCUCUCCCCCUCUGAAUCUUGAGAAGACAUCUUGCCCUAAAUCUGCUGCACAAAACAGGCUCGAAACGAAAACAGAGGAAAAUUGCGUGAUACAAGGGUCAGACCUUUCGGGAGAAUAUAUAAUGAUUUUUUCUGACCAGAAUGAGUACUACGCAAGCAAACGGAGUCCGGGAGGCACACGAGGUGGCACAAGCCCCCCACGCGCGGCCAGGGCAUGGCCUGCGCCUGGCAGGCUUGUCGCCUCCUCGUGCGCUUUCCGGACUACUUUAAAUUUUUCUAUUUUUCUAAAAAUUCCUACUGGAAAAGUUUUGGAGUCUGUUUACUUACCGAAUCACAUACCUCUUCAUUUUCGGAGUCUGAAAUAGGCUGAUAAAUAUCCCUUAUGUACUCCUCCGGAGUUAUGGUGUUGAUAAUAUUGCUUUCAACAUUUAUGGGAGUACCUGAGAUAUAAUGCUUGAUUAUUUGCCCAUUUACCACUCUCAGAAAAUUACCUUCCGUGUUGUUACUCUUGAUGGCGCCGGAACGAUACACUUCCUCAACAAUGUAAGGACCUUUCCAUUUAGAGAGAAGCUUGCCUGCAAAAAAUCUUAAACGAGAAUUAUAUAGCACGACAUAAUCACCUACAUUGAACUCACGUUUCUGUAUCCUUUUAUCAUGCCACCUCUUAACCUUUUCUUUGAACAACUUGGCAUUUUCAUAUGCCUGGGCUCUCCAUUCAUCAAGUGAGAUAAUAUCAAAUAACCUCUUCUCACCAGAAAAUUUGAAAUCAAAGUUGAGCUCUUUGAUUGCUCAAUAAGCCUUAUGUUAUAGCUCAAGAGGUCAAUGACAUGCUUUACCGUAAACCAUUUUGUACAGAGACAUGCCCAUGGGAUUCUUAUAAGCUGUUCUAUAAGCCCACAGUGCAUCAUCGAGCUUCUUAGACCAAUUACUUCUAGACCUAUUGACAGUCUUUUGCAGAAUUAGUUUAAUCUCUCUAUUACUUAGCUCUACUUGACCACUGGACUAAGGGUGAUAGGGAGAUGAAAUUCUAUGAUUGACAUCAUACUUAGCAAGCGUUUUACAGAAAUCACCAUCAAUGAAAUGUGAACCACCAUCAUUCAUCAGAUAUCUAGGGACUCCAAAUCUAGGGAAAAUAACUUCUUUAAGCAUCCUGAUAGAAGUGUUGUCAUCAACACUACUAGUUGGGAUAGCUUCUACCCACUUAGUAACGUAAUCAACAACAACUAGGAUAUGAGUAUACCUGUUGGAUUUUGGAAAAGGUCCCAUAUAAUCAAAGCCCCAAACAUCAAAUGGUUCAAAGACAAGUGAAUAAUUCAUAGUCAUUUUCUGACGUUUACUGAUAUUACCUAUUCUUUGACAUUCGUCACAAGACAAGACCAACUUACGGGUAUCCGUGAAGAGAGUGGGCCAAUAGAAACCUGAUUGCAAUACCUUGUGUGCAGUUCUAUCUCCAGCAUGGUGUCCUCCGUAGGCCUUAGAGUGACACUUAUAUAGGAUCUGUCCCUGUUCAUGUUCAGGUACACAACGUCUAAUAACACGAUCUACCCCUUCCUUAUAAAGGUGAGGAUCAUCCCACAAGUAAUGUCUCAAAUCAAAGAAGAAUUUCUUCUUUUGCUGGUAUGUGAAACUAAGAGUUUGUGGGUCAUCAAGAAAAUUCUCCAACCUAGACAAGUUAUCUGCUACAGGGUUAUCAGCACCCUUCCUGUCAACAACAUGCAAAUCAAAUUCUUGUAGCAGGAGAACCCAUCUGAUAAGUCUAGGAUUAGCGUCUUUCUUUGCCAUGAGGUACUUAAUAGCAGCGUGAUCAGCGUGAAUAGCGACUUUGGAAUCAACUAUGUAAGAUAUGAACUUUUCUCAUGCAAACACGACUACUAAACAUUCCUUUUCAGUAGUUUCAUAAUUUCUUUGGCCACUGUCUAGAGUUUUACUAGCAUAGUGAAUAACAUUUAACUUCUUAUCAACUCUUUGUCCUAGGACAGCACAGCAACAUAAUCACUGGCAUCACACAUGAUUUCAAAAGGUAAGUUCCAAUCAGGUGGUUGAACAAUAGACGCAGUUAUCAAGGCCUUUUUAAGUAUUUCGAAGGCUUCGUCACAAUCAUCGUCAAAAACAAAAGGAAUAUCCUUAUGCAAGGGAUUCGUAAGAGGCCUAGAAAUCUUAGAGAAGUCUUUAUUGAACCUUCUAUAGAAACCAGCAUGACCAAGGAAACUUCUUAUACCUUUGAUAUCUGUAGGGCAUGGCAUUUUCUCGAUCGCAUCACCCUUAGCCUUAUCGACUUCAAUACCUCUUUCAGAAAUUUUAUGUCCUAAGACGAUGCCUUCAUUAACCAUAAAGUGGCACUUCUCCCAAUUCAAGACAAGGUUGGUUUCAUUACAUCUCUGCAAGACUCGAUCAAGGUUGCUGAGGCAAUCAUCAAAAGAAUACUCGUAAACGGGGAAGUCAUCCAUGAAAACCUCAACAAUCUUUUCACAGAAGUCAAAGAAUAUAGCCAACAUACAUCUUUCAAAGGUAGUAGGUGCAUUACAUAAGCCAAAAGGCAUAUGUCUGUAAGCAAAGGUACCGAAAGGGUAGGUGAAAGUGGUUUUCUCCUGAUCAGAUUGUGCAACUGGUAUUUGGGAGGAACCAGAAUAACCAUCUAGAAAGCAGAAGUGUGUAUGUUUAGACAAUCUUUCUAGCAUUUGGUCGAUAAAAGGCAAAGGGUAAUGAUCUUUCCUAGUGGCCUUAUUGAAUUUCCUAAAAUCAAUCACCAUCCUAUAGCCAGUAAUAAUCCUCUGUGGGAUCAAUUCAUCCUUGUUAUUAGGGACAAAUGUAAUAUCUCCCCUCUAAGGGACGCAAUGCACUUGACUCACCCAAUCACCAUGAGCAACAUGAUAGAUAAUACCUGCUUCUAGGAGCUUUAGUAUUUCUUUUCUUACUAGCUCUUUCAUCUUAGGAUUUAAUCUUCGUUGAUGAUCGGCAACUGGUUUGGAAUCAAGAUCGGUAUUAAUCUUGUGUUGGCAUAGAGUGGGACUAAUGCCCUUAAGAUCAUCAAGAGUAUAUCCAAUAGCAACAUGGUGCUUCCUCAGAGUUUUUAGUAACUUCUUUUCUUCAUGCUAGGAGAGGCUAGCACUAAUAAUAACAGGAUAUAUCUCUUUUUCAUCGAGAUAAGUAUACUUAAGAGUAUCAGGCUACUGUUUAAGCUCGAACACAUGAUCACCCUUUGGUGGGGGUUGUUCUCCAAGCAGUUCAACAGGCAAAUUAUUCUUAAGGAUAUGAUAUUGUUCAAAGAUAACUGUAUCUAUCUCAUCCCUUUCAUCCAUAUGCAUAUCAUUUUCAUGCUCAAGCAAUUAUUGCUCUAAGGGGUCAGUAGGAGGCACGACAAUAGAAGCUAGGGCAAUAAUUUCAUCCUUAUUAGGCAACUCUUUUUCAUGAGGUUGUCUACCAAACUUGGAGAAAUUGAACUCAUGUGACACACCUUCAAAGCCAACAGUGACAGUUUGCUUCUCACAGUCAAUAUGAGCAUUAACAGUAUUGAGGAAAGGUCUGCCAAAUAUGAUGGGACAAAAGCUAUCUUGUGUGGUAUCAAGAACGAGAAAAUCAUCACGAUACUUCGUUUUACCACACAACACUUCAACAUCUCUAACAAUUCCCAAAGGGCAGAUAGUAUCUCUAUUGGCAAGCUGGAUAGUGACAUCAAUAGGUUCCAUCUCAACAGGUGCAAUCUCGUCUUUAAUUUCAUCAUAUCAAGAUAGAGUGUCGGGACCCCGAUCCUAAGCCAUAGGAAUCCAGCCUGUAACACAUCGCAUCUCUUUGUGGUCUCACGCACGGUUAACUCCACGGCUGCCGCCUUACCUUAGCCGGGACCGUUUGCGUCUUUUGACUCACGUAUGCGAUAGGUGUCGCUAGCAAUCCAAUGUCAAAGAACCCGGAUCGACAUGUCUAGUCAUAAACCAAAGUGGCAGUUCCGCACAAGGACAGGCAUACAUGACCUAACAAAGCAGGUGUCGGUCAUCAGCGAACGUAGACGAGUCGUAGCAAGCUACAAGGACUCCAUUACGUCGCGUGACAUUUGCCCAAAGAGGACAGACACAGCAGCUAAGAAGGACACAUGCCGGUCAACCAAUGUGUCCGGAGCAGCAGCGGACUACCAAGGCUCGUUGGAUCACAAAGGUGCAUUUCCUUGUAAGGAGUGCUACUAAAGUUCACGACUAGGUAUUCGAACCCCAUACAUAUCAAGUAUGACACACGUAUGCAUGGCAUACCGAUAUGUAUAGAUACAUCGAUGGCAUCACAACAUAACCAUAAACAUACAACCUUAAUUCAAGAGGCUCGGAAGAGCCACACACAUAAUAUUACACAUUAAGGUCUCUCGACCCAUAAUAGCAGUCAUACAACUACAAGCCAGCGGAAGAGUUAUAAACUGUCUGGGUACAGACAGUGCAACUAGAGGUCACAUGGCCUGGCUAUACUACAGAGCCGACGUAGGGCCAGAUCGUAGCUGGGACACCAGCUACUCGUCGUCGUCGAUGUCUACGUAGAACCCUCCAUUACGGUCAUUAGCAACCUCUGCAACAUUUAUUAAGCAAACAUGAGUACGAAGGUACUCAGCAAGACUUUAGGAGAACAAACUACUCAUGCAAGGUAUCAAAGAGUAUUGUGGGGUUUCAUGCGGAAAGCCAGCAUUUAACUCGUGGCUAGACAACUUGCAUUUUGAAAUUAGUUUUGACAACUUGAUUUCUCGCACACGAGUCCACUAACACCACAACAAUACACUAUAGUGGAAUCAUUCCGUCUCCAUAUGGAAAUGCCAUCCACGACACUCACGCUUAUCUUGACAAAUUUUAUGAGUAGCCAUUGAAGUUAUCUAUGAACAACAUAUGUCUCCAAGUAGUCCAUAUCCGCGGACGCGGCUAUUCGAAUAGAUCAUAACCCUGCAGGGGUGUACUUCGUCACACACGCUCUCGCCACUUAUCGCCAUGUGCACGUCAUGCACCUCGGCAACCUUCAAGCGGAAGCCCCGCGAGGGAGUCGGCCACGACCGUUAACCACACUAGUACCUAGUCCAGGUUUAUCGCCUAUCUGAGAGUAACCCGUACGGAAGUCCGGCCGGGGUUUCCGCCACGGCCUCAAAUGAUGUGCGCAGGGUUCCCAAGCCCACCAUCCGGGUGCCACUUGGUACACCGUGCCACUACCUACAGCAUCACGGCCCACCUCUCAGGUCAGCACCAUGCACGGCCUCCAGCAUUACUAUAAACACCAGAAACUACUUGCAACUCCUGGACCGAGUACUACGCGAUUAAUAGGCCGAGCGGGGUCAUAUUUAAGGGCCCAGCAUGUGGUAGUAUCUAGUCUUGGAUUACAUACACGGAACUCAGUUCCUAAGGACGGUUCCAAUGAAACAACCCGCCAUGUACUCCUACACAGCCUUUCACCGGUCCCUUUACCAAAUCAAGUUCAACACACAACCUUUGCUCACCGAACACAUUCCACAUUUCUUUUCAUCUCCCAAAUGACAGACCAUACACAACUCUAAGCAUAGCAUGCAUAGCAGGAUAAGGCACAUCAUAGCUCAAGCAACUACNNNNNNNNNNNNNNNNNNNNNNNNNNNNNNNNNNNNNNNNNNNNNNNNNNNNNNNNNNNNNNNNNNNNNNNNNNNNNNNNNNNNNNNNNNNNNNNNNNNNNNNNNNNNNNNNNNNNNNNNNNNNNNNNNNNNNNNNNNNNNNNNNNNNNNNNNNNNNNNNNNNNNNNNNNNNNNNNNNNNNNNNNNNNNNNNNNNNNNNNNNNNNNNNNNNNNNNNNNNNNNNNNNNNNNNNNNNNNNNNNNNNNNNNNNNNNNNNNNNNNNNNNNNNNNNNNNNNNNNNNNNNNNNNNNNNNNNNNNNNNNNNNNNNNNNNNNNNNNNNNNNNNNNNNNNNNNNNNNNNNNNNNNNNNNNNNNNNNNNNNNNNNNNNNNNNNNNNNNNNNNNNNNNNNNNNNNNNNNNNNNNNNNNNNNNNNNNNNNNNNNNNNNNNNNNNNNNNNNNNNNNNNNNNNNNNNNNNNNNNNNNNNNNNNNNNNNNNNNNNNNNNNNNNNNNNNNNNNNNNNNNNNNNNNNNNNNNNNNNNNNNNNNNNNNNNNNNNNNNNNNNNNNNNNNNNNNNNNNNNNNNNNNNNNNNNNNNNNNNNNNNNNNNNNNNNNNNNNNNNNNNNNNNNNNNNNNNNNNNNNNNNNNNNNNNNNNNNNNNNNNNNNNNNNNNNNNNNNNNNNNNNNNNNNNNNNNNNNNNNNNNNNNNNNNNNNNNNNNNNNNNNNNNNNNNNNNNNNNNNNNNNNNNNNNNNNNNNNNNNNNNNNNNNNNNNNNNNNNNNNNNNNNNNNNNNNNNNNNNNNNNNNNNNNNNNNNNNNNNNNNNNNNNNNNNNNNNNNNNNNNNNNNNNNNNNNNNNNNNNNNNNNNNNNNNNNNNNNNNNNNNNNNNNNNNNNNNNNNNNNNNNNNNNNNNNNNNNNNNNNNNNNNNNNNNNNNNNNNNNNNNNNNNNNNNNNNNNNNNNNNNNNNNNNNNNNNNNNNNNNNNNNNNNNNNNNNNNNNNNNNNNNNNNNNNNNNNNNNNNNNNNNNNNNNNNNNNNNNNNNNNNNNNNNNNNNNNNNNNNNNNNNNNNNNNNNNNNNNNNNNNNNNNNNNNNNNNNNNNNNNNNNNNNNNNNNNNNNNNNNNNNNNNNNNNNNNUUUUCUGUUUUGCUAACUAGUGUUUUGCUAAUUAUUUCAGCUCCAAAACAAAAAGUAAAAACUAUUUUAGACCUCAUGAAAUAUUUGUUAUAAUAUCCCCACUCAUUUCCAAGGUUUUCAACAUUAUUGGAAAUUUAUAGAUUCUGAUUUCAAAUUUUAAAGUUUGAAACUAGUGGCUUUUGCAUUCAUUUAAAAUGCUUAAAGUGUCAAGAAAAUAGUUUUCUCCAAUGCUCAUUUACUUUCAUGAUUUAUCAGAAAGUUUGAACAUUUCUUGAGGCCAUUUUGGGUUCAUUGAUUUUGAACUAGUUUGAGAUUUCCUUUAAUUGAAAUGGUGGCUAGGGUUUUGGGUAUUUCCUUUGCCACUUUGUUGUUUUUGUUGAAACUUCUUAGAUGCAAAUGCAAAGAAGACAUGAGCACAAUGCUAUCUUGCUUAAGGGUUAGGGAUGUGACAACUCACCCCCACUCAAAAGAAUCUCGUCCCGAGAUUUAGAAGUCGUCGGGAAUAACGCAGGAUACUCAAGUCGGAGACGAUCCUCUCUUUCCCAAGUUGCCUCCUUUUCAGAAUGAUUUGACCAUUGAACUUUAAGAAACUUGAGGUUUCGACGUCGAGUGGUACGCUCAGCUUGAUCAAGAAUACGCACGGGGUAUUCUCGGUAUGAAAGGUUAUCUUGGAGAUCAAGCGUUUCGUGGUCCACUUCACGGAUAGGAUCCGAAAAGCAACGCCUGAGNGGGGUAUUCUCGGUAAGAAAGGUUAUCUUGUAGAUCAAGCGUUUCGUGGUCCACUUUACGGAUAGGAUCCGAGAAGCAACGCCUGAGUUGCGAGACGUGGAAAACAUCAUGAACCUUGGAAAGAUGCGGAGGAAGUUCCAGCUGGUAGGCAACUUCUCCUCGUUUGGAAAGAAUGCGAAAAGGACCAAUGUAACGAGGAGCCAAUUUGCCCUUGAUACCGAAUCGAUGGGUACCCUUCAAAGGUGUAACCCGAAGGUAAGCCUUCUCGUCAACUUCAAAGGUCACAGCCUUAUGAUGACGAUCAUAUUGGCUCUUUUGACGAGACUGGGCUGUUUUCAACUUUUCACGAAUAAGGCGAACCUGCUCUUCUGCAUCCUGGAUCAUGUCCGGGCCAAAGAGUUGCCUCUCUCCGGUUUCUGACCAAUUAAGAGGGGUUCGGCAUCGUCGUCCAUAGAGAACUUCAAAAGGGGCUUUGCCCAAGCUUGAUUGAUAACUAUUGUUAUAAGCGAAUUCGGCGAAUGGAAGGCACUUCUCCCAAUUCAUACCAAACGAAAUAACACAGGCUCGGAGCAUAUCUUCUAGGAUUUGAUUCACUCUUUCUACUUGACCACUUGAUUGGGGAUGGAGAGCAGUGCUAAAAGAUAGGUGAGUCCCCAUGGCAUUCUGAAAACUUUCCCAGAAGCGAGAAGUAAAGAUACUUCCACGGUCCGAGUUAAUUUCCAUGGGAACACCAUGAAAAGACACUAUUCGGGAGAUAUAUAACUCUGCUAGCUGGCUAGCUGUUAUACUCUCACGAACAGGAAGAAAAUGAGCCACUUUGGAAAGACGGUCAAUGACCACAAAGAUAGCAUUAUUUCCUUUCUUGGUCUUGGGAAAUCCGGUAAUGAAAUCCAUGCUAACUUUAUCCCAUUUCCAUUCAGGAAUAGCUAAAGGUUGAAGCGUGCCAGCAGGCCUUUGAUGUUCUGCCUUAACUCGACGACAAACGUCGCAGUUAGCAACGAACUCAGCAAUUUCUCUCUUCAUCCUAGUCCACCAGAACCUCUGGCGUAGGUCCUGAUACAUCUUAGUACUACCAGGAUGAAUGGUGAGAGGAGAAUCAUGAGCCUCCUUAAGGAUUAACUGCCUUCGAUGGGUUCUUAGGAACCACUAAACGAUUCUGGAAGAACACAACACCUUGAUCAUUCAUGGAAAAUUCUUUAGCGUUUCCGCUAAAAAUAUUCCCCUUGAUCCGUGAUAUUCCCUUGUCACGCUUUUGGCCAGCUAUAAUUUGAUCCUUAAGAGUAGGCUUCGCCACCAGGGUGGAAAGGAAUCCUUGAGGAACAAUAUGAAGAUUCAACUUCCGAAAGUCCUCAUGGAGAUGUGGUUGACCUUGUUGUAGCAUCAAAUUGUUACAAUAAGAUUUACGACUUAGUGCAUCGGCCAUAACAUUGGCCUUCCCCGGGGUAUAAGUUAUCCCUAAGUCGUAAUCCGAGAUCAACUCAACCCACCGUCUUUGCCUGAGAUUCAAAUCCGGCUGGGUGAAGAUAUAUUUUAGACUUUGGUGAUCAGUGAAUAUUUCGCAACGAUUACCCAAAAGGUAAUGUCGCCAGGUUUUUAGUGCAUGGACCACAGCUGCAAGCUCAAGGUCAUGUGUGGGAUAAUUAUCCUCAUGUGGACGCAACUGUCGAGAUGCGUAUGCGAUCACAUGACUAUCUUGCAUGAGAAUACAACCUAAUCCUUGUCGCGAGGUGUCGCAAUAGAUAACAAAGUCCUUNGGAUGAAUGGUGAGAGGAGAAUCAUGAGCCUCCUUAAGGAUUAACUGCCUUCGAUGGGUUCUUAGGAACCACUAAACGAUUCUGGAAGAACACAACACCUUGAUCAUUCAUGGAAAAUUCUUUAGCGUUUCCGCUAAAAAUAUUCCCCUUGAUCCGUGAUAUUCCCUUGUCACGCUUUUGGCCAGCUAUAAUUUGAUCCUUAAGAGUAGGCUUCGCCACCAGGGUGGAAAGGAAUCCUUGAGGAACAAUAUGAAGAUUCAACUUCCGAAAGUCCUCAUGGAGAUGUGGUUGACCUUGUUGUAGCAUCAAAUUGUUACAAUAAGAUUUACGACUUAGUGCAUCGGCCAUAACAUUGGCCUUCCCCGGGGUAUAAGUUAUCCCUAAGUCGUAAUCCGAGAUCAACUCAACCCACCGUCUUUGCCUGAGAUUCAAAUCCGGCUGGGUGAAGAUAUAUUUUAGACUUUGGUGAUCAGUGAAUAUUUCGCAACGAUUACCCAAAAGGUAAUGUCGCCAGGUUUUUAGUGCAUGGACCACAGCUGCAAGCUCAAGGUCAUGUGUGGGAUAAUUAUCCUCAUGUGGACGCAACUGUCGAGAUGCGUAUGCGAUCACAUGACUAUCUUGCAUGAGAAUACAACCUAAUCCUUGUCGCGAGGUGUCGCAAUAGAUAACAAAGUCCUUAGAAAAAUCUGGUGGUAGCAACACAGGUGCGGAAGUCAGGCGUCUUUUCAGUUCCUGAAAACUAUGCUCACACUGUGGUGUCCACUCGAACUUUUUAUCUUUCUUGAGGAGUUCAGUUAGAGGCUUUGCAACCUUGGAGAAAUUCUCGACGAAGCGGCGACAAUAGCUCGCUAGACCAACAAAACUCCUAACUUGCUUAACCGAAUCAGGUUGAGUCCAAUCAAGGACAGCUUGAACUCUCUCGGGAUUGACAGCAAUACCCUUACCAGAGAUUACGUGGCCUAGAUAGGUCAUUUCUGGUAACCAGAAUUCACAUUUUGAAAAUUUGGCAUAAAGGCGAUGCUCUCGAAGUUUCAUCAAUACCAGCCUUAAAUGCUCGGCAUGUUCUUGUUCAUUCUUUGAGUAGAUGAGAAUAUCAUCGAGGUAUACUACGACGAAUUUAUCCAAAUACUCCAUAAAGAUUGAAUUCAUCAGUCGACAGAAGGUGGCUGGGGCAUUGGUUAAACCGCAGGACAUAACGGUGUACUCAUAUUGGCCAUAACGAGUAACAAAGGCCGUUUUUGGAAUGUCCCCGUUCUUGAUCUUGAUUUGAUGGUAUCCCAACCUCAAAUCCAUUUCAGAGAAGACUGAGGAUCCAGCGAGCUGAUCGUACAGGUCGUUGAUCCUGGGGAGCGGAUACUUGUUCUUAAUGGUGACUAGGUUAACUGGUCGGUAAUCUACAACCAUCCGAUCCGUUCCGUCUUUCUUCUUGACGAAGAGGACGGGACAAGNNNNNNNNNNNNNNNNNNNNNNNNNNNNNNNNNNNNNNNNNNNNNNNNNNNNNNNNNNNNNNNNNNNNNNNNNNNNNNNNNNNNNNNNNNNNNNNNNNNNGGAUCCACCAAGCCCUGUUGCCCCAAGGAUAAUGACUAACAGAGAACUACUCCUCAGUAUUCAUCAGAAGGUCGAUCGCAAUCACAAAUGGGUAAAAUGUCAAUUCAGUGCCAUUGUGAAAACCCUCAACGAGACUCAGAAUGCAGUGAACAAAAAUCACUACUAUCUUCAUAAGGUGUUUGAUCGAACCUGGGCCACCCUGGCUCAUCUGAAGACACAAGAAGAACUUGAUGAAUUGGAGUUUACUCAGGACUUCGACUAGUCGUGGCAUCCCAAGAAGAAAUUCAGGCCAAUUCCAGUUCCAGACCUUGAAGACAGAUUGCUUUCUUCAUUCCGCGCUGCAGAAUCUGAUGAAGAACCAGAAGACACUGCUAUUGGCCCAAGGAAGAAGCCCGUCGCCAAGAAUCCUCACGCCUCUUCUUCAUCAGCCAACAAGUGAAAGUCUUCAUUGGGCGUUAGUCCUCAGCUUUGUCCCUUUUUCGUCACUUAAUGAAAAAGGGGAGAAAACAGAGUUAUUCUACAUGCGGGAUAAAUUUUGGGGCUUAUAAACUUUAUUAAGUUACAAACUCAUGGUUCUUCUGAAGUGUUUUAUGUAAUGAGUUGUAACUUAAGAGCGAUGGUACUCUAACGCUUUUGAACGUUUUUCUUCGCAUGCUUAAUCCUCAAAAUAUUAAUGUCCGCAUGCUGAAAUUCAUCAGAUACCAUUUCUCAUCAUGCAUUCUCAAAUUCCUCAUAUUAUAUGUCAUAUAUAUGCAUGAUUUACAAGAUACAUGGGGAGAUCUCCAUGAUAUAAAUCAUCAAUGUGCAUUUGCUGUGAAAAGCAAAUUCCUGAAAGUAUGCACAUCUUCAGGGGGAGUCUCUCAGUAUCCCGUUUUAAAAUUCCUCAAGCUAAGUAUUUACACUUCAUAUUUUUAUCCCCGUUGAAAACUUAACCUAAUUGUCAUCAACCACCAAAAAGGAGGAGAUUGUAAGUGCAUCUAGUGCCCUUAGUGAUUAUGGUGGUUUGAAGACUUAUAGGUUAAGUAUCUAAUGUGUUCAUGAGUGUACACAUGAUCUAUAAGUCACUUAGGAGUUUGAGUUAUACGGUGAAUAUCGACCCCUAAAAACGUAUAUCUUCGCUUGAAGAAAUUGGUCUUAUGCUAAAGAUUUGAAUCGCGAAGAAAUUGCGAUGAAAUUUAUAUUCCUCAUGAAGAUACUCAAGAUGAGGAACUCGGUGUGUCCUGAAGAAAAUCAGUCCGAAGACUUUGAACCGUGAAGAUUUAUUCCUUCUGUUUCAUUUUCUUCAGUCUUGAGUCAUAGGAACACCAUACUAUUAAAGGGGGUCAAGGUAACACUACGGAAUGAAUUUCCUCAUGAUGCUCAACCCAACCCUAAACCUACAAAAGCAUCAAGUGAGGAAUAUGAGAGACAUGAGGACUCUCACAAUUGAGAGUCCCGACCGUUGCCGCGAUUCACGCCACCUCACCUAUCUUAUCCACACCAGCGGUCAUAAUAUUUAAGGGCAUUAAUGUCAAAUCAUGUCAGGAUGCUCCGAGGCUAUAAAUAGCCGCCCCCACAACCAUUAGCUGGUUCGCUGCUCCGCGAGAAACUGACACUUGUCAUUUAGAGCAACGCAAAUUCCUCAGAGUCUUCGAGAGUAAAUCAUCAGUGAGGAAAUACCCCAAACACCAAACUAGAAACCAAAAAGGAAGUGAUUGAGCAUCACUGAAGAAUUUGUUCCUAUGUGGAACUGAAGCCUUUUACCUUUUAGGACUGUGCAUCCUCUAGACAGUUAGGCGUCAUGGUCUAGAGCAAUCCAAUAGUCAAUUGUGGAUCGCCUGGUUACCGAGUUUGUGAGAGUUUGGAAGUCUGCCCUGAAGACUUACCACGAGUGUUGGGCGAGGACUGUGUGUCCUUAGCUCAAGGAGAAUACGGUAGGGACUGUGUGUCUCGAGACUGUGUGUCCUUUGGUUUCAAUACCAAGCCGCUCCAAACCAUACGUACGACUGUCACAUCAGUUGGAACUGGGUCAUCAACAACUGUCUUCACUGUGAUACGAGUUCUAUUUCUUCAACUCUUUCAAUUCCUUAAUAUUGUAUGUUGAAGAUUUUCAUUGUCUCUGUUUGAAGAAUUUGCUGAAGACUUUCUCUGAAUUUCCUCAACCUCAAGUUCUUCAUGCUAGUUAAUCCUCACCUGCUUAUUCUUUGCCUGCGUACUGUGCAAACUGUUUUUCAUAAUCAUCAUCGAGAAAACUGUUGUAGUAAUACUUUGCACUCCUGAUCCUUUGCUGUUUUUGCUGGAAGUUAUUCAUAAGUGAGGAAUUUCCUCAAAAGGAAUUUCCUUAGCGAUGAAAUUCUAAAAAUCUCCUAUUCACCCCCCUUUAGUCGAUAUAACACACUUUCAAUGCACCACUUGGUGUGGAUGCAUUAUUAGGGUAUUAGAACAUGUCCACAAAAUUUGAGCACAAAAGGAGAAACUUGGCAAUGCAAAUUUGCCCAAGUUUGGUUCUGGACACAAAUGGUUUCAGAAUAUUUUCGGGAAUCAAAUCAACUUGGAUUGAGAUGAAACUUGGCAAGAUCAUCACAUAUAUCAUGUGUAACUUGCUAGAAUUUUACUGGAAUUUAUUGUGAAUAUUUGCUUUGAAAAUAUUUGAAAAGGUUGCAAUAGGCAUAAAGGGUUUUGGAGAGUAUUGUCCACUAUUUUGAACAUGACCAUGUGUUGAAACGCUUAUAUAUGAAAAAUAUAUGUCCACUGAGUUUCUCUAAAUUUUCUCAAAUAUUUUGGAAGCAAGAAAAUAAUUUUUGUUCAAAAAAGAUCCUUUCUGGUCCUAGAAAAACGUCUUUUAAUAAAAUAGGAAAAUAACUUUUAAAAUAAUAAUUUUGUGUUUUUGGGAAGUCUUUUUGAUAAUGGGGUUUAAAUAAAAUAUUUGGGGCAAAUCAUCUUCCCUAAUUUGAGGACUUGUAGUACAAAUCUUAAUUCUGGGGGUUUUGAAAAGCUAAAUUAAAAUAAAUGCUUUUUGGUCAAAAAUAAUAUUUGGUAAAAUGGUUUUAGGUUCUAUACACUUGGUAUGGUCAUUAGGCAAAGACUUGGGGCAAGGAGAUGAGUCUAAAGAGUAGGAGGAAGUUUUGUAAUUUAGAACACAAUCAAACAAGCAAGCAAUCACCAUCAUGUCAAGCAUCACAAGAACACACAAAAGUUUAUAAUUGGCCCUAAUUUUUUAGCUUUGUUAACUUAGUCAGGAAAGGCGAAAUACAGGCUGUGACAGGCCUACCCCCUUACAAGAAUCUCAUCCCUCAGAUAGCUAGGCUAGAUGUUGAAGAGAUAGAGAAAUUCAGAUCUGAGGUAGUCUUCACGCUUCCAUGUUUCUCCUUCUUCGAUGUGAUCGCUCAAGUGGAUCCUGAAGUUCUUGAUGAUACGGCAUCAAAUGCUUCUCUUGGUUUCAUCUGAGAGUGAACGGGGUUCUUGCAGUAUGCUAGUCUUGACUAGAGGUCAAGGGCUUAGUAAACAAGGUCCGAGCAAGGGUCUCGUUUGCGUGCGUAUUCCAAAGUUGGAAUACAUGGCAAAGUAGUGUCUAUGUGUGCUAGUCCGGGGUUGCUCGCGUUGGUUAGUGACAUAUAGAUGUCUCAAUAUGGAAUAGAAGUGUCGAGUCUUGGUGUAAUUCCCCGUUGACGGGGAGGUCCUUGACUUCCUUAAACAGGUGAUCUCCAGUAGUAGGUUGUCUGAUUUCUUGGGAGUGUCAACAUAAGCUUGAGAUCUUGAACUUGAGAAGUUGUCCAGGUAUGUUCCUCAUUUAUCUUUAGCCAUUUGUCUUUGUCGUCACGGACGCAUGUUUCUGGUGUGUCUUUGAGUGCCUCUUCGUAGCUACUUGUGAAAAAUUCUGGGUUCAGUUUCAUCUCUAAGACCAAGUUUAGAGACUCAGUGUUUAAAACAGUUUCUACCACCUAGGAAGCUUUUGAGGGCCCUAGAUGAGCUGGCUACCAAAAGUAUAGACCAGCCAUCCAAUCCCCUAGGCCUGAGGCUUGGCUAGCGGGAUGAACCUUCUUUGACGGAGUUUCACCAUGGUCCAGUCAGGACUUCACAUCCUUCAUUGGGCAAAAAGGGGCUCUUUAACUUCUCUAGAUGUCCAAAGGUUUCAUCAUGCUUGAAUGUCAAUGCGUCUUGCCAUAGUUGGUGUAGUCAGAAGAGGAGUGGUGGUUGACUCCUAUCACUUCUUCUUCAUUGUCGUGGUUUCUCAACCGUGGUGGUUCUUCACCUUGCUUGGGUAGGAUUGUUUUCUACUUCUUGUAGGGUGCUUCGAGGAGUCUAUCUUCUUCAAGGUAAAACCUGACACUUGAGAGGCAUGGUGAUCGGUUCUUCUAGGGGCUUAUCCAAAUAGGGCUAAGGUGUUCCUUCUGUUAUUGGGUAAAUGAAUAUGUCAUCCACGUGGGAAACGCAUAUUUCUCCAAGCAUCACAUAAGGUCAUUGCUUAUGGGAUAUGUGAGAGGAGAGGGCAUUUGUCCGAUGGUCACUUGCCCAGGGGUUUAGUGGUGGUCGAGGUGGAGUAUUGUCCAUAGUCUAAGGACUUAGAGCCAAAACUUGCGGUCAUAAUCUGACCAUAUCAUGGUGUUGUGAAGCUUCGGGGUUUUAGGGAACUUAGGAUGUGAGUGAACGCCCAUCAUCUUGUCCUUGAGCACACUUUCUUAGAUGCCAAUAGUCCUACCUAAUCAUCCAACAGAAUCAUCCAGUAUCAUAAAAGAUACAAUGUCCUAUAAGUGAACUCCAACAUUACUUAUGCUACUCAACUCCAAGGUUUGAGAGAAGGACUAAACCAAAAUCUCAUAGUACACUAUAGUUAACUCAUUUCUAUACAUAUGUAAAAAUCCUCGAGAAGCAUACAAGCUACUAGAUAAUCUUCAAUCCAAGUGCUCAACUCAAUUUUCAAGGUCUAAUGUACUGCAUUUCUAUACUAAGGAAACACAUAAUAUACCAAUCCAAGAUCUUGUUUCCUUCCUACGAAUCCAACCAAGUGGUUUAUCAAUCCCAACAUUCAUCACUUGACCCAACACGUACUCUAACAAAUCCAAUAUUUAUGGGGUCCUACAUAAUCACCUAGAGUCCUUUUAAUCCACAUAUCAUUGCAAGGACUACUAUCACACUAUAUCUACGAACUCCCAAUAACAUGAGCAACUAAACUCCAAGGUCAAGCUUUGAUAGAUUCAUAAAUCAUCCCCAACAUCAUCCAAUUACUUCUACUUAUCAUCCACCAAGAAACAUGGUAUCAUGAUCAAGAUCAUUGGACUAAAUCCAAUUUAUUCCGAACCAUUUGGUAUCAUUUAUCAUCGACACUCUAUUAGGAUUACCUAUUUAAAUCCAUAUCUCAUGUCCAACAGAAACUCCUACUUGUUACUCCAAUUCGUUAUUGUAAUAUCAUCGAUUCAUAACUACUAGAAUCAAGUUAUCAUGCCACCAAGAAUUUUAGCUCGUGAUCAUAAUUGUCCUACUGAAUCCAAAUUUACUCCACGGAUAGGUAAGUUAUGUUACUUUAGAAACUUGUUCCACCAAGUUCACCUACCAACAUAAGGGUCUUACGAUCCACAAAGAAAGUCUAGCUACAUCCGCGAGACACUUACUAUAGUCACCUCAAAUAAUUAGCUACAUGUCGUUUAUCCUUGGGACGAUCCUUCCUACACCAUCAAAGUUAUAGUGCUAACUUGCGAAUGAGUGAUGUUUGUCCACAAUGAUUGAUACGUCCAUUUUGCAUCAUGCUUUUAUGUUGAUAUUUAUCGCUUUAUGGGAUGUGAUUACACUUCAUGGUACAAUACUUAUGCCUUUUCUCUCUUAUUUUAUAAGGUUUACAUGAAGAGGGAGAAUGCCGGCAGCUGGAAUUCUGGUCUGAAAAAGGAGCAAGUUUGAGAUACCUAUUCUGCGCAAAUCAAAAAGCCGUGAAAAUCAACGAGGAAUUAUUUUGGAUUUUAUAAAAAAUACUGGGUGGAAGAAGUACCAGAGGGGAGCCACCAGGAGGCCACAAGCCUGCCAGGCGCGGCCUACCCCCCUGGUCGCGGCUAGGUGGCUUGUGGCCCCCCUGUUACCCCUCUGGCUCCUAUAUUUUGCUAUAAGGAGGGUUUCGUUCCAAAAAAAUCAUAUGGAGGCUUUCAGGAGGAGACGCCGCCACCACGAGGCGGAACUUGAGCAGAACCAAUCUAGAGCUUUGGCAGGGCCGUCCUACCAGGGAAACUUCCCUCCCGGAGGGGGAAAUCGUCGCCAUCGUCAUCACCAACACUCCUCUCAUCGGAGGGGGCUCAUCACCAUCAACAUCUUCAUCAUCACCAUCUCAUUUCCAAACCCUAGUUCAUCUCUUGUAACAACUCUCUGGCUCACGACUCCGAUUGGUACUUCUAAGGUUGCUAGUAGUGUUAAUUACUCUUUGUAGUUGAUGCUAGUUGGAUUACUCGGUGGAAGAUCAUAUGUUCAGAUCUCUAAUGCUAUUCAAUUCCUCUCUGGUCAUGAACAUAAUUAUGCUUUGUGAGUAGUCACUUUUGUUCCUGAGGACAUGGGAUAAGUCUUGCUAUAAGUAGUCACGUGAAUUUGGUAUUCGUUCGAUAUUUUGAUGCGUUGUAUGUUGUCUUUCCUCUAGUGAUGUUAUGUGAACGUCGACUACAUAACACUUCACCAUUAUUUGGGCCUAGAGGAAGGCACCGGGAAGUAAUAAGUAGAUGAUAGGUUGCUAGAGUGACAGAAGCUUAAACCCUAGUUUAUGCGUUGCUUCGUAACGGGUUGAUUUGGAUCCACUAGUUUAAUGCUAUGGUUAGACUUUGUCUUCAUUCUUCUUUCGUAGUUGUGGAUGCAUGCGAGAGGGGUUAAUCAUAAGUGGGAUGUUUGUCCAAGUAAGGGCAGCACCGAAGCACCGGUCCACCCGCAUAUCAAACUAUCAAAGUAGCGAACGCGAAUCAUAUGAUCAUGAUGAAAACUAGCUUGACAGAAAUUCACAUGUGUCCUCGGGAGCGCUUUACCUCAUAUAAGAGUUUGUCCAGGCUUGUCCUUUGGUACAAAAGGGAUUGGGCCACUUUGCUGCAACUUUGUUACUUUUGUUACUUGCUACUUACUACAAAUCAUCUUAUCACACAACUAUCUAUUACCGAUAAUUUCAGUGCCUGCAGAGAAUACCUUGCUCAAAACCACUUGUCAGUUCCUUCUCCUCCUCGUUGGGUUCGACACUCUUACUUAUCGAAAGGACUACGAUUGAUCCCCUACACUUGUGGGUCAUCAAGACUCUUUUCUGGCGCUGCAGCCGGUGAGUCAAGCGCCUUUGGUAAGUGGAAUUUGGUAAGGAAACAUUUAUAUAGUGUGCUGAAAUUUAUUGUCACUUAUCACUAUGGAAACUAAUCCUUUGAGGAGCUUGUUCGGGGUAUAUUCACCUCGAACGGAAGCACAAGGAGUUGCCCCUCAACCUGCUGCACCUACUGAACAUAUUUGUUAUGAAAUUCCUUCAGGUAUGCUUGAGAAACUGUUGGCUAAUCCUUUUACAAGAGAUGGAACAUCACAUCCCGACUUGCAUCUAAUCUAUGUAGAUGAAGUUUGUAGUUUAUUUAAGCUUGCAGGUUUGCCCGAGGAUGAGGUCAAGAAGAAGGUCUUUCCCUUAUCUUUGAGGGAUAAAGCAUUGACAUGGUAUAGGCUAUGUGAUGAUACUAGAUCAUGGAACUACAACCGAUUGAAAUUGGAAUUUCAUCAAAAGUUUUAUCCUAUGCAUUUGGUACAUCGUGAUCGGAAUUAUAUCUAUAAUUUUUGGCCUCAUAAUAGAGAAAGUAUCGCUCAACCUUUGGGGAGGCUUAAAUCAAUGUUAUAUUCAUGCCCCAACCAUGAGCUCUCGAGAGAAAUUAUUAUUCAGAACUUCUAUGCUCGACGUUCUCAUGAUAAUCGCACCAUGCUUGACACUUCUUGUACCCGUUCUUUUAUGAAGAGAGAUAUUGACUUCAAAUGGAAUUUAUUAGAAAGAAUUAAACGCAACUCUGAAGAUUGGGAGUUUUAUGAAGGUAAGGAGUCAGGUAUGAAUCUUAAGGUCGAUUAUGUUAAAUCCUUCAUUGAAACAAAUACUUUUUGUGAUUUUAGCGCUAAACAUGGACUUGACUCUGAGUUAGUAGCUUCAUUAUGUGAAUCAUUUGCUGCUCAUAUUAAUCUCCCUAAAGAGAAGUGGUUUAAAUAUCAUCCUCACAUAGAAGUCAAUGUAGUUAAACGAAAUCCAGUUCAAGAGAAAGUCAUUGCUUAUAAUGAUCCUAUUAUUCCUGGUGCUUACAUUGAGAAACCACCCUUCCCUGUUAGAAUAAAGGAUCAUGCUAAAGCUCCAACUGUGAUGCGUAAGGGGUACAUUAGAACACCUACACCCCCUGAGAAAAUUAGAGUUGAACCUAGCGUUGCUAUUAUCAAAGAUCUCUUGUCCGACAAUGUUGAUGGCCAUGAUAUUCACUUCUGUAAAGAUGCUGCUAGAAUUGCCAAACCUCAUGCUAGAGACAAACAUAGGCCUGUUGUUGGCACGCGUGUUGUUUCUGUUAAGAUAGGAGAUCAUUGUUAUCAUGGUUUAUGUGACAUGGGUGCUAGUGUUAGUGCAAUACCUCAAUCUUUAUAUGAUGAAAUUAAAGACGAGAUUGCACCUGUCGAGAUGGAACCUAUUGAUGUCACUAUUCAGCUUGCCAAUAGAGAUACUAUCUGCCCUUUGGGAAUUGUUAGAGAUGUUGAAGUCUUGUGUGGUAAAACUAAGUAUCAUGCCGAUUUUCUCGUUCUUGCUACCACACAAGAUAGCUUUUGUCAAAUCAUAUUUGCCAGACCUUUCCUCAAUACUAUCAAUGCUCAUAUUGACUGUGAGAAGCAAACUGUCACUAUUGGCUUUGAAGGUGUAUCACAUGAGUUCAAUUGCUCCAAGUUUGGUAGACAACCUCAUGAAAAAGAGUUGUCUAGUAAGGAUGAAAUUAUUGCUCUAGCUUCUAUUGUUGUGCUCCCUACUGAUCCUUUAGAGCAAUACAUGCUUGAGCAUGAAAAUGAUAUGCAUACGGAUGAAAGGAAUGAGAUAAAUAGAGUUAUCUUUGAACAACAUCCUAUCCUGAAGAAUAAUUUGCCUGUUGAACUGCUUGGAGAUCUACCCCCACCAAAGGGUGAUCCUGUGUUCGAGCUUAAACAGUUACCUGAUGCUCUUAAGUAUGCUUAUCUUGAUGAAAAAAAUAUAUAUCCUGUUAUUACUAGUGCUAGCCUUUCAGAGCAUGAAGAAAAGAAAUUAUUGAAAACUCUGAGGAAGCACCGUGGUGCUAUUGGAUAUACUCUUGAUGAUCUUAAGGGCAUUAGUCCCACUCUAUGCCAGCACAAAAUUACAACCGAUCCUGAUUCCAAACCAGUUGCCGAUCAUCAACGGAGAUUAAAUCCUAAGAUGAAAGAGGUAGUAAGAAAAGAAAUACUAAAGCUCUUGGAAGCAGGUAUUAUCUAUCUUGUUGCUAAAAGUGAUUGGGUAACUCCGAUGCAUUGCGUCCCUAAGAAGGGAGGUAUUACCGUUGUCCCUAAUAAUAAAGAUGAAUUGAUCCCACAGAGGAUUAUUACUGGCUAUAGGAUGGUGAUUGAUUUUAGGAAAUUGAAUAAAGCCACUAGGAAGUAUCAUUACCCUUUGCCUUUUAUCAACCACAUGCUAGAAAGGCUGUCUAAACACACACACUUCUGCUUUCUAGAUGGUUAUUCUGGUUUCUCCCAAAUACCUGUUGCACAAUCUGAUCAGGAGAAAACCACUUUUACCUACCCUUUCGGUACCUUUGCUUACAGACGUAUGCCUUUUGGCUUAUGCAAUGCACCUGCUACCUUUCAAAGAUGUAUAAUGGCUAUAUUCUCUCACUUUUGUGAAAAGAUUGUUGAGGUUUUCAUGGAUGACUUCUCCGUUUACGGGUCUUCUUUUGAUGAUUGCCUCAGCAACCUUGAUCGAGUUUUGCAGAGAUGUAAGGAUACCAACCUUGUCUUGAAUUGGGAGAAGUGCCACUUUAUGGUUAAUGAAGGCAUCGUCUUAGGACAUAAAAUUUCUAAAAUAGGUAUUGAAGUCGAUAAGGCUAAGGUUGAUGCGAUCGAGAAAAUGUCAUGCCCUACAGACAUUAAAGGUAUAAGAAGUUUCCUUGGUCAUGCUGGUUUCUAUAGAAGGUUCAUUAAGGACUUUUCUAAGAUUUCUAGGCCUCUUACCAAUCUCUUGCAAAAAGGAUAUUCCUUUUUUUUACGAUGAUUGUGGGGAAGCCUUGGAAAUACUUAAGAAGGCCUUGAUAACUGCACCUAUUUUUCAACCACCUGAUUGGAACUUACCUUUUGAAAUUAUGUGUGAUGCUAGUGAUUAUGCUAUUGGUGCUGUUCUAGGAGAAAGAGUUGAUAAGAAGUUGAAUGUUAUUCAUUAUGCUAGUAAAACUCUAGACAGUGCCCAAAGAAACUAUGCUACUACUGAAAAGGAAUUUUUAGCACUUGUGUUUGCAUGGGAAAAGUUCAGAUCUUACAUUGUUGAUUCCAAGGUUACUAUGCACAUUGAUCAUGCUGCUAUUAAGUAUCUCAUGGAAAAGAAAUGCUAAACCUAGACUUAUCAGAUGGGUUCUCUUGCUACAAGAAUUUGAUUUGCAUGUCGUUGAUAGGAAGGCUGCUGACAACCCCGUAGCAGAUAACUUGUCUAGGUUGGAGAAUGUUCUUGAUGACCACAACCUAUUGAUGAUAGCUUUCCUGAUGAGUAAUUGAAUGUCAUCAAUGCUUCACGUAGUACACCGUGGUAUGCUGAUUAUGCAAAUUAAAUUGUUGCUAAAUAUAUACCACCUAGUUUCACAUACCAACAGAAGAAGAAAUUCUUCUUUGAUUUGAUACAUUACUUUUGGGAUGAUCCCCACCUUUAUAAGGAAGGAGUAGAUGGUGUUAUUAGACGUUGUGUACCUGAGCAUGAACAGGGACAGAUCCUACAGAAGUGUCACUCCGAGGCUUACGGAGGACACCAUGCGGGAGAUAGAACUGCACACAAGGUAUUGCAAUCCGGUUUCUAUUGGCCUACCCUCUUCAAGGAUGCCCGUAAGUUUGUCUUGUAUUGUGAUGAAUGUCAAAGCAUAGGUAACAUCAGUAAACGUCAGGAAACGCCUAUGAAUUAUUCACUUGUCAUUGAACCAUUUGAUGUUUGGGGUUUUGAUUAUAUGUGACCUUUUCCAAAGUCUAACGGGUAUACUCAUAUUCUAGUUGCUGUUGAUUACAUUUCUAAGUGGGUAGAAGCUAUCUCAACUAGUAGUGCUGAUCAGAGCACCUCUAUUAGGAUGCUUAAAUAAGUUAUUUUCCCUAGAUUUAGAGUCCCUAGAUAUUUAAUGACUGAUGGUGGUUCACAUUUUAUUCAUGGUGCUUUCCGUAAAACGCUUGCUAAGUAUGAUGUCAACCAUAGAAUUUCAUCUCCCUAUCAUCCUCACUCCAGUGGUCAAGUAGAGCUAAGUAAUAGAGAGAUUAAACUGAUUCUGCAAAAGACUGUUAAUAGGACUAGAUAGAAUUGGUCUAAGAAGCUUGAUGAUGCACUAUGGGCUUAUAGAACUGCUUAUAAGAAUCCCAUGGGCAUGUCUCCGUAGAAAAUUGUAUAUGGUAAAGCAUGUCAUUUACCUCUUGAGUUAGAGCAUAAGGCUUAUUGGGCAAUCAAAGAGCUCAACUUUGAUUUCAAAUUUGCUGGUGAGAAGAGGUUAUUUGAUAUUAGCUCACUUGAUGAAUGGAGAACUCAGGCAUAUGAAAAUGCCAAGUUGUUUAAAGAAAAGUUAAGAGGUGGCAUGAUAAAAGAAUACAAAAACGUGAGUUCAAUGUAGGCGAUUAUGUCUUACUAUACAAUUCUCGUUUAAGAUUUUUUGCAGGCAAGCUUCUCUCUAAAUGGGAAGGUCCUUGCAUUGUUGAGGAACUAUAUCGUUCCGGUGCCAUCAAGAUCAACAACACAGAAGGUAAUUUUCCGAGAGUUGUAAAUGGGCAGAAUCAAGCAUUAUAUGUGAGGUACUCACAUAAAUGUUGAAAUCAAUAUUAUUAAUACCAUAACUCCGGAAGAGUACAUAAGGGAUAUUUAUUAGCCUGUUUCAGACUCCACAAACGAAGAGGUAUGUAAUUCGGUAAGUAAACCGACUCCAAAACUUCUCAAGUAGCAAUUUUUAUCCGUUUUGGAAUUUUGAGAAAAAUAGAAAAUUUUAAAGUGGUCCGGAAAGCGCACGAGGAGGCGACAAGCCUGCCAGGCGUGGCCUACCCCCCUGGCCACGCCUGGGUGGCUUGUGGGCACCUUGUGUGCCUCCGGGACUCUGUUUUAUUGCAUAGUACUCCUUUUGGUCGGAAACAAUUCAUUAUAUAUUUUCCCGGAUGGUCUGACCCUCGUAUCACGCAAAUAUCCUCUGUUUUCGUUUCGAGUCUGUUUCUGUCGCAGAUUUAGGGCAAGGAUGUCGUCUCAUGAAUCUAUCGGGGAGAACGAUUUCCCUCAAGUCUAUGAAGAAGUAGAAGCUGAUCUGAAAAGAAUGGAGGUCAUGGAGGCUAAGGAAGGGCUGCUGGAAGAAACUAAGGGCAAAACUAAGGAGGAUAAUCUGGCAUCGGACGAAGGGCAAUUUAUGCUCAACAAGGAAGAAGCUGAGGAAGAGGAUUUUCUUCAACCCUACCUCCACCUUUUACCUCCAUUCUUGAUCGAACUCUUGAGGUUAUGUGAAAUAACUCGUGUUCGUAAUACUGACCUUACCCGUGAAGUUCUUUUGCUGGAGAAACAUAUCAUAGAGCUUCAAAGUAUAAAUCAAAGAUUUAUGGCCCUCUUAGAAUCAAAAGACAGGACAACUCCACCACGAUCACCUUCGAAGGAAGACAAUUAAGCACGGGUAUGGGAACCCCCCUUGGAAUGUGCCAAGCUUGGGGGAGUUGCCCUGGUAUCGUAUCACCAUCACAUCUUUUGCCUUUACCUUUUUCUUAGUUCGAUUCUUUUUGGUUUUAUGUUUCUCUAGUAGAAUAAAGUUCUUAGUAUGUUCUAGGCUUGAGUUUUGCGUUGUGUUACCCCCAAUGUAUUCCAGCUCGUGAGUCAUAUAAUAAAGAGUAUUUUAGUUAAAGCCCUUGCCUCAUGCCAUGAUCUAAAGAAUAAUAAGAGAACAAAAGCAUGAAGGAUCAUGUAAUGAUCUUAUGGGAAGUGAUGGCUUCACAUAUAAAAAGAAUGUUGAUUGAAACUUGUUGUGGGUGAACAAACGUAGACCUUGGUCAUUGUUUCUAUUAAUAGGAAGUAAUAAAGAAGGAGAGGUUCACAUAUAAAUAUAUCAUCUUUGACACCGUCUAUGAUUGUGAACACUCAUUAAACUAUUACAUGCUUAGAAGUAGAUGUUGGACAAGGAAGACAACACAAUGAAUUAUGUUUGCUUGGUUCCGAGCAAGGUUAUGUGACUAGAGAUCCCUUAGCAUGUGAUGCUUGCUUGCACCUCAUACCAGCCAAAACUUCCGCACUAAGUAGAGAUACUACUUGUGCAUCCAUAAACCUUCAACCCAGUUUUCCCAUGAGAGUCAAACAUACCUACCUAUGGAUUGAAUCCCUGAAGUAAGUUUUCAUCGGUGCAAGCAAUAAAAAUUGCUCCCUAAAUAUGUAUGAUCUAUUAGUGUGUGGAAAAUAAGCUUUGUACGAACCUGUGAUGAGGAAGACAUAAAAGCGACAGACCGCAUAAUGAAGUUCUUUACCACAAGAGGCAAUAUAAAGUGACGUUCCUCCACACUAAGAGAUCACACAUCCAAACUUCAAAAGUGCAUGACAACCUCUGCUUCCCUCUGCGAAGGGCCUAUCUCGUACCUUUACUUUUUAUCCUUAAAAGAGUCAUGGUGAUCGGCACCAAUUCCUUAUUUCGCCUUUAUCUUGUCUAACGUCAUGUGCUAGGGAAAGAUAUAUAUUCAUAUGUCAGCUUGGAAGUAAGUAUCCAGAAUUAUUAUUGUUGACAUUACCCUUGAGGUAAGUAGUUGGGAGGCAAAACUAUAAGCCCCUAUCUUUCUCUGUGUCCAACUGAUACUUUGAUCUCAUGAGUACCACGUGAGUUUUAGCAAUUGUAGAAGAUGAAAGGAUGAUUGAGUAUGUGGAUUUGCUUUACAAGCUCUUAUUUGACUCUUUCCGAUGUUAUGCUAAAUUGGAAUUGCUUCAAUGACUAAAGGCUAUUGGUUGUUAAUCCUCAGUAAGUUUCAUGAUCCACACUUUACUUUGUGAAGGAAUUGUCACUUUAGCAUAAGAGUUUAUAUGACGUUAUUGCUGUUCUAAUUAUGAUCAUGAUGCCUUCAUGUUCGUAUUUUGUUUUAUCGAUACCUCUAUCUCUAAAUAUGUGGGCAUAUUUAUUGAUCUCGGCUUUCGCUUGAGGACAAGCGACGUCUAAGCUUGGGGGAGUUGAUACGUCCAUUUUGCAUCAUGCUUUCAUGUUGAUAUUUAUCGCUUUAUGGGCUGUUAUUACACUUCACGGUACAAUACUUAUGCCUUUUCUCUCUUAUUUUAUAAGGUUUACAUGAAGAGGGAGAAUGCCGACAGCUGGAAUUCUGGUCCGAAAAAGGAGCAAGCUUGAGAUACCUAUUCUGCGCAACUCCAAAAGCCGUGAAAAUCAACGAGGAAUUAUUUUGGAUUUUAUAAAAAAAUACUGGGUGGAAGAAGUACCACAGGGGAGCCACCAGGAGGCCACAAGCCUGCCAGGCACGACCUAACCCCGUGGCCGCGCCUAGGUGGCUUGUGGGCCCCCUGUUGCCCCUCUGGCUCCCAUCUUUUGCUAUAAGGAGGGUUUCGUUCCAGAAAAAAUCAUAAGGAGGCUUUCGGGAGGAGAUGCCGCUGCCACGAGGCGGAACUUGAGCAAAAGCAAUCUAGAGCUCUGGCACGGCCGUCCUGCCGGGGAAACUUCCCUCCCGGAGGGGGAAAUCGCCGCCAUCGUCAUCACCAACAAACCUCCCAUCGGAGGGGACUCAUCACCAUCAACAUCUUCAUCAGCACCAUCUCAUCUCCAAACCUUAGUUCAUCUCUUGUAACCAAUCUCCGUCUCGCGACUCCAAUUGGUACUUCUAAGGAUGCUAGUAGUGUUAAUUACUCUUUGUAGUUGAUGCUAGUUGGAUUACUCGGUGGAAGAUCAUAUGUUCAGAUCUCUAAUGCCAUUCAAUACCUAUCUGGUCAUGAACAUAAUUAUGCUUUGUGACUAGUCACUUUUGUUCAUGAGGACAUGGGAUAAGUCUUGCUAUAAGUAGUCAUGUGAAUUUUGUAUUCAUUCGAUAUUUUGAUGCGUUGUAUGUUGUCUUUCCUCUAGUUGUGUUAUAUGAACGUGGACUACAUAACACUUCGCCAUUAUUUGGGCCUAGAGGAAGGCAUUGGGAAGUAAUAAGUAGAUGAUAGGUUGCUAGAGUGGCAGAAGCUUAAACCCUAGUUUAUGCGUUGCUUCGUAAGGGGCUGAUUUGGAUCCACUAGUUUAAUGCUAUGGUUAGACUUUGUCUUAAUUCUUCUUUCGUAGUUGCGGAUGCUUGUGAGAGAGGUUAAUCAUAAGUGGGAUGUUUGUCCAAGUAAGGGCAGCACCCAAGCACCGGUCCACCCACAUAUCAAACUAUCAAAGUAGCGAACGCGAAUCAUAUGAACAUGAUGAAAACUAGCUUGGCCGAAAUUCCCAUGUGUCCUCGGGAGCGCUUUACCUCAUAUAAGAGUUUGUCCAGGCUUGACCUUUGCUACAAAAGGGAUUGGGCCACUUUGCUGCACCUUUGUUACUUUUGUUACUUGCUACUUGCUACGAAUCAUCUUAUCAUACAACUAUCUGUUACUAAUAAUUUCAGUGCGUGCAGAGAAUACCUUGCUGAAAACCAGUUGUCAGUUCCUUCUGCUCCUCGUUGGGUUUGACACUCUUACUUAUCGAAAGGACUACGAUAGACCCCCUACUCUUGUGGGUCUUCAAUGAUCAGUUGCCCAUAAUGAACCCAGUGCUAAGAAGCGGUUACUGAAGCUCAACUGGUGCUCUCAUAAAUCCAUGUUAAACACAUGAUGAUGGGUUUGAUCUAGGGAAGGUUGUGAGGUUUAGUUUGGUACAGGGAGGGUUUCGAAUCUUGAGGGGGAAGCAUAAAUCUACGGGGUUGUGUCUAGUUUAGCACGUUGUAGUCUGAAUCUUCGAUUUUUGUUGUCUGUCGAGGUGGAUUAUUUGCGCAUCUUGUGUUGCUGGUCUUCAGUUGGUGAGAUAUGGGAGAGGAAAAGUAGCAUAGAGGAGAGUGCCUAAGGAGGUGGUAUAGUGCAAGUGCAAUCAAACAAGUGCCGAAAGGGCCAAACAAAACAUCAAGAUGAGGUAAGUGAUAUAGCCGCGUACUUGUGGACCGGGGCAACACUGCGACUUAUAUCAAAACAUAAACAAGCAAAACAAGCAAAAAUAUGGUUCCAUUCGAACCAUCACAGAGACUUAACUUCGCAUAGGCGAUACACUAAUCAUUCUACCCUAGGGGUUCUCGGACUCAAUAGUCGUGCUCACUUCGUGUAUGGGAGAGGAGUGCGCUCAGUCUUCUGGGUCUUCUUCAGGUGUCGCUAUGUCUCUUGUUGUUGUUCGUCAAAACGAUUCGGGUUGAGCCAGAAAGAGUCCUUGACAACUCCUCAUCUGGUGAGCUGACGAAGAAGGGGGUUCCUCAUGGCUAUCGUCGACAUGCUCUUCCGUUGUCUUCGUAAUCCCGUCAGUGUCUUCUUGUCUUCGAAGGCGUCGCGAAUUCCAAGUGGACAAUCCUUUAUGCAAUGACAUGGAAAAGGCUUGAUAGAGUUCCGAGUUGUGAUUUACAUUAAUGACAAUAUCAACACCAAGAGCGGGGGAUGACGAGAACCAUUAUCCUGCUCACUAUGGUGAGGUGAACCAAAUAGCAAGGUUCCUAUCCACCGGCGGUUGUCGACACAACAACGGUAAGGACAAGGUCGCUCUAUUAGCGAUGCAUAUCAUGAUCUUGCAUAUAUUAUGUCCCGAUCGUCAUAGUCUAAUGUUGCAUCACCCUGGGACAUUGUCGAGGGUGUCAUCAUCUUCUGAGUACGGAUGUCCUCAUCCCACGAGAAGGUAGCUUCUGUUGGUGUCCUCUGGUCAUAGCAUUUCCAACCUUGUCUCCCAAUAUGUGGUUGAUCGUUUGGCAAGGUCGUUUCCUUUCAAGUUACCCACGAGGGUUUCAAGGAAUCCAGUGGUCACGGGCAUAAGGGUGCUAGUGAUCGUUUGCAAGUUUUGAAAAAAGCGGAUGAGGAUUGUCAAGAGAAUAAGGGUGGAAGAGCUAAGUCAAAAACCUUCGUUUCCUUGGAAAAUUUAGAAGAUGUGAGGAAUAUAGAGGUUUUAUAAGUGAUUUUGAAGGGUUUGGAGACAUAGUUUGUCUUAACUAACGCUGCUCACUAAGGGCUUCCUACAGUCAGGAUGACUCUAAUACCACCUCUGUAGAGACCCCAACUCAUAAGUCAUGAUCACCGAAUGUACGUGCAAAGUGAUCCCAAUGAUCAAUGCUCGCUGAACACAAAGAAACUGAAUAACAAGAGUCUUACAUCCAUUACGUACUAUUUUACUCGAUUAUGGCCUUCAUGGCCAAGUCUUCAUAUAUUUUCAUUGGAGAAUCUUCAUCAAUAGUGUGAACCCAUGCCAUCUGCCUUUAACCUACAUGCAUUAUGACUAGGAAGCGUCCUAGCUCCCACGGUUGUCACCAAGGUAUUCUUCAUCAUAUCAUGUUCUCUCAUGCCUGGUCAACAAAAUAACCAGGGGCAAACCAAUGAGUACUUCGAAUCUAGUCGCAAGGAACCCAUGUUUGGAACAAGACAAUAACAAUGCAUGAUAUAGCACCAAGUAGGUAAUUUGGAGAAAGCUAGUUUUGAGUGCAAUGUCAUGAUCAAUCAACUUGUAAAAGCAUGCAUCAACAGGUUGCAGAUAUCCAUACGAACAAGCCGUAGAUAUCAUCAUAAGCAUGGGUUGAAUAUGUGUCACACCCCAAAAAUUUACCCACAUUUUAUUUAUUUAAAAUAAUGUCUCGAAUAAUAUUUUUUUGAAAAGUAGCUUGCUUCAUUUCUCAAUUCAAAGCCUCUUCACAAAUUGUUUUAUCCAAGUAGCACUUUCGAAGAUCACUGUGUGCUUGAGUAAUUGUUUGAGAUUAUUUUGUUCCAUUUUACUAAUUUAUGGGGACAUUUUUUAUAAUAAAAACUUGCCAAAAUUAAUACUUUUAAAGGCAUUUUCAUCAUUUUAAGAGCCCCGUUUGCACUAAAACCAUUUGAUAUAUUCAUUCAAAAAUUUCACAAAAAAUUGUAGGUGUCAUGUGAUGUCCGUGGAUCACUUUUAUGCAUACCAAGUGUUUUGGAGCCUUUGAGUAUACAUCCUCUUUUUCAUUGUGGUCCAGUUUGGUGUUUUGAACUACAAUCCUUUCAUUAAAUUAUUUAAAAAUUAUGAAUUUUUUUGGAGAUGUCAAGGGAUGUUUAUGAUUCACUUUUAUGCAAAAACCCAUGGCUGUCCUUUGUAAAAUUUGAGCAGCACAGCCUCAUUUCCUUACUGGACCAGAUUGGCUAUUUGAACUGCAACCCUCUUUCAAAUUGCCCCAAUGCCCAUGGGAUUUUUACUGCUUGUAGUAGACCCUACAAAACCCUUAAGUCCAGGAGACCAGAACCUUUGGACAUUUUAAGCCCAUGCUAUUAACCCCUGUAAUUGUUGUCCAGAACUGGUUUUCACAAAAAAUUGCAUUAUCAAGUUUUUGUUCUUGCCAAACUAACCUCACCACUCUCUUUCGCAUCAAAAGAGACCUUAGACUUCCAAUUUCCAUUGUUGGAAAACCCCCAUAGGUGGAUAUGGCAUUAUGUCGAGAACGUGUUGUGCUUGGAUAGAAUUGACAUGGUUUUGACUUUGUCAUGUGGAGUUAACCCCCUCGCCCAACCAUCAUGUCUAGGAGCAUUGACUUAACCCCUAGCUUAGUCAUGUUAACUUACUCUUGCUUUGGACCAUUCUAGCGAUUCCAAGAAUUCCGUCAAACACCUAGUGGUCAUACCUGGAGCGCGAGCGGAGCGCAUGUUUUGCACGCGCCCACGCCCGAGCCGCCGCAUCCACCUGCCCCUUACCCCUUGGCCUGCUCGCAAAGUCGCGUCACACCGCGUCCAUCCCCGACCAUUGGUCGCCGGUGCCCUGUGCCGCUCAGGGCCGCAGCCAUGGAAAUCUUGGCGGCAUGCCUUCGACAUAGUUCUCCUGCCAUGUCCGGAGCCGCCCAGCGACUCCCCGCUCGCCAGCACGCCUCUGGAGUAGUACUCCAUUUGUCCACGAGCCCCUGCAGCCUCGCCGGCCUACGCCAUCCACCCCCUAUCCACCGGUCAGAGGUGGUCGCCGCCAUUCCUAUCCACGACCACAUCGGGACCGACGUGGAACACCUAUAAAAGGAGGCCCCUAAGCUCCCUAAGCAACCCUAGCUCCCCUAGACCUGCAUCCAUCUUCCCCUCGCUCCAAUUUGGCUCGAACCGCCCGUCUUGCUCUCCUCCAGCAUUUUCACCGUCAUCAACAUCCGACCGAAUUACGGUGAACCCGAGCCUCAACCAAUCCACCUUAGCCUCGGUAGCUUUUCCCACGACCCUCGAACCCAUCCCCAUGCCCAUUUGCAUCGGUGGCAAGCUGCAUGCGGAGCUAUGAUCGCCGAAGCCAUCCGACAGCCAUGGUUGAAGUGGUGCUCGCUCCCGAGCUCUUUGUCAAUCCCCUUGCGCCCCUAAAGGACGAGGCCCUCCCCCUGAGCACACCGAUGUGCCCAGCUCAGGGAACGAAGACCCCUAGCCCCGGCAAUCCCCUUCGGUGUCGACCCUGCCAUGUGCGCGAGAGGAGGGAGACGAACCCGACACGUCGGUUCCACCUGUCGGUGAGCCAGCCUCAGCCUGCUGGUGUAGAUAGCCCGUGGUGCGCCUUCACCGCGGGUUAGCGUCUGCGCGUGCCUACGAUUACAGUUUGUGGAAACCGUAUUCACCCCGAUCCGUUUUCUCUUUUCAGAUUUUGUUUUAAAUACAAAGUUUGACCAGAACUUGGACUCCCUCUAACUUUUAAAAUAAAAGUCCGAAUCAAUUGAUUAUUUUUUUGUUGUUUUUUAAAUCUCACCAAGAUUACUGUCAUAUUAAUUUGAAAAAAGAUCAAACAACUUUUAUAUGCUGUUUUGGAAUCAUGUGUUAAAUGGCAUAUUUUCAAAAAUAAGAAUUUGAAGGGAAGAACUUUCAAAGUUUUGGAGUGAGCUCAACCUUUCUACAUACUCAAGGCAAGCAUCUUGAACCCGAUUUGUCUUAAGUGCGUGACUGGUUGCUGCGAUGAUUGGAUGCAUGGUUAUGUUACUUAAAUACAAGUCCCCAUAGUAGCAUACUUUGCAUAAAUACAUGUGAUAUGUGUGUGAUUGCUAUUGAUCAUAUAAUUCCGGUGAUGUGUGGGUACUGCCUCCUGCCACGUAUGCCAUGUGGGUCUGGACAACCUCGGAGGAAGGUUUGUCGUGGUGAACAGGUGACCAUGAAACUGAUAUCUCGUGGCAACGAGAGUGAUCAGUGAAGGCAUGCCUAGGUGUGAUGGUGGUAUCCCCAAUGAAUCUUAUUCAGAAAAUUGUGUAGCGCUAACCCUUGCAGGGAAAAAAACUUAAACCUUUUGAGUUGACCAUAGAUCGAGUCUUGCUAGUGUGUCACCUUACUUUUCGUGCUGCCAUAAGUCUUCUCGGAAGGGAAUAUAGUUUAGUAGGUCGUAAUCCUAUUACCAUGUGCACACUAAGUAGAGGGGCGGAUGAAGGUUCCAUGGCCCUGCAAUAAUUCCAGUCAUCUGGUCAAGGGGCAUGGGUGUUUCUGGUGUGGGACCGAGAGGGUCGCCCUCCCCAUUGUAGUGCAUGGUAUAAAUUUGAUCCCUUGCUAUUUGAGGAUGUUGUCCUUCCCGUCUUAUAGUUUUUCCCUAGAAGCAUAGUCCGGGUAAUUUCCGACCUCGCUGGGUAAAAAUGGGUGUGUGCUGGUUUUGAGUGUUUACUUCUAAAAUACCGUACAUGGUAUUAGUCCUAGUGACUAUUGAAACCCGUUGGCUGUGGGUAAAGAGUACACCCUCUCGAGAGUCAAAAACUAUUCGAGUAGCCACGUACAUGGUCGAGGAUGCCAGGUUGACAACUCAAGUGUCGGUCUGAGUGUCGAUCUUCGCAGGAAUAUAUUGAAACAUGAUGAUGAUCAUGAACCAGGAUGACAACCAUAAUUAUUCUGAAUUUUCACGUGGACUAAUUAUUUCUGGUAUAUGAAUUUUUUAGUAUCCUUGGGACGGUUCUACCUCCCGGAUACUCGAUGUUAUUAUUUUCAUAUAAAUCCUUUAUUUGGUGUCGCUUAGAUGUCUGACUCUGGCAACUAUUAUUAUUACCAUAUAAAGCCCUUUUUGUGGUGUUACAUAGAUGCCCGACUAUGGCAACUACUAGUAUUUUCAUAUAAGCCCUUUUUCGGGGUGUCGCUUAGACGCCCGACUAUGGCACACACGUUAUUACGUAUUUCAUCAUUACUAUAAUUCUAUAAGCCCUUUUUGUGGCGUCGCCCCAAACGCCCAACUAUGGCACACCUGUCAUUAUCUCAUUGUAAGCCCUCUAUGUGGUAACACCAAGACACCCAACUCUGGCUUAUAGUGAGUGUCCUUACGAGGUGUCGCCUGAGAUGCCCGAUCGACAACUUUAAUUAAUUAUUUACCCUUUAUUCUGCUUGAUUGUAUAUCAUGAGUAGAAAUGAUUUAACUGCAUAAAUGCACUCAUGAAUUUAAUCUUGUGGCAUAUCAGGUGGUAUUAAAAUGUUUGGGCAUGCAUCUCACCCGCUAUUACUUAUCUGUCUUCUUGAUGUUUGUGAGUACAUUCAAAGUACUCACUGGCUUGUCCCUGGCUAUUGUCUUGGCUAGAUUGCAUAUUUGGAGAGGAGCACGAUGAUUUCAACCCCGGAACCUAAGAGUCAAGGAUUGCAACCUUGUGAGACAGGAAUUAUCCAGGACAACUGUUCCUGUGGGAAUGGAGUCGAAUUGGCAUUGGAGAUUCCACGAGUCGUUUCCAUCGUCAGCCUUCCAACAUUUUUGUUCAACCUCCCCUCAUAGACCUUCAUGGUCUUGUACCCCAAACUUUGUAAUUGCUUGGUAAUUCUGUAUAAAGUGAGUGUUCACCACCUAACAAUAGUCCUGGGUCUGAUGAACACAAGGGCUUGUUUUCUAGAAAUUUUAUUCCGAAGAACCGGUUGCUACAACCUUGGUAUUAGAGCCAGGUUGACCAUUGGCUAAUCUUAUCUUAGCUAGGCCGUUAUCUCUAGCCCGGAUAUUCUAUAUCCAUAUACCAUCCUAGCCUACCCAAUAGCCAACCAUAGUGGCCAUCCGACACCUUUUUGAGCCAGUGCCCAACUUGUCAGCCCGCCCAUCGGCAGUGUGUCUAUGAUCGAGACCAGAUUGUCGGAUUUCCUAGCGUGCGACGGAAGACUCCCUUAGCCUAUAAAGGAGAUCCUUUCCUCAACCCCGAAAUCCGCAACCUUGAGACCCCCACCCCAAUAACUAGAGACCAAAAAGAUGCUUGGCCGCAUUCUUUGCAACAAGACCAGCGCAUGUGAGCGUGGAGACUUCAUAGCCAUCCUCGCUGACCUCAACAACCAAGUUUUUGGCAUAGAAGAUCCCCAUUGUAUAUUUUGCAUGAGGAGCCUGCGAGUGAUGCUAUCCUUCACUUUUGGGCCCCGGUGCACAUCUACGGAGGGAGUUCCUCGCUGGAGUGUACUUACCAUGUCACUUGUAGAGCAGCCACUAGCGAAGCCCAAGCCCGUUAGCUUGCAUCCCGAGAGCAUAUAGUCUAGCUGUGACAUUUGUCACCAUGGAUGAAUAGCCGACCGUUCUACAACUAGCCUUUUCGUGAAGGCUAUGGUAGUCUGACCCAAGUUGCCGGCAAGGACUUUGAGGUAGACCCUGCAUUGGUGCAGGUUGUCCGCUACUUGAGAGCGUAGGAGGUAUGGAUCGAUCACAUCACUUUUGACCUGGUUGCGAUCCUCACGCCAUUUGCUCAGUGGACCCCGGUAAGCAGUGAAGUUGCAACUGCCUCGAGCAACCAGCUUGUAUUAAUUGGAAGACCUAUUGUAUCCCUGAGGCCCGCCCCGGCCUUUCCGUUAGCCAGCCCGAUCAUGACUCUGGUAGAUCUUCAUUGCACUUUUGAUGCUUCGUGCAAUGAAGCCGUGCCUAGGGCACGUCGUCUGGGAUGUCAUCGCCCCUGCAACCCCGCAACCCUAUUCCAUGGCCCGGUCAACUGUGUAACUAUGGAAACCCGAGAAGCCUUAGUGGUUAUUCAGAGUGUUAGCUCAGAGGCGAUUGAAGACGGAGCAAGUCUGAUACGUCUGCAACAUAUCUAUAAUUUUUGAUGGUUUCAUGCUAUUAUAUUGUCAAACUUUGGAUGUUUUGCAUGCCUUUCAUAUAUUUUUUGGGACUAACUUAUUAACUCAGUGCCAAGUGCCAGUUCCUGCUUUUUCCAUGUUUUUGACCCCUUUCAGAGCAGAUUUUCAAACGGAGACCAAACGGAAUAAAAUCCCCUAAAAUAUUUUGUCCGUAACGGAAGAAGAUCAAGAGACUUUAGAGCCAAGGCAGGGGGGCCCAGGGGCCCCAGAAGCACCCACCCUGCGGCCAGGGGGAGGCAGCGACCCACAGGCUUGUGGGCCCCCUAGACGUCCUCUGCCCUAGGGGUUGCGCCUAUAUAUUCCCUAGAAAUCCCAAAGAAAUCAGGAGAUCAUUGAAAGUACUUUUCCGCCGCCGCAAGCUUCUGUCCCCGCAAGAUCCCAUCUGGGGCACGUUCUGGUGCCCUGCCGGAGGGGGGAUUCGGAUACAGAGGGCUUCUUCAUCAACACCAUGACCUCUCCGAUGAUGCAUGAGUAGUUCACCAUAGACCUAUGGGUCCAUAGCUAGUAACUAGAUGGCUUCUUCUCUCUCUUGGAUCUUCAAUACAAAGUUCCCCAUGAUCUUCAUAGAGAUCUAUCCGAUGUAAUCUUCUUUUGCGGUGUGUUUGUCGAGAUCCGAUGAAUUGUGGAUUUAUGAUCAGAUUAUCUAUGAAUCUUCUUUGAGUUUCUUCUGAUCUCUCCUAUGCAUGAUUUCAUAUCCAUGUAAUUCUCUUCGAGUUGUGGGUUUUGUUUGGCCAACUAGAUCUAUGAUUCUUGCAAUGGGAGAAGUCCUUGGUUUUGGGUUCAUACCGUGCGGUGACCUCACCCAGUGACAGAAGGGGUAGCGAGGCACGCAUCGUGUUGUUGGCAUCAAGGCUAAAAAGAUGUGGUUUUCAUUCUUGGUUUGAGAUUAUCCCUCUACAUCAUGUCAUCUUGCUUAAGGCGUUACUCUGUUCGUCAUGAACUCAAUACACUAGAUGCAUGCUGGAUAGCGGUCGAUGUGUGGAGUAAUAGUAGUAGAUGCAGAAAGUAUCGGUCUACUUGUCUCGGACGUGAUGCCUAUAUGUAUGAUCAUUGCCUUAGAUAUCGUCAUGACUUUGCGCGGUUCUAUCAAUUGCUCGACAGUAAUUUGUUUACCCACCGUGAUAUUUGCUAUUUUCAGAGAAGCCUCUAGUGAACACUAUGGCCCCCGGGUCUACUCCACACCAUAUUUUCAGCCUUACACUUUUUACUUCGUUUCACUUUCUGCCUUCUGAUCUCACUUUGCAAUCAAUCUUGAAGGUAUUGACAACCCCUUUGAAGCGUUGGGUGCAAGCUCGUUUGUGUUUGUGCAGGUACUCUGGACUUGACGAGACCCUCCUACUGGAUCGAUACCUUGGUUCUCAAACUGAGGGAAAUACUUACUGCUCCUGUGCUGCAUCACCCUUUCCUCUUCAAAGAAAAACCAACGCAAGCUCAAGAGACGACAGAAGGAUCUCUGGCACCACUGUCGGGGAACGACUUUUGUUGACGUAGCAGAAGGAUUUCUGGCGCCGUUGUCGGGGAACGACUUUUGUUGACGUAGUAGAAGGAUUUCUGGCACCGUUGCCGGGGAGGAUCAAGUCAAGAACUCAUCCAAGUAAGUGUCCCAAACUCAUCUCUUGCAUUUACUUUGUUUGCCAGUUGCCUCUCAUUUUCCUCUCCCCCACUUCACAAAUCUUUGCCUUUUUCGUUCGCCCUUUUCUCUCGCUUGCUUUCUGUUUGCUUGUGUUCUUAUCUGCCUUCAAUAUGCUUGCAUCUUCGCUCGCUGAAAAUCUAGUGAUAUGGAUCCUCAUCAACUUGCUAAUCUCUUUAAGAGAUCCAAUUAUGUUUAUCCAAUUGCUAGUGAGUUGAGUGCACUUGACCAUCUUUAUGGAGUUUUCCUUGAGAUGCGUGAAUCUGAAAAUUGUGAGGAAGAAACUUAUGAAGUGAUUCACGAGGGCUCCUUGGAUGAAAAGCAUGAUUGCAGUGGUUUCACUAUAAAUUCUAUUAGUGACAAUCAUGCUAAAAAUAUGCAAAACCCUAAGCUUGGGGAUGCUAGUUUUGCUAUGUCCACUACUUGUUGCAAUGAUCAUGAGUGGGGCGAUGAUUUUUCUUAUGAUCUUGAAAAUUUGUUUCAGCCUCAUGAUGAAUAUGAUAUUUGCAAUAUUAUUGAAAGUAGGUUUGGAGAAGUCAUGACUUUAGUUGAUGAUAAUCCCACUAUUUUUGAAGAGCGUCAACUUUGCAUGCAUGUGGAUCAUGAAAAGAAUACCCUAUGUGAUAGUUACAUUGUUGAAUUCGAAUAAGAUCCCACAUGUAAUUAUUAUGAAAGAGGAAAAUAUGGUGGUAGAAACUUUCAUAUCACUAAAUCACCUCUCGUUAUGUUGAGAUUGCUAUUGUCUCUUUCUUCUUCCUUGCAUAUGGUAACUAUUGGUUGUCUUGACAAUCUGUUUUCCUAUAAAAUGCCUAUGCGUUGGAAGUAUGUUAGACUUAGAUGUGAUUUUCACAUGCUCUAUGGUGCUCGCGUUGUGCUUCAGUUCUUGUCUUUUGUGUGAGCAUCAUUGAAUUAUGAAUGCCUAGCUAAGGGCGUUAAACAAUAGCGCUUGUUGGGAGGCAACCCAAUGAAUUUAUCUUUUUCUGUUUGUUUUGUUGCGUCCACACCAUCAUAAUUCUGUUGUGAUUGUGUUUUUUGUGUUUCUUUUUGUGUUUGAGCCAAGCAAAACCUUUAUGAAUAGUCAUGGUGAUGGUUGUUUGAUCCUGCUGGAAAAAGACAGAAACUUUUCGCUCACGAGAUGAUUUUUCUUUUUUAUUCAGAAAGAGCUUUUGAGUUGAUUCUUUUUUGCUUCUGGUUGAUAUGCCUUUUUCCCAGGCAGUCGUAAUUGUUCAGAUUUUUUGAGGUACCAGAAGCAUACGAAGUAUACAAAUUUCUACAGUAUGGACUGUUUUUGACAAAUUCUGUUUUUGUUGAGUUGGUUGCUUGUUUUGAUGAAACUAUGGUUAGUAUCGGGGGGUACUAGCCAUGGAAAAGUGAGAAUAGAGUAUCCCAACACCAAUGUAGAUAGAAUUAAAGUUUUCUACAGUACCAAAAGAAGUGGUAGUUUGUUUUCUUGUGCUAAUGUUAUCACGAGUUUCUGUUUAAGUUUUGUGUUGUCAAGUUUUCAAGUUUUGGGUGACGUUCUCAUGGACGAUGAGAUAAGGAGUGGAAAGAGCUUAAGCUUGGGGAUGCCCAAGGCAUCCCAAGCCAAAUUCAAGGAGACCAAAAAGCCUAAGCUUGGGGAUGCCCCAGGAAGGCAUCCCCUGUUUGUCCUCAAUCCAUCGGUAACAUUACUUGGAGCUAUAUUUUUAUUCACCACAUGAUAUGUGUUUUGCUUGGAGCGUCUUGUAUCUUAGGAGUAUUUUAUUUUUGUUGUGUCACAAUCAUCCUUGUUGCACACCUUUUUGAAAGAGAGAUACCUGCACUCAUCGUGAUUUUGCUAGAAUGCUCAUAGUGCUUCACUUAUAUCUUUUGAGCUAUAUACUUUUGCUCUAUGUGCCUCACUUAUAUAUUUUAGAGCACGGCGGUGCGUGACUUGGUAGUUGGCUUAUGCUAUGAAAGUAGUCCCAAAUAUGAUAGGUACCCAAAGAGGAUGCAAAAACCUUCAUCUUCAUGUGCAUUGAGUAGAAAGAGAAGUCUUGAUUCCUCUCAAUUAGUUUUGAGACGUUGAUUUGGUAAUAUUAAGAGCUAUGUUAGUAGGGUGUUGUGAAUCUAGAAAUACUUGUGUUGAAGUUAGUGAUUCCCGUAGGAUGCACGUAUGGUGAACCGCUAUGUUAGGAAGUCGGAGCAUAAUUGAUCUAUUGAUUGUCAUCCUUUGUGUUGAGGUCGGGAUCGCGCGAUGGUUAACACCUGCCAACCCUUCCCCUCGGAGUAUGCGUAUAGCACUUUGUUUCGAUUACUAAUAAAAACUUUUGCAACAAGUUUGUGAGUUCUUCAUGACUAAUGUGAGUCCAUGGUAUAGAUUCACUUUCACCUUCCACCAUUGCUAGCCUCUUUUGUGUCGCGCGAUUCUCGCCGGUGCACAAACCCACCAUAUGCCUUCCUCAAAACAGCCACCAUACCUACCUACUAUGGCAUUUUCAUAGCCAUUCCGAGAUAUAUUGCCAUGCAACUCCUACCGUUCUGUAUCAUGACUUGUGCCGUCACUCUCAUAUUGGCAUUGCUUGAUCGUAAGAUAGCUAGCGAGAUAUUUCCAACGUCAUACGCCAUGCUAGAUCCUUGCACAUCCCGGUACACUGCUGGAGGCAUUUCCUAUAGAGUCAUCAUCAUUGUGAGCUUUGAGCUGUGAGUAAAUAAAAGUGUGAUGAUCAUCAUUAUUAGAGCAUUGUCCCAUGUGAGGACAUAAAAAAAGAGGCCAAAGAGCCCAAAAAUAAAAAAUAAAAAAGAGAGGCCUAAGAGCCCAAAUAAAAAAAGAGAAAAAGAGAGAAGGGACAAUGCUACUAUCUUUUUCCACACUUGUGCUUCAUAAUAGCACCAUGCUCUUCAUGAUUGAGAGCUUCUUGCUUUGUCACUGCCAUAUGCUAGUGGGAAUCUUCAUUAUAUAACAUGGCUUGUAUAUUCCAAUGAUGGGCUUCCUCAAAAUUGCCCUAGGUCUUCAUGAGCAAGCAAGUUGGAUGCACACCCACUAGUUCUCCUUUUUUGAGCUUUCACAUACUUAUAUCUCUAGUGCAUCUCUUGUAUGGCAAUCCAUACUCAUUCACAAUGAUAUCUAUUAAUGGGCAUCUCCAUAGCCUUUUGAUAUGCCGAGUCAAUGUGACCAUCUCCUCCUUUUUGUCUCACAACCACCACCACACUCUAUUCCACUUAUAGUGCUAUAUCCAUGGCUCACGCUCAUCUAUUGCGUGAUAGUUAUAAAUAGUUGGAGAAAGUAAGAGUGCGAAAACAAUUAGUUGGCCAAUACCGGGGUUGUGCAUGAUUUACAUUAGUUGUGUGAGGAUGAUGGAGCAUAGCCAGACUAUAUGAUUUUGUAGGGAUAACUUUCAUUGGCCUUGUUAUUUUGAAAGUUCAUGAUUACCUUGCUAGUUUGCUUGAAGUAUUAUUGUUUUCAUGUCAAUAGCAAACUAUUGUUUCGAAUCUUACGGAUCUGAACAUUCAUCUCACGUGAAAGAAGUUGCAAAGGAAAACUAUGCUAGGUAGCAUUCCACAUCAAAAAUUCAUUCUUUAUCAGUUCCCUACUCGGGGAUGAGCUGGAGUUAAGCUUGGGGAUGCUUUAUACGUCUCCAACGUAUCUAUAAUUUUUGAUGGUUUCAUGCUAUUAUCUUGUCAAACUUUGGAUGUUUUGCAUGCCUUUUAUAUAUUUUUUGGCACUAACUUAUUAACUCAGUGCCAAGUGCCAGUUCCUGUUUUUUCCAUGUUUUUUACCCCUUUCAGAGGAGAUUUUGAAACCGAGUCCAAACGGAAUAAAAUCCCCGAAAAGAUUUUUUCCGUAAAGGAAGAAGAUCAGGAGACUUGAGAGCCAAGGCAGGGGGCCCCAGGGGCCCCACAAGCCCCCACCCCGUGGCCAGGGCGGAGGCCACGGCCCACAGGCUUGUGGGCCCCCUGGACGUCCUCUGUCCUAGGGGUUGCGCCUAUAUAUUCCCUAAAAAUCCCAAAAAAAUCAGGAGAACAUCGAAAGUAUUUUUCCGCCGCCGCAAGCUUCUGUCUCUGCAAGAUCCCAUCUGCGGCACGUUCUGGUGCCCUGCCAGAGGGGGGAUUCGUAUACAGAGGGCUUCUUCAUCAACACCAUGACCUCUCCGAUGAUGCGUGAGUAGUUCACCAUAGACCUACGGGUCCAUAGCUAGUAAAUAGAUGGCUUCUUCUCUCUCUUGGAUCUUCAAUACAAAGUUCUCCAUGAUCUUCAUGGAGAUCUAUCCGAUGUAAUCUUCUUUUGCAGUGUGUUUGUCGAGAUCCGAUGAAUUGUGGAUUUAUGAUCAGAUUAUCUAUGAAUCUUAUUUGAGUUUCUUCUGAUCUCUCUUAUGCAUGAUUUCAUAUCCUUGUAAUUCUCUUCGAGUUGUGGGUUUUGUUUGACCAACUAGAUCUAUGAUUCUUGUAAUGGGAGAAGUGCUUGGUUUUGGGUUCAUACCGUGAUGUGACCUCACCCAGUGACAGGAGGGGUACCGAGGCAUGCAUCGUGUUGUUGGCAUCAAGGGUAAAAAGAUGGGGUUUUCAUUAUUGGUUUGAGAUUAUCCCUAUACAUCAUGUCAUCUUGCUUAAGGUGUUACUCUGUUUGUCAUGAACUCAAUACACUAGAUGCAUGCUGGAUAGCGGUCGAUGUGUGGAGUAAUAGUAGUAGAUGCAGAAAGUAUCGGACUACUUGUCUCGGACGUGAUGCCUAUAUGUAUGAUCAUUGCCUUAGAUAUCGUCAUGACUUUGUGCGGUUCUAUCAAUUGCUCGACAAUAAUUUGUUUACCCGCCGUGAUAUUUGCUAUUUUGAGAGAAGCCUCUAGUGAACACUAUGGCCCCCGGGUCUACUCCACACCAUAUUUUCAGCCUUACAGUUUUUACUUCGUUGCACUUUCCACCUUCAGAUGUCACUUUGCAAACAAUCUUGAAGGGAUUGACAACCUCUUUGAAGCGUUGGGUGCAAGCUCGUUUGUGUUUGCGCAGAUACUCUGGACUUGACGAGACCCUCCUACUGGAUCGAUACCUUGGUUCUCAAACUGAGGGAAAUACUUACUGCUCCUAUGCUGCAUCAUCCUUUCCUCUUCAAGGGAAAAACCAACGCAAGCUCAAGAGACGACAGAAGGAUCUCUAGCACCACUGCUGGGGAACGACUUUUGUUGAUGAAGCAAAGUCCAGCAGAAUAGCUGUCACACCCUAGUAGCCAUGUUCUCGUGUAACACUGUAUUCACAUAUUUCUUUUUUUUAAGUUGUAACUAGCCCGUUUUAUAUAAAAUUGCAGGAUGCAUGCACGUCUUAUUUUAAGGUUAGAUUUGCGUAACCAGCGCAGACUAGUCAACAUGGCCUUAGAAUAAAUUUUCGAGCAUGACCACCUAAGCCACCUCACCACCUACCCAAGUGAUGUGCCACUUGUGAAUUGAUGUCUGAGACCCCGCCCCAAUAACCAGGUCACACCAGUGUUAUACAGUGUGUCCCUAACGAGGCACUCUAUUUGAGACCUCACACAUGACCAUUUCUAGCAUUCCUCACCAUGUGCACUGCCCCGCAGCUGCUCUUCCCAUGAUUGCCCAUUAGGAUUCGUUUGGUAUUCCUGGAUGCAACCACGCGAUGGAGACCGUGUUUCCUCACAGCCCAAUGUGGAGCUGCCCGCUUGUGACCACCCUUGUCAUAAAUGUUAUCGACAGGAGCAUUGACCUAGCAACUGGUGGAUUAAUUUCACACCCCAUGUUGUUGGAAAAAUUCUAUGAUUUUCCCUAGUACUCCCUCCGUUCCUAAAUAUAAGACCUUUUAGAUAUUGUACUAUAAACUACAUACGGAUGUAUAUAGACAUAUUUUAGAGUGUACAUUCACUUAUUUUGUUCCGUAUGUAGUCUCCUAGUGAAAUCUCUAGAAGGUCUUAUAUUUUGGAAUGGAGGGAGUACAUCCUUGUUGCCAAGCGAGAGGAGACACGUUCUCCUACCCCCUCCGAGGAGGGGUAGAGUGGGUUCCCAUGAGUAGGGAUAUAUUUCCUGAGAGCCCCAUCGCCCGUGCCUUGUUGACACCCAUCGGAGUGUACGUUAGUAUAGCAUUAUGUUGUGAUGGUGCUAUAUGAGUGACCCUGUGACAUCUGAUUGUCUUGAUUACCCGUGCAUAUGAGUGACCUUGUUCCUAGUUUUCACAAGUAAAUGAUUUUAUUUACCUAAAAAAAUCUCAAGGACGAGAUUUAUUUUUAAGGGGGGGUAGUGUGGUCACACUCCAAAAAUUUAAUCACAUUUUAUUUCCCUAAACAAAUCUCGAGGACAAUAUUUUUUUGAAAAGUAACUUGCUUCAUUUCUCAAUUCGAAGCCUCUUCACAAAAUAUUUUCUCUCCAAGUAGCCCUUUUGAAGAUCAUUGUGUGCUUGAGUAAUUGUUUGGAUUGUUUCCUUCCAUUUUAAUAAUUUAAGGGGACAUUUUUUUAUAAUAAAAACUUGCCACAAUUAAUUCCUUUUAAAGGUAUUUUCGUCAUUUUAAGAGCCCCUUUUGCACUACAACCAUUUGAUAUAUUCAUUCAAAAAUUUCACAAAAAUUUGUACAUGUCAUGUGAUGUCCCUCGAUCACUUUUAUGCAAAAACCCAACCAAGUGCUUUGGAAAAUUUGAGCAUACGUCCUCUUUUCAUUCUCAUCUAGUUUGAUGUUUUGAAGUACAAACCUUUCAUAAAACUAUUUAAAAACUCCACAAAAAUUUGGAGAUGUCAAGGAAUGUUUAUGAUUCAUUUUUAUGUAAAACCCAUGGCUAUCCUUUGUAAAAUUUGAGCAGCACAACCAGAUUGGCAAUUUGAACUGCAACCCUAUUUUAAAUUGCCCCAAUGCCCAUGGGAUUUUUACUACUUGUAGUAGACCCUACCAAAUCCUUAAGUCCAGGAGAUCUGCCCCUUUUAGACAUUUUAAGCCCAUGCUAUAAAUCCCUGUAGUUGCUAUCCAGAACUGGUUUUCUCAAAAAAUUGCAUUAGCAAGUUUUUGUUCUUGCCAAACUAACCCCUUACCCAUUGGCCUGCUCGCAGAGCGACACCACGCCGCGUCCAUUCCUGACCGUUGGUUGCCGGUGCCCUGUGCCGCUCCGGACCGCAGCCAUGCCAACCUUGGCGGGAUGACUUCGGCCCCAGUUCUUCUGCCAUGGCCGAUGCCGCCCAACCACUCCCCGCUCACCAAUGUGCCCCUCGAGCAGUGCUUCGUUUGUUCACGAGCCCCUGCAGCCUCACAAGCCUUCCCCUGCCGCCCUCUAUCCACCGUUAGAGGUGGUCGCCGUCGUUCCUAUCCACGACCAUUUCGGUACUGGCGUGGAACGCCUAUAAAAGGAGGCCCUAAGAUCCUCGAGCAACUGAGCGCCCCUAGACCCGCAUCCAUCUCCCCCUAGCUCCAAUUUGGCUGGAGCCGCCCACGCUGCUCGCCCCCUGGAAUUUCACCGCCACCAUCAUCCGGCCAAAUUUCGGUGAACCCAAGCCUCAACCAACCCACCGUAGCACUGGUAUCUUUGCACGGAACCCUAGAACCCAUCCCCAUGCCCAUUUCCAUCGGUGGUAAGCCGCAGGGGGAGCUAUGAUCGUCGAAGCCAUCCGGCCGCCAUGGUUGAAGUGGUGAUCGCUACCGAGGUCUCCGGCAACCUGUGCACCCUCUAGAGGAGGAGGCCCUCCCCCAUGAGCAUGCCAGUGUGUUAAAAUUCCGGGAUCGAAGCCCCCUAGCACUGGCAAUCGCCGUCGGCGUCGACCCUAUCAUGCGCGCGAGAGGAGGGACACAAACCCGAGAGGUGGGUUCCACCUAUCGGUGAGCCAACCUGAGCCCACUAGCGCAGAAGCGGUGGGCAUUUUAACCAAAGACCGAACCGAAAGAACUGGGACCGAGAUCGAAUAAACCGAAACCAAGUAUUUUAAUUCCUAAUUCGGGCAGGAGUUCACAAAAACCAAAUUUACGUUGAAAUUUUCGGUUUUGACUCUCAGUCACCCGAAUUGACCGAAAAAUGAAUAAAUACAAGUAGAUGGGCUGAAACCAAUUUAUAGCCUAGAAACCCGGCUCAAUAUCCUACUACUUCAACCCACCUAACUACAAACCCUUAUCCUUUCCACGUAUGACUAAUUUCACCACACCUCAUUUUCCUUCUUCGGGACUACAUCCGUAGCUCUCUUCCCCUACAUAUUUCCCAUGGAGGAAAUGAGAGCAACCCCAACGCAGCGAUCCAUUUUUUCCGUUUGGGUCAUCCGGACACAAAAGCUAGCCCAACGAGAUGACCCAAACGGACGCGCGCGUCCGUCUGCUGUCCGUUUGUUGUCCAUCCCACCCAAACUUGCGCAAAACUGGGUCACAAAUGGGUCCGAGGCGGACAAAACUGCACACUUCCCUCAUCCGCUCCUCCCCCCUCUUGUCCACCCUGGUCCCACCUAUCAACGACCUGCCGCGGCUGCUGAUGUUUGGGUGCUGCCCUCGUCCACUCCUCCCGGUGCUGCGGGCGAUGCGCGGCGCCACGCGGACCGUGGAGGAUAGUCAAGACGGGCCGACCUGCUCGCCGGCGACCCCGAUCUGCUCGCCGGUGACCCCGAGGUGCACACGCUCUGCCGCCUGAUCGCCACUGCAGGGCCCUCUCUUGGUGCGCUUACGAGGAGGUGGAGGGAGGCGGAGGUGGGGUGGUUGGAGGACUGCGGGCCCGGUGCCAGCGGUGCAAGGCGAGGCGGGGGAUCACGCGCACGGUAGGUGGCGUCACGGCGGAGAUCCAGUCCUGGGCGGACCGUGAGCUCGCCGCGCGCCUUGUGGCUGUGCUGAGGGGCGCGAACUACGCUCGGGCGCGCGUGCUAUUGGCGGGUGCUGCUAUCAGGGGAGGUGGGGUGCUGCUGAAUCCGGCCAGGGAGGGGAGGUGUGGAUAAGGGAGAAGGUGGGGAGGGGAGGUGGUGUGCUGGUGGAUUCACGCUGACAACCUCGUGCGUUGGGUUCGUCCACCCAUCGCGCGUGUCCGCCUCAUGUCCGUUAGGCGGACGGGUGAUCCAAACGAACAAAAUCCAGAUAAAAUUUGUCUCCGUUUGGGUCGCCCCGUUGGAGUUGACUUGACCAUUGCUAAUGUGGAUCCAAUCUCGGUCCUUCUCCACCAGGCCAUAGCUCUAGCCCUAGCAACCGCCAGCCUUCAGCUGCCUCUCCUUCUCUCCACCUCAGUAGCCAAUCCAUUCUGCUGGUUCCACCACCUCUCGUCCUUAACUCGCGAUGGUGCGCCUCCAUCUGCUCCAGGUGAGCAAGACCAGUAGUCGGGCGAGUUUGAGCUAUCAAACGUCAGCGUCGCAACCCAGCUGAAUUUCUGUCGCGUUUCCUCUACUGUCGGUUAAUUCGACAAGAAUAAGGACCGAACCGACCACCGAACCCUCGGUUAGUUCCUAUGAAUAUGACCGAUCGGUCAUCCUUUUUCCGAGACCGAUAUUUGUAGUAAGCCAAAGAACUGAACCGAUCAGUUCGGUUUAACUGAACGCCCACGCCUACCGCAGAUAGCCCCAGGUGCACCUUCAAAACGAGUAAGCGUCUUCGUGUGUAUACACUUUCAGUUUCUGGAAAGCGGAUUCACCCCGAACCAUUUUCUUUUUAGAUCUUUUUUAAAACUAUUGUUUGACUAAAACUUUGACUUGCUCUAACUUUUGGAAUAAAACUCCAAAUGAGUUGAUUCUUUUUCAGUUGUUUUUCAAAUCUCAGCUUGUUUAUUGUUAUAUUGAUUUCAAAUAAUUUUGAACAUAUAUGAUGUUUUGUAAUUAUGUGUUAAAAGGAAUAUUUUCAAAAAUAGGAAUUUGAAGGGAAGAACUUUCAAAGUUUUGGAGUGAGCUCAACCAUUCUGCAUACUCAAGGCAAACAUCUUGAAUCCUAUUUGGCUUAAGUGCGUGACUGAUUGCUGCGAUGAUCGGAUGCAUGGUUUUGUUACUUAAAUACAACUCCCCAUAGUAGCAUACAUUGCAUGAAUACAUGUCAUAUUUGUGUGAUUGCUGUUGAGCAUAUAAUGUCGGUGAUGUGUGGGUACUACCUCCUGCCACGUAUGCCAUGUGGGUGUGGACAACCUGGAGGAAGGUUUGUCAUGGUGAAGAUGUGACCAUGAAACUGAUAUCUCAUGGCGACGAGAGUGAUCAGUGUGGGUAUAUUGAGGUGUGAUGGUGGUAUCCCCAAUGAAUUUUAUUCACAAAAUUGUGUGGUGCUAACCCUUGCAGAUAAAACACUUAAACCUCCUGAGUCGACCAUAGAUCGAGUCUUGUGAGUGCGUCACCUUACUUUUCAUGAUGCCACAGGUCUUCCCAAAAGGGAAUACAAUUUAGAAGGUCGUAAUCCUAUUACCAUGUGCACAUGAAGUGGAGGGGCCGGAUGAAGGUUCCAUGGCCCUGGAACAAUUCCAGGCAUCCGGUCAGGGGGCAUGGGUGUUUUCCGUAUGGGACCGAGAGGGGGACCCUCGCCUUGUAGCACAUGGUGUAAAUUUGAUCCCAUGCUAUUCGAGGAUGUUGGCCUCCCCAUCUUAUAGUUUUUCCCUGGAAGCGUGUCCGGGUGAUUCCAGACCUCGUUGGGUAAAAAUGGGUGUGUGCUGGUUUUGAGUGUUCACUUCUAAAAUACCAUACACGGGAUUAGUCCUAGUGACUAUUGAACCCCAUUGGCUGUGGGUAAAGAGUACACCUGCUGCAGAGUGGAAAACUAUUCAAGUGGUCGUGUCCGCAGUCAAGGACGAUAGGUUGAUAGGCCAAGUGUCGGUCUGAGUGUCAUUCUUCGGAGGAAUAAAUAUAAAGAUGAUGAUGAUCAUGAACCGGGAUGACAACCAUAAUUAUUAUGAAUUUUGCGGUGGACUAAUUAUUUUUGGUAUCCUUGGGACGGUUCUACCUCCCGGAUACUCGAUGUUAUUAUUUUUUUAUAAGCCCUUUAUGUGGUGUCGCAUAGAUGCCUCACUUUGGCAAAUUUUAUUAUUACCAUAUAAAGCCCUUUUUGUUGAGUUACGUAGACGGCCGACAAUGGCAACUACUAGUACUUUCAUAUAAGCCCUUUUUGUGGUGUCGCUUAUACGCCCGACUGUGACACGCAUGUUAUUACUUAUUUUAUUAUUGUUAUAUUUUUAUAAGCCCUUUUUGUGGCGUCGCUGAGACGCCCAACUACGAAACACCCGUCAUUAUCUCAUUGUGAGCCCUCUAUGCGGUGUCGCCCAGACGCCCGACUGUAGCUUAUAGUGGGUGUCCUUACGAGGUGUCGCCUAAGAUGCCCGAUCAACACCUUUAAAUUAAUUAUUUCCCCUUUAUUCUGCUUGCUUGUACAUCAUGACUAGAAAUGACUUAACUGCAUAACUGCACCCAUGAAUUUAAUCUUGUGGCAUAUGAGGUGGUAUUAAAAUGUUUGGGAAUGCAUCUCACCUGCAUUUACUUAUGUGUCUUCUUCAUGAUUGCGAGUUCAUCCAAAGUACUCAUUGGCUUGUCCCUGGCUAUUGCCUUGGCUAGAUCGCAUAUUUGGAGAGGAGCAUGAUGAUUGCAACCCCGGAACCUGAGAGUUGAGGAUAGAAGCCUUGUGAGAUAGGAAUUAUCCAGGUCAGCUGUUCUUGUGGGAAUGGAGCCCCAUGGGCACUUGAGAUUCCACGAGUUGCUUCCGUCGUCAACCUUUCGACAUUUUUGUCCAACCUCCCUCAUGGACCUUCAUGGUAUUGUACCCCAAACUUUGUAAUUGCUUGGGAAUUUUGUAUCAAGUGAGUGUUAACCAUCUAAUAGUAGUCCUAGGGCUGAUGAUCACAAGGGCCUGUUUUCUGGAAAUUUUAUUCCGAAAAAACGGAUGCUACAUCACCCCAUGUUUAUUUAUCAUGUCAAGUCAUCUGACUUCAUGGUACUUACAUGUCAUCCAUGACUCGUGGUAUAUUACAUACUCGAGGUAAGCACCUGAACAAUUCCUUUCUCCAGGAAAUACUAAAAAAAGAGUUCACUCGACUGGUACCCAGCCCUCAUCAUGUACAUCGUGCGAGCCUCGCUCUAGAUUGUACCAUCCACGAAGGGACCAACGGUGUGCCCGGUGUAUGUGAAAACAGUCCAUGGUCGCCCUACGAGACAUGAUCCCGUCUCGAUAGAGUGACUCGGCUCUCCCGGCACAAGUAAUGUGGGCUCUGUGCUAGCAUCGACCAAGGUAAUCAACAAAGCGCAACCCCAUAAAGGGAUAUCAUGGUCGCACAUGUAAGGUUGGUAAGGCUAGCAAAUAUUAAAUCUAAGCCUUUUUGAAACCAGUCACACAACUUGCCUUAGUACGACACUUCUUUCUCAAGUGGUCACCUAACUCAAUGCCAUCUCCCUCCGGCAUUAGUGGCACGUGACAGGGUUUUCAAAAAGUCUUUGAAAUAUUUUCCUCAUCGUCAUCAUGCAUAUUCCCAUCCAAUUUGCGUAGAAACUACUAGCAUCGUAACCACUUCCCACCUGCACAACCCUCAUAGGAAGGUAGGGCCGUGCUCAGUGCAUGUAUCAACGAGGGGUUAUCGGAGAUAACCCAUGGAGGUGGUCAUCGAUUCAACAUGAUUCAAAUUCAAUGAAGUGAAGUGCCACAUGACAUGCAUAAAUGGUUUCAAUUCAUGGUCAAGGGGCUACUUCCCUCGCUCAGCAAAGUCUUCGAGGUCUUCUCACGCUUCUCGUCCAAAUCCGAGCGCUUCAUCUACUUCGUCAACUAUCGUAGGAAACAACUACAAUAAGCCACUCAACAAGCAGAUAAACAAAGUGCUCUAUAAAUAGGAGUUUUAUAUUUAUUGUACAUCUUUGGUCAUAAGAAAAAUACGUACGGUUUGUGCUAAUUUAUUUGGGUCGCCGGAGAUUUUUGAACGGUGGAAAUGGAGGAAUUUAUGAUCCUAUAAGAAGUCUACAAAAACAUUUUUAUAAAAAUGAGUGGAUAUGCCUAUCAAUUAGGGAAUGAUUUUAGAAGAAUUUUGGAAGUAGUUUAACUCGAUUUGGAGUUCUUAUAAAUUCCCUAGUGAUUCACUAAGAUGGAAUAAAUGGAAAAGGGGCCAUUUAUUUGGUCCAACAGAAAUAAUGCACGACAAAAAUGUUCACCUAGGCUAGAAAAAUAGAGCAGGGUUUUAUAGACAACUAGGAACUUGAAUCACUCCAUUUGGAGUUGUUUUGGAUGCUUUAGAAAAUUUGUAAAGUGGGGGUUUGAAAUAUUCAAAUUUGAAUUUGAAUAUUAAUACUACAGAAAAUAUGUGUGAAAAAAUGUGCAAUGUACAUAUUUAGAUAGCACAUGAUUUUCGGAAACUGCAGGAAUUUGAAUUACCUAUUUUUGGAGUUCAUAUGAUUUUAAUAUGAAUUUAUUUGCCUCUGAGUUAAAUACUAAAAGUAAGGAAUUAUAAUUACCAAAAUGGGCCAACUAGCGCACGGGGCGCCAGAUAACAACUGGGCCGAACCAGUGGCUCGGUCGGGAAGCCGAGGGCAAAGACGAAGGUGCAUUCGAGCGAAUGCAGUUUUUUUGCGGGAAUUUGGGAUCGGCUAGAGCCAUUCCACUUAAGGCACCAGGGCCCACUCGUUAGCGGCCCGACCCCGAUGGUUGGCCGACAGGCUAGGCCCCGACGACAGGUUCGACUCCCUUCACCUGUUCAUGCAGACGAGGUCCAAAGGAGAUCGGGCGCAUGUCGGAGCUUGCUCCACCGGAUACCUCCAGCGAGGCCUCGCACAGUGGUGAGAUCACGAGGUCGCGUCGCCUCCGUUCCUGCGCCGACCGUGUGCGGGGGAGGUCCGCAUCGAUGCCAGUUUGGACGGCUAUGGGAGAGGCCGUCGGCCAUCGCUAGCCUCGAGCUCUAGGCGCCCUGGGGAGGAAAGAUGAUGAUGGGAGGGCCUCACAUCAGCUAGGAGGGAACAAUGGGGUGCCAGGGGCGAGGGAGAACUCAGAAUGGGCGUGAAUUUGAGUCGUGGCCACCGGAAAUGAUUCGGCCAUGAAUGGGGAUGAAGUGCGGCGGAGGAGGAGUGGCUUGUCGAGGAGGUUUUCUGGGAGCAGGAAGAGUGCUCUACGGGGUCCAAGGCGUUCAGGGGAAGGAUAAAUGGAGGGUGCGCCGAAGUGGAGGCCCGGAUGCGCGUCGGAUGCUCUAGGCGCGGCGAGCACGCAUGCUAGAGAUGUCUUGGAGACUUGCUGGCGUCAUGGAGGGGAGUGGGAGACUUAGAGGAGUAGCCUAUUGCGUGUGGACACCCUGGUGCAACCGAACGCAAGCUACAAGAAAAUUUCCCUUAGGAGAGCGUCGUUGCUACAGGUCCACAACAAGGUCACCAUGCCACCUUGUGUUCAGGACAUUAUUUUGGUUGGCCAAGGAUGUCUGGCGUGCAAGUCAUGCAUGGAAGAGGGUGAUGGUGGAGUUUGGAUCCAUAUGGAGAUGGGUGGAGGUGGUUUUCACUAAGGUUAAGUUUGUUGCAGCAAUCUUGGGGGUUAGCAAAAUGGAUUUUACUAGUGGGCACAUGGGAUAAAACCUUGUCUAGUGGCCCUAGCUAUGCAAGGACUACUUGACCACCAAGUUUCAUCUCAGGAAGAGGAGUGUAGCCAUCACUUGUAAUUUAGGGCCAAAUUUGCUGUCAAAUCUUUGGUUUUGAUGGUUUGCUCAUAUUUUCCACAUGAGCAUGCCAUCUUUGGGCUUGGAUUGAUGCAUCAGCAUGCAAGAGAGACCGUGGGAGAAUUUGGAGGUAUUUGCAUGCAUACAAUAAUGGGAGAGGGGGGGAAAGGGGUGCUGCCAUGGUGAAAAGGAGAGAGAAAAUGAGGGAGUUACCCUCCAAUAAUUUAUUAGGGGCCAUAGAAAAGUUACUGAAGGUAGAAGAGGGUGAGAAAAUAAUGUGUUAGAAAAUUGGAGGCAAGGGCAAUCUUUUUGGGUCAACAUUGUUUGUCCUCUCAUUUAUGGCACAAGGUGUUUGUUCUAUGUUUGGGCUAGGCAGAAGAAUCCUAUGGCCUUGAUAUUUACCACGAGUGAAUGGUAAGACCAUUUGGCCUCGAUCACCAAUUUUGAGAUUAUAUGGUUAAAGUUGACAAUGUAAACUUGAUAAACCCUAGAAAUGGGUCGAAAUGGUUUUCUAUAUAUAAAUUCAUAUAAAUUAAUUCCCCUAAUGCACCACUUUGCGUGGUGGUAUUAUUUGAGGAUUAGAGCAUGCCCAAAAAGUUUGGGGUCAUUUGGACAAACUUGCCAAUGCAAAUAUUCCCAUUUCUAGAAAUUAUAGAAGUGGUUUUGAGGGGCUUUGGACAAGUGGAUCGGUUCUCCUUGAUGCACCACUUGGUAUGGAUGCAUUGUUAGGGUAUUAGAACAUGACCACAAAAUUUGAGCAUAAAAGGAUAAACUUGGCAAUGCAAAUUUGCUCAAGUUUGGUUCUAGACACAAAGGGUUUUGGAAUAUUUUGGUGAAUCAAAUCAACUUGGAUUGAGAAGAAAUUUGGCAAGAUCAUCACAUAUAUCUUGUGUGACUUUCUAUAAUUUUACUGGAACUUAUUGAGAAUAUUUCCUAUGGAAAUACUUCAAAAGCUUGAAAUAGGUAGAAUGGGUUUUGGAGAGUAUUGUCCACUAUUUUGAACAUGACCAUAUGUUGAAACCCUUAGAUAUGGAAAAUAUAUGUCCACUGAGUUUCCCUAAAUUUGCUCAAAUAUUUUGGAAGCAAGAAAAAAAAAAUCUUCAUAAAAGACCCUUUUUGAUCCUAAAAAGGUAUUUAAAUAAAAUAGGAAAAUAAUUUCUAAAAUAAUAAUUUUUUGGUUUUGGGAAGAGUUUUUGAUAAUGGGAUUUAAAUAAAAUAUUUUGGGCAAAUCAUCUUCCCUAAUUUGAAGACUUGUAGUACAAAUCUCAAUUCAAGGGAUUUUGAAAAGCUAUUGAAAUAAAUGCUUUUUGGUCAAAAAUAAUAUUUGGUAAAAUGGUUUUCUGUUCUAUACACAUGGUAUGGUCAUUGGGCAAAGACUUGGGGCAAUGAGCUGAGUCCAAAGAGUAGGAGGUAGUUUUGUGAUUUAAAACACAAUAAAACAAGCAAGCAAUCACCAUCAAGUCAAGCAUCACAAGCACAUACAAAACUUUAUAAGUGGCCCUAAUUUUGAGCUAUGUUAACUUAGUCAGGAAAGGCAAAGCACAUGGUUUUAUAGACCUACCCCCUUACAAGAAUCUCGUCCUUGAGAUUCGUAGGCUAGGUGUUGAAGAGGGAGAAAUUCAGAUCUGAGAUUGUCUUCACGCUUCCAUGUUGCUCCUUCUUGGAUGUGAUCACUCUAGUGGAUCUUGAAGUGCUUGAUGAUAUGGCUUCGAAUGCUUCUAUUGGUUUCAUAUGAGAGUGAACGGGGUUCUUGCAAUAUGCUAGGCUUUACUAGAGGUCAAGGGCUUGGUGAAUGAGGUCCGCGCAAGGGUCUGGUUUGCGUGUGUAUUCCAAAGUCAGAAUACAUGGCAAAGUAGUGUGUGAGUUUGUGUUGGUCCGGGGUUGCUCAUGUUGGUUAGUGACAUAUAGAUGUCUCGAUUUAGAAUAAAAGGGUCAAGUCUUGGUGUACCUCCCCGUUGACAGGGAGGUCCUUGACUUCCUUAAAGCAGGUGAUCUCUAGUCGCAAGUGUUCUUCUUUCUUGAGAGUGUCAACAUAACCUUGAUAUCUUCAACAUGAGAAGUUGUCAAAGUAUGUUUCUUAUUUGACUCCAGCCAUUUGUCUUUGCCAUCAUGGACGCACGUUUCUGGUGUGUCUUCGAGUGCCUCUUCGUAGCUACUUGUGAAAAAGUUUGGGUUAGGUUUAGUCCCUAAGACCAAGUUUAGAGACUCCAUGUUUAAAACGGUUUCUACCACCUAGGAAGGUUUUGAGUCCCUAGAUGAGCUGGCUACCCAAAAGUAUAGACCAGCCAUCCAAUCCCCAUGGCCUCAGGCUUGGCAAGCGGGAUGAACCUCCUUUGACAGGGUUUCACGAUGGUCCAGUCAGGACUUCACAUCUUUGAUUGGGCCAAAAAGGGGAUUUUUAACUUCUCUUCAUGUCCAAGGGCUUCAUCAUGCUUGAACAUCAAUGCUUCUUGCCAUAGUUCGUGGAUCGAGCAGAGGAGUGGAGGUUGACCCCUAUCGCUUCUUCUUCAUUGUCAUGGUUUCUCAACCAUGGUGGUUCUUGACCUUGCUUCAGUAGGAUUGUUUUCUGCGGCUUGGAGGGUGCUUCGAGGAGUCCACGUUCUUUAAGGUAAAACCAUACACUUGAGAGGCAUGGAGAACGGUGCUUUUAGGGGCAUAUCCAAAUAGGGCUAAGGUAUCCCUUCUCUUAUUGGGGAAAUGAGUAUGUCAUCCACGAGGGCAACACAUAUUUCUCCAAGCAUCACAUAGUCAAAUUGCUUAUGGGACAUUUUCGGGAAUCGAAUCAACUUGGAUUGAGAUGAAACUUGGCAAGAUCAUCACAUAUAUUAUGUGUGACUUGUUAGAAUUUUGCUGGAAUUUAUUGAGAAUAUUUCCUAUGGAAAUAUUUCGAAAGCUUGAAAUAGGCAGAAAGGGUUUUCGAAGGUUUUGUCCACUAUUUUGAACAUGACCAUGAAUUGAAAUUAUUAUAUAUGGAAAAUAUAUGUCCAAUGAGUUUCCCUAAAUUUUCUCAAAUAUUUUGAAAGCAAGAGAAUAUUUUUUCUUCAUAAAAGACCCUUUCUAAUCUUAGAAAAAGUAUUUAAAUAAAAUAGGAAAAUAACUUUUAAAAUAACAAUUUUGUGGUUUUGGGAAGUCUUUUUGAUAAUGGUAUUUAAAUAAAAUAUUUGGGGCAAAUCAUCUUCCCUAAUUUGAGGACUUGUAGUACAAACCUUAAUUCUGAGGUUUUUGAAAAGCUAAAUUUAAAUAAAUGCUUUUUGUUCAAAAAUAAUAUUUGGUCAAACGGUUUUAGGUUCUAUACACAUGGUAUGGUCACCGGAGUUGGGGCAAGGAGGUGAAUAUAAAGAGUGGGAGGAAGUUUUGUGAUUAAAAAUACAAUCAAACAAGGACACAAUCACAAUCAAGUCAAGCAUUAGAAGCACACACAAAAGUUUUUAACUCGCCCUAAUUUUUGAGCUAUGUUAACUUAGUAAGGGAAGGCAAAGCAUAGGGUGUGACAGCUACGCGCCCCUCAUGCUGCUCGGUUUGGCCCGGACCUGGCUCAAUGGCCUCCCGACCGGAAGGGUCAAUGGCUGGGUGGACUUCCAAGAGGAAUUUGUGCGCAACUUCACCGACAUGUAUAGGUGUCCUGGCCGGCCCCGCCAGAUGGCCCUCUGAUUACAAGGGCUGACCGAGCUUCUUCGUGACUACCUCACGCGAUGGACCGAGCUCCACAAUUCUUACGAGGGCAUCCAUGAGGUACAUGAGAUCUAGUACUUCAUCGACGGCUAUCGAGACGACACCCUCCUCAAGCACAAGCUCAUGCGCCGGGAGCCGCCAACCCUGGCGCAACUCAUGACCGUGGUUGACGAGCAUGCAAUGGUCGAGUUCUCCAUGAACCUCCUAGUACUGGUCGACGUAGCCGGCAAGACUACCCUGGCCAAGCUGGCUGUCGCUCUGGAAGCCGGCAGAUCCUAGUCGGAUCAGUGUAAGCGCAAGACCAACGAGCCGGAUGCCUGCUACGGCAGUCGGCAGGUCGCCACCGUAAAAGACAGCAUGAUGGCAGAUGACCCAAGAUCCAGCCAACAUCAGCACACCAAUGAGGGAAAGCAGCACUGAUAGCCCGAGUACACUUUCGAGGCAAUGCUCGAUGGGCCCUACAAGUUUCACAGUACGGCCAAGCUCGCCACGCAUAUGGCUUGCCAGUGCAACUGCUUCACCCAAGAUUGCGCUGGGCGACGUGCUGCCUCUUGUGUCAGCGGCACUGCCGCCACCACUUAGGCCCGCUCUGGGGACCAGCGGUCCUUGGGAUUAUUAUACCCCCAGGACGCGACCUACAUCGUCUUCACCACGGAAGGUGACGACAAGCACAACUAGCGCACGCGUGCGCAGGAGGUGAAUGCCAUCAUCCCUUCGGUCCCCCAGUACAUGCACUGGUUGAACAAACCUAUCACCUAGGGACGCUAGAACCACCCGACCGUGAUCUCCAUGCGAGGCGGCUACAUGCUGGUCCUCGACCUCGCCUUCGUCUCCAGGAGGAGCACAGCGUUCUCGUGGACAGCGGUAGCAGCAUCAACAUCCUCUACUACAACACCAUGGAAAAGUUUGGCACAAUGUAGUCUGAGGUCCAGCCGAUCCGGAUGGUGUUCGACGACAUCAUUCUCGGCCACUCCUGCUCCCCACUCGGCAUGGUCUGGCUAUACGUGUUGUUCGGCAUGCCAAAGAAUUUACGCCACGAACCUAUCUGAUUCAAGGUCGUAGACCUCUCGAUCCCUUACCAGACACUCGUGGGCGGGCCCGCCUUGGCCAAGUUCAUGGCGGUCCCCCACUGUGCCUACUUGAAUAUGCAGCUACCGGGUCCCACGACAUCAUCACCAUUACCGACAACUACAAGAAGUCGACUGAGUGCGCGCUGGCCGACUCUAAGUUGGCCAAAUUACUUAUCAUAGCCGAGGAGCGGCGCCAGAUUGAUUGACACGUGGCUCUCUCCCACGAGGAGAUGGCCAUGCCCGAGCCCAAGGUAAAGCAGUCGGCUAGAGAGUCCCAGUUCCAGCCGGCCACCCGCAAGGACACCAAGAGGGUCCCUCUCAACCCGGGUGACCCCACCGGCAAGUCUCCCCGGCAUAAAAACCAAAUACCGAAAACUCAACCCGAGACCGAGACCGAACCCGAAAAAACCGAGGCUGAAAAGACCAAAAAAAAACAGUUUGCACAAUUAUAAGACCGAAUAACUACGGUCUGUUCGGUCCUAAUGUAUUUAGAACCCAAUAGCCCAUAUAGACCGAAUUAACAAAAGCCCAACCAUUUACAUAAAGCCCAUCUACCCAGCCCAAGGUCCCGACCGGCGAGCAGAUACGUCCUCAGUCCUCAACCAGUCAAUCCUCAUCUCGUCUCACUUCUCUCCCGCAAGAAACCUUACCGCUGACCGCUUCUCCUCUUUUAUCUCCCAUAACCCAUGACUCCACGAGGAACCCUAGCCACCACCCGCCGUUGGCCCCCGAUGCUCUGCUCCCGUAAGCCAUGACAAGUGAGCUGCAAUGAACGCCACACAAAGUGCGUUGUGCUCCAUACCUCAACUGAGAGAUGAAGAUCGGCACCCUAAGCGGCGGCCCGGACAGGGACAGGUGACGACCAGGGCAUCCAACCACUGUCGGUGUAGUUGUUGGCUGCUGUAGUUCUUCACCACCACGACAACACUCGUCGUCUUCCAUGCCGUUAGACGUCUCGUUGCCUACUGUCCAAUUUAGUCGCUCAUCCUCAUACCUGAAGGUGAGCAAGUUAUUUCUUCUCUUUAUGUGCAUAUGUGAUGUCCAUAUUGAUGUUCAUUUAUGUGCACCGAUUGUGUUGUUCAUGUUAUGUGGUGUCUAUAAUUUUUGAUGUUCAAAUUCAAGUAGAUGUAGUGGCUUGCUUGUUGUAGAUGCUCCUCUUGGAAUUAUCAUGGCAGAGUGUCCAACUUUUAGUUAGUUUGUAUGUUUAAUGAAGAGUGUACCAUGCUAUUUUUGUGUUGAUUUGGAAUCAGUAAUCUGUACUCUCUAGAGAGGAUACCAAAUACACUAAUGUCAUUUCUUAGCUACGAAGAAGAAGACUUUCUAUAAUGUUUGUCAUAUUUGGGGGAUUUGUUUAUCUAGACUCUAUGUUGUGAUUUAAUCAUGUCAAUGUUUCUUGAUGAAUCAAUGCCAUCUAUUUUUUGCAUGUGCUUUCUAUACUGGAAUCUUGUGAUGAGGGGUUGAAUGAAAAAGAUGAUGCAUUUAUGAGUGUAGAGGCAGAGACAGAUGCAGAACCAGGAGACAAAUUCAUCUUACGUAGCAUCAUUGAAGAUGAAGAUGUCGAACCAAAAUUUGUGGAAGAUGCUCAAGAUGACAAGCCAAAAGGACAGAGGCAAAUGGCACCAAGAUCACCAAUCUGGGAGCAUUUCACCGAAGUUUGUUAUGAUAAGGGGUUUGUGAAGGAAGGAAAGCGCAAAUAUUGUGAUCGACCAAUUCACGCUACUACAUCAUGCAAUGGGACAACAACAAUUCAUAGGCACUUCGAUAUAUGCAAGCUCAAUCCAAAUAGGAAAACAGAUCCAAGUCGAACCACUGUGCAAGCAACUCCGGGAGAUAGCAUCAACACUUGGAGAUAUGAUGUAGCGGCAACUAGGAAGGCAUUUCCUAUAAUGGUCACAGAGGAUGAGCUGCCUUUUGCAUUUCGUGAGAAAUCUGGAUUGAAAAAGUUCAUUUCAGUUGCUUGCCCCCGCUUUAGUCCAUCAUCAAGAAGAACUUGUACCAGGGACACUGUCAAAAUCUAUCUGGAUGAGAAGUCCUUGUUGAAAAAGUUUUUCAAAGAGAACUGUGAAAGUGUGUAUGUGUAACCACUAAUAGUUGGACUUCUGAGCAGCAUGAUUGCUAUAUGGUAGUGACUGCACACUUCCUUGACGAAGAGUGGAAAUACCAAAAUAAGAUUAUUAAUUUCAUUAUAGUGAAGGGCCACAAGGGGAGGGAUCUUGGGAAGAACUUGCAUAUAUGUGUGAUGGAAUGGGGGUUAGAGAGUGUUAUGACAAUCACCAUGGACAAUGCAAGCCCUAAUGAUGGUUGCAUUGUUCACUCGAGGAAGUGCUUGGUUGUGGCUAAAACUAGCAUAGCUGCUGGAAAGUUUGUGCAUAUGAGUUGUGUGGCACAUAUUGUCAACCUUAUUGUACAAGAUGGCCUAUAGGACGUUUAACUUUCAAUCAAACGUGUCCAAGCCGAUGUGCCAUACAUCAAAAAUGGGACUUCUCAUUUGUAAAAUUCAAGGAGCUAGCAUUGGAAGAGAAGGUUUGGAGCAAGGCAUUCUUGAACCUAGAUGUAUGCAUCAGUGGAACGCAACCUACAAAUGUUGAAAGCUGCCAUCAUCUAUGCAAAGGUAUUUACAAGGUAUUGUGAAGAUGGCCCAUUGCAUGCAUUGGACUUGUCUGAAGAAAAAGGAGGAUUUGGGUAUCCAGUUGAGAUGGAUUGGGAAAAUGCUAAGAAGAUGGCUGCCUUUCUUUGUCGUUUUUAUAAUCUCACCGUUCAUGUGUCAUCCUCACUUCAUGUCACUUCCUACAAUUUUGUUUUUGAGGUUGGCAAUGUACGCAUCUUGAUUCAAAAGUGGAUGAGCAGUACAUAUCCUUAGCAGAAAGCUAUGGCGGAGAGGAUGAAAGAAAAGUUUAACAAGUACUGGGGGUAUGGCAUGAAAAUGAAAAGGUGAAGGAGAAGGGUCCUAUUGUGAGUGAAAUAGGGAAAUGGAAGAAGGAGGAGAAGGAGAAGGGAAAUCUCAACUUGCUAUUUUUCGUUGUUGCAAUCUUGGUCCAAGGUAUAAGCUAUCUGAUUUCACUAGGUUGACUACUUUCGAAAUAUUUUGUGCUUGAGUGUGGAGAGAAGGUGUGGUACAUGGUUAACAUAUGUGUUCAUGAGUUGUUUGAAGAAUACCGAGUAAGAUUAACUACACCGAAAACAAGAACACCAGCCAAUAGCCAAGUACCAUUAGAAGGAGUUGGAGAAAGCAUGAUGAAGCAACUAAUUGCAACCCACAUUGAGGCAAAAUAAUAGUGAAGGAAAUGCAAGUAGUAAAUCCGAGCUUGAAAAAUACCUUGCCAAAGACUCUGAAGACCCUGACAAAAAUUUGACAUCCUAGGAUGGUGGAAAGAGAAUUCAUCUAGGUUCCCAAUCUUGACAAAUAUGGCUCGUGAUAUUCUUGCUAUCCAUAUUACAAUGGUGGCUCCCGAGUCAUCCUUUAGCACAAGUGAACGCAUACUUGAUGACUUUGUGACCUCUCUAACUCCAUUUGUGGUACAAGCUUUGGUUUGUAGAAAAGACUGGCUAAGAAGGACAUUAGGUCUAGUCGACAUCAAGGAGGACUUGGAAGAAUUAGAAGAGAUAGAAGAAGUUAAAAACCUAGCCAACUUCUCCACACAUUUGCUAUUAUUGUGGAUGUUACUAAUACACAUUUGUCAACUUUAGCAGAAAAAGGUAAAGCAAUCGGUAGUAGGUUUUGUAUGCUUCACUUGUCAACUUUAGUAUAUUACAAAUGAACUAGCUAUGAUGUUACCAACACUAAGAUUAUGAAUUUGGUUAAAUACUUGACUUGUUUCAGAGUUGAUUGAAGAAUUUGGUGACAAGGUGAAGAGAAAGUGCAAGGUCGAUGGUGGUGGCAUUGCUUCUUACAUGGCCAAGUCAAACAAGUUUCCAAGUCAACCAACAAAGUGACAUACACGUCUACUCAUGGCUAAAUUAAAAUCAUGUGGAAUGUAUGCUAUUUUAGUUAUCAUCUUGUGCUUCUCAUUUAUGUCUUGAGACUUAAGAAUUGAGAACUCAGAGUGAGAGUUUGAGACCUUAAUGUUUGUUGUUUGCUGCUCAAUUGGAAUCAUGUAUCGAACUUGAUUUGUUCCAUGUGAAGUACUAUGUUGUCAAGUACUAAGCGGUGAUGGUGUUUGCUACUUGUUGAUUAUAUGGGCUUAUGUUACUUGAUCUUCUCUCCCUAAUAAUAAAGCGCCGACUCCUUCUGUCGUUCGUCGUGCCACUUUUACAAAAAAAACGGUUGUUUCCUGAAAUCAACCCGCAGUCCAGAAUUAAGUCAGAAAACGAAUCGUUUUUUUACAUUUUACACAAAACCCCAUAUAUUUAAUCCAAACUAACCCGCAGUCCCUGUGCAGGAAAAACUAAUUGCGGGUUUGCUAACUCGAACUCGCGACCUCACACCUUAAAACUAAGGUUCUGGCCAACCGAGGUGCAGCGCGUUGUGUUAUAAUAAGGCUAAGCUGGCUGUGUUAUGGAUGAGAUGCUUUCUCUAGCACAGAAACAUUUUAUACUAAUAGGCCUCUUGGAGGCUCUAGCAGCAGCGUAAGGGAUGGUUGCUGGAGGUGAUUUUGUUUCUUGUCAAAAGCAAAUACAUCAUGUUCCUCAUAUAUCUUCGCUUGUAAAAUGUACUUGAUAUGUGACAUAAGGAACUCACACUCACAGUAUUAUAUGCUUACUUUUGCUGGGGCAGCUAUUCUUUCUGGGGCUUUAAUACCAAUAUUAUCACAGGUUGGUGGGUCAUCAGUAUAAUCAUAUGACAGUUUUCACUUUGUCACCUCACCUGCAAUCACAUUUAUAUAAUUAUCUUACUACCUUGCCGCAGACCUGUCCCAUAUUGCUUGCUUACAUCCAAUUCUCACAACUUAUGUAUGUCUUUAAUAUUAUGGGUAUCAAGGAGCUGUCUCAUGAAUCAAUAUAAGGAAGAAACUAAGUUGUUGGGUGCAUAAUUUAAGUGGGGAUGUGCAACCAUCGAUAAACUUGGUCUACCCUUUGCCUUUUUGCAUUUUGUUGGUGGCACUACGGGCAAUUCAUGUGUACAACAUCCACUUGUUCUAUUUUUUUGAGGUAUUUAUUUGUCAUCCAAAAGAUGCUAGCUUUGAUUGAUUUAGGUAUGAUCUACCUAGAGGAGGAUUCUACCCUGCAUGAGGUAAAUGAACGACACAAAUGAAAAAUAGGAGGAUGCUGGAGCUGCAUUGUUAGUGCUCGGCAUGCUUGAGUAUAAAGGCAUCCCGAUCAGGCGAAUAGACGUGACCAUAUAUCAAGUGAAGGUAAUCAAUUGUAAAUCUUGCAUCUUAUAUCUUUGAGUAUUCAGUUUUUAUAAACGCAUGUUAAUAAUGUACAUGUGUGGACAAUUCAGCAUGUGCACAAAAAUCUUCGUUAUAAUGACUAUCCACUCAACGUCUCCUUUUCUCCUUUGUACUAUUUCUCAUCAAAGAUUCAAAGUAUCGAACGGCCCACCCAGAUGCUGCGCGAGUGUAAUCGUAAGUGCACGUCAUCAAUAUGACGAGUCAAAAUUAAAAACGUAUCAAAAUAAAAAUAAUAACUUCAAUAAAAUAAAAAAAUUACCCCAUUGGAACGCACGAGCAUUUUUGCUAUAAUGGUCAGAGAGGAUGAGCUGCCUUUUGCAUUUCGUCAGAAAUCUGGAUUGAAAAAGUUCAUUUCAAUUGCUUGCCCACGCUUUGGUCCACCAUCAAGAAUAACUUGUACCAUGGAAACUGUCAAAAUCUAUCUGGAUGAGAAGUCCUUGUUGAAAAAGUUUUUGAAAGAGAAUUGUGGAAGUGUGUGUGUAACCACUAAUAGUUGGACUUCUGAGAAGCAAGAUUGCUAUAUGGUAGUGACUGCACACUUCCUUGACUAAGAGAGGAAAUACAAAAAGAAGAUUAUUAAUUUCAUUAUAGUGAAGGGCCACAAGGGGAGGGAUCUUGGGAAGAACUUGCAUAUAUGUGUGAUGGAAUGGGGGUUAGAGAGAGUUAUGACAAUCACCAUGGAUAAUGCAAGCCCUAAUGAUGGUUGCAUUGUUCACUUGAGGAAGUGCUUGGUUGAGGCUAAAACUAGCAUAACUGCUGGAAAGUUUGUGCAUGUGAGUUGUGUGGCACAUAUUGUCAACCUUAUUGUACAAGAUGGCCUAUAGGAAGUUUAACUUUCAAUCAAAUGUGUCCAAGCUGUUAUGCGAUACAUAAAAAAUGGGACUUCUCGGUUGUGAAAUUCAAGGAGCUAGCAUUGGAAGAGAAGGUUCGGAGCAAGGCAUUCUUGAACCUAGAUGUAUGCAUCGGUGGAAGUCAACCUACAAAUGUUGAAGGCUUCCAUCAUCUAUGCAAAUGUGUUUAUAAGGUAUUGUGAAGAUGGCCCAUUGCAUGCAUUGGACUUGGAUGAAGAAAAAAGAGGAUUUGGGUAUCCAGUUGAGAUGGAUUGGGAAAAUGCUAAGAAGAUGGCUGCCCUUCUUUGUCAUUUUUAUAAUCUCACCGUUCAUGUGUCAUCCUCACUUCAUGUCACUUCCAACAAUUUUCUUUUUGAGGUUGGCAAUGUACACAUCUUGAUUCAAAAGUGGAUGAGAAGUACGUAUCCUUUGCAGAAAGCUAUGGCAGAGAGGAUGAAAGAAAAGUUUGACAAGUAUUGGGGGUAUUGGCAUGAGAAUGAAAAGGUGAAGGAGAAGGGUCCUAUUGUGAGUGAAAGAGGGAAAUGGAAGAAGAAGGAGGAGAAGGAGAAGGGAAAUCUCAACUUGCUAUUUUUCGUUGCUGCAAUCUUGGUCCAAGGUAUAAGCUAUCUGAUUUCACUAGGUUGACUACUUUCGAAAUAUUUUGUGUUGAUUGUGGAGAGAAGGUGUGGUACAUGGUUAACAUAUGUGUUCAUGAGUUGUUUUAAGAAUACCGAGUAAGAUUAACUACACCGAAACCAAGAACACUAGCCAAUAGCCAAGUACCAUUAGAAGGAGUUGGAGGAAGCAUGAUGAAGCAUCUAAUUUCAAGCCACGUUGAGGCAAAAUAAUAGUGAAGGAAGUGCAAGUAGUAAAUCCGAGCUUGAAAAAUACCUUGCCAAAGACUCUGAAGACCCUGACAAAAAAUUUGACAUCCUAGGAUGGUGGAAAGAGAAUUCAUCUAGGUUCCCAAUCUUGGCAAAUAUGGCUCGUGAUAUUAUUGCUAUCCACAUUACAAUGGUGGCUCCCGAGUCAUCCUUUAGCACAAGUGAACGCAUACUUGAUGACUUUGUGACCUCUCUAACUCCAUUUAUGGUACAAUCUUUGGUUUGUAGAAAAGACUGGCUAAAAAUAACAUCAGGUCUAGUCGACAUCAAGGAGGACUUGGAAAAAUUAGAAGAGAUUGAAGAAGUUAAAAACCCAGCCAACUUAUGCAGACAUUUGCUUUUAUUGUGGAUGUUACUAAUACACAUUUGUCAACUUUAGCACAAAAAGGUAAAGCAAUCAGUAGUAGCUUUUGUAUGCUUCACUUGUCAACUUUAGUAGAUUACAAAUGAACUAGCUAAGAUGUUACCAACACUAAGAUUACGAAUUUGGUUAAAUACUUGACUUGUUUCAAAGUUGAUUGAAGAAUUUGGUGACAAGGUGAAGCGAAAGUUCAAGGUCGAUGGUGGUGGCAUGCCUUCUUACAUGGCCAAGUCAAACAAGUGUCCAAGUCAACCAACAAAGUGACAUAUAUGGCUACUCAUGGCUAAAUUAAAAUCAUGUGGAAUGUAUGCUCUUUUAGUUAUCAUCUUGUGCUUCUGAUUUGUGUCUUGAAACUUAAGAAUUGAGAACUCAGAGUGAGAGUUUGAGACCUUAAUGUUUGUUGUUUGCUGCUGAAUUGGAAUCAUGUAUCGAACUUGAUUUAUUCAAUGUCAAGUACUAUGUUAUCAAGUACUAAGGGGUGAUGGCGUUUGCUACUUGUUGAUUAUAUGGACUUAUGUUACUUGAUCUUGUUACUUACUCCUGGUGAACUAGUGAUUAUAUAUUGUGUUGAUGUUCUUUUUUUUAAUUUUCGUCCGGAUCUUGUUGCUGGUGAAGUGGUGAUUAUAUAUAGUGCCAAUUUUAUUUAUAAUUUUUUCAUGUAGUAUAAUGUAAUCCAUGCAGAUUGCAUAAAACUUACUGGAAGUAACAUAAAUGUAGCUCUGUUCUAUACACACACAUAACCCUGACACAUACACCUUUGUACAUACAUGUAGGUUUGUUCUUUGUAGCUUGCAUAUAAUUUACUGGGAGUUACAUAAAUCUAUGUUUUAGGAAUUAAUUUGGUCUGUUUGGUCGGGACCGAAGACUAAAUUGUAAAAAUCAAAGACCAAAUAGUGAAAAAACAAAAAUACUGAAAUUAUUUAGGUUUUCAAUUAUGGAAGGCCGGAUUUUUGAAAGUCCAAAAAGGACGAACCGAACAAACUGAAAAGACCAAACGCCCGGGGAGACCGGCAAGUACGCCGUGGUCGGGGCCGGCCUCACCGAGAAAUAGGAAAGCGAGCUCGUUGACUUCCUCCGUGAGAAUUGGUAUAUCUUCGAGUGGACCGCAAAGUACAUGCAUGGAGUCCCGAGGAAGUUCGCCGAGCACUUCUUACACGACUUCCUGGAUGCAAGGCCGGUCAAGCAACCGUUGUGCCGCUUCUCCGAGGAGAAGGGGAAAAUCGUUGGUGAAGAAAUCGCCUGGCUGCUAGCAGCCGGCUUCAUCAUGCAAGUCUUGCACCCGGACUGGUUGGCGAACCCAAUCCUUGUGUUGAAGAAAAAAAAACUUGGCGCAUGUGUAUAGACUACACAAUCCUAAAUGAGGCAUGCUCCAAGGACCCAUUUUCUCUACCCGUAUCGACCAAGUGACCGACUCUAUGGCCGACUGCAAGCUAUUGUACUUCUUGGAUGCCUACUCAGGCUACCACCACAUCAAGCUCAAUCCAGCUGACCGGAUCAAAACAUCUUUCAUGAGCCCCUUUGAGGUGUUCUGUUACAUCAGCAUGGCGUUCAGGAUGAAAAACAUGGUGCUACUUGCCAGCGCUACAUGCAACAAUGUCACCACAUGCAGCUUGGCCGCAAUGUUCAUGUAUACAUAGACGAGUUGUGGUCAAGACCAAAAAGAGCCGCUCCCUCCUGGACGAUCUUAGAGAGACAUUCACUAGCCUGUGCGAGUUCGAGAUCCGAUUGAACCCAGAUAAAUGUGUGUUCGGCGUCCCAGCCGGCCAACUCCUCGGUUUCCUUGGCUCCGAGCGAGGCAGCGAGGCCAAUCUGGAGAAGAUCCGGGCCAACGAGCGCAAGGUACGACCGACCAAUCUGGCCGACAUCUAGAAGAUCACAGACUGUCUGGCCUCGCUCAGUCGCUUCAUCAGCCGGCUGGGGGAGAAGGCGCUCCCCCUCUACCGUCUACUCAAGUAGGCGGACAACUUCAUCUAGAGUGACUAGGCACAUGAGGCGCUUGGUGACCUCAAGCAUGCGCUGUCCACCGCACCCGUCCUGGCCGUGCCGGCGGACGAAGCAGAUAUUGUUCUACAUCAUGGCAACGAGCCGGGUGGUCAGCAUUGUCAUGUCCAUCAAACGGUCAGAGAUGGACCAAGCCUAGCCGUUCCAACGACACGCCUAAUAUUUGAGAAAGAUGCUAUCCGCCUCCAAGCAGAAUUACCCUCACUACCAAAAGAUGUUCUAUAGCGUGUUCCUGAUUGCUCGAAAGCUCAAGCCUUACUUCUAGGAGCACCCUAUCACGGUGAUGAGCACCGAUCCCCUCGGGAAGAUCAUGGGCAACCGGUACGCGGCCAACUGGAUUGCCAAGUGGGCCAUCCAACUAGCCGACCACCACAUCACCUACAAGUCAUUCACGACCGUCAAGUCUCAAUCCUUGACGGAUUUCCUCGUCGACUAGGCAGAAACGAAGCACUUGCCACCACCUCCCGAGUCCACCCAUUGGCGCAUGCACUUCAAUGGAUCAAAGAUGCACACCGGCCUGGGAGCUGACAUCACCUCACCUUUCCAAAGGGGCACCGAUUGUAUUACGUCUUGAAGAUUCACUUCACUGCCUCGAACAACAAGGCGGAGUAUGAAGUGCUCAACGAUAGCCUAUGGCUGGCUAGGGAGAUCGGUGUCCGACGCAUCUUGUGCUUCGGCGACUCCGACCUGGUGGUGCAACAAGUCACUAGCGAGUGUGACGCCACGGACGCAAACAUGGCCAACUACCGCUUCUUGGUCCACACCUGACUAGCAAUUUACAAAGGCUGCGAAUUCCAUCACAUCCUUCGAGCCGGCAACGAGGCCGCCAAUAUGCUCGCCAAGAUUAGCUCCACCUGACAGCCCAUCCCGACCGACGUGUCCCUCAAGCACCUGCAAAAACCCUCCAUCAUUCCGGCUGACCCAGGGGUGCCCUGCCUACCCGAGGGCUGUCGGCGCCAACUCGGGGACUGCUCCGCCUGACCCGAGGGUUGCCGACUCCAUCUUGCCGUCUAUGCCAUCUGACCUGGUAACUACUGUGCCCGACCUGCGUGUUGCCUCCAUCGACUCGCUGCAUGCGCCAGCUGGGUCGAGGACCUCUCCACCCGGCCCUAUGGCUGCGGCGCCUGCUCGGGGAUUGCCUCGUCCGACUCGGGGGCUGUGAGAGCCGGCCCAUCGGCUGCUGACCCCACCCAGCCGGCCUAGUGGUGGUGUCUGUUCUGACAGUGGUAAUGAUCCUGCCCUGGGCGCAACCUUUCCUCAACUACCUCGAGAACCACAACUUGCCCACCGACGAGGUCGAGACCCGACAAUCGAAUGGCGCUCUGCCUCCUACACUAUCAUCAACAAUGAGCUCUCUUAUACGUCCAUUUUGCAUCAUGUUUUCAUGUUGUUAUUUAUCACUUUUUGGGCUGUUACUUCACUUCAUGGUACAAUUCUUAUGCCAUUUCUCUCUUAUUUUGCAAGGUUUACAUGAAGAGGGAGAAUGCCGGCAACUGGAAUUCUGGCCUGAAAGUGGAGCAAUGUUGAGAUACCUAUUCUGCGCAACUCCAAACGCCGUAAAAAUCAACGAGGAUUUUUUCCGGAUUUAUAAAAAAUAUUGGGCCGAAGAAGCGCCACAGGGGCACCAGCAGGUGGCUACAAGCCUGCACGGUGCGGACACCCCCCUAGGCCGCGCCAUGAGGGCUUGUGGGCAGCCUGCUGGCCCACUGCCCCCCCUCUUCUGCUAUAUGAAGGGCUUCGUCCAGAAAAAAAUUAGGGAGGAGCUUUUUCAUGGAUUCACCGCCGCCACGAGGCGGAACUUGAGCAGAACCAAUCUAGAGCUCCGGCAGGACGAUCCUGCCGGGGAAACUUCCCUCCCGGAGGGGAAAUCAUCACCAUCGUCAUCACCGACAAUCCUCUCAUCGGAGGGGAUUCGUCACCAUCAACAUCUUUAUCAGCACCAUCUCAUCUCCAAACCAUAGUUCAUCACUUGUACCCAGUCUCCAUCUCACAACUCCGAUUGGUACUUGUAAGGUUGCUAGUAGUGUUGAUUACUCUUUGUAGUUGAUGCUAGUUGGAUUAUUUGGUGGAAGAGUUUAUGUUCAGAUCCUUGAUGCUACUCAUUACCUCUCUGGUCAUGAAUAUGAUUAUGCUUUCUGACUAGUUACUUUUAUUCCUGAGGACAUGGGAUAAGUCAUGCUAAUAGGAGUCAUGUGAAUUUUGUAUUCGUUUGGUAAUUUGAUAUGUUGUAUGUUGUUUUUCCUCUUGUAACAUCCCAAUUUUCCUAAUUGGGAAUGUUUUCCAUUGUAGCUAAGCAUCUAUGCAUAGUGAUUGAAAUAAAGUUGGCACUUGAAUUCUUUCGCCUUUUGAUUUUGCAUUUCCAUUUUUCCUCACACAAGAAAUGCCGGGAAAAUACUCUCUUGCACGCAAGAGAGAGAGAGCGGAGGAAAAUGACCCUUCAAAGUGCGGGCAUUUCUGAAAUAUUUGGAGCAAAGAAAUUCAAAGUUUUAUCGUGAGAAUAUUUGCAAAAAUAAAACAAAGCAUUUAGGGAAAUUCUGAAAAAAACAUUUUUUUAAAGUUUUUAUUUUUGCUUUGGAAAAAUGUUAUCGAGUAGAGGAUAUUUUUAUGAUUUUUUUGGUAUAUAAUACCCCAUAUUAAAUAUCUUAUUUGUUUCCUUUUUAUUCACUUUUAUUUUUCUGUUUCUGAAAAAGAUUUAAACUAGGAAAGUUUUUUUUAAAAGGAAACCGUCUGGGCGCUUAAUAACAGUGGGCCGAAUCCCCGUGAGCCCGGGAUCCCGAAUCCCUUAAGCACCGCCUGGCCGACCCAAGCGCCACCGCGCCCCUCUCCCUGCCAGGUAGGCCCCGCGCCCGACCUUCCCCUUCCCCUCGGUUAGAUAUCUAACCGCUAGUCUUCGUUAGAUAUCUCAUGAGAUGGCCUUCAGCCACUUUAUUGUAAUCCUUUAUUGUAAUAAAGUACUCUUUAUGAGAUUUCGAUUAAUAAAGCUGUGUGAUUGAACUCUUGAACAUAUACAUUAUGUACUGAGUGUGUACCAGCAUGAUCAUGGAAUGGUACGAAUACACCAGAGGCUUGACUCGUCUUGAUUCGGGUCGCUACACCUCUAGUGGUUUUAUGUGAACGUCGACUACAUAACACUUCACGAUUAUUUGGGCCAAGAGGAAGGCAUUGGGAAGUAGUAAGUAGAUGAUGGGUUCCUAGAGUGACAGAAGCUUAAACCCUAGUUUAUGUGUUGCUUCCUAUAGGGCUGAUUUGGAUCCACUAGUUUAAUGCUAUGGUUAGACUUUGUCUUAAUUCUUCUUUCAUAGUUGCGGAUGCUUGCGAGAGGGGUUAAUCAUAAGUGGGAUGCUUGUCCAAGUAAGGGUAGUACCCAAGCGCCGGUCCACCCACAUAUCAAACUAGCAAAGUAACGAACACGAAUCAUAUGAACAUGAUGAAAACUAGCAUGACAGAAAUUCCCGUGUGUCCUCGAGAGCGUUUUUCCUCCUAUAAGACUUUGUCCAGGCUUGUCCCUUGCUAUAAAAGGGAUUGGGCCACUUUUCUGCACCGUUUCUACUUUUGUUACUUGUUGCUUGCUACGAAUCAUCUCACCACACAAUCACUUGUUACCGAGUAUUUUAGUGCCUGCAGAUUUUACCUUGCUGAAAACCACUUGUCAGAUCCUUCUGCUCCUCGUUGGGUUCGACACUCUUACUUAUCGAAAGGACUACGAUUGAUCGCCUAUACUUGUGGGUCAUCAAGACUCUUUUCUGGCGCCGUUGCCGGGGAGUGAAGCGCCUUUGGUAAGUGGAACUUGGUAAGGAAACAUUUAUAUAGUGUGCUGAAAUUUAUUGUCACUUGUCACUAUGGAUACUAAUCCUUUGAGGGGCUUGUUCGGGGUAUCUUCACCUCGAACGGAAGCACAACGAGUUGCUCCUCAACCUGCUGCACCUACUGAAAAUAUUUGCUUUGAAUUUCCUUCGGGUAUGCUUGAGAAACUGUUGGCUAAUCCUUUUACACGAGAUGGAACAUCACAUCCAGACUUGCAUCUAAUCUAUGUAGAUGAAGUUUGUGGUUUAUUUAAGCUUGCAGGUUUGCCCGAGGGUGAGGUCAAGAAGAAGGUAUUUCCUUUAUAUUUGAAGGAUAAGGCGUUGACAUGGUAUAGGCUAUGUGAUGAUACUGGAUCAUGGGACUACAAUCGGUUGAAAUUAGAAUUUCAUCAAAAGUUUUAUCCUAUGCAUUUAGUACAUCGUGAUCCGAAUUAUAUUUAUAAUUUUUGGCCUCGUGGCAGAGAAAGCAUCACUCAAGCUUGGGGGAGGCUUAAAUCAAUGCUAUAUUCAUGCCCCAAUCAUGAGCUCUCGAGAGAAAUUAUCAUUCAGAACUUCUAUGCUCGGCUUUCUCAUGAUGAUCGCACCAUGCUUGACACUUCUUGUACCGGUUCUUUUAUGAAGAGAGAUAUUGACUUCAAAUGGAAUUUAUUGGAGAGAAUUAAACACAACUCUGAAGAUUGGGAGCUUGAAGAAGGUAAGGAGUCAGGUAUGAAUUUCACGUUUGAUUGCGUUAAAUCCUUUGUUGAGACAAAUACUUUUUGUGACUUUAGCGCUAAGUAUGGACUUGACUCUGAGAUAUUAGCUUCAUUGUGUGAAUCCUUUGCUGCUCAUAUUGAUCUCCCCAAAGAGAAGUGGUUUAAAUAUCAUCCUCCUUUAGAAGUCAAUGUAGUUAAACCCACUCCAUUUGAAGAGAAAGUCAUUGCCUAUAAUGAUCCAGUGGUUCCCAGUGCUUCCAUUGAGAAACCACAUUUCCCUGUUAAGAUAAAGGAUCAUUCUAAAGCUUCAACUCCGAUACGUAGAGGCUAUAUUAGAACACCUACACCCCCUGAGAAAAUUAGAGUUUAACCUAGCAUUGCUAUUAUCAAAGAUCUUCUGUGCGACGAUGUUGAGGGACAUAAUAUUCAGUUCUGUGAAGAUGCUCCUAGAAUUGCUAAACCUCACGCUAGAGACAAACAUAGGCCUGUUGUUGGCAUGCUUGUGGUUUCUGUUAAGAUAGGAGAUCAUUGUUAUCAUGGUUUAUGUGACAUGGGUGCUAGUGUUAGUGCAAUACCUCAAUCCUUAUACGAUGAAAUCAAAGAUGAGAUUGCACCUGUUGAGAUAGAACCUAUUGAUGUCACUAUUCAACUUGCCAAUAGAGAUACUAUCUUCCAUGUGGGAAUUGUUAGGGAUGUUGACGUCUUGUGUGGUAAAACGAAGUAUCCUGCUGAUUUCCUCGUUCUUGCUACCGCACAAGAUAGCUUUUGUCCCAUCAUAUUUGGCAGGCCCUUUCUCAAUACUGUCAAUGCUCAUAUUGAUUGUGAGAAGCAAACUGUCAUUGUUGGCUUCGAAGGUGUGUCACACGAGUUCAAUUUCUCUAAGUUUGGUAGACAACCUCAUGAAAAGGAGUUGCCUAGUAAGGAUGAAACUAUUUCCUUAGCUUCUAUUGCCGUGCCUCCUACUGAUCCCUUAGAGCAAUACUUGCUUGAGCAUGAAAAUGAUAUGCAUAUGUAUGAAAGGGAUGAAAUAGAUAGAGUUGUCUUAGAACAAUAUCCUAUCCUUAAGAAUAACUUGCGUGUUGAACAUCUUGGGGAUCCACCCCCACCAAAGCGUGAUCCUGUGUUCGAGCUUAAACAAUUGCCUGAUACUCUUAAGUAUGCCUAUCUUGAUGAAAAAGUGAUAUAUCUUGUCAUUAUUAGUGCUAGUCUCUCAGAGCAUGACGAAAAGAAGUUACUAAAAACUCUGAGGAAGCACCGUGCUGCUAUUGGAUAUACUCUUGAUGAUCUUAAGGGCAUUAGUCCCACUCUAUGCCAGCACAAGAUUAAAACCGAUCCUGAUUUCAAACCAGUUGCUGAUCAUCAAAGGAGAUUGAAUCCUAAGAUGAAAGAAGUAGUAAGAAAAGAAAUACUAAAGCUCCUGGAAGCGGGUAUUAUCUAUCAUGUUGCUCAUAGUGAUUGGGUGAGUCCGGUGCACUGCGUUCCUAUGAAGAGAGGCAUUACCGUUGUCCCUAAUGAUAAGGAUGAAUUGAUCCCACAGAGGAUUAUUACUGGCUAUAGGAUGGUGAUCGAUUUCAGGAAACUGAAUAAAGCAACUAGGAAAGAUCAUUACCCUUUACCUUUUAUCGACCACAUGCUAGAAAGGCUGUCUAAACACACACACUUCUGCUUUCUGGACGGUUAUUCUGGUUUCUCCCAAAUACCAGUUGCACAAUCUGAUCAGGAGAAAACCACUUUCACCUGCCCUUUCGGUACCUUUGCUUAUAGACGUAUGCCUUUUGGCUUACGUAAUGCACCUACCACUUUUCAAAGAUGUAUGAUGGCUAUAUUCUCUGACUUUUGUGAAAAUAUUGUUGAGGUUUUCAUGGAUGACUUCUCCGUUUACAGGUCUUCCUUUGAUGAUUGCCUCAACAACCUUGAUCGAGUCUUGCAGAGAUGUAAAGACACCAAUCUUGUCUUGAAUUUGGAGAAGUGCCACUUUAUGGUUAAUGAAGGCAUCGUCUUAGGACAUAAAAUUUCUGAAAGAGGUAUUGAAGUCGAUAAGGCUAAGGUUGAUGCAAUCGAGAAAAUGCCAUACCCCACAGAUAUCAAAGGUAUAAGAAGUUUCCUUGGUCAUGCUGGUUUCUAUAGAAGGUUCAUUAAAGACUUCUCUAAGAUUUCUAGGCCUCUUACCAAUCUCUUGCAAAAGGAUAUUCCUUUUGUCUUUGACGAUGAUUGUGAGGAAGCCUUCGAAAUACUUAAGAAGGCUUUGAUAAGUGCACCUAUUGUUCAACCACCUGAUUGGAACCUGCCUUUUGAGAUCAUGUGUGACGCUAUUGAUUAUGCUAUUGGUGCUGUUCUAGGGCAAAGAGUCGAUAAGAAGUUGAAUGUUAUUCACUACGCUAGUAAAACUCUAGACAGUGCCCAGAGAAACUAUGCUACUACGGAGAAGGAAUUUUUAGCAGUCGUGUUUGCAUGUGAAAAGUUCAGGUCUUACAUAGUUGAUUCCAAAGUCACUAUUCACACUGAUCAUGCUGCUAUUAAGUACCUCAUGGAGAAGAAGGACGCUAAACCUAGACUUAUCAGAUUGGUUCUCUUGCUACAAGAAUUUGAUAUGCACGUUGUUGACAGAAACGGUGCUGAUAACCCCGUAGCAGAUAACUUGUCUAGGUUGGAGAACGUUCUUGAUGACCCACAACCUAUUGAUGAUAACUUUCCCGAUGAGCAAUUGAAUGUCAUCAAUGCUUCACGUAGUGCACUGUGGUAUGCUAAUUAUGCAAACUAUAUCGUUGCUAAAUAUAUACCACCUAGUUUCAAAUACCAGCAAAAGAAGAAAUUCUUCUUUGAUUUGAGACAUUACUUUUGGGAUGAUCCUCACCUUUAUAAGGAAGGAGUAGAUGGUGUUAUUAGACGUUGUGUACUUGAACAUGAACAGGGACAGAUCCUACAGAAGUGUCAUUCCGAGGCCUACGGAGGACACCAUGCGGGAGAUAGAACUGCACACAAGGUAUUGCAAUCAGGUUUCUAUUGGCCCACUCUCUUCAAGGAUGCUCGUAAGUUUAUCUUGUCUUUUGACGAAUGUCAAAGAAUAGGUAAUAUUAGCAAACGUCAGGAAAUGCCUAUGAACUAUUCACUUGACAUUGAACCAUUUGAUGUCUGGGCUUUGAUUAUAUGGGACCUUUUCCAAAAUCCAACGGGUAUACUCAUAUCCUAGUUGUUGUUGAUUACGUCACUAAGUGGGUAGAAGCUAUCCCCACUAGUAGUGCUCAUCACAACACCUCUAUCAGGAUGCUGAAAGAAGCUAUCUUCCGUAGAUUUGGAGUCCCUAGAUAUCUAAUGACCGAUGGUGGUUCGCACUUCAUUCAUGGUGCUUUCCUAAAACGCUUGCUAAGUACAAUGUCAACCACAGAAUUGCGUCUCCCUACCACCCUCACUCCAGUGGAAAAGUAGAGCUAAGCAAUAGAGAGAUUAAACUAAUUCUACAAAAGACUGUCAACAGGUCUAGAAAGAAUUUGUCUAAGAAGCUCGAUGAUGCAAUGUGGGCUUAUAGAACUGCCUAUAAGAAUCCCAUGGGCAUGUCUCCGUACAAAAUGGUGUAUGGUAAAGCAUGUAAUUUACCUCUUGAGGUAGAGCAUAAAGCUUAUUGGGCAAUCAAAGAGCUCAACUUUGAUUUCAAACUUGCCGGUGAGAAGAGGUUAUUUGACAAUAGCUCGCUUGAUGAGUGAAGAACUCGGGCGUAUGAGAAUGGCAAGUUGUUCAAAGAGAAGGUUAAGAUGUAUCAUGAUAAGAGGAUACAAAAGCGUGAGUUCAAUGUAGGUGAUUAUGUCUUGCUAUAUAACCCUCGUUUAAGAUUCUUUGCACGCAAGCUUCUCUCUAAAUGGGAAGGUCCCUAUGUUGUUGAGGAAGUAUAUCAUUCAUGUGCUAUCAAGAUCAACAACAGGGAAGGUAAUUGUCCGAGAGUUCUGAAUGGGCAGAGAAUCAAGCAUUAUAUCUCAGGUACUCCCAUAAAUGUUGAAAGCAAUAUCGUCAAUACCAUAACUCCGAAAGAAUACCGAAGGGACAUUUAUCAGCCUGUUUCAGACUCCGAAAACGAAGAGGUAUGUGAUUAGGUAAGAAAACAGAGUCCAAAACUUUUCGAGUAGAAAAUUUUCUCUGUUUUGGAAUAUCUGAAAAAAAUACAAAAAUUGGAAGUAGUCCGGAAGUGCGCAAGGAGGCGACAAGCCUGCACGGCGCUGGCCCUGGGACAGAGCCGUGCAGGCUUGUUGCCACCUCGUGCGCCUCCCAGACUCCGUUUUCGUGCGGGGUACUCCUUCUGGUUUGAAAAAAUCAUUAUAUAUACUCCCGUUUGGUCUGACCCCUGCAUCACGCAGAUUUCCUCUGUUUUUCGUUUCGAGCCUGUUUUCUACCGCAGAUCUAGGUCAACAUGUCUUCUCAGGAUUCAGAGGGGGAGAGCUAUGUGGCUGAUUACCUUGCUAACCCCAAGGUCUAUGGGGACUUUGAUCUUUAUGGCUGGACCUCUGAUGAGGAAGAAGAUUAAAGAUCCCAAGGGGAAGGAACAAAUGAGUUCCGAUGAAGAGGAGGCUCCUCUACCUCAACCUGGACACACACAUGUGGAGUUCAAGAAGUCGAGCCUCCAUGACUCAAGGAAGAAGCCUAAGACCUUGUUUAUCCCUUCUCGUUUCUUGCAGGAGAGUAAGCAGGAAUUAUGCAAAAGGGUGUUGACGCUUGAAGAGGAAAAUGAUGAUCUGAGGGAGCAGAAUUUUAAGGUCAAGUGGAAAUUAAACAAGCUCAAGACCUCUUCAACAACUCCUCCGCCAUCACCACCAAAGGAAGACAACUGUGCAUUGGUAUGGGCAAUCCUCUUGGCUUGUGCCAAGCUCGUGGGAGUUGCCCCGGUAUCGUAUCACCAUCACAUCUUUUGCCUUUACCUUUGUUUUAGUUUUGCUUUUCAGUUUUCUCUUUCUCUAGUAGAUUAAAAGUCUUAGUUUUUUAGUCUUGAGUUUCGGUUUGUGUCACCCCCGAUGUAUUCGAGCUCAUGAGCCAUAUAAUAAAGAGUGUCUUAGUUUAAGGGCUUUGCCUCUUUCCAUGAUCAAAAGAGUGAGAACAGAACGAAAGCAUGAAAGAUCAUGUAAUGAUCUUAUGUGAAGUGAUGGCUUCACAUAUAAAAAGAAUGAUGAUUGAAACUUGUUGAGGGUAGACAAACGUAGACCUUGGUCAUGGUUGCAAUUAAUAGGAAGUGAUAAAGAAGGAGAGGUUCACAUAUAAAUAUAUCAUCUCUGACACCAUCUAUGAUUGUGAACACUCACUAAACUAUUGCAUGCCUAGAAGUAGAUGUUGGACAAGGAAGACAACAUAAUGAAUUGUGUUUGCUUGGCUCCGAACAAUGAUAUAUGAGUAGAUAUCCCUUAGCAUGUGACGAUUGCUUCCACCUCACAUUAGCCAAACCUCCCGCACCAAGUAGAGAUACUACUUGUGCAUCCAUAAACCAUCAACCCAGUUUUGCCAUGAGUGUCCACCAUACCUACCUAUGGAUUGAAUAAGAUCCCUCAAGUAAGUUGUCAUUGGUGCAAGCAAUAAAAAUUGCUCUCUAAUAUGUAUGAUCUAUUAGUGUGUGGAAAAUAAGCUUUGUAAGAACCUGUCAUGAGGAAGACAUAAAAGCGACAGACUGCAUAAUAAAGUUCUUUAUCACAGGAGGCAAUAUAAAAUGACGUUCCUCCGCACUAAGAGGACACGCAUCCAAACCUCAAAAGCGCAUCACAACCUCUGCUUCCCUCUGCGAAGGGCCUAUCUUGUACCUUUACUUUUUGCCCUUGAAAGACUCAUGUUGAUCUUCACAAAUUCCAUGUUUCGCCUUUAUCUUGGCUAACGUCAUAUGCUUGGGAAAGAUCUAUAUUCAUAUGUCAACUUGGAAGUAAGUAUUCAUGAAUUAUUUUUGUUGACAUUACCCUUGAGGUAAGCAGUUGGGAGGAAAAACUGUAAGCCCCUAUCUUUCUCUGUGUUCAGCUGAAACUUUGAUCUCAUGAGUACCACAUGAGUUGUAGCAAUUGUAGAGAACUAAAGAAUGAUUGAGUAUGUGGAUUUGCUUUACAAGCUCUUAUUUGACUCUUCCUGAUGUUGUGAUAAAUUGCAAUUGCUUCAAUGACUAAAGGCUAUCGGUUGUUACUUCUCGGUAAGGUUCUUGAUCAACGCUUUACUUUCUGAAGGAAUUAUCACUUUGGCAUGAUAGAUUAUAUGUUGGUAUUGCUGUUCUGAUCAUGAUCAUGAUGCAUGCAUGUUCGUAUCUUGUUUUGUCGACACCUCUCUCCCUAAACGUGUGGACAUAUUUAUUGAGCUAGGCUUUCGCUUGAGGACAAGCAAGGUCUAAGCUUGGGGGAGUUGAUACGUCCAUUUUGCAUCAUGUUUUCAUGUUGUUAUUUAUCGCUUUUUGGGCUGUUAUUUCACUUCAUGGUACAAUUCUUAUGCCUUUUCUCUCUUAUUUUGCAUGGUUUACAUGAAGAGGGAGAAUGCCGACAACUGGAAUUCUGGCCUGAAAGUGGAGCAAAGUUGAGAUACCUAUUAUGCGCCACUUCAAACGCCGUAAAAAUCAACGAGGAUUUUUUUCCGGAUUUAUAUAAAAUACUGGGCCGAAGAAGCGCUAGAGGGGCGCCAGCAGGUGGCCACAACCCUGCACGGCGCGGCCACCCCCCCCAGGCCGCGCCAUGAGGGCUUGUGGGCAGCCUGCUGGCCCACUGGCCCCCUCUUCUUCUAUAUGAAGGGUUUCGUCCAGAAAAAAAAAUCAGGGAGGAGCUUUUUCAUGGAUUCGCCGCCGCCACGAGGCGGAAGUUGAGCAGAACCAAUCUAGAGGUCCGACAGGACGAUCCUAUCGAGGAAACUUCACUCCCGGAGGGGGAAAUCGUCGCCAUUGUCAUCACCAACACUCCUCUCAUCGGAGGGGACUCGUCACCAUCAACAUCUUCAUGAGCACCAUCUCAUCUCCAAACCCUAGUUCAUCACUUGUAACCAAUCUCCGUCUCGCGACUCCGAUUGGUACUUGUAAGGUUGCUAGUAGUGCUGAUUACUCUUUGUAGUUGAUGCUAGUUGGAUUAUUUGGUGGAAGAGUUUAUGUUCAGAUCCUUGAUGCUACUCAUUACCUCUCUGGUCAUGAAUAUGAUUAUGCUUUAUGAGUAGUUACUUUUGUUCCUGAGGACAUAGGAUAAGUCAUGCUAAUAGUAGUCAUGUGAAUUUGGUAUUCGUUCGGUAAUUUGAUAUGUUGUAUGUUGUUUUUCCUCUAGUGGUGUUAUGUGAACGUCGACUACAUAACACUUCACCAUUACUUGGGCCUAGAGGAAGGCAUUGGGAAGUAGUAAGUAGAUGAUGGGUUGCUAGAGUGACACAAGCUUAAACCCUAGUUUAUGCGUUGCUUCGUAAGGGGCUGAUUUGGAUCCACUAGUUUAAUGCUAUGGUUAGACUUUGUAUUAAUUCUUCUUUCGUAGUUGCGGAUGCUUGCGAGAGGGGUUAAUCAUAAGUGGGAUGCUUUUACAAGUAAGGGCACCACCCAAGCGCCGGUCCACCCACAUAUCAAACUAUCAAAGUAACGAAUGUGAAUCAUAUGAAUAUGAUGAAAACGAGCAUGACAAAAAUUCCCGUGUGUCCUCGGGAGCAUUUUUCCUCCUAUAAGACUUUGUCCACGCUUGUCCCUUGCUACAAAAUGGAUUGGGACACUUUGCUAAACCGUUGCUACUUUUGUUACUUGUUGCUUGCUACGAAUCAUCUCACCACACAAUCACUUGUUACCGACAAUUUCAGUGCCUGCAGAUUUUACCUUGCUGAAAACCACUUAUCAGAUCCUUCUGCUCCUCGUUGGGUUCGACACUCUUACUUAUCGAAAGGACUACGAUUGAUCCCCUAUACUUGUGGGUAAUCACUCGCCUAGUGCAGUGUGUCUUGGAUGUUUCAGUGUUUGUCAUGCUAGAGAAGGGCUGCGAGAUUCUCCGAGACAUCCACCAGGGCGAGGGAGGUCACCACGGCGUAGCGCUCUCCCUUGUUGACAAAGCCUUCUGCCACGUGUUCUAUAGGUUGGACGCCCUCGUGGAUGCCACUGAGCUGGCCGACAAGUGCAACCGUUGCCAUCAUUUCAAGGGGCGAAGACACCAUCCAGCCACCGCCCUACAAACCAUCCAACUCACAUGGCCCUUUGUCGGCUGGGUCCUGGAAAUGGUGGGCCCAUUGAAAACCACCUGAGGCGGCGUGACACAUCUUCUGGUGGCCGUUGACAAAUUCACGAAGUGGAUAGAGACCAGGCCGAUCGAGAAGCUCGACGUCCCAACGACCAUCAUAUUCAUUAAGGACAUCACCAUCCUCUAUAGCCUGCCAAACAACUCAGCACCGAGAACGACAACAACUUUUCCAAAGGCGUGUUGGCUUGCUACUUCAAGGUGUAGGGAAUCCGUCUCGACCUCGCAUCAGUGGUCCACCCACACUCGAACAACCAAGCGGAUCGGGGACAAUGACCCAAUCCUGGACCACCAGAAACCAUAGCUGGUCGAGCCUCUAGAGCGCUCGGCCGGUGCUUGGGUCAAGGAGCUGCCAUGUAAUAGCCCGGAACUGACGCUCAGAAAGAUUCCCCUUUUUAUUCCAUUGUUGUCCUAUGAUUUUUUUGUUUGUUGCAUUCAUAAUCGCAUCAUGUCCAUCAUCCGCAUUGCAUCGGCACUCCAUUGUCGUCUGUUUUCAAAACUUGCAUCCGUUGUUAGUUGCCAGAUCUCUCUAUUUUCGUUGUUGACCAUUUUAAGACCAACCACACACGCGCGCGCCCACAACAUCGGUAAAUUUUGUUUUUAAAAGUGUGUACAAAAUUUUCUCGGAAUGGGUUUAAAGUUGGCAUGCGGUCUUAAUAUAGUGUAGGUAGAGCGCCUACCAAAUAUUGUCGCAUUUGGAGUUCGUUUGAUAUCCGAACCAUUGAAGCUAUUGCGGUAAUAUAGUCGGUCGAAUGUGAGACGUUUUCGGAGUUUAAAAUCUGAUGCUGGGCUACCCGUUUUCCCUCUCUUCUAUUACUAGCAUCCUCUACACAUUGCACAAACCCUACACGCAACCUAGCCCGAAGACCUCUCGGAACCCGAAAUAUAUGCUUGUGACCAUUGGGUUCAGAUGAACCCCGUAAUAACCCAAACCGUCAUUGAUUUUUCAAUUGGACUCCCUAGCCUAUUUUUCUGGACCAUCCGAUAAAGAUAGAAGGGUCCAAAUAGACCCUAACCAACCUACCUACUAUAUAUAACAAUCAUCCAAUUCCAUUUAUAGACCAAACCCAAGGAAUUAGGGACAAGUUCACACGUUUUCCUGGGCGCCACCGCCACCCCAGCCAUCUCGCUCGGGAUCCAUCCCCAUCCAACCAGCGCCCGAUUGCUCCUCUACCGUUGGAUGCGUCCACCCAUCCACAGCUGCCCUCACACCCAUGCUCCAGAUGAGGCGUCCGAUCUCCCUGUGCUCUAGCAGGAGCUCGACUAUGCUGCCUCUCCGCUCUUGGAUGUGCCCGACCACCCGAAGCUGCCCUCGUCCUGGCAACCACAAGGCACCAGGUCCUGGCCGUGCCUCCCCCUUGCCCUCUCUUCUCCUCCCUCCGUUUUCGUCUACUCCCUCUAAUGUAUGUAGCUCUCCCUCUUUUCUGUAAUAGAGCAGGAACAAGCAAGAGCUUCAGUUCUGGUCAUGGCAUCGAGGGAGCACCCUCCCGUGGGACCUCCAUCCCAACUCCGUCUGGAUCUGGUGCCCCGCGGAUCGAUCCGCGACCCCGUGCCUCAUCCCCGAUCUUGCUGCUUCAUCUCCUCGUCGGGACCCGCCUUGCCAUGGUCCAUGGCCACGAGGAGGUGCUGCAUGCUGCCCCUGUUGUCCUGUGCGUUUAGCCAGUGCGCGAGCCUACUUCGAUGGUCGCGUCUCGGGCCAUGCCAAGGUCGAGCUCCGCCCGAGCCGCUCGUCUGUGCUGCCGUCGUGCCAUGACCGCGCAUGUUGGAAAUAUGCCCUAGAGGCAUUAAUAAAGUCGGAAGGUUUUGUCGNNNNNNNNNNNNNNNNNNNNNNNNNNNNNNNNNNNNNNNNNNNNNNNNNNNNNNNUGUUGGAAAUAUGCCACAGAGGCAAUAAUAAAGUGGUUAUUAUUAUAUUUCCCAGUUCACGAUAAUUGUCUAUUAUUCAUGUUAUAAUUGUAUUAACCGGAAACCGUAAUACAUGUGUGAAUAUAUAGAUCACAAUGUGUCCCUAGUAAGACUCUAGUUGGCUAGCUCGUUGAUCAAUAGAUGAUCAUGGUUUCCUGAUCAUGGACAUUCGAUGUCAUUGAUAGCAGGAUCACAUCAUUGGGGAAUGAUGUGAUGGAAAAGACCCAAUCCUAAGUGUUGGGGAUAUUAUCUGUUGGGUAACCCGCCCUAGUUGGGCUGGGUCACCCAAGUUGGCGACUCAUCUCCAAGUGGUUCCGGCCUUGGCCCAGCGAGGCCGGGAGUCGUAUGACGGUUCAGGACCUUCGGGAGAAGUCCAUUGUAGGGAAGAUCUCCAAGUCUUGGAAAGAUGGCGACUUAGAGAUCGAAAGAAUCACGAUUUAUGUGAAUGAAAGGACUCUUGUAAACCCUAAGGACUUGCCCUGUAUAUAAAGGCGAGUCCCAGGGAAGGAGAGGACGGGUUAGAAAUCAUCGAGUGCUAGGUCAGGCGAGUUACGCCCCCUUGUAACCGAAACACCAUCAAUACAAACACCAAGCAUGACGUAGGCCUUUACCUCCUCACGAGGGGCCGAACCUAGGUAAAUCUCUGUCUCGCUCCCGCAUAACCCCUUUGAGUCGCCACCAAGGUGCGAUGGCUCCAACACUAAGUACUUUCACGAGGACAUCUGCCGUGACAAAACCACGACAGUUGGCGCCCACCGUGGGGACUACGCACGGUGGAGUUGAGUUCUCAAAGGGAGCCCUACCAGGGUCCAGAGCUACGCAGCGGGGCUCAUGACUCGGAGCCGCCGCAGGAAGUACUACAUCAAUAACUUGCUAUGGGGGCCCGAGGCCGAUUCGAUCGAAUCCGGCUAUAGAAUCCCCUUCGGCAAGAACAACGUCUUCGUCGGCGUGGUUGGAUCGCCUAUGCCUGAGCCGGACAUCUCCUCCGACAUCGUCGAGCCGGCCAGGUACGUCCGCCCUGUCGCAACGCCAAACCUAACCCGUCCGGUCUUUGUUGGGUUCAUGCAGGGAUCUGAGGAACCAGAACAAUCGGCGAACCAGGAGACCACGCCGGCGAACACUGAUGACGAAUCAUCCAUGGGCGAUUCAGAUUCAAUUCAGUCUCUACAUGGGGGCUGUUUUGGGGGCUUGUCAUUAGCCAUGGACCCCGAGGUUCUUGAACGGACCCGCCGUCAGAUCACCAUUUACAUGGCAGGGCGACUCAGCCCUCGCCAAACCCGGCAGGCGGAUAUGGGGCUGGCAAAAUGUCUAGAAGCCCGGCCGUGAUCUUGGUGGAGUUAGCGGCGGAGAUAACAAGGCUCAUGGCGACCCCCAUAACGUCAGAAAACCAGGACGCGAUAAACACGGAGCUAACAAAACUAAGAGAUUGGGUGGCAAAGGCUCAACGGGACGCUGAGGUGGAAGCCGCCAGGAUCGAGACCCGGCAGGCUCAAAUUACCGCUGAGGUAGCUCGCUUGAAUACCGAAAACUGGCGGCUCGAAAGGGAUCAGUGCGCAUCUGACGCCGUCCAUCAGUGGAGGCAUCAGGGUUGUUUACCCCCUGAUCUCAACCCGACCUGCCUGUUUGACACUCCACAAACUCCCGGGGUAGGAGACGCCCCGAGGGGAGGGCCGGGCCAGCCACCAAACCCGCCGUUUCAGCCAGCUGUGGAUCGCGUUCCCUGAUUCCAUACACCUCAAGGUCACUUUUCCAACCUGGUGCACAACGUCCUUGCCGCAACUCGCCAAUUGGAAUCCCUUCCAAUUCAUGGCAACACUCCAGCUGAGAUAGAAGCAGGGAACGCCAUUGAGAUGUUGAAGACGGCGGUGGUUCAAAACGCCCAGUUCUCACACAGCCUAGAUCGGCUGCACUCCACUCCCCAGACAAGCCGCGCCAGGAGUCGACCAGAGGACCAGCCCGCCAUAACUAGCGGACCGUGACCUUUUCCCCAGGUUAACUCACCUGAUCACCGAGACCCGCCAGGUCGGGAUCACCCGGACACCCAAGUCGCCCCAGCGCCUCUUGUUGGAAGCGGCAGACAAGUGGGGGUGCCAUGCUUGGCCCCCGCCCUUCGCAACGAGCGAAUGCCCAAGGAUUUUAAAGGACCAAGAAAGGUGCCUAACUACACUCCGGACCUUGAGCCGGCGUCAUGGUUGAGAGUUAUGAAAUCGCCAUGGACAUGCUCGAUGUAAGCGAAGUAGUCUCCGCCAGAUACUUCACAAUGAUGCUCGAAGGGACGGCGCGUACUUGGUUAAAAAACUUGCCCCCCCAACUCCAUCCAGUCUUGGGCCGAACUAAAAGAGCGUUUCGUCAAAAAUUUCCGAGGGACCUGCAAGCGCCCAAUCACGAUAGUCGAUUUACAGCACUGUGUUCAACGCCCGGAUGAGUCGGCCCACCGCUGGACGCGGAGGGUCACGGAAAUCAUUCAUUCGUCAGAUGGUAUCACGGCGGCUCAGGCUGUGCUAAUCCUGGAGCAGAACUGCCACUAUGAGCCCUUGGUGCAGAAGUUGGGACGACUCAAGCGAAAGGUGCAAGAUAUGGGGGAGCUAAUGGACACCCUCACUAGGUACGCUGAGGUGGACGACACCAAAGAUCCAGGAGAAGAUGGUGGUAAGGCCAACUCGCCAAGGAAAGGCGAGUCAUCCAAAAAUUAUACCCGGUUCCAGGGACGCGCCCGCUAUAAUCAUGGAGCGAAUGGCAAAAGAAGGCAGCAGGAAGAGUCUUCGGACUUAGUCGCCAACACCAACGUCAACAAUGGAAACCAGCGCCAGAAGAAGAAUAGGGGUUACAACGGCAAAAAGCCACGCAAAUAUAAUGAGUUACUGAAGGGCCCCUGCCCGCACCACGCCAUGGCAGACGGACCGGCGACCCAUUCCUGGGAGGACUGUUACGUGAUGCGGGAGUUCCGGGCGGAGGCGAUCAAAAAAUGGCAAGGCGGCGACCCGGACCAACGGCAGGAACAGUUUGGCGCACCUAAUCAACGCCAGAGCCAAUUCGGCGGCUUCCCCGAACCCGGGGCUCAGGGCGGCUCGCAGCCAAACAGUGGCCAGUAUCCGGUGCAUCACCAACAACGGUAUAACCCGCCGGGAGUCUUUCAACAACCACCCCCAUAGGGGGCUCCGCACGGGCAGGAUGACAAUGGCGGUUUCCGCAACAACCCCAAUCAGUUAAGUAAUGGGCAGUACCACGUUUUCACCACCAAGCGUACAGUGUAUCUGAGCCGGCGCUCCCUAGAUAUCUCCACUGGUCCGAGCAGACUAUAUCAUGGAGUAGGGAGGAUCACCCGCCAAGUGUUGACAAUCCCAGCGACUUAGCGUUGGUCGUGGCUCCUCAAGUUGGAGGAUAUACCUUAUCGAAGGUACUGAUGGAUGGUGGUAGCAGCAUCAACAUAUUAUACUUCGACACCUUUCGAAGGAUGAACCUGUUGGAGAAAGAUUUGAUGCCCUCAACCACGGUAUUCCAUGGGAUUGUCCCAGGUAAAUCGGCGUACCCCAUAGGCCGAGUUAGGCUCACAGUUGCGUUUGGAACAACCCAAAUAGAGGAGUCAGUCGCUUAUAUUUGAGGUGGUUAAGUUAAAAAGCCCCUAUCAUGCGCUGUUUGGGUGACCGGCUUACGCCCGGUUCAUGGCUCGCCCCUGCUAUGUCUACCUUAAACUCAAGAUGCCUGGUCCUAAAGGACCCAUCAUAGUUGAUGGUGAUAGAAGGAUUGCAAGAGAGUGUGAAGAAGGGGAUGCGGCUUACGCAGAAGUCGCCUGCGCCGCGGAAGAGCUUAAAUAUCACCAGGCCAAUGUUGAUCCGGCUGACAUGUCACCUUUAAAGAAGCCAACGACAGACGUUGAGCCGCCCCUCAAUUUCAAACCCACAGACGACAGUAAGACAGUGGAUUUCGUCCCUGGCGACUCAACCAAGCAGUUCACUAUCGGGGCGGGUCUAGACCCCAAAUAGGAAAGCGCGCUCAUCGAAUUCAUCCGUGAGAAUCGGGACAUCUUCGCAUGGAAACCUUCUGACAUGCCUGGUGUGCCGAGAGAAUUCGCUGAGCACCAUCUUAAUGUUGACCCAAAAGAAAAACCAAUUCAGCAAUAUCUUCGAAGGUUCAAUGAGGAACGACGCAUGGCAAUCGGGGAAGAAGUUGCCCGUCUCUUGGCCGCCGGAUUCAUCGUAGAGGUCUUCCACCCCAAAUGGUUGGCUAACCCGGUUCUGGUGCUCAAGAAGAACGGUACCUUCCGCAUGUGCAUUGAUUACACAGAUCUUAAUAGAGCUUGUCCAAAGGAUCCUUUCGCCCUUCCCUGUAUCAAUCAAAUUAUUGAUUCAGUGGCGGGAUGCGAGCGUUUGUGUUUCUUGGACGCUCAUUCCGGGUAUCACCAAAUCAAGAUGGCUGUGGAAGAUCAGGAGAAAACAACUUCUAUAAUCCCCUUCGGGGAUUUUUGCUAUGUGUCCAUGCCAUUUGGGCUCAAGAGUGCAGGGGCGACUUACCAGCGCUGCAUCCAAAAUUGCCUCCGUGGCCAAAUCAGACGCAACGUUCAUGCUUACGUUGACGACAUUGUGGUUAAGACUCACAGGAAGGAAACAUUACUGCAAGACCUAAGGGAAACUUUUGAUAAUCUGCGGGUAUACCAGAUGAAGCUUAAUCCCACCAAGUGUGUCUUCCGCGUUCCUGCAGGAAAAUUGUUGGGUUUCCUGGUAUCUGAGCGCGGCAUUGAAGCUAACCCAGACAAAAUCGAGGCUGUUACUUCCCUUGGGAAACCAGCGAGUAUCAAUCAAGUUCAACAUAUGGCGGGUCGUAUUGCGGACUUAAGUCGCUUCAUAAGCCGUCUGGGAGAAAAGGCUAUUCCCCUUUAUCAGUUUCUUAAGAAAUUUGACCAUUUUGUUUGGACAGACGAAGCCAAUGAAGCUUUCGAAGCCUUAAAACGGCACCUGGUCAACCCGCCGGUUUUGGCCGCCCCGACUGAGAAAGAGCCUAUGCUUCUGUAUAUUGCGGGAAACUCCAAAGCGAUGAGUGUGGCAGUGGUCGUCGAAAGGAAGGAAGAAGGGAAGGAAUAUCCAGUGCAACGCCCGGUGUAUUUCAUUAGCGAGGUGCUAACUCUCUCCAAGCAGCGAUACCCACACUGGCAGAAGUUAGUUUAUGGGGUCUUUAUGUCAAGUCGAAAGCUCAAACAUUAUUUCCAAGAGCAUCCCAUCAUGGUGGUUAGCUCCGCUCCCCUCGGGGACAUCAUCCAGAAUCGGGAAGCGACAGGGCAAAUCGCCAAGUGGGCAAUCGAACUCGGGCCGCACCACGUGCGAUACACCCCUCACAUGGCUAUCAAGUCUCAGGCCUUGGUUGAUUUCGUCAAUGAUUGGACCGAGUUACAGAUCCCAGAGGACAGGCCUGACCUUACAUACUGGACUAUUUAUUUUGACGGGUCUAGACAGUUGGAAGGCUCGGGGGCUGGUGUGGUGCUCAUAUCGGCUCAAGGAGACAAAUUCUGCUAUGUCCUCCGACUCAUGUUUCCAUGUACCAACAAUGCUGCGGAAUACGAAGCUUUACUUCAUGGCUUGCGAGUCGCCAAGGAGAUGAACCUUACGCGGGUCAGAUGUUUUGGCGAUUCUGAUUUGGUGGCUCAGCAAGUUUCAGGUACUUGGGAUUCUCGGGACCCCCUGAUGGCGGCUUACAGGAGGGCUAUGUCUGAUGUGGCGGGUCACUUCCAUGGUUAUCAGGUCGAUCAUAUCGACCGGUGCCUUAACGAAGCAGCUGAUGCCCUUUCACGUCUCGGUUCGCAGCGUAAGCCGGUUCCCCCCAAUGUCUUUGUGGAUACUCUGCAUAAUCCCUCCGUAAGGUUACCCUCGGAGGAGGAAUUGGCAAUACCAGACCCUGAGUCUCAGUUCGUGGCGGCUCUCCAUGUUACGUCGGAUUGGGUUCUUCCGUAUCUGGCAUAUCUCGCCCGAGGUGAGUUACCUUCGGAUGAAGUAUUGGCUCGCCAAAUCGUUCGGCGAAGCAAAUCCAUGGUGAUCAUCAAUGGCAAAUUAUAUAAACGAAGCACUUCUGGGGUUUUUCAAAGAUGUGUUUCCUCUGAAGAAGGAUGCGUAAUUCUAAACGACGUUCAUUCCGGAGAUUGUGGGCAUCACGCCGGGUCACGUUCCUUGGUUUCAAAGGCGUUCCGUCAUGGUUUCUUUUGGUUGACGGCCCAUGCAGAUGCAGAGGAGAUAGUUCAUCGAUGUGACGGAUACCAGCGUUAUGGACAACAGGCCCAUGUGCCGGCUCAAGAAAUAAGGAUGAUACCUAUCACUUGGCCUUUCGCGGUCUGGGGGUUAGACAUGGUUGGCCCCUUUAAGAUAUCGUCCAAAAAAAACUCAUCUGCUGGUGGCGGUUGAUAAGUUUACCAAGUGGGUCGAGGCAGAAGCUGUUGGAGCCUGCGACGCGGAAACAGCGGUCAAAUUUUUGAAAAAGUUGAUCUUCCGGUUUGGAUAUCCACACAACAUUAUUACUGACAAUGGCACUAAUCUGUCUCCAGGAGCGAUGCAUGAGUUUUGCCAUCGUGAGCACAUCCGGCUUGAUGUUUCUGCAAUAGCUCAUCCACAAUCUAAUGGGCAGACCGAGCGGACGAAUCAGGAAGUGUUGCGAGGAAUGAAACCCCGACUCAUGAUUCCCCUAGAAUGCACCCCAGGGUGUUGGGUUGAGGAGUUGUCUUCAGUACUAUGGAGCAUCCGGACCACCCCGAACCGUUCUAUGGGUUUUACUCCUUUCUUUCUGGUAUAUGGAGCAGAAGCCGUUCUUCCCACUGACAUUAGGCAUGACUCGCCCAGAGUUGCCGCUUAUGUGGAACAGGACAACGAGUUGGCACGUCAAGAUUCUUUGGACGCUUUGGAGGAAGCACGUGAUUUGGCUGCAGCCCGUUCGGCGGUUUAUCAGCAGGACUUGCGGCGUUAUCAUAGCCGCCAGGUCAAGAGCCAAGCCUUUCAGGAGGGCGACUUAGUACUUCGAUUGAUACAAGAUCGUACUGGCAUGCAUAAGUUAUCACCACCGUGGGAAGGACCGUUCGUCGUCAGCAAAAGCCUUCGCAACGGGUCCUAUUAUCUGCUGGAUCUACGGCCUGAUCGGCCAACCACGGAGGCUGAGUCAACUCGCCCCUGGAACAUAGGCCACUUGUGGCCUUAUUAAACUUGAGCUAACUAGCUCUGCCUUUUUGCAAGUUUUUUCAUUUUCUUAUGAAGCAAUAAAGUUGAUGCCUCCAGGCUUGGGGGAUUUCCUGCUAAUUCAUCUUAUUGAAAGUAUGGAUCUUUAUUUUACUCUUCAAAAAGUCGCCCAAGCAUGGACGCAAUCUAUACCAAAGAGCUUAAGUCGCCAUGAUGCGCUUAUUACAAAACUGGGUAUCGAUAAGCCAAAGAGGAUCGAAGUCGCUACGAGCGCGCGAUUCAAACUUAGGCGCCUUAUAUGAUUCUGUGGAUUAGGCCGGCUUACUUGAGGGCAGUUUGUUCUGAAGUCGUUUUGUGGUAAUAGCGUAUACGCUUCUACAAUCCUAUGACGGUCUUUCCCUUAAUCAUAGGUCACUUGGGGGCUUCCUCUCACUGAGAUCAGCCUUACUACCCAUUUGGCCUGUGAAAAAUUACCACAUUACAAAUGGUUAUACUGGACUGUGUGUUGGCCGAAUCGCCAUAUGGACCCAUGAACUCUUGGCGAGUUACUCCGCUUAUGGACCCUGAACUCGCCUUGGUUAAAACAUGUCUAGUACCGGCUAGCGCCUCACAUGGAAAAUAGAGAAACCAUUGGUUCACUGAACCCGCUUCACUGAAGCUUGACUCACGCCUGAUCAGCCGGUCUAAAUACUUGAGCUUUUUAUACAAAAGUCUCCCUCGGGUAGCACUUGAGUUUAUUUAACUCGUCCUAUCUUGUCGCGACCUGAUGAGCCGACGAAAUUGCUAUUUUUUACCUUCCUGGCACUGCCACAAGGUCUUUCAGACUCUUUUGUGACUCGCCUCAAAUAUCUUGCGUCGGUUAUUAUUUAUUAUCAUCGAUUACUCAUUGAGAUGAUUUGAUAUAUGUUUUUAAGCCUAACAGGUUGAUGAUCAAAAUCAUUCUAGCCAUGGCGGGUCAAGCAUCAUAAAAACGCCUUGAGGGCGGGUCAAGCAUUCUAAGGCGCCUUAAGGGCGACAUAAGGGUUUUCAAGACAUCACAGAAGCAGUUUUGAUCUCUAAAAAGACUUAUUACAUGGCUCUUAUGGCCAAAUCCAUAAAGUAUUAUUCUACUGAUGUCCUCGGGUCAGCCUCCUGCGAGCUCUGGCCGACUUCAAUUUGCAGGUCGCCCAGUACCCAGUUACACUUGGAUAACGCGGCAAACUCAUCUUCAUCGUUCAGCACUGAUGAGAGAUCCACCUCCAAGUCAAAAGGAUUCUUGGGUCGACGCGGAGUUAAGCUGGUUGUCACAAAGGUUGGCGGGUUGACUUUCUUGUUCUUGUUGUCAUAGGCGUCUUGAUAUUUUGCUAAAUCCAAGCUUGCUGCAAGCUGAGUCGCUACCAAACGGGAUUCUUUGACAACACGCUGGUAAUCUUCUUCAGCGAAUUCUGACUCGUCAUCCUUGAGCUGGGGAAAGCCUGCCGCUACCUCUUCCGGGUUUAUUUCUGGAGCAUACGCCAGACACCGACUCAGAGUAGUCAGUGCUCCUUUUUGGGCGGCAGACCGAUUUAACUCACCAAUUUGAGGAGGAAGAGUAGAUAAGCAGCCAAGCAUCUUCUUUAUGGAUGUUAUGGGUUCCUUGGCACCCAUCACUGCUUUCACGGUCAGCACACUUCCGGUCUAUAGCUGCUCCGUUAACGUGUAAAUCGGCGUCAGCAUCAGGACACAAUCAUUCUGAAGAUUGGCGGCUCUUGGACCUGCAUAAGGAGUAACGAUGGUCAGCAAUUUCUACAAACAAAGUUAUUUAUUUACAAAAUACAAGGUCAGGGUUUGGUUUUUUUACCAAAGACGGCUUGUGCCAUGUUGGAGAUAUGUCUCUUUAAGCCGGCCAGCUCUUGUUGCACAGUAUCCAACUUAGCUUCAGCUUUUUCUGCUCGCUUUAUCAAGGCAUCUUGAUCAGCUUGAGCCUUUUUUAAGUCGGCUUUUAGCUUCUCCAUGUGAGAUAAGAUUAGUUGACACUUCUCUUCUGAUUUUGCCCGGGCAUCCUGCUGAUCGGUUAAAUUUUUCUUCAAAUCGCCAAAUGUUGAUUCAGCUUGGGUAAGUGAUUCCUGUCAAAAUAUAUGGUCAAGGGGCAAGCCUCAGAAUUAUUGCAAGCAACAUCCCUGACACUUGGGGGCUAAUGUAUAAUUUUUUAGAUAAAUUAUACAAUAUCAAGACCCGACUCAUCUUUUUACAGAUGACCCGACCCUUGGGGGUUACAGGUCAAAAGUUUUCUUCAAUUAUCAAGACCCGGCUCAACUUUUUACAGAUGACUCGACCCUUGGGGGUUACAGGUCGAAAGUUUCUUCAAUUAUCAAGACCCGACUCAUCUUUUUACAGAUGACCCGGCCCUUGGGGGUUACAGAUCGAAAGUUUUCUUCAAUUAUCAAGACCUGACUCGUCUUUUUACAGAUUACCCGGCCCUUGGGGGUUACAGGUCGAAAGUUUUCUUCAAUUAUCAAGACCCGGCUUAUCUUUUUACAAGAUGACCCGGCUCUUGGGGGUUACAGGCCGACAGACUCAUUUUACUAUUAAUACCCGACUCAUCUUGGAGUCAUACUGGAGAGCUUAGCCUUGGAAAGUUCAUACUCCAUAGCAAGUUGAGCUGAUGAUGAUACAUGUUUCGACAAAACUGUUGUGACCGGCUUAGAAAAGCGAGUGCCGGUGAUGACCACACCGUCUGGGUCUUCUGCUGUUUUCAAUGGACUUGGCGGAUUAGGCGUGUCCAUAGUUUCCUUGGGCGAGCUUGGGAGAUCGAUUUGAUCCUCAGGUUUAUCUUGGGCCGGGUUAUCCUGGAUCGGCGCCGAUUUUUCAACAAGCUCCAAAGCUGUAAUGGGAGUUGACCCGCCAGUUUUCCUUUUCUUUGCUUGUGCCCUAAAUGCAAAAGGGGGUGCGUUUAAAUGAACAGACAUUACCACCAUCAGAACAAAGGUAAGUGUUAUAAAAGACUUACCCUGGGACACGGAUCAUCGGUGGAAGUGCUGACAUCACUGAGUCGCCGGAUGAAGGAGGAGAACUCUACAAAAAUAAUACUUCAAAGAUGUGAGCGAGUUAUAACCGCGAUCCAAAAGAAAAUGAAGAGGUGCUAUUAAAAGAUACCUCAUUUUGCCUUUUCUUGGUUUUUGUUGGUAACCCGGACACCAAGUCUCCAGUAUGACUCCGAGUUUUCCGAUUUGAAGCAUUUGGGUGUGAGAAGGGAACUUUCCCACAAAUUGGCCUGGCUGGCUUAAGUGGAGGAGAAGAUGAGUCGGAGGAAACAGAAAUUACCUCUACAGAGUCUUCCUGGCUUUCAUUGUCCUCAUUCUACACAAGAGAUACAAAGGCGUAAACACAAAACUAUCAACAAUGAAUGGUGAGUUAAAGAGGAUGGAUUUUUACCUCUGAAAGUACGUCGCCGACUUGGGAUUCAUCGGCGUCAGACGGCUCAGUGACGGCGGCUUUGCCCUUGCCCUUGGACUUCUUCUUUGGAGGCGGCUUGGCUUGCUUCAAGGCCAUCUUUUUUGGCCUCCUGGACCAGAAUUUGUCACGUUUCUGAAAUGACAUUUUUUAUUAUAAGAGGUCAUAUCUCAAGUAAGACGGAACGAAUAAAGCAAAAGCGGGUUAAGUUAUUUUACCUUUGGUGCCGGAUUGAUCUUGCAGGACGGCUUAAGACCUAUUUGGCCGCACUUGGCCGUGGGUUCGCCGGUCAAUUUCUUGAUGAUGGUUACAAUAUCAUUUUCUGUCAGUGUUGUGUGGAAGUAGCAUUGGGGGUGAUCCAGGGUGCCGUCAAAAUCACACAUUAAUCCGUACCGACGACUUAAGGGGAGGAUACACCAUUCGACCCAGCAGCGGAUUAAGUCUACCCCGGUAAGGCCAUUGUUUGUCAGAGAUCUUAACUUGGACAGUACUGGGAUAAAAUCUGACUCCUCUUCUUCGGUGAGCUUGUCUGGGAGUUUGAAAUUUGUUGGAAGGCGAUCCUCCCAAUAGCCAAGAAGCUUGUUCUCACCCUCAGGCGAAGUCUCCUGGCAGUAAAACCAAGACUCGCCCCAGCCUUUGGGAUAGCUUGGCAUGGCGAGUGACAGGAAUGAACUACCCCUACGGCGUUGAACAUUGACACCUCCAAGCUCCAAGCUAGGGCAAUUGGAAAAUUCUGUCUGGCAAUUCAAAUGGAAGAAGUACCAGAAUAAAGGAACUGAGGGUUCCAUCCGCAAGUAGGCCUCACAGAACACCUGGAACUGGCAUAAAUUGCUUAUCGAGUUGGGCCCUAAGUCCUGGAGGCAGACAUUCAUAAAGGUCAUGGCAUCUCGGAGGAAUUUUUAUCCGUACGGCUUAAAACCCCGUUCAAGGUGUUCAACAAAAACAACUAUCUCCCCUUCCUUCGGGUUGGGGAUCUCCUCUCCUAACCCGGAACGCCAACCGAUAACCUCUUGAGGGUCCAGAUUCCCCGUUUUCACACAGUUGUUAAGGAGAGUAUCAUCAACCUUGGUCGGGAGCCAAUCACUUUUGAAAACGAUGCCCAUGCUACAAAGGGACAAAAUUACGCGUAAAUUAACACGCCAAGCAUCUACUAAAUGGUGAAACAGAUUCAUUUGACUCGCCAAACAGUUUGCCUGAUAGCUGAGGUUGUUUUUUGACUCGCCGAUAAAGGUCCGGGUUAGGAUACCAGGGCGAGAUGGUUCACAGCUUCAGUAGUGUCCACCAAAAUGGUGAAGUAUGAAUCCAUAAACAGGUUUCACGCGACAGGCAGUAAUAUAUGGAUCUAUAGAACAUGUAGAAAUGAAUGCAAAAAGGUCUUGGUAAAACGGCCUAUGACCAAGAUGAAAAUAGUAGAGUUGAUCUGGUGAAAUCCUUUCUAAGUCUGCAAAUCAAGGCUAAGCAACUAAGGGUAUGGAAAAUGUUGUUGUACUCGCUAUCAUCACCACUAACUAGCCGGGAAUUACAAAGCUAUUCGAGAUGUUCUAAAGAAACAGUGGACAUGAACUCGAGAAGCGUAGAUCUGCCUUCAAUGGCGGGAGGCUGACCUGGUAAAUGCAGCUGGAGGCGUCUGAAGAAAGAUUCGCGGCGAGCAUCGCACGUUCAGCAGCUCCCAGACGGCGGUGAAGAUCUCGGACAGUGACGAAGAUCUCGGACGGCGACGAAGUGCUCGGACGACAGCGAAGCUUCGGGCGGCGACGAAGUUCUCGGGCGGCGGCGGAGCUGUUGGGCGGCGAUGAAGUGCUCGGGCGGCAACGAAGCUCUCGGGUGGCGACGAGGCUCUCGGUGAGACGGCGAGGAAGAAGAGGGCGACAAGAUGGGUAGGUGGAAAUAUGCCCUGUCCCCUCCUCCCGCCUAUUUAUCAGGUCAGGCGCUGGGAUCGAGGCGCCACGAGCGGGAACUGCCAAAAAAGAUAAAGAUUCGCCAUGAUGGCGCCCCAAAAUUUUCGGGAUAGCGAUACCGAAGGAUCCGUUGGACAUUACAUCAUCAUCUCUUCCGAGAUUAAAGGGAUAAGAAGGCGCGAAUAAGAAGUGGUUCAGCGACUUGAGUUUUUCCGCAACAGAUGGCAGUUUAAGUGUAUGGUGCAUGAAAGGAGUGAGAUGAAUCGCCCCUAACUGGGUGAGGAUAUUGGCGUGAAAAAAUUCAAGUCAAUCUGGGGCCUAAUGUUGGGGAUAUUAUCUUUUGGGUAACCCGCCCUAGUUGGGCCGGGUCACCCAAGUUGGUGACUCAUCUCCAAGUGGUUCCGGCCUUGGCCCAGCGAGGCUGGGAGUCGUAUGACGGUUCAGGACCUUCGGGAGAAGUCCAUUGUAGGGAAGAUCUCCAAGUCUUGGAAAGAUGGCGACUUAGAGAUCGAAAGAAUCACGAUUUAUGUGAAGGAAAGGACUCUUGUAAACCCUUAGGACUUGACCUGUAUAUAAAGGCGAGUCCCAGGGAAGGAGAGGAUGGGUUAGAAAUCAUCGAGUGCUAGGUCAGGCGAGUUACGCCCCCUUGUUACCGAAACACCAUCAAUACAAACACCAAGGAGGACGUAGGCCUUUACCUCCUCAUGAGGGGCCGAACCUGGGUAAAUCUCUGUCUCGCUCCCGCAUAACCCCUUUGAGUCGCCACCAAGGUGCGAUGGUUCCAACACGAAGUCCUUUCACGAGGACAUCUGCCGUGACAAAACCACGACACUAAGUAUAGCACUAGAUCGUGUUGUUCGUCUGCUAAAGGUUUUUCUAAUGUCAAGUAUCGUUUCCUCAAAUCAUGAGAUUGUGCAACUCCCGGAUACCGUAGGAGUGCUUUGGGUGUAUCAAACGUCACAACAUAACUGGGUGAUUAUAAAGGUGCACUACAGGUUGUACGAAUCGAGACUGGGAUUUGUCACUCCAUGUGACAGAGAGGUAUCUGUGGGCCCACUCGGUAAUACAUCAGCAUAUUGAGCUCAGUGUGACUAAGGAGUUAGCCGCAGGAUGAUGUGUUACAGAAUGAGUAAAGUAACUUGCCAGUAACAAGAUUGAAAAAGGUACAGGGAUACCGACGAUCGAAUCUCGGGCAAGUAUCAUACCCGUAGACAAAGGGAAUUGCAUACAUGAUUGAUUGAAUCCCCGACAUCAUGGUUCAUCCGAUGAGAUCAUCGUGGAACAUGUAGGAACCAACAUGGAUAUCCACACCCCCUGUUGGUUGUUGACCAGAGAGGUGUCUCGGUCAUGUCUGCAUGCUUGUCGAACCCGUAGGGUCUACACAUUUAAGGUUCGAUGAUGCUAGGGUUAUAGGGAAAUAGUGUACAUGGUGACCGAAGGUUGUUCGGAGUCCCGGAUGAGAUCCUGGAUGUCACGAGGUGUUCCGGAAUGGUCCAGAGGUAAUAUUCAUAUGUAGGAAUUGAGGAUUUGGUCACCGGAAGUGUUUUAGGCGACACCGGUAAUGUACCGGGACCACCGGAUGGGUUCCGGGGGUCCACCGGCAUGGGCCACCAGCCCCAACCUGCUACAUGGGCUAAAAGUGGAAGGGAACCGGCCCCUAAGUGGGUGUUGGGGAACAUCGCAAGGGAAACAAAAAAUUUCCUACGCACAAGAAGACCUAUCAUGGUGAUGUCCAGCUACGAGAGGAGAUCUGGAUCUACGUAGCCUUGUAGAUCGCACAGCAGGAAGCGUUAAGAAACGUGGUUGAUGUAGUGGAACGACCUCACGUCCCUCGAUCCGCCCCGCGAACCGUCCCACGAACAGUCCCGUGAUCCGUCCCACGACCCAUUCCGAUCUAGUGCCGAACAGACGACACCUCCGCGUUCAGCACACGUACAGCACGACGAUGAUCUCGGCCUUCUUGAUCCAGCAAGCAAGACGGAGAAGUAGAUGAGUUCUCCGACAGCGUGACGACGCUCCGGUGGUGGUGAAGGAUCUACUCCUGUAGGGCUCUGCAGAAAUACGAUCUGGAGGUAAAACUAUGGUUUCUAGAUCUGAGUUGCACCUCGCAAAAGUUGUCUCAAGUCAGCCCAAAAUCACCACUAUAUAUAGGAGGGAGGGGAGGAUCCUUGCCUUGAGGGCCAAGCCCUCAAGGGUGCGCUGGCUAGGGAGGAGAACGAGUCCUACUCCAAUCCUACUCCAACUAGGAUUGGAAAGUGGAGUCCUUCCCUUCCUUCCCACCUUUCUUAUUCUGCUUUUCUUUGGUUUUUUAUCCUUGGCGCAUAGGCCCUCUUGGGCUGUCCCACCAGCCCACUAAUGGCUGGUGCGCCACCCCUAGGGCCUUUGGGCUUCCCCUGGGAGGGUUGCCCCCCUCCUGCUGAACAUUCAGAACCCAUUCGUCACUCCCGGUACAAUCCCGGUAAUGCCCGAAAACUUCCCAGUAACCAAAUGAAGUCAUCCUAUAUAUCAAUAUUCGUCUCUCCGGACCAUUCCGGAAACCCUCGUGACGUCCGUGAUGUCAUCCCGGAUUCCGAACAACAUUCGGUAACCACACAUAUAACUCAACUAUACUAAAACAUCGCCGAACCUUAAGUGUGCAAACUCUACGGGUUCGAGAACUAUGUAGACAUGCCCCGAGUUACUCGGUCAAUAUCCAAUAGCGGGACCUGGAUGCCCAUAUUGGAUCCUACAUAAUCUUUGAAGAUCUUAUCGGUUGAACCUCAGUGUCAAGGAUUCAUAUAAUCCCGUAUGUCAUUCCCUUUGUCCUUCGGUAUGUUACUUGUCCUAGAUUCGAUCGUCGGUAUCCGCAUACCUAUUUCAAUCUUGUUACCGGCAAGUCUCUUUACUCAUUCUGUAAUACAAGAUCCCAUGACUUACACUUAGUCACAUUGCUUGCAAGGCUUGUGUGUGAUGUUGUAUUACCGAGUGGGCCCCGAGAUACCUCUCCGUCACACGGAGAGACAAAUCCCAGUCUUGAUCCAUACUAACUCAACUGACACCUUUGGAGAUACCUUUAGAGCACCUUUAUAGUCACCCAGUUACGUUGUCACGUUUGAUGCAUACAAGGUAUUCCUCCGGUGCCAGUGAGUUAUAUGAUCUCAUGGUCAUAGGAACAAAUACUCGACACGCAAAAAACUAUAGCAAUAAAAUGACACGAUGAAUAUGCUACGUUCAUAGUUUGGGUCCAGUCCAUCACAUGAUUCUCCUAAUGAUGUGAUCCAGUUAUCAAGUAACAACACUUUGCACAUAGUCAGAAAACCUUGACUAUCCUUGAUCAACUGGCUAGGCAACUAGAGGUUUGCUAGGGACAUUGUUUUGUCUAUGUAUCGACACAUGUAUCUAUGUUUUCAUUCAAUAAAAUUAUAGCAUGGAUAAUAAACAAUUAUCUUUAAACAGGAAAUAUAAUAAUAACUAUUUAUCAUUGCCUCUUGGGCAUAUUUCCAACAGUCUCCCACUUGCACUAGAGUCAAUAAUCUAGUCCUCACAUCGCCAUGCGAUUUACAUUGUAAUAAAUCAAACACCCGUACAGUUCUAGUGUUGAUCAUGUUUUGCCCGUGGAAGAAAUAUUCACGUCCUCUCGUUCGACGUAGUCGUGGAUGAGGUUGAAGCGUCGUUUGAUGUGUGUGGUCUUCUUGUGAAACCUUGGUUUGUUUGCUAAGGCAAUGACACCACUGUUGUCACAUAAAAGAUUUAAUGGAUCUAGUGCGCUCGGCACAACACCAAGAUCUGUCAUGAACUGCUUACGAGGCAGCCAUGUACUCCGCUUCACAUGUAGAAUCAGCUACGACGCUCUGCUUGGAACUGCACUAGCUUACCGCACCCUCAUUAAGAAUAAAUACUUAUCCGGUUUGUGACUCAGGGUCAUCCGGAUCGGUGUCAAAACUUGCAUCGACGUAACCUUUUACGACGAGCUCUUUGUAACCUCCAUAAAUGAGAAACAUUUCCUUAGUCCUCUUCAGGUACUUUAGAAUAUUCUUGAACGCCGUCGAGUGAUCCACUCCUAGAUUACUCUGAAACCUGCCUGCCAUACUUAUAGAACCUACGGCUCAAGAGUAGGGGCCAUAACUCAUUUGUUUUCUAUCUUUCGCAGUUGCUGGGCACUGAGUCUUACUCAAUUUUAUACCUUGUAAUACUCGCAAGAACCCUUUCUUGUACUGGUCCAUUUUGAACUUCUUCAAAACUUUAUCAAGGUAUGUGCUUUGUGAAUGUCCUAUCAGGCGUCUCGAUCCAUCCCUAUAGAUCUUAAUGCCUAGAAUGUAAGCAACUUCUCCAAGGUCCUUCAUAGAGAAACUUUUAUUCAAGUAAUCCUUUAUGCUCUCCAAAAGCUCCAUGUUGUUUCCAAUCAGCAAUAUGUCAUCCACAUUGUCGGGACCCCUAUCCUAAGUCAAUGGAAUCCAGCCUAUAACACAUCGCAUCUCUUUGCGGUCUCACACAUGGUUAUCCCCACGGCUGCAGCCUUACCUUACCCGGGACCGUUUGCACCUUUUGACUCGCGUAUGCAAUUGUGUCUCCAGCAAUCCAGUGACAGAGAACCCGGAUCGACAUGUCUAGUCAUAAACCAAAGCGGCAGUUCCGCACAGGGACAGGCAUACAUGACCCAGCAAAGCAGGUGUCGGUCACCAGUGAAUGUAGACGAGUCGUAGCAAGCUACAAGGACUCCAUUACAUCGCGUGACAUUUUCCCAAAGGGGACAUACACAACAGCUAAGAAGGACACAUGCCGGUCAACCAAUGUGUCCGGAGCAGUAGCGAACUACCAUGGCUCGUUGGAUCACAAAGGGGCAUUUCCCUGGAAGGAAUGCUACUAAAGCACACGGCUAGAUAAUCGAACCCCAUACAUAUCAAGUACGACACGUACGCAUGGCAUACUGAUAUGUAUAGAUACAUCGAUGGCAUCACAACAUAACCCUAAACAUACAAGCUUUGUUUAAAAGGCUCGGAAGAGCCUCACACAUAAUAUUACAAAGUAGGGGUCUCACGACCCAUCAUAACAGUCAUUCAAGUUACAAGCUAGUGGAAGUAGAUAAACUGUGUGAGUACAGACAGUUGAAACUAGAAGGCACAUGGCCUGACUAUACUACAGACCCAUCGUAGGGCCAGAUCGUAGGUGGGAUACCAGCUACUCGUCGUCGUCGAUGUCUAGGUAGAACCCUCAUUAGGGUCAUUAACAACCUCUACAACAAAUUAUUAAGAAAACGUGAGUACAGGGGUACUCAGCAAGACUUUAGGAUAACUAUCUACUCAUGCAAGGUAUCAGUAAUGAAUUGUGGGGUUUCAUGCGGAAAGCAAACAUUUGACUCGUGGCUAGACAACUUGCAUUUUUAAAUAAUUUUGAAAACUUGAUUUCUCGCACACGAGUCCACUAGCACCACAACAAUACUCCAUCGUGGAAUCAUUCCGUCUCCAUACGGAAAUGCCGUCCACGACACUCACGCUUAUCUUGACAAUUUUAUGAGUAGCCAUUAAAAUUUUAUGAAAUGGCGGCCGAAGGUUGAAGACAACGGUGUCGAGGGCGUUGCAGGGCUCGGGGGACCUUCUUCUUGGGCAGGGACGAUCAGCUUGUCGAGGCGGAGCGAACGGAGCACUCGGGGGGAAGAACCUGUGGCUAGAGGGCUCAGGCAGCUCGAGCUCGAGCUCCUGUCAAUGGCGGCAGUGGGGAACGAAGCAACCGAGAGGAGAGGGGAGGAAUGGGUCACGGGGAUGGAUAGGGUCGUGCUCGGGGAUGUUAUCCUCGCCUUGCCAGCGCACCGAGAUGUCUAGGCAAGCAGAGAGCUGCGUGGAGGCGGCGGGCAUCGCGGCGGCCACCUCCUGCUCCCACUGGCGAGGAGGAAGACGACACGGGGGGAAGCUGGGCCUGGGCCAAGUGAGCGACAGGUAAGCGUUUUGCUAUUUUUUUCUUGUUUUGUUUUCUGUUUUGCUAACUAUUUUGAUUUGCUAUUUAUUUCAGCUCCAAAAUAGCUUAUAAGAAUAUUUUGAACACACCAGAAUAAUAGUUGGAAUAUUUCCAACCAUUCCUGAAGUUUGCAACAUUUUUGAAACUUGAAAAUAUUUGAAUUCAAAUUUAAACUUGAAUCGAGUAGCUUUUUGAAUUUAAAUAAAAUGACAAAUCUGUUUUAGAAAUAGUUUUCUUCCCCGAUUAUUUGUUUCCAUGAAUUAUCAGAAAAGUUGAACUUUUCUUGAGGCCAUUUUGGGUUCAUUGAUUUGAACAAGUUUAGAAUUUCUUUGAAUUUGAGAAGUGCCUAGGGUUUUUGAGUUUUGCUUCACCACUUACUUUGAUCUUGAUGCAAUUUCUUGGAUGCAAUGCAAUGAAGGUAUGAGCACAAUGCUAAACCUUGGUUAGGGUUCGAGGGAUGUGACAACUCACCCUCACUCAAAAGAAUCUCGUCCCGAGAUUUAGAAGUCGUCGGGAAUAACGUGGGAUACUCAAGUCGGAGACGAUCCUCUCUUUCCCGUGUUGCCUCCUUUUCAGAAUGAUUUGACCAUUGAACUUUAAGAAACUUGAGGUUUCGACGUCGAGUGGUACGCUCAGCUUGAUCAAGAAUACGAACAAGGUAUUCUCGGUAUGAAAAGGUUAUCUUGGAGAUCAAGCGUUUCGUGGUCCACUUCACGGAUAGGAUCCGAAAAGCAACGCCUGAGUUGCGAGACGUGGAAAACAUCAUGAACCUUGGAAAGAUGCGAAGGAAGUUCCAACUGGUAGGCAACUUCUCCUCGUUUGGCAAGAAUGCGAAAAGGACCAAUGUAACGAGGAGCCAACUUGCUCUUGAUACCGAAUCGAUGGGUACCCUUCAAAGGUGUAACCCGAAGGUAAACCUUAUCGUCAACUUCAAAGGUCACAACCUUAUGAUGACGAUCAUAUUGGCUGUUUUGACGAGACUGGAUUGUUUUCAACUUUUCACGAAUAAUGCAAACCUGCUCUUCUGCAUCCUGGAUCAUAUCUGGGCCAAAGAGUUUCCUCUCUCCGGUUUCUCACCAAUUAAGAGGUGUUCGACAUCUUUGUCCAUAGAGAACUUCAAAAGGGGCUUUGGCCAAGCUUGAUUGAUAACUAUUGUUAUAAGCAAAUUCGGCGAAUGGAAGGCACUUCUCCCAAUUCAUACCGAAUGAUAUAACACAAGCUCGGAGCAUAUCUUCUAGGAUUUGAUUCACCCUUUCUACUUGACCACUGGAUUGAGGAUGGAAAGCAGUGUUAAAAGAUAAGUGAGUCCCCAUAGCAUUCUGAAAGCUUUCCCAGAAGCGAGAAGUAAAGAUACUCCCACGGUCUGAGUUAAUCUCCAAGGGAACACCAUGAAGAGACACUAUUCGAGAGAUAUAUAACUCUGCUAGCUGGCUAGCUGUUAUACUCUCACGAACUGGAAGAAAAUGAGCUACUUUGGAGAGACGGUCAAUGACCACAAAGAUAGCAUUAUUUCCUUUCUUGGUCUUGGGAAAUCGAGUAAUGAAAUCCAUACUGACUUUAUCCCAUUUCCAUUCAGGAAUAGCUAAAGGUUGAAAGGUGCCAGUAGGCCUUUGAUGUUCUACCUUAACUCGACGACAAACGUCGCAGUUAGAAACGAACUCAGCAAUUUCUCUCUUCAUCCUAGUCCACCAAAACCGCUGGCGUAGGUCCUCAUACAUCUUAGUACUACCAGGAUGAAUGGUGAGAGGAGAAUCAUGAUCCUCCUUAAGGAUCAAUUGCCGCAGACGUUUGCUCUUAGGAACCGCUAAACGGUUCUGAAAGAACACAACACCUUUCUCAUUGAUGGAGAAAUCCCUAGCAUUUCCGCUAGCAAUAUUCGACUUGAUCCGGGAUAUACCCUUAUCAUAAGCCUGCACGGCUAUGAUUUGAUCUCUAAGAGUAGGCUUCGCCACCAGGGUAGAAAGAAAUCCUUGAGGAACAAUAUGAAGAUUUAACUUCCGAAAUUCCUUAUAGAGAUGUGGUUGACCUCGUUGUAGCAUCAAAUUGUUACAAUAAGACUUACGACUUAGUGCAUCGGCCAUAACAUUGGCCUUCCCCGGGGGUAAGUUAUACCUAAGUCGUAAUCCGUGAUCAACUCAACCCACCGUCUUUGCCUGAGAUUCAAAUCCGGCUGGGUGAAGAUAUAUUUCAUACUUUGGUGAUCAGUGAAUAUUUCGCAACGAUUACCAAGAAGGUAAUGUCGCCAGGUUUUAAGUGCAUGGACUACAGCUGCAAGCUCAAGAUCAUGUGUGGGAUAAUUAUCCUCAUGUGGACGCAACUGUCGAGAUGCGUAUGCAAUCACAUGACGAUCUUGCAUGAGAAUGCAACCUAAUCCUUGUCGCGAGGCAUCGCAAUAAAUAACAAAGUCCUUAGAAAAAUCUGGUGGUAGCAACACAGGUGCGGAAGUCAGGCGUCUUUUGAGUUCCUGAAAACUAUGCUCACACUGUGGUGUCCACUCGAACUUUUUAUAUUUCUUGAGAAGUUCAGUUAGAGGCUUUGUAACCUUGGAGAAAUUCUUGACAAAGCGGCGACAAUAGCUCGCUAGACCAAGAAAACUCCUAACUUGCUUAACCGAUUCAGGUUGAGUCCAAUCAAGGACAGCUUGAACUCUCUCGGGAUUGAUAGCAAUACCCUUUCUAGAGAUUACGUGACCUAGAUAGGUCACUUCUGGUAACCAAAAUUCACAUUUUGAAAACUUGGCAUAAAGGUGAUGCUCUCGAAGUUUCAUCAAUACCAGCUUUAGAGGCUCGGCAUGUUCUUGUUCGUUCUUCGAGUAGAUGAGAAUAUCAUCGAGGUAUACCACGACGAAUUUAUCCAAAUACUCCAUGAAGAUUGAAUUCAUCAAGCGAGAGAAGGUGGCUGGGGCAUUGGUUAAACCGAAGGGCAUGACGGUGUACUCGUAUUGGCCAUAACGAGUAACAAAAGCCGUUUUUGUAAUGUCCCCGUUUUUUAUCUUGAUUUGAUGGUAUCCCAACCUCAAAUCCAUUUCGGAGAAGAUUGAGGAUCCAGCGAGCUGAUCAUAGAGGUCGUUGAUCCUGGGGAGCGGAUACUUGUUCUUUAUGUUGACCAGAUUAACUGGUCGGUAAUCUACAACCAUCCGAUCCGUUCCGUCUUUCUUCUUGACGAAGAGGACGGGACAAGCCCAAGGAGAAGAGCUAGUACGAAUGAAACCUUUAUUCAAGGCCUCAUCUAGUUGAUUCUUAAGUUCGGCUAGCUCCAGGGGUGCCAUCUUAUAUGGUCUUCUGGCUAUUGGAACAGUCUUGGAACAAGAUCUAUUACGAACUCUACAUCUCUGCCAGGUGGAAUUCCUGGCAUUUCCUCUGGAAAAACAUCCAGAAAGUCACGGACUACCGCAAUGUCUUCAAGUUCCGGAAGAGGGUUGGCAUUGAGGGAAUAGAGUUGGCAUUUGGCAACUCGAGUAGAGACAUUGACUAUAUCACCCGAGGGAUGGGUAAGCUGAACAUUUCUGGUAUGAGUAUAAAUCUUGGCAUAGUGAGCUGACAUCCAGUCCAUACCCAAGAUGAUAUUAAUAUCCGAGGAUUUCAGGGCUAUCAAUGAUGCUUGAAAAACUAGCCUGUCUACUAGAAUUUCAUUGUCAUAAGAUAUCCUAGAGGUUUGCCACUUACUACCAAGGGUUUGGACAACCAAUGGGAUUAGCAUAUCACAGAAAGACAUGUUAUGCAACUGUGCAUAACUUUAUGAAAUGAAGGAAUGAGAACACCCAGUGUCAAAAAGAACAAACGCUGGGUGAUGAUUAACAAGAAGCGUACCAAGUAUGACGUCGGGAUCCUCUGCAACUUCUUCUGCUGAGACAUAGUUCACACGGCCACGUGCAGGAGUUGGCUUCACAUAGUAAGCUUUGCCCGACUUGCCUUGCCCAACGGACUUUCCGGGUUGCUUGGCACCCACAUUCUGAGGACACUCACGGGAAUAGUGCCCUGGUUCUCCACACUUGUAACAGAUCACUUGAUUGGCACGCGGUGCAGCAUUGCUAGCUGGACCACCAUAGGUUUUUGCUGGGGGGGUUGGUCUGAUUCGACUGAGGCGCCACAUAGGAUGGCCUCGGAGUGUAUCUUGGGGGCAGAGAACUGUUUGGAACCCACAGCCUGCGUUUUGGAAACGCGGAACCAGAUGACGAGCCAAAGUCACGGGAGUGCUUCUUUGUGGCUUCAUAGUCGGUAUGACCAGUCUCGGCACUGAUCGCCUUGUUGACCAGGGCUUGGAAGCUUGUACACUCAGGGAGGCGCAAAUCACGACCAAGCUCAGGGCUCAGACCCUUACGGAAUCUUACUUGCUUCUUGGCAUCAGUAGACACCUCCUCUGUUGCAUAGCGGGCGAGGUUACCGAACUCGCGGCUAUAGGCAUCCACGGUCAACUUUCCUUGGGUGAAUGCACAGAACUCCUCUCUCUUUCUGUCCAUCAGGCCCUCUGGAAUAUGGUGCAGACGGAAUGCUGCACUAAAGUCUGCCAUGUGGCUGCUGGUUCAGCAGGACGCAUAGCUUCAAAGUUCUCCCACCACAGAUUGGCGGGUCCUUCGAGAAAAUACGCCGCAAAGGUCGCCUUGUCGUCCUCAGAAACGUUCGUAGAGCGAAUCUUUCGUGAAAUACUGCACAGCCAAUCAUCAGCGUCGAGGGGAUCGACGGAGUGAUGGAACUUUGGAGAAUUCAGCUUCACAAAGUCAUUGAGGGACACUACAGCAUUCCUAGGUUGACGAUCCGUAUUUUUCUCAAUACGCUAUAACAGUCAGUUUGUCUCCCUUUUGUUUCUCUCUGCCUCAAGCAUAACUUCCCCGAGAUAGGGCGGGUGAGGCAGCUCUUCCUGUGACGCUUGACUACCCUUUCCUUGCUCAUGAGCAGGGGCACGGUUCAACCUAGUGAACACCAUCCUGACAAACAAACUCACAGCUUAGACAAAUAUCAACAUCAAUGCUAGUUAUGGAUUAAGAAUGCACUGAACACAUGGAAUGCGGAAUUGAAUAUCCGAACAGCAUGGUAACAAGAAACUGCUAUAUAUACACCAUGGUUCAUACACACCAUUACAAAGUUCAGUACAACCUUAACCGAAGAGCAAACUACUGAAAUUAUGAAACUACUCAUGAGAGGCUUACAAGCUUCCUAUACAUUAUUUGUCUAUGCCUCCGGAAUUCAUUUCACAUCACAAGCAUACUUCACAAGUCACACAGGACUGUGAACGUACAGCUACUACCAUACUAUCCUUCCACUCACGGUUCAGGCAUCCGCAUAGAACAUCUCAUAAAGAUUGCCUCCAUGUCCUGGAAGCUCAACCUGCGGAUCAGGAAAUACUCAGGCCUAAGAUCCCUGGGAUCCAUAAGGACACGGAUGUGGCCUUGGUCCCCUGACUGGUGGUAGUAGGGGUCCUCGAAGAGGGGUGACUCCUCCUAUAGCGGGCCAGUCAACAUGAGUCGGAAGAUGGGUUCUAACAGGGUUCAGCAUCUCCAUAUCUCCAUACCUUGUCUGGACUACCGGUGCUAGCUGCAUCAAAGCCGUCCACAUACGGACAGGUGUAGCAUAAAGCUCCAUGCGGAGGGCACGAGCAUCCCUGUCUCUAUUCUCUAGCAUCUCAGCAGUGGACUGCAGUAGCGGAUCCUCCAUAGAGGAAUCAAAGUAGACCCCGCUGAGGUAUCCUUGUUCACCUGGCUGAGAAGCAGGAGCAUAGCAGAACUCUGAAUUCUGCGGGAGUGCAUGUCUAGCCCUCAUGAUGGUCAACAUUGAAUAGGCAGCAUCUUGUACUGCCAUGUCAACAGUGACUCCCAAUCCAUAAGACCAAUGGAUUGGCUCCUCAGCUCCAGUGUAAUCUGGGAAUACCCUAACAGUGCAGAUAUACUAGCUCUGGUUGAAGUCUCGGUACUGUUCCUCCACUGUGUACUCUGGGUACCAGCGGUAACCGCACACCGACAUCACCCUCAGUAGCAUGGCCGUAUGACCCGCACAUCAAUGCACCUAGUCAGAUGAACCACCUGACGAGAAGGACGGCUAGGCAUCUGUAAAUAGAGAGUAAUGCAAAAGCAUUAGAGCUCUGAAUGCAAAAUUGGGCAGCAUAACGGCUAUAAAUGCUCAAAAACAAUUUUGAGACAACCCAUAAAAUAGAAUAGAUUAACCACUCAACUACCAAGUUCAAUUCUCUGAUCAUCAAACUUACUUCCUUUUCCUAGGAAUAAAAGAAACCCGAAAUAAGUCUCGACCCGUAGUCCUAUAAUCUACCGAUCCGAAACACGAGCCUAGAAGAAGAUGAGUAACCUAGUCCUUAAUUCCCGCAGAAAAGACGAGGAUGACCAGAAUAGAAUAACUUGAGAAGAGAACAAGAGUCUUACAUUCCCUUCCACAAACAAUUCCCUUAUAUAUAACUAAAGCAAUUCCAGACUCAAUUUCGACCAGUUUGGCUUAGUAAUCCUACAGUCAGUCAGGCUCUGAUACCAACGCUGUCGGGACCCCAAUCCUCAGUCAAAGGAAUCCAUCCUGUAACACAUCGCAUCUCUUUGCGGUCUCACGCACGGUUAUCCCCACGGCUGCAGCCUUACCUUAGCCGGGACCGUUUGCGCCUUUUGACUUGCGUAUGCAAUUGUGUCGCUAGCAAUCUAGUGACAGAGAACCUGGAUCGACAUGUCUAGUCAUAAACCAAAGCGACAGUUCCUCACAGGGACAAGGAUACAUGACCCAGCAAAGCAGGUGUCGGUCACCAGCGAAUGUAGACAAGUCAUAGCAAGCUACAGGGACUCAAUUACAUCGCGUGACAUUUUCCCAAAGGGGACACACACAACAGCUAAGAAGGACACAUGCCGGUCAACCAAUGUGUACGGAGCAGUAGUGAACUACCAUGGCUCGUUGGAUCACAAAGGGGAAUUUCCCUGUAAGGAAUGCUACUAAAGCCUACGGCUAGGUAAUCGAACCCCAUACAUAUCAAGUACGACACACGUACGCAUGGCAUACUGAUAUGUAUAGAUACAUCGAUGGCAUCACAACAUAACCAUAAACAUACAAGCUUUAUUUAAAAGGCUCAGAAGAGCCUCACACAUAAUAUUACAUAGUAGGGGUCUCACGACCCAUCAUAACAGUCAUUCAAGUUACAAGCCAGCGGAAGUCGAUAAACUGUCUAAGUACAGACAGAUGAAACUAGAAGGCACAUGGCCUGACUUACUACAGACCCAUCCUAGGGCCAGAUAGUAGCUGGGAUACCAGCUACUCGUCGUCGUCGAUGUCUAGGUAGAGCCCUCCAUUAGGGUCAUUAACAACCUCUGCAAAAAAUUAUUAAGCAAACGUGAGUACAGGGGUACUUAGCAAGACUUUAGGAUAACUAUCUACUCAUUCAAGGUAUCAAUAAGGAAUUGUGGGGUUUCAUGCGGAAAGCCAGCAUUUGACUCGUGGCUAGACAACUUGCAUUUUUAAAUAAUUUUGACAACUUCAUUUCUCGCACACGAGUCCACUAACACCACAACAAUACUCCAUCAUGGAAUCAUUCCGUCUCCAUACGGAAAUGCCGUCCACGACACUCACGCUUAUAUUGACAAUUUUAUGAGUAGCCAUUAAAGUUAUCUAUGAACAACAUAUGUCUCCAAGUAGUCCAUAUCCGCGGACGCGACUAUUCGAAUAGAUCAUAACCCUGCAGGGGUGUACUUCGUCACACACGCUCUCGCCACUUAUCGCCAUGUGCACGUCAUGCACCUCGGCAACCUUCAAGCGGAAGCCCAGCGAGGGAGUCGGCCACGACCGUUAACCACGCUAAUACUUAGUCCAGGUCUAUCGCCUAUCUGAGGGUAACCUGCACGGAAGUCCGGCCAUGGUUUCCGCCAUGGCCCCAAACGAUGUGCGCAGGGUUCCCAAGCCCACCAUCCAGGUGCCACUUGGUACACCGUGCCACUGCCUACCGCAUCACAGCCCACCUCUCAGGUCAGCGCUAUGAACGGCCUCUAGCAUGACUAUAAACACCAGAAACUACUUGCAACUCCUGGACCGAGUACUAAGUGAUUAAUAAGUCGAGAGGGUCAAUUAAGUAUCCCAACGUGUGGUAGUAUCUAGUCUUGGAUUACAUAGACGGAACUCAGUUCCUAAGGACGAUUCCAAUGAAACAACCCGCCAUGUACUCCUACAUAGCCUUUCACCGGUACCUUUACCAAAUCAGGUUCAACACACAACCUUUACUUACUGAACACAUUCUCACAAUUCUUUUCAUCUCCCAGAUGACAGACCAUACACAACUCUAAGCACAGCAUGCAUAGCAGGAUAAGGCACAUCAUGGCUCAAGCAUCUACCAGGUAUGCUAGGUUGCAAGGUUCAGCUAUUUACUGUGACAAAGACAGGUUAUGCAAAGGAAGUGGGUUCAACUAAUGUGGCAAAAGCAUUUGAAGCAUUUGAUCCUAAUGCAAUAAGUAAGUGCAGGAGCGAGAACAUGGGAUUUAUCGGGAUGAUCAAAAUGGUUGCUUGCCUUGUUGCUUAGUAGAGGGACAAUAUCCGUUAAUCGGAUAUUCGGUGGAAUCCGGAGGAGCGGAGCCUACAGAUAGAAAUGACAUCAAUUAAUAACAAUCAUAUGCAGCAAAAUGAUGCAUGGGCAUGGCAUGAAUAUGCAUGGUGGUAUGCUAAUUUAGCUACCAUUAUUAGGUUGAAGUGGAUUUGAAUAAGAUUCAAAUAUCACUUCAAGCGAGGUAUUCUCGAAUACCAUUUUAAUUGAUUCAACCUGAUGUUCAGAUCAACUUGUUUUUAACAUGCAUGGGAAUGAUACGUUAAGUUGCUGGUUGUGAUUGAUCAUUGUUUCAUCAUAGCAUUUGAAGUGGAAUUUAAAUGAUUUUCAAAUUCCAACUCCAAAGCAUUUAUUAAAUUUACCCUAUUCAUCAUUUUACAUGUUUUGUCCAGUAACAUUUUCAAACGUGUUUGAAAAUGAUAUAUUCAGAUUCCUUGGAUUUUUCUGAUACUUUUUCAUAUAUAAAUUAUUUCCAUUGGAGUUACAGAUUAAUUUCUAUGAUUUUUAGAAGUUUUGGGCAUUUUCUGGAAUUCUUUUAAAUUAGAAUAGCUACUUAUUGCCUCAGGCCCACGUCAGCAUGGCGUCAGCCGUUGGCUGACCUGGUCAGGUCAAACCCGACAGGGGGGACCCACUGGUCAGCCUCACAGGGCUAAUCCCGCGCUGACCAGCCCCUGAUUGCGUUUGACUUGCGCAUGCGCCCACUGUCAGCGACUACUUAGAGUUUAAACCGGCAGAGUAGUAAAGCGAGGUCAGAUCCUGCCAGAACUGACCGGCGGCGACCAGAUCCGUGUCAGAGAGUCACCGGAGUUAGCUCUGGUGCUCGGGAACGAGGGCUGAGAGCAGUGGGAGGAUCCCCAGCCUCGGCCUCAUCUUGUACUAGCCUCAGGGAGGACUGGGGAGGACCGGAGGUCAUCGGCGACGAGCGGAGGCGACGGCCGGAACUCGGGCUCGUCGGUUUAGCGGCUAGGGUGCACCAAACUGAGGGGAAGAAGAGGGGAAACGAGCGCAAUCUCACGGGGAGUGCAGUGGAGGGCUUAGACGGCUCGGGGAGGUGCUGUGGUCAACGAAUCCAACGAAGAUCGCCGGCGGCCGAAGGUUGAAGACGACGGUGCCGAGGGCGUUGCAGGGCUCGGGGGACCUUCUUCUUGGGCAGGGACGACCAGCUUGUUGAGGCGGAGCGAACGGAGCACUCGGGGGGAAGAACCUGUGGCUAGAGGGCUCGGGCAGGUCAAGCUCCUAUCAAUGGCGGGAGUGGGGAACGAAGCAACCGAGAGGAGAGGGGAGGAAUGUGUCACGAGGAUUGAUAGGGUCGUGCUCGGGGAGGUUAUCCUCGCCUUGCCAGCGCACCGAGAUGUCCAGGCAAGCAGAGAGCUGCGUGGAGGUGUCGGGCGUCGCGGCGGCCACCUUCUGCUCCCACCGGCGAGGAGGAAGACGACACGGGGGGAAGUUGGGCCUGGGCCAGGUGAGCGACAGGUAAGCGUUUUGCUAUUUUUUUUCUUGUUUUGUUUUCUGUUUUGCUAACUAUUUUGAUUUGCUAUUUAUUUCAGCUCCAAAAUAGCUUAUAAGAAUAUUUUGAACACACCAGAAUAAUAGUUGGAAUAUUUCCAACCAUUCUUGAAGUUUGCAACAUUUUUGAAACUUCAAAAUAUUUGAAUUCAAAUUUAAACUUGAAUCCAGUAGCUUUUUGAAUUUAAAUAAAAUGCCAAAUCUGUUUUAGAAAUAGUUUUCUUCCCUGAUUAUUUGUUUCCAUGAAUUAUCUGAAAAGUUGAACUUUUCUUGAGGCCAUUUUGGGUUCAUUGAUUUGAAAAAUUUUAGAAUUUCUUUGAAUUUGAGAAGUGGCUAGGGUUUUUGAGUUUUGCUUCACCACUUACUUUGAUCUUGAUUCAAUUUCUUGGAUGCAAUGCAAUGAAGAUAUGAGCACAAUGCUAAACCUUGGUUAGGGUUCGAGGGAUGUGACACACAUAUAAUAUUAUGAAGGCCACAGAGCUCCCACUCACUUUGUUGUAAAUACAAGAUUCUCCAACCACUUGUAUAAACCCAAAUGCUUUGAUCACCUCAUCAAAGCGCUUAUUCCAACUCCGAGAUGCUUGCACCAGUCCAUAAAUGGAUCGCUGGAGCCUGCAUACUUUGUUAGCAUUCUUUGGAUCGACAAAACCUUCAGGUUGAAUCAUAUGCAACUCUUCAUUAAGAAAACCGUUAUGGAACGCCGUUUUGACAUCCAUCUGCCAGAUUUCAUAAUCGUAAAAGGCAGUUAUUGCUAACAUGAUUCGGACGGACUUAAGCACCGCUACCGGUGAGAAAGUCUCAUCGUAGUCAACUCCUUGAACUUGUGAAAAACCCUUUGCCACAAGUCGAGCUUUAUAAAUGGUCACAUUACUGUCUGCGUCCGUCUUCUAAAUAGCCUUGCGGCCUUCAGGUAGUACUUCCAAAGUCCACACUUUGUUCUCGUACGUGGAUCCUAACUCGGACUCUAUGGCCUCUAGGCAUUUGUUGGAAUCCGGGCCCACCGUUGCCUCUUCAUAAUUCGCACGUUCAUUGUUGUCCAACAACAUAUUCGUUAAGACAGGAUUACCGUACCACUCAGGAGCAGUACGUGAUCUUGUCGACCUGCGAGGUCCGAUGGCAACUUGAUCCGAAGUUUCAUGAUCAUCAUCAUCAACUUGUUCCUCAACCGAGGCCGCAGCAACAGGGGUUUCCCCUUGCCCUGCGCCACCUUCUAGAGGAAUUAGAGGUUCGACAACCUCAUCAAGUUCAAUCUUCCGCCCACUCAAUUCUUUCGAGAGAAACUCUUUCUCAAGAAAAGUUCUGUUUUUACCAACAAACAUUUUGCCCUCGGAUUUGAGAUAGAAGGUAUACCCAACUGUCUCUUUUGGGUAACCUAUGAAGACGCACUUUUCCGCUUUGGGUUCCCACUUUUCAGGCUGAAGCUUUUUGACCUAAGCAUCACAUCCCCAAACUUUAAGAAACGACAAAUUUGGUCGUUUGCCAUACCACAGUUCGUAUGGUGUCGUCUCAACGGAUUUUGAUGGUGCCCUAUUGAAAGUGAAUGCAGCUAUCUCUAAUGCAUAACCCCAAAAUGAUAAUGGAAAAUCGGUAAGAGACAUCAUAGAUUGCACCAUCUCUAAUAAAGUACGAUUACGAUGUUUGGACACACCAUUACGCUGUGGUGUUCCAGGCGGUGUCAAUUGUGAAACAAUUCCACAUUGUCUUAAGUGAGCACCAAACUCGAAACUCAGAUAUUCUCCCCCACGAUCAGACCAUAGAAACUUGAUCUUUUUGUUACGAUGAUUUUCAACUUCACUCUGAAAUUGCUUGAACUUUUCAAACGUUUCAGACUUGUGCUUCAUCAAGUAGACAUAGCCAUAUCUACUCAAUUCGUCAGUGAAGGUGAGAAAAUAAUGAUAUCCAUCGUGCGCCUCCACACUCAUCGGACCGCACACAUCGGUAUGUAUGAUUUCCAACAAAUCACUUGCACGCUCCAUUGUUCCGGAGAACAGAGUCUUAGUCAUCUUGCCCAUGAGGAAUGGUUCACACGUGUCAAGUGAAUCAAAGUCAAGUGACUCCAAAAGUCCAUCGGUAUGGAGUUUCUUCAUCCGCUUUACACGAAUAUGACCUAAGCGACAGUUCCAUAAAAACAUGGUGCUAUCAUUGUUAACUCUAACUCUUUUAGUCUCAAUGUUAUGUAUAUGUGUAUCAUCUCUAUCAAGAUUCAAUGUGAACAAUCCUCUCACAUUGGGUGCAUGACCAUAAAAGAUAUUACUCAUAGAAAUAGAACAACCAUUAUUCUCUGACUUAAACAAGUAACCGUCUCGCAAUAAACAAGAUCCAGAUAUAAUGUUCAUGCUUAACGCAGGCACUAAAUAACAAUUAUUUAAGUUCAUAACUAAUCCUGAUGGUAACUGAAGUGAAACUCUGCCGACGGUGAUUGCAUCAACCUUGGAACCAUUUAAAACGCACAUCGUCAGUUCAUGUUUCACCAGCCUUCGCUUAUUCCGCAGUUCCUGUUUCGAGUUGCAAAUAUGAGCAACAGAACCAGUAUCGAAUACCCAGGCACUACUACGAGAGAUGGUUAAGUACACAUCAAUAACAUGUAUAUCGAAUAUACCUGAUUUUUCCUUGGCCGCCAUCUUAUCAACCAGAUCCUUGGGGCAGUUGCGCUUCCAGCGACCCAUACCCUUGCAAUAAUAACACUCUGUUUCAGGCUUAGGUCCAGCUCUGGUUUUCUUCGUCGGAUUGGCAAUAGGCUUUCCACUCUUCUUGGAGUUACCCUUCUUUCCUUUGUCGUCUCUCUUGAAACUAGUGGUCUUACUCACUAUCAAUAGUUGAUGCUCUUUACGGGGUUAUGACUCUGCGACUUUUAGCAUCGCGAAUAACUCACCGGGUGACUUGUUCAUCCCUUGCAUGUUAUAGUUCAACACAAAGCUCUUGUAGCUUGGUGGCAGUGAUUGAAGAAUUCUGUCAGUGAUAGCCUCUUGCGGGAGUUCAAUCCCGAGCUCAGCUAGACGGUUUGAGUACCCAACCAUUUUGAGCAAAUGUUCAUUGACAGACGAAUUCUCCUCCAUCUUGCAAGCAUAGAAUUUAUCGGAGGUCUCAUACCUCUCGAUCUGGGCAUUAUUACGAAAGAUAAACUUCAACUCCUGGAACAUCUCAAAUGCUCCAUGACGCUCAAAGCGACGUUGAAGUCCCGGGUCUAAGCCAUACAAGACUGCACAUUGAACUACUGAGUAGUCCUCCUUACGGGUUAACCAACCGUUCUUAACAUCUUGGUCAGCCGUAGCGGGUGGUUCAUCUCCUAGCGCAGUAUUAAGGACAUAAUCCUUCUUCCCGUCUUGUAGGAGCAACUUAAGAUUACAAGCCGAGUCUACAAAGUUGCUUCCAUCAUCUUUCAACUUAGGUUUCUCUAGGAACGUAUUAAAAUUUAGGGUGACUAUCGCAUGAGCCAUUGAUCUACAACACAAAUAUUUUCAAAGUGGACUUAGACUAUGUUCAAGAUAAUUAGAGUUUAACUAAUCAAAUUACUUGCUAAACUCCCACUCAAAAAGUACAUCUCUCUAGUCAUUUGAGUGGUACAUGAUCCAAAUUCACUAACUCAAGUCCGAUCAUCACAUGAGUUGAGAGCAGUUUCAGUGAUAAGCAUCUCUAUGCUAAUCAUAUCUACUAUACGAUUCAUGCUCGACCUUUCGGUCUCAUGUGUUCCGAGGCCAUGUCUGCACAUGCUAGGCUCGUCAAGCUUAACCCGAGUGUUCCGCGUGUGCAACUGUUUUGCACCCAUUGUAUGUGAACGUUGAGUCUAUCACACCCGAUCAUCAUGUGGUGUCUCGAAACGACGAACUGUAGCAACGGUGCACAGUCGGGGAGAACACAAUUUCGUCUUGAAAUUUUAGUGAGAGAUCACCAUAUAAUUGUACCGUCGUUCUAAGCAAAAUAAGGUACAUAAAAGGACUAACAUCACAUGCAAUUCAUAAGUGACAUGAUAUGGCCAUCAUCAUGUGGUUCUUGAUCUCCAUCACCAAAGCACCGGCAUGAUCUUCUUGUCACCGGCACCACACCAUGAUCUCCAUCAUCAUGAUCUCCAUCAACGUGUCGCCAUCAGGGUUGUCAUGCUAAUUAUGCUAUUACAACUAAAGCUACGUCCUAGAAAUACAGUAAACACAUCUACAAAGACAAACGUUAGUUUAAAGAUAACCCUAUGGCUCCUGCCAGUUGCCUUACCAUCGACGUGCAAGUCGAUAUUAACUAUUACAACAUGAUCAUCUCAUACAUCCAAUAUAUCUCAUCACGUCAUUGGCCAUAUCAUAUCACAAGCAUACCGUGCAAAAACAAGUUAGACGUCCUCUAAUUUGUUGUUGCAUGUUUUACGUGGCUGCUAUGGGUAUCUAGUAGAUCGCAUCUUAUUUACGCAAAAACCACAACGGAGAUGUGCGAAUUGCUAUUUAACUUCUCCAAGGACCGCCCUGGUCAAAACCAAUUCAACUAAAGUUGAACAAACCGACACCCGCCAGUCAUCUUUAUGCAAAAAAGAUUGCAUGUCAAGCGAUGAAACCAGUCUUUCGUAAGCGUAUGAAUAAUGUCGGUCUGGGCCGCUUCAAUCCAACAAUACCGCCGAAUCGAGAAAAGACUAAGGAGGGCAGCAAAUCGAACAUCACCAUCCACAAAACCCAUUGUGUUCUACUCGAGAUAACAUCUACGCAUGAACCUAGCUCAUGAUGUUGUUGGGGGACGUCGCAUGGGAAACAAAAAAUUUCCUACGCACACGAAGACCUAUCAUGGUGAUGUCCAUCUAUGAGAGGAGAUUUGGAUCUAUGUACGCUUGUAGAUCGCAUAGCAGGAAGCGUUAAGAAAUGUGGUUGAUGUAGUGGAACAUCCUCACGUCCCUCGAUCCACCCCGCGAACCGUCCCACGAACCGUCCCACGAUCCGUCCCACGAACCGUUCCGAUCUAGUGCCGAACGGACGACACUUCCGCAUUCAGCACACGUAUAGCUCGACAAUGAUCUCGGCCUUCCUGAUCCAGCAAGCAAGACGGAGAAGUAGAUGAGUUCUCAGGCAGCGUGACGGCGCUCCGGUGGUGGUGAAGGAUCUACUCCUGCAGGGCUCCGCCCGAGCUCCGCAGAAAUACGAUCUAGAGGUAAAACUAUGGUGUCUAGAUCUGAGUUGCACGUGGCAAAAGUUGUCUCAAAUCAUCCCUAAAUCACCACUAUAUAUAGGAGGGAGGGGGAGGAGGCUUGCCUUGAGGGCAAAGCCCUCAAGGGUGCACCGGCUAGGGAGGAGGAGGAGUCCUACUCCAGUCCUACUCCAACUAGGAUUGGAAAGUGGAGUCCUUCCCUUCCUUCCCACCUUUCUUUUUUUAUUUUCUUUGGUUUUUAUCCUUGGCGCAUAGGCCCUCUUGGGUUGUCCCACCAGCCCACUAAUGGCUGGUGCGCCACCACUAGGGCCUUUGGGCUUCCCCCGGGAGGGUUGCCCUCCUCCCGGUGAACAUCCAGAACCCAUUCGUCACUCCCGGUACAAUCCCGGUAAUGCCCGAAAACCUUCCGGUAACCAAAUGAAGUCAUCCUAUAUAUCAAUCUUCGUCUAUGGACCAUUCCAGAAAUGCUCGUGACGUCUGUGAUCUCAUCUGGGACUCUGAACAACAUUCGGUAACCAUAGAUAUAACUCAACUAUAAUAAAACAUCACCGAACCUUAAGUGUGCACACCCUGCUGGUUCGAGAACUAUGUAGACAUGCCCCAAGGUACUCCUCGGUCAAUAUCCAAUAGCGAGACCUGGAAGCCCAUAUUGGAUCCUACAUAUUCUCCGAAGAUCUUAUCGGUUGAACCUCAGUGUCAAUGAUUCAUAUAAUUUCGUAUGUCAUUGCCUUUUGUCCUCCGGUAUGUUACUUGCCCGAGAUUCGAUCGUCGCUAUUCGCAUACCUAUUUCAAUCUCGUUACCGACAAUUCUCUUUACUCGUUCCCUAAUACAAGUUCCCAUGACUUACACUUAGUCACAUUGCUUGCAAGGCUUGUGUGUGAUGUUGUAUUACCGAGUGGGCCCCGAGAUACCUCUCCGUCAAACGGAGUGACAAAUCCCAAUCUUGAUCCGUACUAACUCAAAGGACACCUUCGGAGAUACCUGUAGAGCACCUUUAUAGUCACCCAGUAACAUUGUGACAUUUGAUGCACACAAGGUAUUCCUCCGGUGCCAAUGAGUUAUAUUAUCUCAUGGUCAUAGGAACAAAUACUUGACACGCAGAAAACUAUAGCAAUAAAACGACACAAUCAAUAUGCUACUUUCAUAGUUUGGGUCUAGUCCAUCACAUGAUUCUCCUAAUGAUGUGAUCCAGUUAUCAAGUAACAACACUUUGCACGUAGUUAGAAAACCAUGACUAUCCUUGAUCAACUAGCUAGACAACUAGAGGCUUGCUAGGGACAUUCUUUUGUCUAUGUAUCCACACAUGUAUCUAUGUUUUCAUUCAAUACAAUUAUAGCAUGGAUAAUAAAUGAUUAUCUUUAAACUAGAAAUAUAAUAAUAACUAUUUAUCAUUGCCUCUAGGGCAUAUUUCUAACAGUGGGCUGGUGCGCCUCCACAAUCAGCCUAAGCCGCAUCAAGGGGUGGAGGAGGCAACACCCUAGGCGUGGGGAGGCCACCUUGGGCCUCAAGGCCCACCCUAGGGUGCCUCCACCACGGUGGCUGCCACCCAAAGCCAUCUAGGGCUGCCGUACCCUUAGGGUGGGAAACCCUAAAGGGUGGGCAUCCUCCUCCCUCUCCUCCUAUAUAUAGUGAGGGUUUUGGGCUGAUUUGAGACAACAAUUUCUCUCUCUCUCUCAGCGCAGCCCUACUCCUCCUCAGUAGUGCUUGGCGAAGCCCUGUCGGAGUGCCACGUAGCUCCACCAUCACCACGCCGUCGUGUUGCCGGAGCUCUCCCUCAAUCUCUCCCUCCUUGCUAGAUCAAGGCGUUGGAGACGUCAUCGGGCUACACGUCUGUUGAACGCGGAGGCACCGUUGUUUGGUGCAUCGAUCAUAAUCCACCGUGAUCUCAAUCGCCGCGAGUACGACUCCAUCAAAAGUGGCUUCUGCUUAGCGAUCUUUAAAGGUAUGAAGAUGCUCUACCCCUUUUCUCGUUGUUGGUUUCUCCAUAGAUAGAUCCUUGCAUGACGUAGGAUUUUUUUUGAAAUUACUACGUUCCCCAACAGUGGCAUCCGAGCGAAGGUUCUUUGCGUAGAUUCUAUGCACGAGUAGAACACAAAAUUUGUGGGUGUUGAUUUUGUGAGUUGAUUGCCGUUACUAGUCUUAUCUUUAUUCGACGACAUUGUGGGAUGAAGCGGCCCGAACCAACUUUACACGUACUCUUACGUGAGACUGGUUCCACCGACCGACAUGCACUUGUUGCAUAAGGUGGCUAGCGGGUGUCUGUCUCUCCCACUUUACUCGGAUCAGAUUCAUUGAAGAGGGUCCUUAUGAAGGGUAAAUAGCAUUGGCACAUCAACGUUGUGGGUGUCACGUAGGUAAGAAGCGUUCUUGCUAGAAACCCUAAUCAGCCACGUAAAACUUGCAACCACAAUUGGAGGACGUCUAACUUGUUUUUGCAGGGUAUGCUAUGUGAUGUGAUAUGGCCAAAAGGAUGUGAUGUCACAUAUGUGAUGUAUGAGAUUGAUCAUGUUCUUGUAAUAGGAUUCACGAUUUGCAUGUCGAUGAGUAUGACAACCGGCAGGAGCCAUAGGAGUUGUCUUAAUUUAUUGUAUCAGAUGCGGAUUGGGCUCAUAACUUAAAGCUCAUCCUCACAGCUUGCAAGAAGGCAUAUGUCCUUAAUGCACCGCUAGGUUAUCCUCCCGUUCCUGCGGCAACCCAGGACAUUAGGAACGCCUGACAGUCGCGGAGUGAUGACUACUCUCUGGUUCAGUGCGACAUGCUUUAUAGUUUAGAAUCGGGGCUCCAAAGGCAUUUUGAGCAACACGGAGCAUAUGAGAUGUUCGAGGAGUUGAAACUUGUCUUUCAAGCUCAUGCCUGGGUCAAGAGAUAUGAAGUCUCCGACAAGUUCUUUAGAUGUAAGAUGGAGGAGAAUAGUUUUGUCAGUGAGCACAUACUCAGAAUGUAUGGGUUGCACAACUGCUUGACUCACUUGGGAGUUGAACUUCCGGAUGAUGCGGUCAUUGAUAGAAUCCUCCAGUCGCUUCCACCUAGCUAUAAAGGCUUUUUGAUGAAAUACAACAUGCAAGGGAUGGAAAAGACUAUUCCUGAGUUGUAUUCAAUGCUGAAAUCUGCGGAGGUAGAAAUCAAGAAAGAACAUCAAGUGUAGAUGGUGAAUAAGACCAGUAGUUUCAAGAAAGGCAAAGGUAAAAAGAACUGCAAGAAAGACGGCAAAGCAGUUGCCGCGCCCAGUAAACCAGUUGUCGGGAAGAAACCAAAGAAAUGACCUAAGCCUGAGACUGAGUGCUAUUACUGCAAGGGAACCGGACACUGGAAGCGGAAUUGCCCUAAGUACUUAGCGGACAAGAAGGCCCGCAACGUCAAAGGUAUAUGUGAUACACUUGUUAUUAAUGUGUACCUUACCAGCGCUCGUAGUAGCUCCUGGGUACUUGAUAACGCUGUUGUUGCUCACAUUUGCAACUCUAAGAAGGAACUGUGGAACAAGCGUAGGCUAUGAUGAUGCGCAUCGGGAAUGGUUCCAAGAUCGAUGUGAUCGCCAUCGGCACGCUACCUCUACAUCUACCCUCGAGAUUAGUUUUGAACCUUAAUAAUUGUUAUUUAGUACUAGCUUUGAGCAUGAACAUUGUAUCGGGAUCUCGCUUGAUGCAAGAUGGCUACUUAUUGAAAUAUGAGAAUAAUGGUUGUUCUAUUUAUAUGAGUGGUAUGUUUUAUUUUCAUGCCACGCUCGUCAAUGGUUUAUUCCUGAUGAAUGUCGAUCGUGAUGUUACACAUAUUCAUAGUGUGAGUACCAAAAGAUGUAAGGUUGAUAAUGAUAGUCCCACAUACUUGUGGCACUACCGCCUUGGUCAUAUCGGUGUCAAGCGCAUGAAUAAACUCCAUACACAUGGACUUUUGGAGUCUCUUGAUUUUGAAUCAUUUGACACAUACGAACCAUGCCUCAUGGGCAACAUGACCAAGACUCCGUUCUCCGGAACAAUGGGCCGAGCAACCAACUUAUUGGAAAUAAUACAUACCGAUGUAUGCGGUCCAAUGAGCGUGGAGACUCGCGGAGGCUAUCUUUAUGUUCUCACCCUCACUGAUGAUUUAAGUAGAUAUGGGUAUGUCUACCUAAUGAAGCACAAGUCUGAAACCUUUGAAAGGUUCAAGGAAUUUCAGAGUGAGGUGGAGAAUCAACGUGACAAGAAAAUAAAGUUUCUACGAUGUGAUUGUGAAGGAGAAUGUUUGAGUCAUGAGUUUGGCACACACCUAAGGAAAUGUGGAAUUGUUUCACAACUCACGCCGCCUAGCACAACACAGCAUAACAUUGUGUCUGAACGGCGUAAUCGCACUCUAUUGGAUAUGGUGCGAUCUAUGAUGUCUCUUACUGAUUUACCGCUAUCAUUUUGGGGAUAUGCAUUGGAAACUGAUGCAUUCAAUUUAGAUAGGGAACCGUCUAAAUCCGUUGAGACGACAACGUAUGAAUUUUGGUUUGGCAAGAAACCUAAGCCAUCGUUUCCGAAAGUUUAGGACUGCGAUACUUAUGUGAAGAAACUUCAACUAGAGAAUCUCGAACCCAAAGCAGAAAAAUGCGUCUUCAUAGGAUACCCUGAGGAAACUAUUGGAUACACCUUCUAUCAUAGAUCCGAAGGCAAAAUCUUUGUUGCCAAGAACGAAUCCUUUCUAGAGAAAGACUUCCUCUCGAAAGAAGUAAGUGGGAGGAAAAUAGAACUUGAUGAGGUAAAUGUACCCCCUCUCGAACCGAAGAGUAGCGCAGCACAAGAAAAUGUUUCUGAGGUGCCAGCACCGGCUAGAGAAGAAGUUAAUGAUGAUGAUCAUGAAACUUCAGAUCAAGUUGCUUUUGAACCUUGAAGGUCCACAAUGACACGUUUUGCACUAGAGUGGUACGGCAACCCCGUCAUGGAAAUCAUGUUGUUAGACAACAAUGAACCUUCGAACUAUGAAGAAGCGACGGCGGGCCUGGAUUCCAACAAAUGGCAUGAGGCCAUGAAAUCCGAGAUAGGAUCCAUGUAUGAGAACAAAGUAUGGACUUUGGUGGACUUGCCCGAUGAUCGGCGAGCGAUAGAAAAUAAAUGGAUCUUUAAGAAGAAGACUAACGCGGAUGGUAAUGUGACAAUCUAUAAGGCUCGACUAGUCGCUAAGGUUUAUCGACAAGUUCAAGGGAUUGACUACGACGAGACUUUCUCACCCGUAGUGAUGUCGAAGUCGGUCUGAAUCAUGUUAGCAAUUGCUGCAUUUUAUGAUUAUAAAAUAUGGCAAAUGGACGUCAAAACAGCAUUCCUGAACGGCUUUCUUAAGGUAGAAUUUUAUAUGAUACAGUCGGAAGGUUUUGUCGAUCCUAGCAAUGCUAACAAGGUAUGCAAGCUCCAGCGCUACAUCUAUGGGCUGGUGCAAGCAUCUCGGAGUUGGAACAUUCGCUUCGAUGAGGUGAUCAAAGCGUUUGGGUUUGUACAGACUUAUGGAGAAGCCUGUAUUUACAAGAAAGUGAGUGGGAGCUCUGUAGCAUUUCUCAUAUUAUAUGUGGAUGACAUAUAAAGGCAUAUUUGGAUAGGAGUUUUUCAAUGAAGGAUCUUGGAGAAGCUGCUUACAUAUUAGGCAUCAAGAUCUAUAGAGAUAGAUCGAGGUGUCGCAUAGGUCUUUCACAAAGCAGAUACCUUGAUAAGAUAUUGAAUAAGUUCAAUAUGGAUAAGGUUAAGAAGGGGUUCUUGCCUAUAUUACAAGGUGUGAGGUUGAGUACGACUCAACGCCCGACCACGGCAAAAGAUAGAGAAAAGAUGAGUAUCGUCCCCUAUGUUUCAUCCAUAUGCUCUAUUAUGUAUGCCAUGUUGUGUACCAGACCUGAUGUGAACCUUGCCAUAAGUUUGGUAGGGAGGUACCAAAGUGAUCCAGAAGUGGAUCACUGGACAGCGGUCAAGAACAUCCUUAAGUACCUGAAAAGGACUAAAGAUAUGUUUCUCGUUUAUGAGGUGCCGAAGAGCUCGUCGUAAAGGGUUACGUCGAUGCUAGAUUUGACACAAAUCCGGAUGACGCCAAGUCACAAACCGGAUACGUGUAUAUUUUGAAUAAUGGGACAGUUAGCUGGUGCAGUUGCAAGCAAAGUGUUGUGGCAGCAUCUACAUGUGAAGCCGAGUACAUAGCUGCUUCGGAAGUAGCACAUGAAGGAGUCUCGAUGAAGGAGUUCAUCACCGACCUAGGGGUGAUUCCCGGUGCGUCGGGCCCGAUGACUCUGUUCUGCGACAACACUGGAGCUAUUGCCAUUGCAAAGGAGCCCCGGUUUCACAAGAACACCAAGCACAUCAAGCGCCGCUUCAACUCCAUUCGUGGAUACAUCCAGGAUGGAGAUAUAGAUAUUUGUAAAGUACAUGCGGAUCUGAAUGUCAUAGAUCCAUUGACUAGACCUCUUCCACGAGUGAAACAUGAUCAUCACCAGAAAUCUAUGGGUGUUCGAUUCAUCACAAUGUAGCUGGAUUAUUGACUCUAGUGCAAGUGGGAGACUGUUGGAAAUAUGCCACACAGGCAAUAAUAAAGUGGUUAUUAUUAUAUUUCCUGGUUCAUGAUAAUUUUCUAUUAUUCAUGUUAUAAUUUUAUUUACCGGAAACCGUAAUAUAUGUGUGAAUAUAUAGAUCACAAUGUGUCCCUAGUAAGACUCUAGUUGGCUAGCUCGAUGAUCAAUAAAUAAUCAAGGUUUCGUGAUCAUGGACAUUUGAUGUCAUUGAUAACGUGAUGGACAAGACCCAAUCCUAAGCAUAGCACUAGAUCAUGUUGUUCGUGUGCUAAAUCUUUCCUAUUGUCAAGUACCGUUUCCUUAGACCAUGAGAUUGUGCAACUCCUGGAUACUGUAGGAGUGCAUUGGGUGUAUCAAACGUCACAACGUAACUGUGUGAUUAUAAAGGUGCACUACGGGUAUCUCCGAAAGUGUGUGUUGGGUUUUACGAAUCGAGACUAGGAUUUUUCACUCCGUGUGAUGGAGAGGUAUCUCUGGGCCCACUCGGUAAUACAUCAUCAUACUGAGCUCAAUGUGACUAAGGAGUUGGCCAUGAGAUGAUGUGUUACGGAAUGAGUAAAGAGACUUGCCAUACCGAUGAUUGAAUCUCGAGCAAGUAUCAUACUGGUACGCAGAGGGAAUGGCAUACGGGAUUGAUUGAAUCCCCGACAUCGUGGUUCAUCCAAUGAGAUAAUCGUGGAACAUGUGGGAACCAACAUGGAUAUCCAGACCCCGCUAUUGGUUGUUGACAGGAGAGGUGUCUCGGUCAUGUCUGCAUGCUUCACGAAGCCGUAGGGUCUACAUACUUAAGGUUCGAUGGUGCUAGGGUUAUAGGGGAAUAGUGUACGUGGUUACCGAAGGCUUUUCGGAGUCCAAGAUGAGAUGCCAGAUGUCACGAGGAGUUCACGAGUGGUUCGGAGGUAAAGAUUCAUAUAUAGGAAGUGAGGAUUUGGUCACCGGAAGUGUUUCGGGCGACACCCGUAAUGUACCGGGACCACCGAAUGAGUUCUGGGGGUCCACUGGCAAGGGCCACCAGCCCCAAGCUGCUACAUGGGCUAAAAGUGGGAGAUGCACCUCCACAACUAGUCCAAGGUGCGGCAAGGGGUGGAGGAGGCAAAACCCUAGGCGUGGGGAGGCCACCUUGGGCCUCAAGGCCCACCCUAGGGCGCCUCCACCACCUUGGCCGCCGCCCAAAGCCAUCUAGGGUUGUCGCACCCUUAGGGUGGGAAACCCUAAAGGGUGGGCACCCUCCUCCCUCUCCUCCUAUAUAUAGUGAGGGUUUUGGGCUGAUUUGAGACAACAAUUUCUCUCUCUCACGGCGCAGCCCUACUCCUCCUCCGUAGUGCUUGGCGAAGCCCUAUCGGAGUGCCACGUAGCUCCACUGUAACCACGUUGUGGUUCUGCUGGAUAUCUCCCUCAAUCUCUCCUCCCUCCUUUCUGGAUCAAGGAGUUGGAGACAUCACCGGGCUGCACAUGUGUUGAACGCGGAGGCACCGUCGUUCGGUGCAUAGAUUGGAAUCCACCGUGAUCUGAAUCGCCGCGAGUAUGACUCCAUCAACCGCGUUCUAGCAAUGCUUCCGCUUAGUGAUCUUCAAAGGUAUGAAGAUGAUCUACCCCUUUGCUCGUUGUUGGUUUCUCCAUAGAUAGAUCCUUGCAUGACGUAGGAUUUUUUUUGAAAUUACUAGGUUCCCCAACAGCGACACUGCCAGAGCUCGAAGCUACUGCCGCGUCUGCCUGCUGCUCGCUGGUGAGAUUCCCGUUGUUCUUUGGAAAACAAGGCUCCGUAUUUGUGCCUAUUCAAAAGAUGUCGCGCUCAUAACUUGACACAAGCACUGAGUUAUCCUAGUGGUCAUGCGUGCAUGAUAACCCACAAGUGUAGGGGAUCGCAACAGUUUUCGAGGAUAGAGUAUUCAACCCAAAUUUAUUGAUUCGACACAAAGGGAAGCGAAAGAAUAUUCUCAAGUAUUAGCAGCUGAGUUUGUCAAUUUCAACCACACCUGAAAUAUUAUUGUCUGCAAGCAAAGUACCAGUAGCAAAGUGGUAUGAUAGCAAUGGUGUCAGAAAAAGAUUUGUUGACAGCAGACUAUUCCUAACUGUUGUAUCAAUGGCGCCAGUAAAUAGCACGUGGAUGGGGAACUAUUCUUCCCCGGGAACGGCAACAGAAAAGUCUUGCAACAAGUAGCAGCAAAGUAACACCAGUAGUGACAGUAGUAGCAAGGAAGAGCAGUAGUGACAGCAGCAGCAAGUAACAGCAGAGUAACAACAGUAGCAAGUAACAGUACUAAAAGACGCGUAGGCAGUGGAUCGAUUAUGGAUGAGUAUGCCGGAUGUGAUUCAUCAUGUAACAUCUAUAACACGGAGAGAUAUGUAACUAGCUCCCGUUCGUCAAUCUAAUGUAGGCAUGUAUUUCGUAUGUAGUCAUACAUGCUUAGGGAAAAGAACUUGCAUGACAUCUAUUGUCCAUCCCUCCCGUGGAAGCAGGGUCCUAAUGGAAACUACGGGAUAUUAAGGUUCUCCUUUUAAUAAAGAAUCGGACCAACGCAUUAACACUUGGUGAAUACAUGAACUCCUCAUACUAUGGUCAUCUCGGGGAGUGGUUCCGGCUAUUGUCACUCCGGGGUUGCCGGGUCAUAACACAUAGUAGGUGACUACAACUUGCAAGAUAGGAUUUAAAACACACAUAUAUUGGCGACAACAUAAUAGGUUCAGAUCUGAAAUCAUGGCACUCGGGCCCUAGUGGCAUGCAUUAAGCAUGGCAAAGUAGUAGCAACAUCAAUCUCAGAACAUAGUGGAUACUAGGGAUCAAUCCCCGUCAAAACUAACUCGAUUACAUGAUAGACCUCAUCCAAUUCAUCACCGUCCAGGAAGCCUACGAUGAGAUUACUCAUGAACGGUGAAGAGCAUCAUGGAAUUGUUGAUGGAGGAAGGUUGAUGAUGACGAUGGUGAUGAUUUCCCCUCUCCGGAGCCCAAAACGGACUCCACAUCUGUCCUCAGAUGAAGAACAGGAGGUGGCGGCGCCUCCAUAUCGUAAAACGCGAUGAAUCAUUCUCCCUGAUUUUUUUUCGGGCGAGACGGAAUAAAUAGAGCUGAGUUUGGGGGUGGUGGUGCCACGUGGGCCCCACAAGCCCUCACGGCGCAGCCUAGGGGGGUGGCCGCGGCCUAGGGGCUUGUGGCCCACUGGCACACCCCCUCUGGUGGAUCUUUGCGCAGGUAUUUUUCAUUAAUUCCACAAAAAUUCUCCAUAAAUUUUGAGGACAUUCCGAGAACUUUUAUUUUUGCACAAAAACAACACCAUGGCAAUUUUGCGGAAAACAGCGUUAGUCCGGGUUAGUUCCAUUCAAAUCAUGCAAGUUAGAGUGCAAAACAAGGGCAAAAGAGUUCGGAAAAGUAGAUACGACGGAGACGUAUCAACUCCCCCAAGCUUAAAGCCUUGCUUGUCCUCAAGCAAUUCAGUUGACAAACUGAAAGAGACAAAAGAAAAACUUUGACGAACUUUGUUUGGUCUUGUUGUUGCAACUAUGUCUAACUCAUAACUAGAAUUUCAGCAAGAUCACAAGCAAACCACAUAAGCAAAUGACAUCUAGGUCUCACGGUAAAUUCAUAUCAAUGGCAUAAUCAACUAGCGAGAAAAUAAUAAUAAGCCUCAAAUGUCAACACUUCAAUCAAAACAACAUGAAGUAGUACGAACAGAUGGUAUCUCGCUAGCUCUUUCUGAGACCGCAAAACAUAAAUGCAGAGCACCUUCAAAGACCAAGGGCUGACUAAACAUUGUAAUUCAAGGCAAUGAAGAUCCAGUCACAGUCAUACUCAACACAGUUAAAAGAAAAGCAUAAAAAUGACAGAGUGCUCUCUAAUUGGUGCUUUUUGUAAGAGGAGGAUGACUCAACAGGAACAUAAAUAGACAGGCCCUUCGCAGAGGGAAGCAUUGAUUUGUAGAGGUGCCAGAGCUCAAGCUUUUAAAACAGAGAUAAUAAUUUUGGGUGGCAUGCUUUCAUUGUCAACACAAUGACUAAGAGUUCCCAACAUCUUCCAUGCUACACAUGCUAUAGGCGGUUCCCAAACAGAAAAGUAAUGUUUUGACUCCCCCACCACCAAUCAAUCACACUCCACGGCUAGCCGAAUCCUCGGGUACUAUCCAUACCGAUAUCAAUCCUGGGGGAGUUUUGUUUGCAAUUAUCUUUUCGAUUUGAGCAUGGAACUAGGAAUUCCAAUUACCGGCCCCUUUCUCGUGAAUGAUAGUGAAUAAACACAUAUCGAGGAUAACACGCCUAGCAUGGAAGAUACCAAUAGCCCUCUGUCACCACAUGAGCGGUUCGGGCAUGCAAAACAGAUUAUUUCUUGAAGGUUUAGAGAGUGGCACAUGCAAAUUUACUUGAAACGGCAGGUAGAUACCGCACAUAGGUAGGUAUGGUGGACUUGUAUGGAAAAACUUUGGGUUUAUGGAAGUGGAUGCACAAGCAGUAUUCCCGCUUAGUACAAGUGAAGGCUACCAAAAGACUGGGAAACGACCAAAUAGAGAGCGACAACAGUCAUCAAAAUGCAUUGAGAUUAACUAACAUUGAGUGCAAGCGUGAGUAGGACAUAAAUCACCAUGAACAUGAAUAUCAUAGAGGCUAUAUAUGUUGAUUUUGUUUCAACUACAUGCGUAAACAUGCGCCAAGUCAAGCCACUUGAAUCAUUCAAAGGAGGAUACCAUCAUGUCAUACUACAACACAGUCAUCUCCACAUUCAUGUGGGCAUCCAAGACAAACCAUUAUAAGCUCCUAGCUAAGUAAGCAUGGCAUAAGCAACUAUGAUCUCUAAGUUGUCAUUGCAAACAUGUUUCUCUCACAACAAAGCUGAAUCAGGCAUGAUGAGCUAGUCAUAUUUACAAAAACAAAAUAGAUUGAGUUUAUACCAGCUUUUCCAGGCUCAGUCACUUCAUCAUAUAUCGUCAUUAUUGCCUUUCACUUGCACGACCGAACGAUGUGAAUAAUACUAAGAUUGCUCGUGCAUUGGACUAAAGCUAGAAUAUGUAGGCAAACCCAAAGGAGAAGACAAAGUAAUAUGGCUCUUUGAAAGCUAAACAGGUAUGCAUGCAAGAGCCACUAAACAUUGUAACCAAUAUCUUCUACCUUGACCCAAAGAAAAAGAAAACUAAUUACACGGGAAAGCUCCCAACAAGCAAAAGAAGAAAAAGAAAAUCUUUUUGGUGUUUCUCAAACUAGACAGACACACGAAAAGAAAACGAGAAAAAGAAAAUAAACUAGCAUGGAUGAUACAGUGGCAAAGUGUGAACACCGGCUAACAAAGUGAAAGCAUAAGCAAGAAUGUAAAGUCGGUGAGAACGCGUACUCCGCAAAGCUUAGGCUUCUGGCCUAAGUUGGUCUACUCCCAAGGAGGGAAAUAAGGAGCUCCGGGGUACUUUUCCACCGGACGCUAAGACAGAAAACUGGGAAAACUGAACUAAAUCUAUCAUUUUCCUUCUAAGCAACCUAAAGUGAAAGCUUGGAACGGAGGUUUGUGACUCCUCAAUUCAUCCAUCUCAUGGUUAUCGAAAGAAAAUCCGUCAGUGAGGUUGAUCAAGUCUCUUUGACAAACCUUUUCGAAUCGCAAAAGAAGACGGAGAAUUUCCGAAUAGUAAGUAGGUCACCUCAAUGGGGAUAUGUAUCUCCCCAACAAGCAAAUCAUACUUCAUCUAGACACGAGGAAUAGGGCAUUCAAAGCUCCCAAUAAGAAUCGAUGAAGUUUUUUCGAUAGCAUUGAUGCAAUGUACUCGAUAUUGUUUCUUCAGAAAGUGCAUCGUAUGCUCAUUACUGUUGACAUGGAAAGUGACAUUGCCUUUGUUGCAAUCUAUAACAGCCCCUACAAUGUUUAAAAAGGGUCUUCCGAGGAUGACCACCAUAGCAUCGUCCUCGGGAAUAUCCAAGAUAACAAAGUCUGUUAAGAUAGUGACAUUAGCAACCACAACAGGCACAUCCUUGCAAAUGCCAAUAGGGAAAGCAGUUGAUUUGUCGGCCAUUUGCAAAGAGAUUUCAGUGGGUGUCAACUUAUCUAGUUCAAGUCUAUGAUAAAGAGAGAGAGAGGCAUAACACUAACACCGGCUCCAAGGUCGCAUAACGCGGUUCUAACGUAGUUGCCUUUAAUGGAGCAAGGUAUAGUGGGCACACCGGGAUCACCUAGUUUCUUACGAGUUCCACACUUGAAGGAAUAAUUUGCAAGCAUGGUGGAAAUCUCAACCUCAGGUAUCCUCCUCUUAUUAGUCACAAUAUCUUUCAUGUACUUAGCAUACGGAGACAUUUUGAGCAUAUUUGUCAAAUGCAUUUGCAGAAAAACGGGUCUGAUCAUUUCAACAAAUCGCUCGAAAUCCUCAUCAUCCUUUUUCUUGGAUGGUUUGGGAGGAAAGGGCAUGGGUUUCUGAACACAUGGUUCCCUUUCUUUACCAUGCUUCCUAGCAGCGAACUCAUUCUUAUCGUAUCUCUUAUUCUUAGGAUGUGGGUUAUCAAGAUCAACAGGUUCAAUCUCCACAUCCUUAUCAUUUCUAGGUUGAGCAUCAACAUGAACAUCACUAUUGAUAUUAUCAUUAGGCUCAUGUUCAUCACCAGAUUGUGUUUCAGCAUCAGAGACAGAGACAUCGUUUGGACUCUCAGGUGUAGCAGCAACAGGGUUGCUAGCGUGCAAGUUACUAUCAUCUUUCUUCUUCUUUCUAGGAUGACUAGGUGCAUCAGUGCUAACUCCUUGAAAAAAUCUUGUUCAAUCCUCUUCGGAUAACCCUCAGGAUACAAAGGUUCCUGGGUCAUUCUACCGCCUCUAGUGACGACUUUAACAGAAUUGUCAUUCAUCUCAUUGAGCAAGUCAUUCUGAGUUUGAAGUACUUGUUCUACCUGAGUAGUAACCAUAGAGGCAUGUUUUCUCAGAAGCUUUAGAUCGUUGACGUUUCUGUCCACACAAGCACUUAAAUGACUAAGCAUACGAGCAUUCUGUUCCAAUUGUCUGCUAACAUAAUCAUUGAAGCUUUGCUGUUUGGCAACAAAGUUAUCAAGUCCAUCCAGGCAUGGGCUAGCAGGUUUAUCAAAAGGAAUAGUGAUAACCCACAAGUAUAGGGGAUCAAUUGUAGCCUUUCUCGAUAAGUAAGAGUGUCGAACCCAACCAGGAGCUAAAGGUAGGACAAAUAUUCCCUCAAGUUCUAUCAACCACUCAUACAACUCUACGCACACUUUAUGUCCGCUUUACCUUGAACAACUAUGAAACUAGAAGUACUUUGUAGGAGUGAUAGGAUAGGCUUGCAAGAAAGUAAAGAACACGUAAAUAAAACUAGGGGCUGGUUAGAUAAAGAAACAACUACGAGUGUCUAACGAGUGUGGAAAAGUGGUGGUAGGAGUUGCGGAAUUGUCCCUAAGCAAUUGACUACGUUACUAGAUCGAUAGCAAAUAUCAUGUGGGAGAGGCCUCUACUAGCAUGUCAUCCCUUACUUGGAAUUCUAUGCACUUAUGAUUGGAACUAUUAACAAGCGUCCGGAACUACUAACGUUCAUUAAGGUGAAACCCAACCAUAGCAAUAAGAUAUAUUGGUCCCCCUUCAAUCCCAUAUGCAUCAAUUUCUAUGCUAGGUUUGAAGCUUCUUUCACUCUAACCUGCCAAUACAUAGUCCUAUCAACAUACAACUAACCCUAUGGUGUGAUCCACGUGCGCAAUCAUAUGAUGGGCACCAAUGGACAACAACAUAACCACAAGCAAAUUAAACAAUCAUAGCAAUUCAUCAAUCACCGAUAGGACAACGAUAAUCUACUCAGACAUCAUAGGAUAGCAACACAUCAUUGGAUAAUAAUAUGUAGCAUAAAGCACCAUGUUCAAGUAGAGGGUACACUGGGUUGCGGGAGAGUGAACCGCUGAAUAUAGAUGGGGAAGAUGAUGGAGAUGUUGGUGAAGAUGACGGAGGUGUUGGUCUAGAUCGUCGUCACACGAUGAUGUCCCGAGCGGCGUUCCGGCGCCGCCGGGAGAGAGGGGGAGAGAGCCCCCCUCCUUCUUCUUCUUCCUUGACCUCCUCCCUAGAUGGGAGAAGGGUUUCCCUAUGGUCCAUGGUCUCCAUGGCGGCGGUGGGGCGAGAGCCCCUCCGAGAUUGGAUCUCUCUCUCUGUGUCCUUCUAUUUCUGCGCUCCCAGAUUCUGAGUUUCACCGUUUCUUAAAUUCCCGGAGACCUCAAACUCUGAUUGGGCUGAAAUUUUAACAUGAUUUUCUUCCGGAUAUUAUCUUUCUUGCGGCGCAAUAAGGGCUCCAACCGCCUUAAGGACUGGCCACAAGCCUGCCUGCCGCGGGCCCACCCCCUGGCCACGGCGACAUGGUUUGUGGGCACUCCGUGCAUCGCCUUGCGUUGAUUCUUCUUCCCAAAAAUCAUAAAUAUUCCAAAAAAAUCCCCGUAAGUUUUUAUUACGUUUAGACUUCGUUUGGUAUGUAUAUUCUGCGAAACGAAAAACAUGCAAAAAACAGGAACUGGCACUGGGCACUGGAUCAAUAUGUUAGUCCCAAAAAUAGUAUAAAAAGUUGCCAAAAGUAUAUGAAAGUUGUAGAAUAUUGGCAUGAAACAAUCAAAAAUUAUAGAUACAACGGAUACGUAUCAGCAUCCCCAAGCUUAAUUCCUGCUCGUCCUCGAGUAGGUAAAUGAUAAAAAAGAUAUUUUUUUAUGUGGAAUGCUACCUAUCAUAAUCUUGAUCAUAUAAUCUAAUCAUGGCAUGAAUACUAAAACACGAGUGAUUCGAAGCAAUAGUCUAUCAUUUGACAUAAAGACUAUAAUAUUCCAAGCAUACUAACAAAGCAAUCAUGUCUUCUCAAAAUAUCAUGGCCAAAGAAAGUUAUCCCUACAAAAUCAUAUAGUCUGACUAUGCUCCAUCUUCCCCACACAACGUAUUUAAAUCAUGCACAACCCCGGUUUUAGCCAAGCAAUUGUUUCAUACUUUAGUGCUCUCAAACCUUUUCAACUUUCACGCAAUACAUGAGUGUGAGUCAUGGAGAUAGCACUAUAGGUGUAAUAGAAUAUGGUGGUCGUGGAGAAGACAAAAAAAGGAGGACAUAGUCUCACAUCAACUAGGCGUAUCAACGGGCUAUGGAGAUGCCCAUCAAUAGAUAUCAAUGUGAGUGAGUAGGGAUUGCCACACAACGGAUGCAGUAGAGCUUAUAAGUGUAUGAAAGCUCACAAAAGAAACUGGUGGGUGUGCACCCAACUUGCUUGCUCACGAAGACCUAGGUCAAUUUUGAGGAAGCCCAUCAUUGGAAUAUACAAGCCAAGUUAUAUAAUGAAAAUUUCCCACUAGUAUAUGGAAGUGACAACAUAGGAGACUCUCUGUCAUGAAGAUCAUAGUGCUAUUUUAAGCACAAGUGUGGAAAGAGGAUAGUAGCAAUUGCCCCUUCUCUCUUUUCUCUCAUUUUUUUGUGGGCUCUUUGGCCUCUUUUUUUAUAUUUUUUCUAUUUUUAUUUUGGUGGGCAUAUUUGGCCUCUUUUUUGUAAAUGGGCUUCGUUGGCCUCUUUUAUUUCCUCACAUGGGACAAUGCUCUAUUAAUAAUGAUCAUCACACUUACAACUCAAUACUUAGAGCAAUGACGACUCUAUAUGAAAUGCCUUCGGUAGUGUACCGUGACAAUGAUCUAGCAUAGCAAUGACAUCAAAAAACGGACAAGCCAUGGAAACAUCAUGCUAGCUAUCUUACGAUCAUGCAAUGGCAAUAUGGAAGUGGUGGCACAUGUCAUGAGACGGAACGGUGGUAGUUGCAUGGCAAUAUAUCUUGGAAUGGCUAUGAAAAUGCCAUAAUAGGUAGGUAUGGUGGCUGUUUUGAGGGAGGCUAUAUGGUGGGUGUAAUGCACCGGCGAAAGUUGCGCUGUACUAGAGAGGCUAGCAAUGGUGGAAGGGUGGGAAUGGCUAUGAAAAUGCCAUAAUAGGUAGGUAUGGUGGCUGUUUUGAGGGAGGCUAUAUGGUGGGUGUAAUGCACCGGCGAAAGUUGCGCGGUACUAGAGAGGCUAGCAAUGGUGGAAGGGUGAGAGUGCGUAUAAUCCAUGGACUCAACAUUAGUCAUAAAGAACUCACAUACUUAUUGCAAAAGUCUAUUAGUCAUCUAAACAAGGUACUACACGCAUGCUCCUAGGGGAAAGUUUGAUAGGAGGUAAACAUCGCGCGAUCCCGACCUCCACACAAAGGAAGACAAUCAAUAAAUAAAUCAUGCUCCAACUUCAUCACAUAACGGUUCACCAUACGUGCAUGCUACAGGAAUCACAAACCUUAACACAAGUAUUUCUAAAAAUACACAAUUACUCACUAGCAUGACUCUAAUAUCACAUAUUCAUGUCACAAAACUGUUGCAAGGAAUCAAACAUAUCAUAUUCAGUGAUCUGCAAGUCUUAUGUAGGAUUUUGUGAAUAACCAUGUGAAUGACCAACUCCUGUUAACUCUCAAAAUAGGUAUAAGUGAAGCAUGAGAGUUUAAUUCUUUCUACAAAAGAUAUGCCCCGCUCUAACAAAUAUAACUGAAGCAAAAGAGCAUUCUACAAAUGGCGCUUUUCUAUGUGUAGGGAAACAGGCAAUCCAAACUUCAAAAGAUAUAAGUGAAGCACAAGAAGCAUUCUAUAAAGCCAACCAAGGACUAUCUCAUACCAGCAUGGUGCAUAAAAUAAAAAGGAAAAAUAAACACAAAAGACGCUCCAAGCAUUUGCACAUAUCAUGUGACGAAUUAAAAUAUAGCUCCGAGUAAAAUUACCGAUAGAUUGUAGACGAAAGAGCGGAUGCCUUCCGGGGCAUCCCCAAGCUUAGACGUUUGAGUCUUCCUUGAAGAUUACCUUGGGUUGCCUCGGGCAUCCCCAAGCUUAGGCUCUUGCCUCUCCUUAUUCCUUCAUCCAUCGUGCUCUCAUCCAAACCUUGAAAACUUCAAUCACACAAAACUCAACAAAACUUUGUGAGAUCUGUUAGUAUAAUAAAAUAAAUCACCACUUCAAGUAAUGUUGUGAACUCAUUCUAAAUUCAUAUUAGCAUUAUAUCUAAUGUAAUCCAACUUCACCAUGGUUCAUACCCCCCGAUACUACCCAUAGAUUCAUCAAAAUAAGAGAACAAUGCAUAGAAAACAGAAUCUGUCAAAACAGAACAGUCUGUAGCAAUCUGUAUAUUCCUUAUAUUCUGAUAUCUCACAAAAUCUGAAAAAUUACGAACGUCUGGAAAAUUUGCAUAUCAAUCUGCAGCAACAAGAAUCAACUCAAAAUCUCUUCCAGAAUAAAAAUGAAAAUUAAGUUCGUGAGCAAAAAGUUUCUGUCUUUUCUCAGCGUGAUCAAACAACUAUCACCCAAACUAAUCAUAAAGGCUUUACUUGGCACAUUAUUUUUAAAAACACAAAGGAAUUGUACAAGGGGAUAAAUAUUUUUGUGAGAAACUUCCAUGAAAAAUUCUACAUUGUUUCCAUGAGCAUGAGCACAAGUGUUCAAGGUCGAUUCUCACUUCCGCAAUGCAUCACCUUUCAAUCGCUUCUCCUUUUUAAAAAGUUUUAAGUUCCCCUCUAUAAUUUUUUUUUUGUUUUUAAACUAAAUAAAAGCACUCAACAGAAAUAAAUGACUCUCUAAAACUUCCGGGUUGUAUCCCAGGCAGCGCUUUCUUUAAAGCCAUUAAGCUAGGCAUAAAGUGCUCAAGUAAUGGAUCCACCCUCCCAAGGUAUAUCAAAGCCAAUUUUAAUUAGCAAUGAUUUGAAAUUUAUUAGUGAGCACAAGGUAACAUAUAUCAUGCAAUUACGAAGUCUAACUCUCUUCCUAUGCAUUGGCAUGUCAUAAAAGAACAAUUCAUGCACACCAAGUAAUGGCCAAUACAUAGCAUAAGCAGUUUCUUGCAAUUUUAUCGUACUGGAAACAUAGAGGGUGGAGAUGUAGUUCCUCUCUCAUAAUAAUUGCAAGUAGGAGCAGCAAUCACAUGCAUAUUAUAUUCAUAAAAAUCAUCAUGUGUAACAUAAGGAACUAUAGCUAGCUCAUCUUCAUAAGCAUCAUUCAUAAUGGCAUCAUGGCCACAAGCAUAGCAAGCAUCAAGUUCAUCAAAAAGGGAUAUUUCAAACGAAACAAGGGUUCAUAGCAUUCAUCCUUCGGUAAGAACGAAGGGAAAUUAAAUAAUGUAUGAGUAGAAGAGUUACUCUCAUUAGAAGGUGGACACGGGUAGCUAGUCCGCUCUUCCUCCUUUUGUUCUUCGCUCUCCUCUUCAUCUUUUUCAUCUAAUGAGCUCACAAUUUCAGCAUUUUCUUUUUCCAUAGUUUCCUGCAAAAUAAUAGUCUCUUCUUGGGCAACAUAGGAUUUCUCCUUAAAUCGUUCAAUAUGGGCAUUAUAUUCAUAAUGAGUAUAACAAUAACGAAGCAUAGCCAAAUUUUCAGAUCAGUAAGGAGCAUCAUCAUUAUCAUCACACCUUUUAAACAAAGCCUCAAUUUCAUAAGCACCCAUAAAAGCAACAAACUCUUCUAUUUGAUCCACAUCAUAGUAAUCAUAUAUACCAUUAGCAUAAGAAGCCAAGGUUCUAUGAUCAUUAAACUCACAGGAAAAGGGAAGGUGUGGAGCCUUCAUCCUCGAGCAACAAGUAACACCAUGUCUCUUGCAUAGUUCCCAAGCAUACCAUUUCAACAAAUGGAUUUGAUCCCAUAAAAGUUUCCCUUUUUGAGUCAAGCGAUAAUCCCUAAAGUGUUCACGUUGAUCCAACGUGUAUCCCAUUAUAUAGUCGAAUGGGGCUUUCUCAGGAUUGUUAAAGAAGUACAUAAUAUUUUCCACAUAACGAGCCUCGAGGGUUUUAGAAGGUUCCCCAUCUCCAUGAGUAGCAAGUACACCUAAUUUUUUUGGUAUUUCGUGUUCCAUAUCCAUAACUAAAGAUAGAGAACUGCUUAGAACAACAAAUAAUUCUACUUAGUGAUAAAGCAAGCAAGCACACACGAGGAUAUUCACCCCACACUAUCUCUCCCCAGCAACGGCGCCAGAAAAAGGUCUUGAUAACCCAAAAGUAUAGGGGAUCAAUUGUAGCCUUUCUCGAUAAGUAAGAGUGUCGAACCCAACGAGGAGCUAAAGGUAGGACAAAUAUUCCCUCAAGUUCUAUCAACCACCGAUACAACUCUACGCACACAUUACGUUCGCUUUACCUAAAACAAGUAUGAACUAGAAGUACUUUGUAGGAGUGAUAGGAUAGGCUUGCAAGAAAGUAAAAAACACGUACAUAAAACUAGGGGCUGGUUAGAUAAAGAAACAACUAUGAGUGUCUAACGAGUGUGGAAAAGUGGUGGUAGGAGUUGCGGAAUUGUCCCUAAGCAAUUGACUACGCUACUAGAUCGAUAGCAAGUAUCAUGUGGGAGAGGCCUCUGCUAGCAUGUCAUCCCUUACUUGGAAUUCUAUGCACUUAUGAUUGGAAAUAUUAGCAAGCAUUCGCAACUACUAACGUUCAUUAAGGUAAAACCCAACCAUAGCAAUAAGAUAUAUUGGUCCCCCUUCAAUCCCAUAUGCAUCAAUUUCUAUGCUAGGUUUGAAGCUUCUGUCACUCUAGCCUGCCAAUACAUAGUCCUAUCAACAUACAACUAACCCUAUGGUGUGAUCCACGUGCACGAUCAUAUGAUGGGCACCAAAGGACACCAACAUAACCACAAGCAAAUUAAACCAAUCAUAGCAAUUCAUCAAUCACCGAUAGGACACCGAUAAUCUACUCAGACAUCAUAGGAUAGCAACACAUCAUUGGAUAAUAAUAUGUAUCAUAAAGCACCAUGUUCAAGUAGAGGGUACAACGGGUUGCGGGAGAGUGAACCGCUGAAUAUAGAUGGGGGAAGAUGAUGGAGAUGUUGGUGAAGAUGAUGGAGGUGUUGGUGUAGAUCGCCGUCACACGAUGAUGUACCGGGCGGCGUUCCGGCGCCGCCGGGAGAGAGGGGGAGAGAGGACCCCUCCUUCUUAUUCUUCCUUGACCUCCUCCCUAGAUGGGAGAAGGGUUUCCCCUCUGGUCCAUGGUCUCCAUGGCGGCGGAGGGGCGAGAGCCCCUCCGAAAUUGGAUCUCUCUCUCUGUGUCCUUCUGUUUCUGCGCUCCCAGAUUCUGCAAUUUACCGUUUCUUAAAUUCCCAGAGAUACUAACUCCGAUUGGGCUGAAAUUUUAACACGAUUUUCUUCCGGAUAUUAUCUUUCUUGCGGUGAAAGAAGGGCUCCAACCGCUUUAAGAAGUGGCCACAAGCCUGCCUGCCGCGGGCCCACCCCCUGGAGGCGGCGACAGGGCUUGUGGGCACUCCGUGCAUGGCCUCGCGUUGAUUCUUCUUCCCAAAAAUCAUAAAUAUUCCAAAAAAAUCCCCGUAAGUUUUUAUUAUGUUUGGACUUCGUUUGGUAUGGAUAUUCUGCGAGACAAAAAACAUGCAACAAACAGGAACUGGCACUGGCACUGGAUCAAUAUGUUAGUCCCAAAAAUACUAUAAAAACUUGCCAAAAGUAUAUGAAAGUUGUAGAAUAUUGGCAUGAAACAAUCAAAAAUUAUAGAUACGAUGGAGACGUAUCAAAUAUCACUCUCAUCAAACCUACGCAGAGAAUUUACUUCUACUACCUGUAUCGGGUUAUCGACACCAUGGAUCUCUUCGAUAGGUGGUAGAUUUUUGACAUCUUCAGAUUUAAUGCCUUUCUCUCGCAUAGAUUUCUUAGCUUCUUGCAUAUCUUCAGGACUGAGGAAUAGAAUACCUCUUUUCUUCGGAGUUGGCUUAGGAGGUGGUUCGGCAAUAGUCCAAGCAUUCUCAUUGCACAAGAUGUUAUUCAGUAAAAUCUCAGCUUGUUCUACAGUUCGUUCCCUAAAAACACAACCGACACAACUAUCUUGGUGGUCUUUGGAAGCAUCAGCAAGUCCAUUAUAGAAGAUAUCAAGUAUUUCAUUCUUCUCAAGAGGGUGAUCAGGCAAAACAUUCAGUAGCUGGACGAGCCUCCCCCAAGCUUGUGGGAGACUCUCUUCUUCAGCUUGAGCAAAGUUGUAUAUUUCCUACAAGGCAGCUUGCUUCUUAUGGGCAGGGAAAUAUUUUUCACAGAAGUAGUAGAGCAUGUCCUGGGGGCUACGCACACAACCAGGAGCAAGAGAAGUGAACCAAGUCUUAGCAUCAUCCUUUAGUGAGAAAGAAACAGCUUGAGGAUAUAGUAGUGGCGGAUCUUUUCCUCACUAGUUAAUAGGGUGGCUAUAUCGUGCAGUUUGGUAAGAUGGGCUACAACCGCUUCAGACUCAUAACCGUGAAAAGGAUCAGAUUUGACUAGAGUGAUUAACUCACGGUCGAUAGAGAAUUCAUAAUCCUUAUCGGUCACAAAGAUAGGCGAAGUGGCAAACUUCGGGUCGUAUUUCAUCACAGCGUUCAGAGAUUUUUCUUUCCACUUGAGCAGUAGUUUCUCAACAUCAUAGCUAUCCUUACACGCAAGAAAAUCCUCAGCUAUCUCUCCCUCCAUAAUAUAGCGCUCAGGCAUAACAAGCAAUUCAGGCUUAGUAGCAGGUUCUACUUCAAUAGUAUCAGCAGUUUCAGAAGUAUCAUCACAUCUAGCAGCAACUCUAGCAAUUUGUGCAUCAAGGAAUGCACCUAGUGGCAAAGCAGUAUCAGGCAUAGCAUCAUCAGGCAUAGUAUCAAGCAUAGCAUCAUCAGGCAUAGUAUCAAGCAUAGCAUCAUCAGGCAUAGUAUCAAGCAUAGCAUCAUCAUAAGCAUCAUAGGCAGCAGAAGUAGCAUCAUCAAGCAGAUGCGACAUAUCAAGAUUUCUAGCAGGAGGCGAUGUCACAAACUUACUCAAAACUGAAGGUGAAUCAAGUGCAGAGCCAAAUGGCAGUUCCUUACCUCUCCUCGUAGUGGAAGGCAAGAUUUUAGUUCUUGGAUCUUUUCGAUUCCUCAUAGUGACCAGCAGACGUCAAUCCAAGUGACUCAGAGAAUAUAGCUAUGCUUCCCCGGCAACGGCGCCACAAAAUAGUCUUGAUAACCCACAAGUGUAGGGGAUCGCAACAGUUUUCGAGGGUAGAGUAUUCAACCCAAAUUUAUUGAUUCGACACAAAGGGAAGCGAAAGAAUAUUCUCAAGUAUUAGCAGCUGAGUUUGUCAAUUUCAACCACACGUGAAAGAUUAGUGUCUGCAAGCAAAGUAUCAGUAGCAAAGUGGUAUGAUAGCAAUGGUGUUAGAAAAAGAUCUGUUGACAAUAGACUAUUCCUAACGGUUGUAUCAAUGGUGCCAAUAAAUAGCACGUGGACGGGGAACUAUUCUUCCCCGGCAACGGCUAUAGAAAAGUCUUGCAACAAGUAGCAGCAAAGUAACAGCAGUAGUGACAGCAGUAGCAAGGAACGGCAGUAGUGACAGCAGCAGCAAGUAACAGCAGAGUAACAACAGUAGCAAGUAAUAGCAGUAAAAGACUCGUAGGCAGUGGAUCGGUGAUGGAUGAGUAUGUCGGAUGUGAUUCAUCAUGUAACAGCUAUAACACGGAGAGAUAUGUAACUAGCUCCCGUUCGUCAAUCUAAUGUAGGCAUGUAUUCCGUAUGUAGUCAUGCGUGCUUAGGGAAAAGAACUUGCAUGACAUCGAUUGUCCAUCCCUCCCGUGGCAGGGGGGUCCUAAUGGAAACUAUGGGAUAUUAAGGUUCUCAUUUUAAUAAAGAACCAGACCAACGCAUUAACACUCGGUGAAUACAUGAACUCCUCAUAUUAUGGUCAUCUCUAGGAGUGGUUCCGGCUAUUGUCACUCCGGGGUUGCCGGGUCUUAACACAUAUUAGGUGACUACAACUUGCAAGAUAGGAUAUAAAACACACAUAUAUUGGUGACAACAUAAUAGGUUCAGAUCUGAAAUCAUGGCACUCGGGCCCUAGUGACAAGCAUUAAGCAUGGCAAAGUAGUAGCAACUUCAAUCUCAGAACAUAGUGGAUACUAGGGACCAAUCCCCAUCAAAACUAACUCGAUUACAUGCUAGAUCUCAUCCAAAUCAUCACCGUCCAGCAAGCCUACGAUGAGAUUACUCACGAACGGUGAAGAUCAUCAUGGAAUUUUCGAUGGAGGAAGGUUGAUGAUGACGAUGACGACGAUUUCCCCUCUUCGGAGCCCAAAUCGGACUCCAGAACUGUCCUCUAGAUGAAGAACAAGAGGUGGCGGCGCCUCCGUAUCGUAAAACGCGAUGAAUCCUUCUCCCUAAUUUUUUUCCAGGGGAGACGGAAUAAAUAGAGCUGAGUUUGGUGGCGGUGGUGCCACGUGGGCCCCACAAGCCCUCACGGCACGGCCUAGGGGGGUGGUCGCGGCCUAGGGACUUGUGGCCCACUAGCACACCCCCUCCGAUGGAUCUUUGCACAUGUAUUUUUCAUUAAUUCCAGAAAAAUUCUCCAUAAAUUUUCAGGACAGUCCGAGAACUUUUAUUUUUGCACAAAGACAACACCAUGGCAAUUCUAGUGAAAACAACGUUAGUCCGGGUUAGUUCCAUUCAAAUCAUGCAAGUUAGAGUCCAAAACAAGGGCAAAAGAGUUCGGAAAAGUAGAUACGACGGAGAUGUAUCAGUGCAUAUGUUAGUUAGUUAGUUUUUUUUCCAAUCGUGCACACACUCAGACACUUGGGCUUGAUCCAACUCUGGGCCGAUGCACUAUGUUGCAGUUCGGCCCAUGCAUAUAUAUUUUCACUGUUGCGGUUUUGUUAAUAUCUAGACAUGCAUUAUUGCAGAUUUUGUCACUCUUUUAGAAUGACUAUAGCGCAAUAACCGUGCAUCGAAUUAAAAUGAUUUCAACAUGUAAAAUGUUCAGAAUUUUGUGUAGAUUUAAAAUUUCUAACUUUCAUCCAUGUUAAAAAUGUUUCAAUUGUUGUUUCGUUUGAUUUGCAUAAUGUCAUGUGAAACACGUUUUAUUUCAUGGCUAAAUAACCCUAACUCCAUUUAAAAUGAUCCACAUAUGUAACUUUGACUAGAAAAAUGUGUAGAACAAUAUGGUAACAUUUAUUUUGGUGUUUAACAACUCUAAAAUUGUGCUAUAGGCAGAAUAGUACUGAACUUUAAUUUGCAUUUGGGGGAUUUCCACAAUUGUUAUUAGUUGUUCCGGCCUCAUUUAAACUUGCCUAGAAUUUCUUGUAGCUUCAUAAUAUCUUGUGCAUCCAUGAUUAACAUGUUGUGGUUGUCAAUUGUAUGCAUUUUGCUUUCCUGACAUAUUAUGUGUGUUGCUCAUAUCUUUUAAACCAUAGCUCCGUUUUAAUUGUUCUAUAUAUGUAAAUCAACUAGAAUGACGUGUAAAUUCACAUGUUCCAUUUUAUUUUUCUGUUUAAUAAAUAUAAAAUGUGUUUGUUAAGAUCUGGAAAUAUUCAAAAUUAACAUAUGGGGUAAUUUCUGAAAUGCUAUAGGUUGUUUCCGACCUCAUUUAAAAUGCCUAGAUAGUGUAGUUUAUUUAUGCUUCACCUCUUGCCAUGAUUAACAACAUUUAACAUUGUGGUGUACCUACAUGGAAGUGAACUAAAUAAUUCAAAUAUGGAGUUUCGUCGAUAUGCAACUCGCUGCAUAUUGAGCUUCACUUAAUGUGUAGUAUUAAUUUUUUGUGCUUUGCCAUGCCUUGCAUAAUUGAAAUGGACAUGCAUCGUAUGUGUGUGUGCAUCAUGUCUUGCUUAUGUUGUGGUGUUUAUUAUUUGUUGAUUGUUUUUUCGGAUUACUUCUUCUUGAUAGAAUUCCACAAGCAUGUUAGAGUGUGAGGAUUCGUUCAACUACGAUGGUUCAUCUGCUUCACGGAUCCGUUCUCCUUCCAAGCGGCGUCACAGGCAAGAUGAUCAUUUCCCUAGAUACCACUACUAUCAUUGGCAUGCUAGUUGUCUCGUUUCUUUCGCUAUGUAUCGCUGCCUACCACCUGUUACGUCAGCCUCCAAACAUUGCCAUGAAAAGCCUCUAACCCCUCCACCACCCAGCAAAUCCUUGUUUGGCUAUGUUACUGCUUGCUCAACCUUAUUAUAGCGCUGCUAGUUGCAAGUGCGGAUGCUUCCAUGUGAAACAAGGAUUCCUUGUUAUAUCACCAUAUAAUUGCUAAUUAAAUUAAUGCACCUAUAUACUUGGUAAAAGGUGUAAGGUUCCAUCUUUUCCGGCCUAGUUACAUGUGUACCCAUGUUAUGUGCCAUAAAUGAGCGCUCCUAACAUGCUUGGGGUUGUUACGAGGACCCCCUUGAUUUUUGUUUUGGGAUAAAACUCUUCUGGAAAGGCCCAACAUUGGUACAAUAUUUGUUCAACAUAAUAAUAUUGAACACUAUUAGUAAUUCAUAGGGAGUUAGCAUUACCCGAGGAUUAAUUCAACAUAAUACAAGGGGCAGUGCUGAUGGUGUUGGUCCCAAACGGGCAGACUGCGGGGCCACCACGGGGAAGCUCGAGGUUUGGUUUUACUCGUAGGGUUUCCCAUCCGGGUGAUAACGAGAUACGUGCCCCAUAUAGGGAUUGUUGGCACGUCGGGCGGCCUUGCUGGUUUUGUUUUACUCUUAUCGAAGGUCUAGUGCACUCGGAUAUCGGUGAUACUUCGGGCUAUGUCGAGGUUGAGAUUUUCUCUCCAAAGUAGCUUGUGGUAGUUUGUGAUGGACUAGUUGGAGCACCCCUACAGGGUUAAUUCUUUCUGAGAGCCGUGCCCACGGUUAUGUGGCAACUUGGAAACUUUGUUUAACACUCGGUCAUAGCAAACUUGAAGUAAACUUAAUUUAAACUUGCCAACUGUGUGAGUAACCGUGACAGUCUCUUCUCAUGAGUUCUGCAUCCGAGAGAGGACACGGUGGGGUUAUGUCUGUCGUAAGUAGGUGUUCAGUAUCACCUCAUGAUCAUCGUUAGUUCAUGUCCAUUUAUGCGCAGAUCAACCCCCCUAUUGAUCUUGUACUCGUAAGUUAGCCACACAAAUGAAUGCUUAGUUGCUUGCCACAACCUCACCACUUAACCAUACCUCACACAUUAAGCUUUGCUAGUCUUGAUACCUUUGGAAAUGAUAUUGCUGAUUCCGAUGUGGCUCGCAGAAUACUACAACAACAGUUGCAGGUACAGGUAAAGCGAUACUUUGGUGCGAGCGCGAUGAUUGUGUUAUUUGGAGUUUGUUCUUCUUCUUCUUCAUCGAUCUAGGAUGGGUUCCAGGCUGGCAGCCGAGGAUAACAAGGAUGGAUGUCGUUCUUUUAUCAUUUGAUUUCGUCCGUAGUCGGACCCUGAUCUUCAACAUGGUGAUUGCAUACAUUGUUGUAUUGUGUUGGUCAUGUUGUAGCUUGUGGCGAGUGUAAGCCAAUUUCAUAUACUCAUCUCUUCUGUACAUGAUCUUGAAAUGAUAUCCAUUCUUGAAAAACGACGAGAUGCGCUUCUAUCCCUAUCGAGGCCCUCAUGCCAAAAUAAGGAUAUGAUCGCAUCUUGGGCGUUACAUGCCAGUUGUGCUAUGGAGCCUGUGGACCAUGCCCAUUUGGUGGACCGGCUUCACCCCCUUCUUACUAGUGUACCGGGCGGAGGUAAUCAUCCCCACAGACAUAUAGUUCCACGCACCGAUAGUCACCCUCCACACACAGGCCGACAGAAAAGAAGCACGAGAACAUUGUGUAGACCUCCUCGAGAUGGAAAGCGAGCUGGUCCUGUCCAGAUCAGAAAUCUACUAGGACAGUCUACACUGCUAUCAUAGUCGGCAGGUCAAGUCCCUCUCAUUUUGAGAGGGCGAACUGGUGCUCCGGCUGACCCCUGCACUCCUGCAUCCCACUCAUCACCGACCUCGUGCUCCAACCUGGUGCUCUGUUGCUCCGGCUUGGUGCAACGGAUAGCUGGCCAACAUAAGUUAUUCGCCCCAUGGGAGGGCCCGUUCAUCGCCAGCAAGGCGCUAAGAAACAACGCGUACUACCUAAUCGACGCACGCAAGGCCAGACAGAACGAGAGGGACGCUUCCGACUCUGAGAUGGAGCGCAAGUGGAAUGCAGAGCUCCUCCGCCCGUUUUACAGUUGAAGUAAGUGUAUGUAUGUGUCGCCUUGUUUUGUGCAAAUUAAUGAACGACCAACACCCCCGAGCAAGUCUCGUGGACUGCCCUUUCGAUCCAAUCUUUGGCAAUGUAUUUUCUUCCUACUAGCCGCCCCGGACUGGCUCAACCGGCUCGGGGACUGGCCGGCCCACCCAAACCCUCCCUAGACCGCCUCGGUACUAUACCCCUCCCUCGCUGCCUAACCCUUGCCCGGCUACAGACCACAACAUUGUUGUCGGGAUGGCAGGAGCACAAGCAAAGGGAAAGGGCGGAUAGGAAAAACGAUAAGGGGUGGGCCGGCUCCAUCCAUGUUAAGUGGUCCAUUCCAAUCCAAACUUGCAAUAAUCCAAAGUACCAUACCCCUGCACUCCCGCAGCCCACUCCUCGCCCGGCCACAGACCGCAACCCGGCAAUCCCGCCGACAGGAACAAGUGCAAAGGGAGCAGGACGAAUGGGAAAAAUGACUAAGGCAAGUGAAAGUGUCGAACGGGCCGCUAGACGACAAUCAACAAAUUUGAUAACUACAAAUGCUUAACUGAAGAUAGCGGCACAAGGCCAAGAGUGCAUUACAAUAAGCCUACACCCCCAGCGGGUGGACUUAUUCAUUACAUUUUCCAAAGCAGAAAAAAGUAGAAAAUAAAAAUCCCUAGACGGCUGGCGGCGGCUGCUGAUCCACGUCCGUGCCGCAAGCCGGCGGGGGCGUGUGGCUCAUGGCUGCGUCGUCUGCUGGUGGAGUCUUCUGGCUUGCUCCCGCAUCGCCAACCGAUGGAGUCUUCUAGCUCACGUCCGUGUCACCAGCCGGCGGCACCACCGUUCCCACAGAGGAUGCGCCUGUCCCUUCGACGUCCGCCUCACGCACCACCUUGUCAGCAACAGGCUCCCCCGAGAUGGACCUGACCUCCUCCUCGUUGUAACCGAGCGGGACACCAAACUCGUCCUCCAGGACGGGCACGCCUUCCUCCCCCAGCUUUGGGAAGUACACAUCCAACAACGCGCAGCUCACAAGCUCAUUGACACGGAGGGCGAUGGCUUCGUUGCGUCGCGCCAAGUUGCUCUGCGCCUCCGCCUGCAUGGUGGCCAGCUGGCCCAAACUGAUGCCCGGAUACCAGGAGAGGGCAAAAGCCAAAUCCAUCUGGGCACCACCCCGCGCUAGAGACGCCCUCCACGCUCAAAGAACCCCACGACGUUCUCAAGCCUCCUGGCUACGUGGCUGGUGGGAAUCGCCGCCGCCCGGUCCAGCCAGAGAGCCUUGAUGAGGCCCUCACCCGCUGCUCGGAGCCGCCCAAGGACCGCCUAUGUGUGGGUCAGCUGGACCUCGCAGGCAAGGUCCACCUCCUCCAUCGCCCAGGCGAUACCCUCAUCCACCUCACCUUGCCCUGGAGGAGUUUCUCGUGGCAUUCUGCGACGGCUCGCUCUGCCCGUGGCCGAGUCUCUGAGAAUUGAGAUGGACCAGCAAGAACAGUAAGAUGCAAGACAAGCAAAGCAAUGGCCGGUGCCGGCUGCCGGCCGAACGAAACCAAUAAAAACAACACUUACCGGAGAAAGCCUUGUCAAACUCGUAGAAGAGCUUGAGCGCACCGGCCACCUCUUGCUCCGCCUUCCGGAGCUCCUCUCCGAGCCGAGUCACCUCCACACGGAGGACCUCUCCCUCCUCCCUGCUUGCAGCCGACGCCCUUGGCGAAUCCUCCUUCUCUGUCGCUUUCUUCUGGAGCGUCCCGACCAGCAACUCCAACUCAGCCACAUGGCGGCCUUCAACCGCUCCGUCGUCGCCCGAUCGGCCUCGAGAUCCUUCCUCAGUCGCUCGUGAUCGCUCGUGACCUCAUCACAUUUCCCUCAGAUGUCUGCAAGCACGUGGCAGAGCUCCGCCGCCUCGGCCUUGGGGAUGGCCCCCUCUGCAUCAAGGAAGGAAGUUAGCAGGCGGCAUGACAAGGUUAUCAAAAAACAUGAGAAGAUUUGGUGUGGCUGUCGCGCGGCCACGCAGCCGACACGAAUAUUGGGGACUACACCAAAUGGGUGUGCUGGCGUGCACCCACCAUUUUAAAGACAUACAAAAGAAAGAAUAGAUUUGGCCUAGCUGUUGAGCAGUCGCACGGAUGACCCAAAUCUCGGGGACUAUACCCAGUGGAUGUGCUGGUGCGCACCCACCACACGACGUCAUACCUCGGGCCUUCUAAUCCUUCCUGGUUUUGAAGUAGGCGUUCUUGCUGAAGCGACAUAGUGCCACUGCCUCCUUAAAAACGUAUCGCAUUUUACUGUGUUAGCCUAUGAAGGAAUCAACGAAAAAGUUAAGAAUACCAAAGGGAUGAUUUGGCCUGGCUGCCAGGCAGCCGCGCACCCGGCCCGAGUCUCAGGGACUACAUCUAGCGGGUACGUUGGCGCGCCCCCACUAAAAAGCAAAGAAACAAAAAAGGAAAAAAAGAUUUGUGGCACCAACCUAGAUGGCGUGCUCCACGAGCUGGAAGUUGCUCAUUACCGAAUGGCCAAAGGCGUCAAUCCCUUGAUGGUACCGCGCCAUGACCUCUACCGCGCCGUCCGGCACGACAGCCUGCUCCCCAGCCGAUGAGCUUGCCCCAGCCACUCCGUGUACACGAUUCAGCUUCGCCCAGUCCUCCGCCGCCACAGCCAGGGCGGCAUGGUAGCGGGCCUCUCAACCAUCCAUCUGCCACACACCCAUCCAUCCACGCCACCGCCACCACAUCAAGCGUCGUCAGUACCUCUCCACGCCUCCACCAGCACCACACGCAUCCACCAGCAACGCCACACCAGCGCCACCACCUAGCCACCAGCAUCCAUCUCCUGCGCGCCAAAACAGCACCACCCUGUACCACCAUCUCCAUCCAUCCGUCCACCCCGCCACCGCGAGCGUCUCCUACUUCAGUUGCUGCUGCUCUAUCCCUGAUCCAUCAGUCCGUCUCUCAACUUCUGCUGCUGCUCUAUCCUUGAUCCCCAUACCCUGGUGUUGCUUGUCUCCUACUCCUCGCUGCUGCACCUCC
RNAcentral lists this long non-coding RNA (262271 nucleotides) under Hordeum vulgare. RNAcentral describes it as "long non-coding RNA (HVUL_LNC000834)". Lineage: Eukaryota; Viridiplantae; Streptophyta; Magnoliopsida; Poales; Poaceae. The record is from RNAcentral.